CUCUGUUUCAACUAAGCGAAAAUUUACAUAUUAAAGCCUGGCUCAAAUUCCUUUUUUCAAUCGAAAUUAAACGUAGCCACAAAACCCUAAUUCACCACACCAAUUUAUCUCUGCCCGGUAUUCAUUUAAACCCUACCUCGCGGUUCAAUGUCAUUCAAUACGAUUGCAGAUGCUGUUUCAACUUGUCAUUUAGUUAGCGCCAUCCAGUUCUCUAUGGUAAGCCUUAACCCUAACAACUAAUCGACUGCGGUAGCACGUUGCUUGUUAGGAGUGGGGAUACAUUAUUUGAAUAUAUGAAUUGGGUGAUGUUAGUGAUUCAUUCCCCUAUUUGUCGUGAAUUGAGAUUUGUGCAUAAUGCUAGUAAGAUUGCUAAAAAUUUCAUAUUUUGUAUUGUUCCAGUUGAAUUUCUUGCUUGUGGAAGAUAAAACAAAAGUUCAAUUUCAUGUUGAUUUAAUUCUUCUUUUCCUUCUUUUUAUUUUUCUUCUUUAUAGUCACGCUCUGGCUUUGGUGCUAUGCUUAGUGCAGUUUAUGGUUUCAAGAUUAAGUCAUGUUUAUUUGAUGGCAUCGAUUCCAUCGUUGAGGAUUGGAUUGUUGAUCAAAUGCACAUAGUAAGCUCUUCUUAUUUUAUCUCAAUUUUAAUUUUCUUUUAUUAUCUGCCUCUACCUGAAAAUGGACGUGUUUUACUAGUAAGCAUAGACCUUGUUUAUUUAAUUGAUAUUUUAAUUUUAUGUAUAAGAAUGGAGGUUUAUUUUGGAAAAAAAAAGAAAUAAAAAAAAUACUCUGUUGAAGCUAAUUAGUACUGAAUUUUUUUUGGUGGUGCGACCAGAGGUGGAAACAGGGUAUGAAAAUGUGUUACUGGUGAGGCUGCUGCUUAAGAUGAGAAUGCAUUCUUUUCAAAAAUCCUUGGAAGGUGUGAUCUAAUUAUAUUUGAUGGAAUAUUAAAUGGCUAAAAAUCUGUCAUACGUUCAAACUUUGUUUGUGUUUAGAAGAAUGGUGUUGACUGUAUAUUCGUUUGGAAGAAUGGUGUUGAUUGUAUAUUCAUUUGCUUAGCCUUUUGACAGAUGGAUUUGGAACUGACGAUAAAUGUGAUUCAAUUUACAAGGUUUUCGAGGGGCUCACAGUGGAAGGGAUAUUGAAGAACUGGUCGAAGUUAAAGCCUAUGAUUGUGAAAGAUUGGAGUGAGAAUAUAGAUGCUCAUUUAAAUCUUUUUGGCAAGGUCAGAGAUGAAUGGAUAGAUAAGGAUUUAUUUGACAACUUGGACUGGUGCUAAUAGGUAUUUUAAGCAAGCUUUUUGAGAUAACACUGAGCAAGUUAUACUACUAUUUUGCACAUGAUGAUCAAAACUCUCGAAAAGUAAAUAAAAUAAAGUAUUAACUUUUACUUUCAUCUUUUGCAUAGCAAUCAAUGUGGUGCUUGUUCUGUGACAACUUUGAUAAUCUACUUAAUUACUGGUUAGCAUUUGGACCAAAAAAGUUCUUAUGAUUUACAUGUUUUGUAGAAAUGCAUGAACCUUAAAUGUGCUGAUCAGGGAGUUUAAUUAUUGCACCUUGAAAUUCAUUUACUGUUAACUAAUUGGCUUUCCUUUGCAUAAAGCCGCUUAUAAGGCUUGAGUGGACGUCUUUAUGGGCAUAUUUUUUGUAUUUCUCGAUGCAUGCCUUUAUCAUUUAAUGUGGUGCUCGUAUUUCUUUAUGCAUGCCUUUAUCAUUUAAUGGCCAGCUCCCUUUCCUCUUUUGUAAUUUGAAUAGUAGUAUGGGCCUCCAUUUUACAAAUCUUUAACAUUUUUUGCUGUAAAUUAAUUUUUCUUUCAAAUAUUUUGGAGGUCAUUGGAAUUCCUGUAGGUCUAUUUACCAGAUUUUAGUAUGUUUAAGGUUAUAAUUUUGCUUAGACUUUAAUUUUUCUGAAAGAUUGUAGUAUUGAUCCUUAAAGUAAGAUCAUGCUACUUCAAAUUAUUUUGAAGUGUUGCUAGUUAUAGCCUUACAUAUCAAAUUCCAGUUGUCUGGAAAUUUAUUGAUAGCUGUUACAGCAGCAUAUUUUAUGACUCUACUUCUUAGUUAUGUAAGUUCAUUAUGUUUAGGUCAGAGGCAGUCAGCUGUGGGGAAUCGAUUUAUACACAGAUGACUUUGAUCUUGUUGCUGGUAUGUGGUUCUAUGAAUAAUUGUUCACAAUAAUUGUGUUUGCCUCACUGUUUUUGUUUUAUGAGAUCUAUAAUUGAUCUUGGGAUAUUACUUUUUAGUUCUCAUGCAGGCAAGUUACUACCUUCCCACUGCAUCUCCUCCUUUAUCUGCUACUCAAGAGUUGCGUGCCAUAAUCUGGUAUUACCUCUGCAAGAUUGUGAAUGAAUAUGAUGCCUCUAAAUUUAUUUUAUACAUAAUGCUAAUGCUGAAUAAUAUAUUGUAGCUCCUGUCAUAUUCUACUUUGACUUUUUAUAUUCCGUUUCAAAUAAAAAUCUUAUUCAACUUUAGUUGUUCAUGAGCAAAUGUCACAUGUAUAAGCCCAAAUGAUGUUUAAAGGUAGCGCCGCUACCUUCAGUUUGAGCUUACAAUGGGUGAAAAAGAAAUUGAAACUGAUAUUUUGCGGUUUUUCUUAUUUUUCAAAGUAUUUUAGAUCAUGACUUUUGUUUGGACUUGAUGGUUAUAGAUUGUGUCUAGAUUUGUUAAGUCGUUUCCAACACCUCGUGCCAAAUCAAAGCACAAUCUUUCUGAUUCAGAUGUUUUGUUAAUUGUGCUUCAUUUUUUCGUUAAAGGUUGGAUGGUUGAAUGGAUUGAUGGAGUUGGAGUUCAACCAAUAAUUCUAAUUUUUUGGACUUAAAAUGCCUUUUUCUUCUGUAUAAAAGCUUUAGUAAGUGCUAUUGAGUUGACAGAAGUUGAAUACUUACAGGUUGUUUCACACUUUUUAAUAGUUUUACAUAUAUGAAUUUCUGUUUUUUGAAUUGCAGAAAGGAGGUGGAACUAUUGAUUUGGAGCCUUAUCUUACUCACUCAUCAACAACGGAGCCUACCCUCGCUCCUAUGGCAGUGGAACGGACAAUGACUACUAGGGCUGCAACAUCAGUUGGUUCGGGUCUGUUUUGAUAGCGAAUUUUGAUAUGUCAAUAUAAUGUGUAAUUGUUUUGGGUUGAGCUGGUAAUUAUGCUGGAUUAGAUUGGUUUGGUUUUGGUGCUUCGCUGAUGGAACACUGGUUUUUUAGAAAAUUUGAAUGUAAUAUGAGACUACAUUUAGUUUAAUUGAACACUGCAUCUAGUCUAAUUACUAGAAGUGUGGCAUUUGGUUUGGUUUAUCCGAUAUUCUCCAGAAUUUCACUUGCAUCUGGUUUUGUUGCAUAUGUUUGCUUGCAUUUGAUGGCAGUAGCAGACUGUUUGGUUUUGUGGCAUUUGAUGGCAGUUUGGUCUGUUCUUGGUGCUGAUUUACGAUUGUUCCUGAUGUGUUGAUGUUAAUUGCAGGUGCUUGAAUCAGCUAGGGUUGCUGGUUUUUUCAGAUGGUUGACUCAGGCGUUGUUACUGGUUGAUUCAGGUGGCUGGCUCAAGUUGUUCAUUUAAUGUUAGGAAGCAAAUUAAGAAUUAAUGAAGUAUUCAUUUAACUAUAAUUAUUGUAGUUAUUUUAUUUCAUAACUGAAUUAUAAUCUAUGAUACUUGUGAACAAAUUAGAGAAUUUUUAUAUAUAAAUUAUAUAUAUGUGUGUGUAUGUACAUUUUGCUUUUUAUAUAAUAAUUUAAAGAAUAUAUUUCAAUUCCCACAAAAAAAUGGCCCCAAUUUCAAUAAUUCCUGCCAAAUAAUUAAUUUUUUUUAAUUUACCGCCAAAAUAUAUCUUAAAGAAAUGUUAGUUAUUCUUGCUAGAUUUAACAAAAAUAAUUUAUAGGAUUAACAUUUAAUUAAAAUAAUUAAAUAAUUUUACUAUUUCAAUUAAAUGUCAUGUUUAUAUCACAGACAAUAGUCAUGAAUGGGAAGUAUUAGUUACAUAUUUUUCCUUGUAGUUAUUUUAUUUCAUAACUGAAUUAUAAUCUAUGAUACUUGUGAACAAAUUAGAGAAUUUUUAUAUAUAAAUUAUAUAUAUGUGUGUGUAUGUACAUUUUGCUUUUUAUAUAAUAAUUUAAAGAAUAUAUUUCAAUUCCCACAAAAAAAUGGCCCCAAUUUCAAUAAUUCCCGCCAAAUAAUUAAUUUUUUUUAAUUUACCACCAAAAUAUAUCUUAAAGAAAUGUUAGUUAUUCUUGCUAGAUUUAACAAAAAUAAUUUAUAGGAUUAACAUUUAAUUAAAAUAAUUAAAUAAUUUUUCUAUUUCAAUUAAAUGUCAUGUUUAUAUGACAGACAAUAGUCAUGAAUGGGAAGUAUUAGUUCCAUAUUUUUCCUUGGGAUUUCAGGCAAAUGAAAAAAAGAUUGAGAAUGAUUUCAAGAGGACAGGUGGAUGAUAAGUAUUCAUUUUUGUAUAUUUGGCUAAUGUCCUCAUUAGUGGAUUUUUAUGGUAUUGAUUUUUUUUUUUUUGGUUUAUAAUUUUCAAUUAGUUGUUACCCUAGAGGAAGAGCAGGCUGAUCAAAUUGAUUUGUCUUAUUUUUCCGGCAAUCUGCGACACGAUGACUGUGAUAAUGCUCGUGACUGCUGGAAACUUUCUGGUGGAAAUAACUUUAGAGUUCGUAGCAAGCAUUUUUGUUAUGACAAAACAAAGGUUCCCCCAUAUUUUGGUUGUUUGUUAUGGUAUUUAUAUAUCCUGCAUAUGCUAGGUCGACAGGUUAUGAUGUAGUUUGGUUGGCUCUUGUGCUUUGUGCAAUUUGUAACUGCAGAUACCUGCGGGAAAACAUUUAAUGGAUCUUGUUGCUGUUGAUUGGUUCAAAGACACAAAGAGAAUGGACCAUGUAGCUCGGCGUCAAGGCUGUACUGCACAAGUAACUGAAGAAAAAUGUGAAUUGGUUCCUCUUUUUCUUACUUUCCAGAACAGUAUGUACAGGGAAUAUAUACAGCAAAAUAGGAGAGAAAAUAGGAGACUACAUCUAUCCUUUCCUAAAUAAUAGGAAACAAAAUCUGGAAAGAAUCCUAAUGAAUCUUCCCAUUAUAAUUUAACUUAUUCCUAAAAUAGCCUAGAUUACAAAUAAAUCAUAACUUUGAAUCUUUAUUUUCAACACUCCCCCUCAAGCUAGUGUGUGUAUAUCAUACAAACCCAGCUUGUUACUUAAGUCUUCAAAGUUAGGUCUUGGCAGUGCUUUAGUAAGGAUGUCUGCAAUUUGUUGUCUAGUUGGAAUGUACUUUAGUUCCACACUUCCACUAGUGACCUUCUUUGAGAUGAAGUGCCUAUCAAUCUCGACAUGUUUGGUUCGAUCAUGAUGCACUGGAUUUUUUGCGAUGCUGAUUGCUGCUUGAUUGUCACACCUCAUUAGAAUGGAUGAAGGGUUGCACACACCGAGUUCUUUGAGUACACGCUUUAUCCAAAUUCCUUCACAGAUUCCAUUUGCCAAAGCUCUGAACUCUGCUUCUGCACUACUCCUAGCUACAACUGAUUGUUUCUUACUCCUCCAGGUUACUAGAUUUCCCCAGACAUAGGAACAGUAAGCAGAUGUUGAUAUUCUAUUUGUGAUGUCUCCAGCCCAGUCUGCAUCAGAGUAGAUCUCAAUAUUCCUAUAUUCUGAUUUCUUGAAAAACAAUCCUUUUCCAGGUGUCAUCUUUAGAUACUUCAAAAUUCUAAAGACUGCAUCCAUGUGUUCCUCUGUAGGAUUGUGCAUGAAUUGGCUCACAGCACUAACAACAAAGCCUAUGUCCGGACGGGUAUGUGAGAGAUAAAUUAAACGACCAACCAGUCUUUGAUAUCUCUCUCUAUUGACUGGAACACUAUUCUCAACUGAGCCUAGUUUCUUGUAGGGAUCCAUAGGAGUAUCUACUGGUUUGCACCCAAUCAUACCAGUCUCCUUUAGUAAGUCCAGGGUGUAUUUCCUUUGGGAGACAACAAUUCCCUUCCUAGAUCUUGCCACCUCCAUCCCAAGAAAAUAUUUCAGAUUCCCUAGAUCUUUAACUUCGAAUUCCUGAGCUAGCUGUUUCUUCAACUUCUGCAGUUCUUCCUCAUCAUUUCCUGAGAGAAUGAUGUCAUCAACAUAUACGAUUAGGAGAGAGAUCUUCUUUGCUUGUGAUGUUCGGAGGAAUAGAGUGUGAUCUGCCUGACACUGAGUGUAACCAAGUCUCACAACUGCCUUCGCAAAUCUAUCAAACCAUGCUCGAGGGGAUUGUUUAAGCCCAUACAAAGAUUUCUUGAGCUUGCACACUUUAUUUCUAGUAAGAUUCAGAUCAAGACCCUGGGGAACUUCCAUAAACACUUCUUCUUCAAGAUCGCCAUUGAGAAAUGCAUUUUUUAUAUCUAGUUGGUAUAAGUACCAAUCUAGAUUUACUGCUAAGGAGAGCAAGAUUCUAAUGGUGUUGAGCUUCGCAACCGGAGCAAAGGUUUCAAGAUAAUCAAUCCCAUAUGACUGUGUGAACCCUUUAGCUACAAGACGAGCUUUGAGCCUCUCAACACUUCCAUCUGCCUUGUAUUUAACAGUAAAAAUCCACUUACAUCCAACUGGUCGUUUCCCUGCAGGAAGAUUUGUUAUAACCCAUGUAUCAUUUUUCUCAAGAGCAUUUAUUUCUUCAUGAACAGCUCUCUUCCACUCAGGAUGACCGAGAGCCUCUUGUAUAUUGUUGGGAACAUGUAGAUUAUCUAAAGAAGAAACAAAGGCUCGGUAUGAUGGGGACAAACCAUCAUAUGAGACAUAUUUGGCAAUUGGAUGAGUGGUGCAACUUCGAACCCCCUUUCUUUCUGCAAUUGAUUUAUUAGAAUCAUCCACACUUGGAACCAUGAACUCAACCGAGGCAAGACUAUCCAUACCUGUGUUGUCUUCAUAAGAGCUUGGAUUUGGUUCAGUUUCUUGGACAUGUGGCUGAGUUCUGUGCUCUAUCUGCUCUCCAGUUCUUCUCCUCCUAUAAACAUUAAGAUUAUCAACAGCAAGCUGUGGAAGAGGUGAGAUUAGAGGUUGUAGUUGAUGAGCUGAUGGAUGACGGGGUGACUCGGCUGGUUGUGGUUGGGAGGACUCAGAUGACUCAAAAGGUUGUGAAGAUGUUGGGAGGAUUGCUGAUUGUGGCUGUUGGAUAGAUUGAUCAUGUGUGGUGGUUGAGUUAUGAGGGUUUUCAUGAGGGGUUUCCAGCCAAGAUUGCCAAGAAGAUUCCCAAGGCUGAUGUUCGCUCAUACUCUCUCCCUGAACAACAGUUUUGGAAUAGAAAGGCAGGUUUUCAACAAAUGUUACAUCUCUGGAAAUGUAUAUUUUUCUGGUAUGAGGAGAAUAGCAUUUGUAUCCUUUUUUAUGUGGAGAAUAGCCUAAAAAUAUACACUUGAGAGAUCGGGGAUCAAGUUUAGUCCUGUGUUGAGAGUGAACAUGGACAUAUGCUGUGCAACCGAAUAUUUUUUGUGGUAAAUCUGCUGAAACAAUCCUAGUGUGUGGAAAGAAAUUGAGAAGAACUUUUCUUGGGCAAUGAAACCCCAAGACUCUAGAAGGCAUUCGGUUGAUUAAGUAGGCUGUAGUGAGAACAGCUUCACCCCAGAAAAAAUUAGGAACAUGAGAUGAGAACAAAAGACAGCGAGCCACUUCAAGAAGGUGUCUGUUUUUGCGUUCAGCGACCCCAUUUUGUUGUGGGGUGUCAACACAAGAACUGAUGUGAAGAAUGCCUUGAUGGAGAAGAUAUGAGCUGAGGGAGUCUUUGAAAUAUUCCUUGGCAUUGUCGGUUUUAAGGACUUGGAUUUUGGUAUUGAAUUGGGUUUGAAUCAUGGCGUUAAAGUUUUGGAAGAUUUGACUAACUUCGGAUUUGUUUUUCAUGAGAAACACCCAAGUGAGACGAGUAUGAUCAUCCACAAAUGACAAAAACCAGCGAGCCCCAGAAACAUUUUUAAUUCUUGAGGGACCCCACACAUCAUUGUGAAUUAAAGCAAAUGGACGAGAAGGCUUAUACUUAACGCUUGAAUAAACAUUUCGAGUAUGUUUUGCAAAUUGACAAAUUUCACAAUGAAAUGAUAAAGGGUUUUUAUUGAUGAAUAGAUUGGGAAAAAUUUUUGCGAGAUACAUGAAACUAGGAUGACCUAAUCGAUAGUGUAACAGAACAAUUUCACUAUCGUUAUUGACAUUUGGACUAACAAUAGAAUGAGGAUAACUAGUUGACAGACUAUUGGACUUGGCACAGUUUGCUCUCGAAUCUUGUAUGAAGGAGGAUUGAUCGCUUUUGAGUAGAUAGAGUCCAGAACAUAGCUCAGCACUGCCAAUCGUCUUCGCGAAUCCAAGUCCUGAAAAACACACAUAUUUGGAUAGAAUUUAGUUACACAAUUCUGAUCACGAGUGAAUUUACUGAUUGAAAGUAAAUUGCAAGCCAAAUUAGGCACAUAAAGUACAGAAUUAAGGUGUAACUCCUUAGUGAGUCUGAUGGAACCUGUCCCUGCUAUAUUGUGUGAGAGCCAUCUGCGAUCCGGACUGAAGUGCUGUUGAUGCUAGCUUUAUAAUCCUGCAACAUUGAGGCAUCUCCAGUCAUGUGAUCAGAAGCACCAGUGUCAAUUAUCCAGGGUUUGCUUGCUCCAUUAGUGGCUGCAAAUGCUGAAUGAGUCUCUUUCUAAGCCACUAGACUUGUCCCUGCAUUGGAGUUCAAAGUGGCUUGAUCGAAAAGCUUUUGAAGAAUCUCCAUUUGCUCCUUGCUGAAUGGAUUUGGCUCGGGUAGGGCCUGAUUGUCCGUGGUGGAUGCUGCAUGAGCACGAGAUUCACGGUCACCUUUGGAACGAGGUUUCCAAUCAGCAGGUUUGCCAUAAAUUUUCCAGCAACUCUCCUUAUAGUGGCCUGCCUUACGACAGUGAUCGCACCAUGGUCUUUCUUUCUUUGUACGAUUUUCACUAACCCCUACAGAGUUGGAUGCACGGGCAACAAGUGCAGAGGCGCCCAGUGUUGGUUCUGAUGACCCCAUCAUCACCUUUUUCCUACUUUCUUCAUGCCUAACUUCAGAAAAGGCUUCACGAGGGCGCGGUAGAGGCUUUGUCCCGAGUACACGGCUCCUAACCUGAUCAAGAUCUUUAUUGAGUCCGAGGAGAAAUUUAAACGUUCUCUUCUGUUCCACAAUCUUCUUGUACAAGGUUGUAUCGUCGGUGCACUUCCAAGGGUAUGUUUCAAAUAGAUCAAGGUGUUGCCAAUGCCUAGUCAGAGUAUUAAAGUAUUGAGUGACAGAUUGUUCUCCUUGGCGGAAGUCAUGGAGGAUGGUUUCAAUCUGGAAUAACUCUGAUGUGUUCUCAGAGCUAGAAUAGGUUUCCUUUGCAGCAUCCCAUAUGUCAUUUGCAGUCCCAAACAGAAGAAAAUUCUCACCAAUAUCAUUGUUCAUGGAAUUGAUAAGCCAUGACAUGAUCAUGUUGUUCUCUGACUNNNNNNNNNNNNNNNNNNNNNNNNNNNNNNNNNNNNNNNNNNNNNNNNNNNNNNNNNNNNNNNNNNNNNNNNNNNNNNNNNNNNNNNNNNNNNNNNNNNNNNNNNNNNNNNNNNNNNNNNNNNNNNNNNNNNNNNNNNNNNNNNNNNNNNNNNNNNNNNNNNNNNNNNNNNNNNNNNNNNNNNNNNNNNNNNNNNNNNNNNNCACGUAACAGAGGUUGAUGAGGAAGCCAUCCCGUAUUUUGCCACAGAGAAUACAACUGAUGGGAGAGGAAGGAAGGUAGAUUGUUCAAUUUAUGAGAGAAGAAGGAAAUGGCGGCUGAUAGGAGAACUAGGGUUUAGAGCCAGGCUCUGAUACCAUGAAGAAAAAUGUGAAUUGGUUCCUCUUUUUCUUACUUUCCAGAACAGUAUGUACAGGGAAUAUAUACAGCAAAAUAGGAGAGAAAAUAGGAGACUACAUCUAUCCUUUCCUAAAUAAUAGGAAACAAAAUCUGGAAAGAAUCCUAAUGAAUCUUCCUAUUAUAAUUUAACUUAUUCCGAAAAUAGCCUAGAUUACAAAUAAAUCAUAACUUUGAAUCUUUAUUUUCAACAGUAACUAUUCUUUUCUUUUUAUUUUUCCUUUUCUGAAAGAAACUUAGUUUUGUAUUGUUUGGCAAGCUAGAAAAUGAAAGAAAAUAAAAGAAAGCGCUGUAAAGAAGUUUGUAGAACCUUUAUUACUCUAGCAUUACAACUGAAUGAAUACAGACUGAUAUUUCUAUUAAGCUACAAUUUUCUCAACACACACACAAGUUUGUUACAUCACAUAACCAUUUGCUGCAUAACUAAUUUGACACAUCAGCUCAACCAGCUAACUAACUUUGCCAGGUCAAGCCUAGUGAGUUGAUCUGCUAAAGUCAGCUACACAGCAACAUCAUGCUCUGCUCCAACUUCAUUCAAUUCACUAACAUCCCCCCUCAAGCUGAAAUGUUUAGGAUGAACAUUCAGCUUGCUUCUUAAGUAACUAAACUGUUUGAGAGUAAGCCUUAGUCAACACAUCUGCUGUUUGAUCUUGACUGGGCACAAAACAUACUUCAAUCUCUUUUGCAGUAACUUUAUCUCGAAUAAAAUGUAUAUCCAAUUCGACAUGCUUAGUUUUAGCAUGAUAGACUGGAUUGUAAGCUAAAGCAAUUGCUUCUUGAUUAUCACACCACAUCAUAGGAGUAGAGCUCAAUUUGAUGUUAAGUUCACCAAGUAAAGAUUGUAUCCAGGGAACCUCUGAAGCAGCAUGAGCAAGAGAUCUAUACUCAGCCUCUGUGCUGGACCUGGAAACAACAACUUGUUUCUUUGAUGACCAUGAGACUAGAUUAGGGCCUAGGUAAACAGCAAAGCCAGCCACUGACUUCUUAUCAUCACGAUCACAAGCCCAAUCAGAAUUUGAAAAACAAUGUAGUUGCAAAGUUCCUUUGUUAUUAAAUUGCAGCCCAAGAUGUAUAGUGCCUUUUAAGUACCUCAAUAACCUUUUGCAUGUUUCCCAAUGUUGUGUUCUAGGACUUGAAAUGAAUUGACUUAGGUUGUUUACAGAGAGAGCAAUGUCAGGUCUGGUAAGAGUAACAUAUUGAAGAGCUCCUAUAACACUCCUAUAUUGAGAAACAUUAUCAAUUAGCUCUCCUGAUUCUUUUGUGAGAUAAUAACCAGUAGACAUUGGAGUAGGCACAGGACUGCAAUCUGUCAUGCCAUGUUUAUCCAGAAUGUCAGUAAUAUACUUUGCUUGUGUCAAGGAAACCCCUUGUGAAGACUUGCUGACUUCAAUCCCCAGAAAAUAGCUAAGUUCCCCCAUGUCUUUUAAAGCAAAGGCUUGAUUCAUAAUCUUAAUAACUUGCUGAAUUAGUGUUGGACUGGAACUAGUGAUGAUAAUAUCAUCAACAUAGACCGAAACAAGAGUUAGAUGACCACUGUUCCAGGCAUGAAACAGAGAGUUAUCAGACCUUGAAUGCUAGAAAUGCCGUUUAGAGAUCAUUGCAUCCUUGAAUCUAUCAAACCAGGCUCUAGGUGCCUGUUUUAAGCCAUACAAAGCUUUAUUCAGCUUGCAGAUAUGAUUAGGUUUAGUUGAGUCAACAAAACCUUCAGGUUGAGCCAUGUACACCUCUUCAAUUAAAAUGCCAUUUAGAAAGGCAUUAUUAACAUCUACUUGCCUAAUCACCCAUUGAUUCAAUACUGCUAAGCUAAGAAUAACUCUAACAGUUGAAGCUUUAACUACUGGACUAAAAGUUUCUGUAUGGUCAAUCCCAUGUGUCUGAUGAAACCCCUUUGCAACAAGCCUGACUUUAUAUCUUGAAACUGAACCAUCUGAGUUAUACUUUAUUCGAAACACCCAUUUGCUGCCAACUAUCUUCACUGGAGUAGCAUGUAAAACUAAAUCCCAGGUGUGAUUAGUUUUAAGUGCUAGAUACUUUUCUUGCAUAGCCUUAUACCACAUAGGAUCAGAAAGUGCUUGGGAAACAGAAGUUGGUUCUGAUUUCUGGGCUAAUAAAGCUGACAAAUAAAUUUUUGGCUUGAAAAUACCUGCUUUUGACCUGGUUAUCAUUGGAUGACCAGUUGAUGCAGGUUGUGGCAAUGUAUGUGGAGGUGAAUUAUGUGGUAGUGAAGAAGAAGAAGCUGAGUUGGAAUUAUCAGAAAAAUAAAGUGGAGUAGAAUUUGGUGAGGGAGUAGGAGCAUCUGAAUGAUGAACAUUUUGAUGGUGUUCUGAUGAUGCUGCUAAAGGUGCUUGUAACUGAGUAAUAGAAGGAACAGAGGAAUUGAAAGAAGACUUAUAAUUUUUUGUUGACUAACAACUUGAAGAGAGUGAAGAAAAAUCUGCUCCAGACUCAUAAGGAAAAGAAUUUUCAUCAAAGGUGACAUGAUUUGAAAUGUAAACCCUCUUAGAAGAGUGAAGACACUGAUAUCCCUUGUGUUGUGAAUUGUAGCCAAUGAAUAUACAUCUGGCAGUUCUGAAAUCAAACUUAUGUCUAUUGUAUGGUCUGAGUGUUGGAUAACAAGCACAACCGAAGGUUUUAAGUGUUGAAUAAUCUGGUUGAUGAUGAAAUAACUUUUGGAAAGGAGAAAUGUUGUUUAGAAUUGGAGUUGGAAGUCUGUUUAUCAAAUAGACAGCUGUGUGGAAUGCAUUCCACCAAAAUUUGAGUGGUAAAUGUGCUUGAGCUAAUAAGGUCAGACCUACAUCAACUAUGUGUCUAUGUUUCCUCUCAAUUCUUCCAUUUUGAUGAUGAAUAUGUGGGCAAGGGUGUCUAAAAUGGAUACCAGAAGCAGUGAGUAAUGAGGAAAAUGUUCUGAACUCUUCUCCCCAAUCAGUUUGGACAGUUUUGAUUUGAAGUUGAAGAUGCUUUUCAAUAAAAAUUUUGAAAUUGGUAAACACUUCAAGAGCAUCAGAUUUGGCUGACAAUGGAAAUAUCCAGGUAAAUCUACUAUAAUCAUCUAAGAUUGAUAAGUAGUAAUUAUAUCCUUGGGUAGAACAGACAUGAGAAGGACCCUGAUGGCUGUCGAAGCCAACAAAAAUAAAUUCCUACUCUAAAUAAAUUGUGUAUAGUGAUUGAGCAGGGUCGUGUCCACAGAGAUCGAUAAUUAUUUAAAUCCUUUUGAAACGUAAAACGUAAAAUGGGGGAAUUGUUGACAAUAAUAAAAAUCAAAUUAAAAAUAACAAGAAUGCAAAUUAAAGUUGUAAUUUAAAUUGGAGAAAGCUCUGGUUGAAGGAAUUAACUCAGCUUGAUUCGACUACUGAUCAUUGAUUCAAAUAUAGAUUAUUAUUACUCAUGAAUAGACCGGUUAUAGCUACUGAGACCCUCUAAUAGCCAAUCUCUCCUUAACUAGUCGAUAACCAAGGUACGACCGUUGGUUAUUUCCCUAAUCAAUAGACAACCCUAGAUACGAUCAUAGAAUUUAAUCAAUUGACAGCCUGAAAAACCAGAGAGACCCAAAUCCUAAUCAACACAUAUGAUGAUUCAUUUAAAUUAGAUUGUUUAUUCUCACAACACAACUCUCUGCUAUGUUAUUAGUCACAAGCAUUAAAUUCUUCAUACGAUGAAUCCUUUAAUUGACAAUAGAUUAAGUUGAUAAUUAAAUAGUGGCCAAUUACCUAAUUAACAAACAUAAUCAUGAAAAUAAUUCAGAGAAUAAACAAAUACCCAAAAAGUAAUAAAACAAUUAAAGCACAAGAAAGAUCUCACAGUAGUGAUGAAUCAAAGCUUCAUUAACCUUCAACCAGAAAAAUGGGUUUAGUUUCUCAUAGAGAGAAGAGAAAAAUUAGAUCUAGGGUUUCUUUUUCUCCAAUCCAAAAUUCCCCCCUUUCACAAUAGAUUCCUCCCUUAAAUACUCUCUCUCUCUUCUCCUCUAGAAUUCUAUUUAAAAUAAAAUACUAAUAUCUGAAAUAUUAAAUUCGUAAUUACAAAAAUAACCAAAAAUACAAAACACGUUAAACUAAAAACUGCAGGUCCGCAGUUGACAGCACGCGCCCACGCCUUAUCAAUAAAGUUCUUCUGCCGCUCAUAAUUUCUCCAAGAGAACAAUCAUCCUUAAAAAUCAUCUUGUAGCUCAAUUUUAUCACCAAUCAAUAGAAUUGCACCUACAAAAGUAAAACACAAGUAAAUCAUUAUUAUUAAGUGCAAAACAUCGAUAUUAAGGGAAGUAAACAAUGCAAAACUAGUGCAUAAAUUGCACUCUAACAAAUUCCCCCACACCAAGAUGAUGCUUGUCCUCAAGCAUAUAACUCAAGAUUAAUCCCAAAUCUCCACUCAAUUCUCAUCUCAACUCAUCCAAAAAUAGAAAUUAAGUCGAUCAACAUUCGAGAGACAAGGAUUUUAAAGCAUAGAAUCUCAUAAGAUAGAAUAAGAACAUUCAACCACCAAGAAGAUCCAUUCAAAAUUCAAGUGCAACAAGAUGUAAUAGCCCUCUCAAUAACUUCACUCCAUGCACUCAAAGUGUUUAGGGUGUCAUUUAUCCACUCAAAUCAAAUCAAAGAAUGCUAUUACCAUAAGCUUGCUCAUAUAUCACAUCUCAAUCCACAAAACAUGAAUAAAAUGCAAAAAUCUAAGGGUCUUAAAAGGAUUGUAAUGGGGUUAAAUGGGUUAAAUGAAAAAGAAAGGUUUACGAAAGAAAAAGAGAUCAAAAUGAGAAGAAUGAACUCAUUGAAUGAACUUAUGAUAUCAAAAUGCUUAUUUCUACUCAAGUCACCAAGAAUGUAAACAUUUUUUUUUUCGAUUUUUCUUUUUCUUUUUUUUUCUUUUUCCUUUUCUUUUUCUUUUUUUUUUUCAUUUUUUCAUUUUUUUUUGUUUUUUGUUUUUUGUUUUUUUCGAAUCAAACAAAAGAAACGAACCUUGCACAAUUUAAUUCAAGCAUAAUGCUUGUUGAUCUAAUUGAGAAACUUCAAUACAAGGUAGAAAAAGCAACAAAAUAUAUCCACACAAUGAGUCCAAAAAUCUCCUUAAAUUGAGGCUCAAAAAGAAGAAAAAUGGUUAAGUAGACGGAGAGAAUUAGAUGGGUAAUGGUUAAGGCUCAAACAAAGGUAGCAAAUAAAGGUCUUCGGGUAGAGAAAAAGGAAAAUGCGAGAAUAGAAAAAUGGUAAAUGGUUUGCCCUUAUCAUUUUAAUGCCUAAAAUCCCGUAAUGUGGCUUCAAUAUGCAUAACAAAGCAAAUUCUAGAAUAAACAAACUAGGAUUGAUAUUCACAUAACAAAAAUAAUUAGAGCAAAGUGGUUGCUCAUAGGCUCAAAUCCUCACAAAGUUGGUAAAUUUGCCAUCAAAUCAUGUACACUCUUCAAAUGAAUCAACCAUCAAUAGUGGUGUAGAAUGAGAAGAAGGUAUGAGUGAUAUAUAAAAGAAAAGGUAAAAAUUAUAAGAAGUGAGAAAGAUGUAUGUAGUAAUAUGAAAAGUGAAAGAUAAAAUGUGAGUGAUGAAAGAGUAUGGUAAAAUAAAAAUAGAUAUGAAUAGUUUGAGAUAGAUGGGAAAAAAGUAGUGAGAAAGAAAAGAAAAGAAAAUUAAUAAUAUAUGAAGCAUACUAACUCCAAAAUCAUUUAAGGAUGAGUAGAGUGAAAAUAGAUGAGUAGAGUGAAAAUAAUAAUUCCAGACAUCAAUAAUGCAAAAAUCCCUCCCCCACACCAAGAACUUACAUUGUCCCCAAUGUAAGAUAAUCAAAGCUCACAUAAAAAUUAAAGCGUAAGGAUAAAAGAUUAAGGGCAAAAAAAAAAACUUCCCUGAAUUGUGAGCUUUGAUCCACAUAACGUCUAUGGGCUUGGCGGAAAUGGUGGGGUAAAUCCCACACUCUCGAAGUAUGCGGCCAAAUUCUGCUCCAUCUUGUUCAGCUUGUGCUCCAUUUUCUCUAACUGAAUACUCAAAGGUGGUGCGGAUGUAGAAGGAAUAGUUGGCGGGGCAGCAGUGUCGUCGUCAAACUCGUCAUCAGAGGUAGCACCACUCCUAGCAUAAAGCUUCUUCGGAAGUUGAGUGGGUCCUGGUUCAGUAAACUGAAAUCUCCCCUCCUUGAAUUCAACCACACCUGUUCUUUCAAACACAGACAUAUCCAAAAAUUCCUUUUUGCAAGCAGGAUGCAAAUCAUUAUUGUCGGGAUCAAGAACACAUAGGUUUAUAGCUAACAGAGUAAUGUAUGGACCAAGAAAUAAAGUCCUAUACCGUUUAAGCACAUUUUGAAAUUGAUCCGCUAACCAAAAACCUAAAUUAGGCCUCACAUCAUUUAACAUGCACCAGAUAAAAUAAAAUUCAGUUUUAGAGAAAAUUCCCGAGUGAUCUUUCUUGCCUAAAAAAUUAUAUGCUAAGAAUCGAUGCACACAUUUCAAAACAGGAUCACGUAAGAAAGAACUCUUUGAUUUACUCGGGUCAUAGGCAUUGUGAUCAACAGAUAAAUUACGCCAAAGACCAUAAGGCUCAAAAUUUUCGCUAAAGUCACAAGUUGUUCCUAAAUAUGCAUCACUAGAAGAAUAAUCAUCAUCAAUGAAUCCUAAAGCUAGGUUAAAAUCCGUGAUAGAGUGUGAAAAAUUUCGUCUCAUUAACCUAAACUUAAUGACAUUCGGGGUAUGCAAAGUAAAAUCAUUCGGCAUAGUAAAUUGAAAAGUAGCAUAAAACUCCCUAAUCAACUCAACAUAACCCAAACAAUCAACAUCAACAAAUUUACGCAACCCAAUCUUAUCUAUCAAAGAAUCAAAAUUAUCCUUAACAUUCAAUUUUUCAAGAGUCGGGUAAUGAAUAUACUUAGCUGGAAGUAUUUUGCAAGUGGAAAUAUCUUUGUACCUCUCUUUCUCUUGUUGAGUCGCGAACGCGAGGCACCCUCCGAGAUUGGAUUCCGCAAGUGGCAAAACACUCAUGCCUUUUCCAUGCUUCGAUCUUUGUCUCACGGCUUUGCGUGAAUCUGAAAUUGUGUUCCAUGGAACCGUAGUGGGAGCGGCAAUCUUAGAUUUCUUUACGACGGGUUUCUUUUUCGAUGACUUGGAAGUAGAUGCUUUCCUCUUCGGCAUUGUUACAAUAAUUGCACUCACGGAUUUCGAUUUACCCGGCUGGAAUACAUGACGUAGGCUGGUUGCGUUGCGUUGCUGCUCGACUGGAGCUUGCUGUGCGGGUUGGAGCUGGUUGCGCACUGCUGGGCUGCGAGACACGGGAUGCUGGUGCUGCGCUCGCGGGGGCUUGCGUUGCGAGCUGGUGAUUCGCGUUGCUGGUUCGUGCUGCGUUGCGGGGCUGCUGGUGGGACUGAUGUUGCGCGUUGCGGCUGGGGCUGGAUCUACGCACUGCUGUGUGAUUCGCGAGAGCCGGUUCGUCUGCGUUGCUGUGCUGCACUGAGGUUGAUUCGCGUUGCUGCUGGUUGCGGUGCGCGAUGCUGCGCCCGGCGGCUGGGGCUGGUGGGGCUUGCUGCUGGAAAACGAUAAUCAACAGUAAUUUUUUUGAAUUAGGGAUUUGUGAACAGUGAUUUUCGAAUUUUUUUUUUUUUUUUUUUUAGUGAUGAAUCACUUUGAGACACUAAAAAUUUCAGAAGUACUUUUUUAAUAAGCACGUGGGCACGCCUUAUCAAAAAUUUUCUUCUGGCCAAAAUAAGCAAACACAUUAUUUUAAAAAAAAAUCUGAAUCAAAAUUAAAAGAAGAUAUAACAAAAACCAAAAUAAAUAAAUCAUUUGGGUUGCCUCCCAAAAAGCGCCUUUGUUUUAUGUCUUUGGCUAGACACGUUUAUGCAUCAAUCUCCAUAAUUGGGACUCUCGAGAGCCACAUCCUCCACAAUAUUCACCGAAAAACCUUCAUAAAAAGGUUUUAAGCGAUGACCAUUAACCUUAAAAACUUUGUCAGAGGUCGGACUCCGAAUCUCAACUGCACCAUGAGGAAAAACAUUAGUAACAAUAAAAGGUCCAACCCAGCAAGAACGUAAUUUACCCGGAAAAAGUUUAAGCUUAGAAUGAAAAAGAAGAACUUUUUGACCAACAGAGAACUCCUUUCUCAAAAUCAUUCUAUCAUGAAAUGUCUUCGUCUUUUCCUUGUAAAAAAUUUCCUGCGCUAUAGGGUUAAUAACAUCCACAGAAAAUACCGAAUGUUCCUCACUAGGAUAUUUCAUGGUAUCAUUCAUAUUGAAUCCUAUAACCUCUCCAUCAAACUCCAUAGUGAGAGUCCCUUUAUGUACAUCCAUUUUAGUCAUAGCAGUCUUAAGAAAAGGUCUUCCUAGCAAAAUUGGGACAGAAUUAGAGGAGUUAUCAUCUUCCAUAUCAAGUACAUAAAAAUCAGCAGGAAAAACCAACUCAUUAACUUGUACUAAGACAUCUUCUAAUACCCCAUCAGGAUAUGCAUUAGACCUAUCAGCUAGUUGAAUUAUCACGCCAGUUUCUUUUAAUGGACCAACAUUCAAAGAUGAAUAAAUGGAACGAGGCAUGACAUUAAUAGAAGCUCCUAGAUCUAACAUAGCCUUUUCAACUCUAACACUACCAAUUUUACAAGGGAUAGUAAACAUACCUGGAUCCUUGCACUUAGGAGGUAGUUUCUUUUGGAAAAUUGCUGAAACAUUCUCCCCCAUGUGAACUUUUUCAUCUCCUCUUAAUUUUCUUUUGGAGGUGCACAGUUCCUUAAGGACUUUAGCAUAUCGAGGUAUUUGUUUUAUAGCAUCUAAUAAAGGAAUAUUUACCUCAACCUUGCGAAAUGUCUCAAGGAUGUCUUUCUCUUGUUCUUCCUUCUUGGAUUUUGCAAACCGGCUUGGAAAAGGAGGAGGUAUCACAAUAGGUAGGGGUUUCGCUCCGGUGGGUUGUGCAUCUUGAGAUUGAGGCAUCAAUUCAUUCUUCUCAAGCUCAUCUUCUACAUGCUCUGUCACUUUCUUACUAGGCUCUUGCAACUCCUUCCCACUUCUAAGGAUGAUAGCACUAACGUUUUGCUUUGGAUUCACCUCAGAUUAUGAAGGCAAUCUUCCUAAUACUCGAGACUCCAGAUGGCUUACUGUAGUCGCCAAUUGACUCAUUUGGUUCUCCAAGUUCUGAAUGCUUGCUGUAGUUGCCUGCUGAAAUUGUUGAGUGUUAGUCGCAAGUGAUUUAACAAUUUCUUCAAGAGAUAUACCUGACUUGGAGUUUGACUGUGGAGGUGCUGGUUGUCUUGGUGGAUACUGUUGUGGGAAUCCUGACGGUUUAACUCCAUAGCUGAAGUUGGGAUGAUCCUUCCAUCCCAGAUUGUAUGUUUGUGCAUAAGGAUCAUACCUCCUCUGAGGCAUGCCUGGAAAUCCUCCAACUGCAUUGGCUUGUUCAACGAGUUCUUCUUGGAGUGUAGGACACAUAUAAGUUGAAUGACCCAUAUUGUAACAAAUGCCACAAGUCUUCACCUGUUGCACAUUACCUACAACAAACUUUUCCACAAGAGAAGUAAGUUUAUCUAAACGUUGUUCAACAAAAGAAAUAUUUACCUCAUUCACCUUCCUUGAAGUGGGAUCUUGCCUGCUACUAAAUUGUUGUGCAUUGGCAGCCAUAUUUGAGAUCAACUCCCUUGCUUGAGUAGGGGUUUUGUUCACCAACACACCUCCACUAGCAGCAUCUAUCAUACUUCUAUCCAUUAAUGAUAGUCCUUCGUAAAAAUAUUAAAUAAGAAGUUGAUCAGAAAUCUGAUGCUAAGGACAGCUGGCACACAAUUGUUUGAAUCGCUCCCAAUACUCAUACAAAGUCUCCCCAGGAAGUUGUCUGAUCCCACAAAUAUCUUUUCUGAUGUUGGCAGCUCUUGAAGUAGGAAAGUACUUCUCAAGGAACUGCUUUUUCAAACCAUUCCACGUUGUAAUUGAUCCAGGAGGCAAGUAGUACAACCAAUCUUUAGCUAGCCCAUCUACAGAGAAUGGAAAAGCACGCAACUUAAUCUGCUCUUCAGUCACGCCUUGUGGCCUCAUACUUGAGCACACAACAUGAAACUCCUUGAGAUGUUUAUGAGGAUCUUCACCUGCAAAACCAUGAAACUUGGGUAAUAAAUGAAUAAGCCCAGACUUUAAUUCAAAAUUUACCUCCAAGUCUACAUAUUGAAUGCAGAGUGGUUGUUGAUUCAAGUCUGGUUCAGCUAACUCUCUAAGAGUUCUUUCUACAGGUGCAGGUCUAUCCAUCACUUGUUCUUCUGAAUCGCUAGAUGAUUCAACUAAAUCAGGCACUGUAUCUGUUUCAGAAAGCAAAGGCGACGAGGAUCGUUGCUUAGCUCGCUUUGUCUGCUGUCUCAGUUGGCGAGCUGUCUUCUCAAUUUUAGGAUCAAACGAAAGUGUACCUGUACGAGAAGAACGAACCAUACACCAAGUAAAACGUAAAAAAGAUUAAAUAAAUGACACCAAUCCCCGGCAAUGGCGCCAAAAUUUGAUGGGUGUCGAAGCCAACAAAAAUAAAUUCCUACUCUAAAUAAAUUGUGUAUAGUGAUUGAGCAGGGUCGUGUCCACAGAGAUCAGUAAUUAUUUAAAUCCUUUUGAAACGUAAAACGUAAAAUGGGGGAAUAGUUGACAAUAAUAAAAAUCAAAUUAAAAAUAACAAGAAUGCAAAUUAAAGUUGUAAUUUAAAUUGGAGAAAGCUCUGGUUGAAGGAAUUAACUCAGCUUGAUUCGACUACUGAUCAUUGAUUCAAAUAUAGAUUAUUAUUACUCAUGAAUAGACCGGUUAUAGCUACUGAGACCCUCUAAUAGCCAAUCUCUCCUUAACUAGUCGAUAACCAAGGUACGACCGUUAGUUAUUUCCCUAAUCAAUAGACAACCCUAGAUACGAUCAUAGAAUUUAAUCAAUUGACAGCCUGAAAAACCAGAGAGACCCAAAUCCUAAUCAACACAUAUGAUGAUUCAUUUAAAUUAGAUUGUUUAUUCUCACAACACAACUCUCUGCUAUGUUAUUAGUCACAAGCAUUAAAUUCUUCAUACGAUGAAUCCUUUAAUUGACAAUAGAUUAAGUUGAUAAUUAAAUAGUGGCCAAUUACCUAAUUAACAAACAUAAUCAUGAAAAUAAUUCAGAGAAUAAACAAAUACCCAAAAAGUAAUAAAACAAUUAAAGCACAAGAAAGAUCUCACAGUAGUGAUGAAUCAAAGCUUCAUUAACCUUCAACCAGAAAAAUGGGUUUAGUUCCUAAUAGAGAGAAGAGAAAAAUUAGAUCUAGGGUUUCUUUUUCUCCAAUCCAAAAUUCCCCCCUUUCACAAUAGAUUCCUCCCUUAAAUACUCUCUCUCUUCUCCUCUAGAAUUCUAUUUAAAAUAAAAUACUAAUAUCUGAAAUAUUAAAUUCGUAAUUACAAAAAUAACCAAAAAUACAAAACACGUUAAACUAAAAACUGCAGGUCCGCAGUUGACAGCACACACCCACGCCUUAUCAAUAAAGUUCUUCUGCCACUCAUAAUUUCUCCAAGAGAACAAUCAUCCUUAAAAAUCAUCUUGUAGCUCAAUUUUAUCACCAAUCAAUAGAAUUGCACUUACAAAAGUAAAUCAUUAUUAUUAAGUGCAAAACAUCGAUAUUAAGGGAAGUAAACAAUGCAAAACUAGUGCAUAAAUUGCACUCUAACAGACCCCAAAGAUCUGCAUAUAUCACUUGUAAGGGUGCUGAAGUUUUUGUUUCAACUGAAUCAAAAUGCAGCAUAUGAUUUUUCCCAUAUUGACAUGCUGAACAAAAUUUCAAGCUUUCAAUUUUAUUAUAAGCAGUAGAGUUGUUACAAGUUUUGAGUAUAGUUUUGAGAGUAUAAGAUGCUGGGUGUCCUAAUCUUCUAUGAAGAAGAUUUACAUCAAUAGAACUCUUUGUAACAACUGACAGACAUGGCUUUUUAUUCAAUUCAUAAGAACUAACAGCAGUGAGCUGAUCAGAAUUGAAAACAGGAGAACAAGCAAAGAGAGUGAAUUUUAUUUUGACCAACUGAAUUGAGAAAGACUGAAUGAGCAGCAACAUGUGAAGAGACUCUAUACAAGUCACCUUUAGCAACACCUUCAAGUAAAAUUUUCCUUGUGUUCCUAGCCUUUAUAAAAAACAAAUCACCAAGAAAUUCCAACAGUAACUGGAUUGUCAGCCAAUAAUUUUGAAAUGCUAAGCAAAUUCUUAGUAAUAAAAGGGACAUGAAGAACAUGGUUUUUAAAGGUUUAGAAGUUGAAGUAUUUAGCACAACUGAUCCUACAUGUGUAAUAGCUAAUGCAUUUCCAUCUCCAACAAACAAUUUUUCAGUACUAGUAUAAAUUUGUGAAUCCAGAAGUUUACCUAGAUCAUUUGUAAUGUGAUUUGUUGCUCCACUAUCAAUAUACCAUGAAGGAUCUUCAAUGUGUUCUGGUGGAAGUGAAGAAGGCAUAGCUGAGGAAGAUGAAGCACUUGACUGUCCAGGAUUAUUAUUUCCUUGACCAGAAACAAAAGUAGAUGGUCUAGGGGUGAAUGAGUAAUAAGCAGAAGGAUUACUAUCUGGAUACACCAUAUUUCCUUGAUAGCCAAAACCAGCAUUUAAACCAAAACCUCCAAAACCUCUGCCACCAUUACCAUUAAAAGCUCUUCCUCUACCAUAUUGCCCUUGAUUAAAACCUCUGCCACCAUUCAUAUUACCUCUGCCAUAGUUUCUCUGUGGAACAAAAGAUGAAUUGUACCUAUUUUUGCAUCUAUUGGCUGCAUGACCAGGUAUGAAGCAGAUUUGACAAACAGUUUCAGAGGAAUUACCACCAUUAUUAAACUGACCAUAUCCAUAUCCAUUAAAACCUCCAUACCUAGAAUUAUUUCCAUAAUUUUUUUGAAAAUUGCCAUUAUUCUUUCCAGCAUAUGAGUUCUUCUGAGCAAUAUUUGCUGUCAUAUUGUGCAUCACAUCACCAGCAAUUUUUCCUUUCUUUUGUUCAACUCUAUUUUCAUGAUUCAAUAGCAAAGGAUAUAGUUCAUCUAAUGUUAUCUUCUCACCUCGAGCUAAAACACCUGUGACUAAAGAUUCAUAAUCUGAUGAAUCAAGACCAGUUAAUACAUGAAUCACAAGAUCACUUAACUCAACAGGUUUUCCAGCUAGAGCUAAAGUAUCAGCUAUACGUUUUACUUUUGCAAAGUAAUCAGACAUAUGCAUUGCACCUUUCUUAAUAGUUUGAAUCUGCAUUCUAAGUGUUUGAAUUCUAGCUUGUGAUUAAGAAAUAAACAUACUAGUAAGAGUCUUCCAAAGCUGUUUUGAAGUUGUGGAGUCAAUCACAGUAGCAAGUAGAUUUUGCUGUAUCGACGACAUCAUCUAACUCAACAGAAGUUGAUCAGUCUUCAUCCAAGCUAUGAACUCUGGAUUAAUAGAUUUGGAUUCAGAUUCAGUAAAAAUUUCAGCUCCAUUGUUGUUUCCAAAAGAAAGAAACUACUCAGGACAUUCUUGAUCACCAUUGAUAAACCCUUCCAGACCGUUUCCUUUGAUCGAUGCUAAAAUUUGUGCCCGCCAUAAAAUGAAGUUGUUUUGGUCUAGCUUUGCAGGCGUAACAAAACUAAAAGAGUUGUUAUUUUGAACUGUAUUCGCCAUUUAUGGCUCUAAUACCAUGAAAGAAACUUAGUUUUGCAUUGUUUGGCAAGCUAGAAAAUGAAGAAAAUAAAAGAAAGCUCUGUAAAGAAGUUUGUAGAACCUUUAUUACUUUAGCAUUACAACUGAAUGAAUACAGACUGAUAUUUAUAUUAAGCUACAAUUUGCUCAACACACACACGAGUUUGUUACAUCACAUAACCAUUUGCUGCAUAACUAAUUUGACACAUCAGCUCAACCAGCUAAUUAACUUUGCCAGGUCAGCUUAGUGAGUUGAUCUGCUAAAUUCAGCUACACAGCAACAUCAUGCUCUGCUCUAGCUUCAUUCAAUUCACUAGCAUUUUCCCUUGAUACAUUAGGAGAAAAGACUGCCUGUGAGAUACAACAAUGUAAAUAACUUCUCAUGGUUCAUUGAAUCUAUAACGCACUGAGCCCUAUUCUAAAAUAUGUAGGUUGCUUCUGAAAAAGGGCUUUUCUCACUGAUCUUUAAUCUUCAAGAAAGUUUGUUUCAUUUCAGAAGGUAUAAGUUUCAAACUUAUUGUAUUGGGAGGUUGUAUAGUUGUAACCUAAGCAUCUGCAGGUUCCUGGUUCAACACAUUAUAGUAUGGUAUUUUAUUUUGUCACAAGGCAAUUGGUUACGGGAUCACUUUUGCAACGGUUUGUUGAUGGCGAUGAUGAAUUUCGCAAUAGUAGGUUGAAACUUAUUCCAUCUGUUCCUAAGGUAUCCAUCUUGGCCUUCAUGUAGUAGGACUAUAUUAACGUAUACUUACCCUUUACUGCAUGGUACACUUCAAUUUGUACAAAGAAGGCAUGCAUUUAGGUGUGAAUGUAUUGAUGGGUUGUACCUUCAAACUUUAUCUCCUUUUUACCCUCUUGAAUUUGUUUUGCACUUGUUCUUGAUUUUCAGCACUGAAUCAUGCAGGGGUCAUGGAUAGUGCGCCAGAGUGUUGGAAGCACCCCUUGUUUAUUGGGGAAGGCAGUUGAUUGUAACUAUAUUCGCGGUCCCAAGUACUUAGAAGUAAAUGCUCUUGGAAUUUCUAUAGUACAUGAGAUGUUCCCCUUUCAAAUAGCGUCCAAUACCUUUAACAUGGUUUAACAUUGUUCAUCUUUCUGUAGAUUGAUGUUGACAUCGAUUCUUCUACUGUUGCUAAUGGAGUUUUGGGCCUUGUAAUUGGUGUAAUUACGACAUUGGUGGUUGAGAUGGCUUUCCUUGUACAGGUAUGUAUGAUUGUUUUUUUCCCCCACUGCUAAAUGGACACAAGGGAAAAGACAUGAUUUUGAGAUAUUGCACUGCAACUUGCAUUUUUGCAUACUUGAAUGUUCUCAGAAUGAUAUAAUGCUUCUGUGUGUGUCUUCUUUAUCUUGCUCUUCUGUAUGCAGGCAAAUACUACAGAUGAAUUACCGGAGCGGCUGAUUGGUGCUGUACGUGUUUCUCAUAGAGAACUCAAGUCUGCUGUUGUCCCAAAGCUGGAACCAGAGAUAUCAUGACUCUGGUUUCAUUUCAGCUCAACUGUGUUUUUUUUUUAAUUAAAAAAAUCAUUUGUUUUAGGUAUACAUACAUGUAUUUUGAUUCUAUUUUCAUUGUAAUUUCUCAUUUACUUUGAAUGAAAGUCAUUGGUGUUUUCGAAUGGGAAUUUUGCAUUAAAAAAUGAAGAAUAAUGAAUAGGAAAUUUCCUGAUUCUUUAGUUACUAUUUUUGGUAUGAGUGUAAUUAGUAGUAAAGUAGGUUUCUACUCGCAAACAAGUGAACUACUCGAUUCCCGAGUGGUAUCAACCAGUUUCCAACUUUUUAAUAUACACUAAUUGUUAUUGUUUAAUAGCUACUACUAUUAAAACUCAACAGCUAGCAAAAAUACUUAAAAAAAAUGAUUUUUCUUAUGAUGCUGUGAAAAAAAUUACGGGUGUACUUCUUUCCAUGAGAUCUAUAACAUGGUCUCGACUUCACGAAAUUCUUUUAAUUUAAAGCGUGCUGGUGUGAGGUCAGUUUAACUGAUUAAUUCUUUUUAACAGUGGUCGAGAUAAUUUUACUAUACUAAAAAAUAUUCUUAUUCUGAUAAUGCCACAAAUGUUAUGCUGUUUUCUUCAGAUAAUGAUCUUCCAUUAGGAGAGGUUAGAAAUCAAAUGCUUAAAAGACCAAUUGAACGAAUAAUACAGAAAUUUAGGCAGAAUCUAAUAGAAUAUUGCAUGAAACAUGAAACAUCAAUUCAAGUCCUUUCUUAAACGGAGAAUGCAUCAAACAAAAUCCAAAGUGUCUUGCAAGUCUGUAGCGUGAGCAAAAAAUUGUAAAUAUGUAGAACCAAAUUAUUCAAGUACAGAAGAACGAGCAAGCUAAAUCAUGUAUAAGAGAUUGGCCUGGUUCGGGAUAGCUUCUUCACUGUAUCUGAAGGGUUGGCUCAAUCUCUUCUUUAGAAUUCUGCAGAUUUUGUAAUUACUCGUGUAAGCAAGUAUACAUUGCCACCAUAAGAAUAAUGAAGCUAGAGUAAUGAUAUGACCACCACCUCUUGUGCACAAACAAUAUUGUAUAAACUAAUGCGACAUAAUAUGAUUGGUUAAACAAAAACAUUACAUGGCCCUCAUAAUUUAUUUAUUUAUUUAUUAUUAUUAUUAUAUAUUUUCAGUCAACCAAUCAUAUUAUAUCACAUUAGUUUCUAUAAAAUAAUUUGCUAAAUAGCACCAAAACUUAAUUGAUACUCACCAUUUCAUUGAACAAUUUUUUUAUGGUGUCAUUGAGGUUGCCUUCCCAACAUCGUUCAUCAUCAUCUUUUUCUUCUUUGGUGACGUUCACUUUGUUUAGCAUUGGUGUGUCUAAGAGUCCUUGAGAGAAGAUCUUCAUUUUUGGACACUGUCUCACAACUACUUGUUUCAAGGACGGGAAUUCAAGAGCGUAAUUACCUAAACAAAAGCUUGUUAGGCUUGGCAAACAAUCAAGUCUCAAGUACUCCAAUUCCUUGAAAACAUUGCAAUCUUUCGCUUCUUCUCCAACCUGCAAUUGUAUGAUUUGUUCUAUCAUUUUGCAAUCAACUAUCAUCAUUCUUUUGAGAUUCACUAGAUUUUUAGAUGCUGAGAGCGUCAACACAUUUAUCAAUCCGUGACACUUCGAUACUGCCAAAGCCUCAAGAUUUUCCAAAUGCCACGAAGGUGGUACUAAUUUUUGCAACUUACUACAUUCCGAUAUUUUUAGACUUUUCAAGUUUGCAAACACUUUGUUGGAUUCGGCAUUUUCCUUCCAGAGAUGGUGCACUUUGUGUAAUCCAGACAGCUCUAACCAUCUCAAUCGAGGGAAUGAAACCUGAAAAUCAACAAAAUUAAGUUGUAAAUGAAAAUAUGUAUCCAAUCUCUGCAGUCUUCCCCUGCAUAUUUUAUGGACAAGAUUAAUCACGACAUUUUAUAUUUUUUUUCCAAAUUAGAAUGCUUUGCAGUAGGAUCCCAAAUAUAAGUAUCAAAUCGAUUACCCUUUGAAACACAUAAAUGAAAUCUGAUACUAAAUCCAAUAUGAAUUAGCUAGGAAAACAGAGAUGUUACACACAUAAUUAAUAGAGUUCAUCACCUCGUGUUACCAGGCAUCCAAUUAAUUUAAGACAUUUUAAUAAUUCAUAUUAUAAAGUUAGUUGAUAGCGGAGGUUAUAUUGUUAAAUCAUAUAUAAAUUAAGACGACGUGCAAAAAGAGGAGUCAUUAAAUUCGAUUUGAUUCUAACGAAAUUACAUCUAUGCGAAUGAAAGUGAAGGGAAAUAAUAAUAAUAAUAAUAAUAAUCACCUUUUCAUCGAAGAGAGGUUGUACUUGAUGAGCCAGCAAGAAGUUCUCUUCUGAUGUUAAUUUUUGAGGUUCCUUAUUAUCCGCUGUCAUGUGCAGUACAGAGUUGGAUAUGAAUGUUUCUAUAUCUCGGCAAUUCUCAAUAGUUAGAUUUCUCAACAUAGGCAUUUCAAUUAUAUUCCCAGUGAAGUUGCAGAAUCUUUUGAGUUUUGGAAGAUCAGUGAGCCUCAGCCUGUAAAGCUUAGGAAACAGGGGGCUUAUAUGUUCUUUGUCAGCAUUUAGCUCCUCCAAAUGAAGCACCUCUUCUAUUGAAUCACAAUUCCUCUCUUCCAGCCAUACCAAAUUGUUCAAGCACCGUAGCAGAUUGGCAGGAAUAGCACUCGACAUAUUCGUGCAGUCAUCCACAGCCAGUUGUCGUAAAUUGUUGAAGAAGCUGACAGGCAGUGCUUGGCCAUGCCAUAUUUCUUUCAAACGUGGAAAAUGUGAGAGUUGCAAAUCCCAUAUGUCACGGAAUCCAAUCUGCACAAACAAAAACAAUUGCACUGGAUAUAUAUAAAUUUUUUUUUUGAAUCAACUUACAUGUUUUGUGUUUUAACUUCUAAAACUAUAUAUACAAGGCAGGUGUAUAUGUUCAAAUGUCCAAGUGCAAGGGAGAUGCAUAAGUAAUUUCGACGAAUCGAUUUAACACAUACCAUUUCUUCGUAACACUUUUGUAUAGUGGAAUUAAGGUUGCCUUCCCAAUGGCGCAAUUCACCCUCUCCCUGUUAAGAAUAGAAUUAGUUAGUUAAUGAGUAUGCUGACAUGGCAGCUGAGUCAGCUAAAGGUUGUUAUAGAGGUUGUUAGUAGUAAACUGUGCGUGUGUGCAAUGUGUGUAGAAUCUUCUAUGCACAUAUAAAAAGGCUUGUAAUUUCCAGAUUCAUUAGAUCAAUAAUAACAGAAUUCUCAGCUUACAGAAGUUUUCUUUCUUCCUAUUUUCUUAGUAACCAAACAACAUCACAGUUUCAUAUAAAACUUAAUACUUCCUUUUUACUCACAUGCACUUCGUGCAGCUUUGGUGUGGAUACGAUUCCCUGAGAAAAAGUCUUCAUGUUCGGGUAACAUGUCAUAGAAACUCGUUCCAAUGAUGGGAAUUCAAGAGUGUAAUCCUCCAAACAAAAGCUGGUAAGCCUUGGUAAAUGAUUUCAGGUAAUUUUUAAAUAUUCUAAAUUCAUUUAGAAUAUUUAAAUGAAUUUAGAAUAUUCACUAUUUAGUAUUAGGAAUGGAGAAAGAAUUUCAGGUAAUUUUUAAAUAUUCUAAAUUCAUUUUUCAUCUUGAUUCUAGUUUUUUAAAAAAAUUUAAUUUUCAAACAUGCGUAUUUUUAAAAUAACUAAACUAAAACGCUGUAUUUCCCUUUUUUUCCCGAUAUUCAUGCUUUUAAAAAUGGAAAACAUUUCUGGAAAACACUUCCCAACGCCAUCAACAUGGGACUGUUAUAGAUGAAUUAAGGAAAAGAGAAAUAUAUAGAUGAAUUUGUGAACCUAUAAGAUGAGUGACUAUCCUUUAAUUUUUGAAAAUUGUACUUAUUAAGAUAUGAGCAGAAACAAUUAAAUUGAAUUAUAUUAUGCUGUUGAAUCGUGAUUAAAAAAAUUAUAUUGUUGAUUCUAAUGCUGGCGAACCUAAAAACUGGACUUAAAAUGUAGAUUUGAGAGUGGUGGUUCGAAGUACAAUACUUGAAAUAAAUAAUCAGUGGCUGAAUAUCAUUUGUAAACAAAAAAUGGUUAAAAUAUUGUUGGAUGUAAUUUGAAAAAAAAAAAAAGAUUCGAAAUGAAUACAGCAACCUUACCAAUGGAGGAAAAAUAUUCUUUAGGUUAUCACACUCAAAUAUCUCUAAAUUCUUCAAUUUGCUGAAAGACUCCGAAGCAAGUUGGUGGUGCCAUAUUAUUCUCAAAUUAUUCAUCCAGCUAAUAUGUAAUACCUCCAACCUAGGAAGUCGUACCUGGCAGUUAAAGAUUAAAUAACUAAUUAAUCAAUUAAUUGCAUAAUCAAUUGAUAACUAAAUUAGAGGCAGAUAUUAACUAAACUUGAAGACUCAAAGAAAAGACAAAUUAAAUAUUGUGACUAAAAUUAAUUUUUUUUAUUAAAAAAAAAACCUUUUCGUCAAAGAGAGGAGGAGGUUGCAUUUCAGAAUGAUUGGUGUCUUCUGGUGAGCUCGUAGAGAUGAAUCUUAACAUAUUCCAGCAACUCUGAAUCUCGAGGUUUAGCAAAGAAGGGAAUUCAACAACUAAAUCUGAAUUAAUAUGUCCCGUAUUGGCAAAGCUUGUUAGUUUAUAAAGCCAAUAGAGCUCCAGGGAGUGUAGUUUAGGAAAAACCUUUAAUUCAAUCAACUUUCCUUCUUCUCUUUCUGACCACCCCGUGGUGUCGACUACCCCUUCCAUUGACUCACAAGAUCUUAUCUCAAGAUGCUGGAGUUGCAAAAGACUAUUAACCAUAGAAUAGGAAAACAGAUACUUCAUACGAUGACAACUGCUCACGUACAGCUUUGUUAAAUUUCGACAACAGUACAUUCCUUGAUUAUGAUCGGCCCAUAAUUUUUUCAUGUUUCUUAAUGACCUGAGAUCCAAUUCCUCUAAGCUCGGAAGAAUAACCUGCAAAGAAUACCCGUACAUUUUUGUUCCUUCAAGUACAACCGUCUAGUAUAAUAUUCUUUUGAUGAUCGAAGAUUAAUCGUGAUAAUAAAUUAAUCAAUUAAUUAUUGAACAGAAAAUUAUCACCUUUGGAGCAGGAUCAUCAUCAGCAGUGAUUUCGUUGAAUCCCAAAGAAGUUGUUGGUUUCUCCCUGUCGGGUCCUAUAAACAAACAAAAACAAUAUACAUAAUUAAUCUUUGUUUUUUUUUUCAAAAUAAUUGAGGCGAAGUCAAUUAUCCCACCGGUACUUAAUUUCAACACUUACCAACAAUCAUUUCCUGAUCAUCGCAAAAAGCCACUUCUACCUUUUGAAGCCGCAGUAGGUUUUUGGCUAUGGAGAAUGAGAAAAGAUGCUUCAAUUUGUGACAGAAUUUUACUUCUAUAAUCCUUAAGUUGCUGAAAGAUUGAUCUUCUGUGAGUUGGCUGUCACAUAUUGUCUCCAAAUUGAUCAAACGACGAAGAGACAAUGACUCCAGCAAGGGGAAGACUUUGCGACGAACCCGUCCAACUGAACAGACAAUAUGCAAAAUCUCAGAACAACUUUCUGCAGAAAGAUGCUUCAAUCGUGGAUAACCUUCCCCAUCAUCUAAUUCAUGAACAACAUUCUGAACACCCUUCAGUUCUUCUAGAUAGAGAUAUUCAGUUCUCGUCAACAACAGUUUCAUCCUGUAAUUCUGCAAAAGAACGCCAAACUUUUCCAGCCCCUGGAGCUUCAUCAAUCUUGAUAAUCCAGAUUUAACGGACCAGCUGCUCCACCACUUAUUUCCUAUACAUAUCCUAUAGCUUUGUAAUUCCACAGAGACGAAAUCCUGCGGUAAAAUUUCGGCAUCCCGAACAUGUAUCUCCAAAGUAGUUAGCUUUGACAGCCCAUUCAAUUCAGCAAGACUGGCGUUACUUCCUCCUUCAACCUUCUCCCACUGUGAAAAGCUGUUACCAAUAUAUAGUUCUUCUAAUCGAGAUAAUUUUGAUAUGACAUUUGGAGCUAUCACCACAAGACUGCUACAAUUUCUCAAAUCUAGCAACUGUAAUCUCGUCAAUUGUCCAAUUACAACUGGCAACUCCUUAACAUCAGAAUCUCGGAAGCUGAGAAUCUCUAAUUUCCUUAGCUGUCCAAUUAUAGUUAUUUCGUUCAGUCGGCAACCGUCUAAACACAAUGUUCGAAGGUUAAUGAGGCGACCAAGUGAUGAAGGUAAUGAAGAGAAAAAUAUGCCAGUAAAAUCUAAAACUUUGAGUUCUUCUGUCCCUUCAAAAAAGAGGUCUGAAAUUUGCAAAGAGCUAUCACGCUUUGAAAACAACAAAAGUAACUCGAGACGGGGACAUCCCAACCUUUCGGGAAGCUCUUGAAUAUCUCUAUAAGGUAAAGAAAUAGCAAUUGGACCUUCCCGUAUUGUCUCUUCCAUCUUUUUCUCCACGUAGGCAACAUUUGGAAUAUUAAACAUGAGCUCCUUUUCUGCAAUUGAUACAGCAACAGCAUGAAUGAUGUCAUGCAUUUUAACUUCAUCUUCAGCAUCACCGUCCAACAAUAAGCAUGAAGAUUUGAGUUUGUCGAUCAAUGCAUCCACUCUAUUCCUUGCAUUUUCCAAUGUGCGAACAUAUUUAAACAAACCCAAACCCAUACCCAUACCAUAUCUCAACAAGGAAGCAACUUGUAUAGGAGUACCUUCACCAAAUAGAGAACAAAGAAGGAACAAAGAUUUUGCUUCAUCACUUUCCAAGAAGUCGUAACUCAAUUUUAUGGAAGAAUACACAUCUGCAUCCAUACCAUGAAUUUCUCUUAGAUUGGAACUUCUUAGCUGAUUCAACGCAUCCUUCCAAAUGGCAAGACUCUUAUUUUUCAGAGCACUUGCAACUGUUCUCAGUGCAACAGGCAAUCGUCCGCAUUUUCCAACAAUCUCAUCCGCUAAAGGUUGAAAAGCAGAUGCUUUUGCGGAAUUGCCCACGAUCUUUUCAAAAAAUUGCAAUGCUUCUUCCUUUGAUAAAACUUCAAUUGGGAAAAUCUUCUGAGAAUUCAUAUCAUUGAUCAAUAAAUCUUGACUUCUAGACGUCAAUAUUAUCGUGCGUCUCCUUAGAUCUUGCUUUCUAUCUUUCUCAUCAACAUCCCCAGAAGGAAUUCCAAUUUCUUCCAACCUAAGUUUUUUCCAAAUAUUAUCUAAUAUAAUGAGGACUCGCUUCUCUUUCGUCAAUCUUUGACAAAGUUGUUUUGCUCUGUGGGGUUUGCUAUCAUUCAAGUCAAAGUUCAUGUCUAAAUCGGAAGCGAGCUUGUCUUGAAUUUUCUGAACAUCUGGGUUCUCUGUUACCUCAGCCAUAACGACCUUAUCGAACAACUUAUCUUCCAUAACUUGCUUUGCAAUUUGCUUGACUAGCGUGGUUUUACCCACGCCGCCCAUACCGUGGACCCCAAUUAUGUUGAGCUUAUCAUCCCUCAAUGCCUCCACAACAUCUUGAAAUAAUUUCAUUCUUGAAUCAAAGGCCUCGAAAUCUUUCGCUUGCAUAUGUUCUGUACUCUCUGGAGCAGGACGGUGGGAAACACUAGAGAAGUUGCCUUUUCUCACGAGACUAGCGGCAGCUUCUGCGGCCUUUACUGCUUGUUUACUAAGUUUAUAACGAGAAAUCAAGUUGGGGCACAAUCCUUUGAAGCAGGACUUCUUAGCUCUAUCUUCAUCAUCAAUGAUGGAUUUUGCAACCCCUUCACUGAUGCAUUCAUCAACGCCAUUAAGCCAGUCUGCAACAUCCUUGUAAAUCUCAUCUCUUUGUUGAGUAGCCUGACGAACGGGUAUUCCCACCCUUUCUCUUUUAUAUUCCAGCUGCUUCACUUGAUCUUUUAGCUCAGCUAUGUAGCUCUGGUACUUGAACACAUAAGAUAUCUGCCGCAUAAUCCGUUCGAGCAAUGCCUUUGCACCUUCUGAUACAAUGCUUGAAAAAGCUUCGAGACCCACUUCUGAAGCCAUUGCCUAGCCUGUUGCAUAUAUAUAUACAUUAGCCGAUGGAAAAAUUGGAUUCAAAUAAAUUAAAGUGAUCCAGAGGGAAGGACAAAGAAAGAAAUGACAACGAAUGACUUUUUAAACAAAGGUUUCAAGAGCCUGAAUCGAAAACCAACAAUUUGAAAAAAAAAAAAAGAAUUGGAAGAUGGAUGCAAAUUAACCAUUGCUAAUACUACAUAAGAACACAUAAGUUAACAAUGAACAGUUACUUAAGAAAAUUAAAUGACAAGAUUAAAACAAACAAGCGCUAUUUUUUCUUGGACAAAUGUACCUGUUUAAUUAUUAAAGACUUAAUGAGCUUCACUAUUGGCCUUGAGUAUAUAAGAAUGAGCAAGAGAUCAAUGUCAACUGCAGAGGAAUGUCAGUAAAGGUUUCAUGAGAGUGAGUAAUACAAAUGAAUUGUAAAAGAACAAGACUUAAGCGUGCACCCCCUGUUUUGUUUUAUUCGUUAUGAAAAUGAUAUUGUACCCAAUUUUAAGAGAGCAUAAUAAUAACCAUUUAAUGCAUAAAUUUAGAAUUAGCUUUUUUUUUUGUAAUUCUUUAUUUAAAUAUACACGUCAAUGGAAAAUUUUGAAAAUUUGGAUACAAAAUUUUAAAUCACCAGAAAAAAAAAAGCACGGGAACGGAAAUAGAGGAAUCUUGUUUUACCUUUUUUUUUCCCCCCUUUAACUCUCGUUCUUAUAUAAAUAAUCUUGUUUUGAUGAUUGUGACUCGUGACUGCGGGAAAAAUUCUAAUGGAAACAACUCAAUUUCGGAAGAUAAGCUUAAUUCUGCAAGUGAUGAAUUUGUUCAAUAGACUCUGUACCUGAACUCGUUGGAUUGGUUGAUUGAUGAUUGACUAAAUUUGAAUUAAGUUUAAUAGCUUAGCUAUCAUGUACUCCUUAAAAGCAAACGUAAAUCUUUUUUAGAUUUGACUGAAUUUGGGAACCUGUUGGAUUGAUUGUUUUUAGAUCAUUAAUAUCAGAUACUACAAACGUAAAUAUUUUCUUGUGGUUGAGUCCUAUUCAAAUCACACAAAAUUGCACGACCAAAUAUUAAGAGAACGUAAUAAUAAUCACUCAGUGCGUAAGGGUAAAUUUAGAAUUACGUAUUCUUUUUUAUUUAAUAAAAUCCCAGCGAGAAAAUCAUAAAAUUUAGAUAUAAAAUUUUCAAUCACCAAACAAAAAACAGGGGGAAUGAAAACACAGGAAACUUGUUUUACCUUUUUUUCAUCUAACUCUUGUUCUUAUAUAAUAUUUUCCCUAGUGUUUCAGGCAAGCAAAAAAAAAAAAAAAAUCAAUAAAGAGCAAGUUGCUCAAAUUGAUUUAUCUUGUUUUUCAGGCAAUCUUGUGAUAUGAUGAUAAUGCUUAUGAAUGCUAGAAAAACUUCUAAUGCAAACAACUCUAUUUGGGAUGAUAAGCUUAAUUUUACAAGUGAUAAAUAUAAAUAACUUUUUGUGGUUAAUUCAAUUUGUAAUUACCCUUAGCCCUAUUCUAAAAUUUGUUGGCUGCUUCAGAAAAAAAAAAAAAAAAAUUUCACUCAUCUUUAAUCUUCAAGUAAAAAACAAAUCUAAUAAAAUGACAAACAAACAAACAAAUAAAAGACAGCAAACAAACAACAUUUAGCCAACUGAUAUUUAAACAGGGAUUAGAGUUUUUGUUAUUAACUGAAAGGUUUCAAGGGUCUGAAUAAAAUCCCAGACUUUUUUUUAAAACUUUUUUUUUAAUUAACCAAAGCCAUAUAAUAAGAUCACAGACUUUAACAAUGAACAAUAAUUUGAAACUCAAGCAAAACCAAUCACAAGAUUAAAACAAACCAGAGAAUUUUUUUCUUGGAAAGUAGAUGAAAAGCAAGUAAGAACUGCUAUUAAAGGAUAUUAUUAAAGGAUUUAGAACAUGUAUACCUCUUUAUUUAUAUGGGAUCAGAGAGUCGAUGACCUUCUCUAUUCGCUUCGGAUAUUUAGUAAGAACUGCUAUCAAAAGAAUGAAUUGAUGAGUAAUAACAAUGAAUUGCAAAAGAGGAAGACUUAAUCACGUACCCCUAUUGUACCCGAUUUUUAAGAUUUAAUUUUGAAGUCCAGAAUCAAGACAAAAGACGAAGCCUUAACAAAUAUGCAGUGAGAAUAGUUAAGUUGAAGAAAGCACUAGUUUAUGGCUCUGUGUUUCAUAUGCCGUAUUGAAAUAAUUAAGUUGAAGUUUUCAACGAAUAAAUACCUGGUGUGCUGGAAUAAUUUUAGAAGAAUAUUGGCUUAUAGAGAUUAGAGCAUAUUAGGAGGGAUCAGAUUUGUAAGAUGCCUGAUAAAAGAUAAAGCGAAUGUUAUUAUGGACAUACCAAUUUCCGACUUUUCGGAGUGCAUCCGUCUAUCCAUGACUUGAAAAGAGACCCAAUGUGUGGACAGACUUGAUUACAUNNNNNNNNNNNNNNNNNNNNNNNNNNNNNNNNNNNNNNNNNNNNNNNNNNNNNNNNNNNNNNNNNNNNNNNNNNNNNNNNNNNNNNNNNNNNNNNNNNNNNNNNNNNNNNNNNNNNNNNNNNNNNNNNNNNNNNNNNNNNNNNNNNNNNNNNNNNNNNNNNNNNNNNNNNNNNNNNNNNNNNNNNNNNNNNNNNNNNNNNNNNNNNNNNNNNNNNNNNNNNNNNNNNNNNNNNNNNNNNNNNNNNNNNNNNNNNNNNNNNNNNNNNNNNNNNNNNNNNNNNNNNNNNNNNNNNNNNNNNNNNNNNNNNNNNNNNNNNNNNNNNNNNNNNNNNNNNNNNNNNNNNNNNNNNNNNNNNNNNNNNNNNNNNNNNNNNNNNNNNNNNNNNNNNNNNNNNNNNNNNNNNNNNNNNNNNNNNNNNNNNNNNNNNNNNNNNNNNNNNNNNNNNNNNNNAUUUAAUAAUUAUAGAAGAAUAUUGGCUUAUAGAGCAUUUUAGUAGGGAUAAGAUUUGUGGACAGAAUAAAUGAAAUAAUAAAAAGCAUAACUGAUCAAGUCAUUAUUGAUCUUACUUUGAUUAUUACAUUGCACAUUAGUUUCUUUCUAAAAAUGCCAUUCUUCAUUCAAGCUUUCGCUUUAUCUUUUAUCAGGCAUCCUACAAAUCUUAUCCCUACUAAUAUGCCCUAUAAGCCAAUAUUCUUCUAAAGUUAUUAAAUGCCAUUCUUCAUUCAAGCUUUCAUGGACAUUAUCUACAAACUGAAUCUUCAAUGUAAUAAAAUAAUGAUCAGCCUCACAGGAUACAUAAAAAGCUCAUUUAUCACAAUCAUUUCCUAGUGCAUCAUAAACUUAGAUUAUUUAAUUUUACUAUUAGGAAACCUACUUAUAAAAGGCGCACACUACAAAUUCUAAAUUAAAUUUCUAACUAAGAAUAAAAGGUAAACCCUAGCAAUUUUCCACCAGGUGCCGUGUAGCCUGCAUCAUAAAUUUUGAUUUAAAUCUUUGUAAUCACCGAACAGAAAAACCGGGGAAUGAAAACAGAGGAGCCCUAUUUUUCCAUUUUUUUAACCCUUAACUCUUGUUCUUCUAAUUAUAUUUUUGCUUGGAAUUUCAGGCAAACGAAAAAAAAUAGUGACAACUAUUUAGAGAGAACAGGUGGAUGAUAGCAAAAAUAUUUUUAAUUAAUAUGCAUGAUUAACUCUUGUUCUUCUAAUGUAGUGGCUUGAUUAAUUAAUAUUUUUAAUCAAGCCAUUACAUUAUUGGUAGUCUCUGUGGGCUCAUUUCGUCUCCAGACCUGAUAUUGUAUAUCUCUUUUUGAAUAUGUUUAAUUAAUAUGCAUGCUGCUGAAUAAAGACGAUGAUUUCCAAAUUUUUGUUGCUUUUUUUUUUUCUUUUUGCUGCUUUGGUACAUGAAGAAUGUGGAAAUAGAAAUAGCUUUCGAAGUUUAAUGGCUUGCUUCAUUAGUAAAGAAAGACUAGGAUAUCCGUCCUUUUUGUUACUGAAUUAUUGAUCAAUUGACGGUUGAAGUUAGUUAUAUUAAUUUGUUGUACAAGAAUUGAAGCUUAUAUCUUUACCGUUUCGUGAAAGUGUCAAAUAUGUUCUUUCCUUGCAAUUGUUCAAAAUAUGUUACACUUUUGAAGUCACUAUUACAUAAAGGGUGUUGUAAAAUAGGGAAAGGCGGGUUUAUGAUUAGAUUUUAAUAUGUUUAAUUCAAGGAUUAACCGAAGCUAUUAACCAACGGCUACUAACCGAAAACCGAAUUUAACAAUAAACACUAACUCAGAAUUCAAGAAAAUUAAAUGACAAGAUUAAGACAAAUGAGAGAUAUUUUUCUUGGACAUUAAGAAAGAACUACUAUCAAGAUCAAGGAUUAGAGAUUAUAUAUGCUAUUAUUAAUAGAAAUUAUUAAAGGAUUUAGAACAAGUUCACCUCGUUGAUUAUCUGGGAUGAUGAGUUUCUAUAUUCACCUUGAAUAUAUAAUAACAAUUUUAGUGAGCAAAAGAUCACUGGUAACUGCAGAGGAAUGUGUGAGUUUAAGAGCUUAUUAGAGUAAGCAAUACAAAUGAAUUUUCAAAUUAUGUACUUGGUCAUUGUUGUCCUACUGACGCACGUUUUUUUUCAUGAAUAAUUGCCAGAUCAGAAAAGAAUAAGUUCGGUGGAUUGAAAGAUUGCUGAAGCAAGUAAAACAAUCUUCAUAUCGAACAUGAUUCCAAUUAAAUUAAUCUUUUUAUAAGAUGACUAAUAAAAGACAAAAGUAGAAGCUUUGAUGAAUGAACGAUGACCAAAACUUUUGUAAAAGCGGAUGCCGAUAAAAUAAACAAAAGGCACUUUAAAAAGAAACUAAAGUGCGAUCAUCAAAGUAAGAUCAAUAAUGACUCGAUUUAUUUCACCUAUUCUGUCCACAAAUGAUGCUUCGCUAUUACAAGGUCCGAAUGGACAUUAUUUACAAAUUGUUCUUAUGUUUCACAGAAAAAUGAAAAACCGUUCAUCAUCAUAUAAUUAUGAAAUAAAUAAAUUUUAUUAAUGGAUUAUGGGGAUAUGUUAAUGUUAGGGAUAUGUUCAAAUCAUCAUAUAAGUUACUAAACGCUUCAACAAGAACAAGAAUUAAUGAGUUAAAAGUAAAAAAAAAAAAUUUUAAAAAAAGUUAAAUAAAUAAAACUUAGAAGUAAAGAAUGUUAUUUGCAAUCACCAAAAUGAAAACAGUGGAACCCUGUUUUUCCUCUCAUUUCUCUUUCUCUCUUUUUCAUUUGUUGGGAAGUGUCGCCUAAAACACUUCCUCUGCUAGGUGGAAUUAUUGGCUUGAAGAGAUGAGUUCUUGUCACAAGCACAAAUUUUAUCUGUACAUUAUUUCAUUUUAAAUGAUGAGUUCUUGUCACAUGAUCAUUACUUUUUUUGUUUUGAUUUGGUUAGUUCAUGAUAACAAACAAAUUAUUUUGCAUCACAUUAUGGUAAAAAGUUGCCCUCUUUGUUACUUCCACAGCUAUAUAGUUUAAUAUUUUGUAAUAAGAUCACAAAGUGCAUGGGAACCACUGUUCGAGUACUUCAGCCUAAUAUGAAGAUCUAUUGAAAAUUUUCCUGAUGUCAUGAUAUUAAACAAAAAAAGGUACCUCUUUUACUAAUUAAUAAGAGAAGUUUUGACCGAUUUCAUGUGACUCUCUUUUACUAAUUAAUAAGAGAAUUUUUGGCCUUAUAUCCUUGCUGUGGCGUUAGACUGUUGGUCAUUUUGAUUGUUUCCUACUUUCCGUUUACGCCAGCUGUAACAUUGUAUUAUCACCAUUUUAGCCAUUUAAAUGAAAUUUAUUUUUGUCAAAAAUAAAAUGACACCCUUAAAAUUAAAAAAAAAAUAGUUAUGUAGACCUCAAAUUUUUAAUAAAGAAUGCCAAUACCCCUUUUAACUACAAGAUUCUUAGUAGAUGAUAACUAAAAAAAUUAACUUCAAAAAUUUUCACUAAAUAUAAAUCUAAUUGAAAUAGUUUAAAUUUUCUAGUAGACUAAUAUAUAUAACUUAAAUAAUUAAUUUCAUUAUUAAUUUUUAAAAUGUUAAAUAAUAUAUUUUAAUUUAUUAUAAAAAAUUUAAAUAAAUUCUUGGAUUAGAUAGAUUUUACAAUUAAUGUAAUACUGCUGAUUUAUUAAUAAUAUUAAAAUUAUUUUAUAUGAUAUUCAAAAUAAUUUAAACUUUUAUAUAUUUAUUUUAAUAUUAUGUCUAUUUAUUAUAAAUUUAUAAUUUGGUUUAAUAUAAUACGGGAUUGUAAAAUAUUAAAAUAUUUUUCAAUAUCAAAUUAUUUUAAUAUGUAUAUAUCAUUACAUUUAUUUUAAUAUUGCAUUUAUAUUUAUUAAAGAGUAUUGCAGUAAAGUAAAAAAAAAAAAAGUCUUAUUAUCCCUUAUUCACGAUAUGAGGUUCUACAGAAUUAUUUCCCCAAACGGGUGUCCUUUUCUCAUUUUCAAAAGAAAAAAUAAAGUAAGAAUAAGACCAUGGAUUUCAAAAAACUUAUAGUCCUAUCCCGGGACCAAACGUCUAUUCAUUAUUUUAUUUAUUCAAUAUAAAUGGCCAACUUAAAAAAAUGAUAAAAAUCACACAAAGCUCAAGUGAAAAUUUAGAAUUACAUUUUUUAAUACUCUCGGAGUCUUCUCUCCUGCCCCCUUUUUUUCUUAAAAAAAAAAACCUUAGUGUAAAAUUAGAAGAAUUUUAGAUAUAAAAUUUGACAAUCGCUAAACAGAAAAGCAGCGGAUUAAAAAUAGAGGAGCUCUGUUAUCAUUGCAAUAUUGAUUAUAGAUAAUAUAAUAACUUGUUGUGGUUCAUUGUAGCACUCUGAGCCAUACUUUAAAAUUUACUGGUUUGUUAAUGCUUUUAUUAUUGACAUUAUUGUGUCAAUAUUAUUAUAAUUUAUUCAUUUUAUUGUAAUGAUAAUUUGUCUAGUCUUAGGUACUUAUUAUAUUAAAUUAUGUAAAUUAAUUGAGAAUACUUUUACAGACAAAAGAAACACGUGUAUGUAGGAUUAAUAAGCGAAGAGUUGUAAAUGAAGCUGAUUGCUUCAUUGAGAUGCAUAUUAAAUAAUUAUGGAGAGUUGCUCUAUUUCAGAAGCAUAUAUUUAUACUUCCCUAUCAGGAUUUGGGGUAAGCGAAGUGCUUUAUGUAUUGCAGUAAGCAAAUGUGGGCAACAUCAGAGCCGAAAUAUUAAAAGAUCAUAACGCAUAUAAACGAUUAGUAUAUUCAAGGCACAUAUAGCGGAAAGAGUGCAGAUCUGGCCGUAACUAUUAUGAGGAUUUCCUCAAGUAAAUAUUAAAAGAACAACUAUUCUGAACUAUAUAUUCUUCAUUGUGGGCAGAUUUACUUAAAUACCAACACAAUGAUUCAAUACUUCAAAAGUCAAGGAAAUGUCAAAAUAUGAAAUGAAAAUACUUAAAUACCCUUCUCCCUAACAAAACUUAGUACUUCUAACUGCCAUCGCAGAGAAUAUAUAAAAUUUAAAAAAAAAAUCAUCCAUGAAAAGUUUCGUAACAGAAAAACCGUCUUUCAAAAAAUAAAAAAUAAAAAAUAAAAACAGAAAAAUUGACUCAUUUAUCUGCCAAUGAACCAGUCGGGACUCAUUUAAAAAAGAUUACAAAGCAAAAGUAAAUGACACAAAUUGCAUAGAUAUCUAAGAGCCGCAUCAAAGGACAAAGGUGUUAAUUUGUCCAAGUAAUAAAUUCUCCUAGGUCAAAAGCAAUUAACGAUGAAAACUUUCUUCAUUAAGGUUCUGGCCUACGUAAAAAAACAGAAAAAACCACCCCAAGGUCAAAGCACAACGAUAAGUUUAGAAUUGCAGUUUUUAAUUUUUCUUUUUAAUAAAUCAACGUGUAUUAAAAAUAGAUAAAAAUUUUGAAUAAUGUUUUUUUGAUAAAUAUAGACAUAAAAUUUAAAAAUCACCAAACAGAAAAACAGGGCAAUUAAAAGAGAGCCCUUGUUUCUCCUCUGUUUUGUUUGUUAUUAAACGGGGAAAUGAAAAGAUCGCAAGCAUAAAUUUUGUUUCUGCGUUGUCUCUUCUCAAUGUUGCAUGCAUUCAAAUUAAACCUUAUAUAUGAUAGCAAACUAGCUACUCUGCAUGUACGAUAAGUCUAAAUAAUAGAAUAAUUGUAAAAUGUUCAAAUUCAGUAAUUAAUUAUACAUAUUUAUUUAUUCAAAAAUUAUUAUUAUUAUUAAUUAUUGUCAAUAAUAUAUUAAUAUACUAAUUAAUUAUAAAAAUUUUUAUCAUUCAUAACAAUAACAAUGAUGAUGAUGAUGAUAAUAAUAAAAAUUCAAAAUAUAUUAAUUAAUUAUAAUAAUAUAUUAAUUAUUUAAUACUAAUAAUAAUAAAAAUGUAAAAUGUAUAAAUUGAUUAGAAUAGUUAUAUUAAUAAAUUAUAAACAUAUAUUAAUUAAUCAUAAUAAUUUUUUAAUUGAGGACAAAAUAGACAUUUUAUAGUUUGUGAGAGGGGGCAAAAUGGUCAAUUUUGGGAAUGGGAGAUUGAUUCCCACCACCUUCCUUGGGAAUCAAUUUUCCAUUCCUCAUUCCUAAAUUUGGGUGGCCCCAUAAUUCUGAUUUGGAUCCCUGCCUCCAUCAUUAAUGAUUUCGAUUUCGGAUUCCGAUUCCCCAAUCCAAGAAGUAAAGGCACCAUUAUUGUUAAUUGGUUCAAACACACAAAGAGAAUGUACCGUGUAGCUAGGCGUCAAGGUUGUGUUGCACAAGUAACCUUUUUCUUUUCUUUUUAUUUUUCUUGUUUUCCUUAACGGAUCAGAAGAAAUUGGUGCCUUUGAGAUACCACAAUGUAAAUAAUUAUUUGUGGUUCAUUGAAUCUGUAACACUCGGUACCCUAGGGUUGCUUUGGAAAAAGGGCUUUUCUCACCGAUCGCCAAUAUCCAAGUAAGUUUGUUUCAUUUCAGAAGGUGCAAAGUUUCAAACUUGUUGUAUUGGGAUGUAACAAACUUUGGCCUUAUAUGCCUGCUGUGACGUGAGACUGUUCAUUUUGAUUGUUUCCUACCUUCCACUUACGCACUGUAGCACUGUAUUAUUCACCAUUUUAGCUGUUUAAAUGAAAUUUUAUUUUUGUCAAAAAUAAAAUGACACCAUUAAAAUUUAGAAAAAUAAUCAUGUAGAUCCCAAAUUUUUAAUAAAGAAUACCAAUAUUCCCCUUGACUACAAUACCCUUAGUAGGUGGUAAUAAAAAAAAAUUGGCUUAAAAUUUUUACGAAAUGUAAAUAUGAUUUAAAUAAUUUAAAUUUUCCAGUAGACUACUAUAUAUAAUUUAAAUAAUUAAUUUAAAUAUUAAUUUUUAAAAUGUAAAUUAAUUUAUUUGUAUUUAUAAAAUAUUUGUAAUUAUUUUAAAAUUUAACUAAAUCCUUAGGUUAAAUAGAUUUUACAAUUAAUAUAAUAUUUCUCAUGUAUUAAUAAUAUUAAAAUUAUUUUAUAUGAUAUUGAAAAUAACCUAAAUUUUUAUAUAUUUAUUUGAAUAUUAUGCUCUAUUUAUUAUAAUUUGGUUUAAUAGAAUACGAGAUUGUAAAAAAUUAAAAUUUUUAGAUAUUGAAAUUAUUUUAAUAUGUAUAUAUUAUUAUAUUUAUUUUAAUAUCCUAUUUAUAUUUAUCAUAAAUUAUUAGAGUUAAUUUUUUUAGUUAAUAAAUUUAAAAAAUAUUAUAAUUUAAAAAAAAGUCUUGUUGUCCGUUAUUCACGAUAUGAGGUUCUACAAAAUUAUUUCUCCAAACGGGUGUCCUUUUCUUUUUUUCAAAAGGAAAAACAAGUUCAGGGCCUCAGGGGUUUCAAAAAAUUCUGGUCCUAUAUACCACUAUGACUAAUGGGAAACGACAUUGCAAUUGACAUUGCUUUCCACAAUAUGAUAGAUUAUUGGAGGGAUAUGAGAGAAUUGUCAAACGUUCACACACGCGAGAGCUUUAGGUGGGAUAGGGGAGGAUUGUCAAGAGUUCACACCACGAUAAACUAAUGAUAGGCCUAAUUUUGUUGUCAGUUCUUUAUUUAUUUAUUUUAUGUAUAUCAUACAUUAUUGUAUUUUGUCAAGGUAUAAUAGUACAAGUAAAAUACUAGGGGUGCUGUUAAGUUACAACUUAUGUAACUUGCAAUUUUUUCAAAAAUUAUGUAAAAAAUUUAAUAGGUGGUGGAACCCACAUAUUUUUUAAGAGACUUAAGUUACAGCAGUUGUAACUUAACAAAAUCUAAAUAUUAGACAAUAAUGCAUAUAAUUUGGGUUUGAUUUUUAAAAGAUUAUUUGAGUACCACCUAUCCUUAUGAUAUUAAUGUGAUUAUAUCUUAAUAUUAAAUAAUCAAAAUUUGUUUAAUUAUUAUUUGUAUUUCAUACAUUACAUAUUAGAUUUGUUUGAAUUUUAAGUUGUUGCUAAUAAAUAUUUAUGUUGUCAAAGUCAAAGUCAAUAGCUACAAAAGUAGAGAUAAUGGUAUUGUAUAUAGUUUUUAAGAAUGCAAGGAUAAGCUGGAUAAUUGACAUAAAUUCUAAUGAUUAAAAGAGCAACUAUCCCUUAAGUUAUAAUGUCAAUUUCUUUAAUUAGAAUUUUUUUUUCAUGUGAUAUAACCUUAAUUGCUACAAUUUUUUUUAUAAUAAUAAUGGGAGUUAUAAAUUAUUUAUAUAAAAUUUGGGUUGAAACUAAUGUAACCUAAAAGUGGUUGCUGAAUAACAAUAUUUGAAACUUUAGGUAAUUUUCAUGAGUCCUUUUUAUAUUCAACAACUUGAAUUGGGGGAAAUCCGACUUGAAUUGGCGGUUGAUUUUGGUGAUGUGGCUUUCGGUUUACGCCGGCUUUACAGUGGCGGAAGACUGGAUUUACGGUUGCCGACUGCUAGGGAUUAUGGUGGUAGUGUAAAUUGACGGAAAAAGAAGGUGUUUUGGUGGCGGCGCGUCUAGGAAGCACUCGUGGGUUGUUGUUUCGUGUGGUGACAGCGGGCGGCGAUCAAGGGCUGAAGUUGGUCGGUUUUUGGUCAGCAGAGGCCGGCGAGUUUGUUGGUGGAGGUGGCUGGUGGAGAAAGUGGCUGAAUGGUGGUGGGUUGCUUGGUGGAGCCGCGGGUUUGGGUUGGUGAUUUGCGGCUGUUCAAGCGGUGGUUGAGGCAGCGAUGACUAAGGCUUGGUCGACGGUGGCUAGGGAGGUUUGUGGUGGUGUUGGCUGGCUGAUCGGCGGUGGUGGACGGCGGUGGAGGUUGAUGUGACAGGUAGGGUUUUCAAAUUUGUAAAUUUUUUUUUUGAUGGAUUUGGUUUGGAUAGGUAUGGUGUAUCUAGGAAAGAUGUGCGAUUCGCACAUAAUCAUUUUGAUACCAAUUGAUGGAGCGAGGCGUAGCGGAAGCAGAAUUGAUAGGGUAAGAAACAUUAGAUAUCGUUCUAGUACUAGACCAAGCCAACACGAUUAGUUUACGCUCUAAUUGAAGCGUGAUUAGAUAUCGUUAUAAUCCAAAUGACUCAGUGAGAUUUUUAAUAACGCGUAAUACGAGAUUAGAUGACACUCUAAUCCAAAUGACUCUACAAAAGAGAUUUUGAUAACUAAUCCUAGAGGAAAUUAUAAAAGAGGGGGUUUAUUUAAUAAUUGAACUUGAAGUUAUGAAAAUAAUGACAAGACAUCUUUAUUUUUUUUAUUACAGGCAUCUUUAUUUAUAAUAGAAGAAACCCGCUUUCCUAAGUUAACCUAAAAAGAAAAUUUAAAUCAUAAUUAUAAUGGAAAUAAAAGAUUAAGAUACAUACCAUAAUUAACUCAAACUAAAAUAGAAAAUCAUAAAAUAAUAAAUAUUCUAGAAUUAUAAAUUAUCUAAAAUAACGUUAAUUAACUUCCUAAAUCACUUCUUUGGUGUAAACCAUUUUGCAUCCAUCCUCGCUUUAAAGGUUUGAACCAACGUUACCAACAAUAAUGUAUCAAAGUCCAAUCUAACUUAAGAUCUUGAUACAUCUACCGAUGUCCUUGUUUGAUUAGACAAUAAUGAGUCUAUCUCAUCACUUGUUACCUCUUUCUUGAAGGCUGCAUCUGUUGAAGUGAUAGUCUCGCUUAGAGUUUAAAGAUCUUCUUCCAUGUUAAAUAAAAUGGGCAUUUGAUUAAAAAACUUUAUCUCUAUCUCCUUCUAUCAAAUAACGACAACUAUCCGAAGGAAAAAAAAAAUAGAAAAGUCCAUGGGUCACAAUAAUUUAUGGUCUGUCCCCGGACCCCAUUAUCUGCCACUAUCAAUGAUGAAAAUGAAAAUAAAUGGCAUCUUCCCAAAAUGGCGAAAGAUUUUUGGGGGAUAUGGGGGAAUUGUCAAAAGUUCACACAACGCGAAACAAGUGUUACAUCCAAUUUUAUUUCGUCAUAUAAUGAUAAUAUCAAAUAAUGACAACCAUCCAAAAGUAUGAUGGGUCUUCCAAAAUUUUGAAAAUGUCGUCAACAUUUAAUCUUCAAUGCUAAAGAAGAUGAAAUGACCAAAAAUGACACGCAUGACUCACUCACAGACUAAAUGGCUCUGACCACAUGUAACAAACUUUGAUCUUAUGUCCUUACUGAGGCGUUAGACUGUUGGUCAUUUUGAUUGCUUUUUACCUUCCAUUUAUGCCAUUGUAGCAUUAUACUAUUCACCAUUUUAGCUGUUUAAAUGAAAUUGUUAUUUUUUUUCCAAAAAUAAAAUGGCACCCUUAAAAUUUUAGAAAAUAGCCAUGUAGACCCCAAAAUUUUAAUAAAGAACACUAAUAUCCUUUUUUACUAUAGUACUCUUAGUAGAUGGUAACAAAAAAAAAAAUGACUGUAAAAGUUUUUACUAAAUGUAAAUAUGAUUUAAAUAUUUUAAUUUUUCUAGUAGACUAGUAUGUAUAAUUUAAAUAAUUAAUUUUUAAAAUGUAAUUUAAUAUAUUUAUUUUAAUAAUAUAUUUAUUAUAAAAAUUUUAAACAAAUCCUUGGGUUAAAUAGAUUUUAUAAUUAAUAUAAUAUUUCUCAUGUUUUAAUAAUAUUAAAAUUAUUUGAUAUGAUAUUGAAAAUAAUUAAAACUUUUAUAUAUUUAUUUGAAUAUUAUGUCUCUAUUUAUUAUAAUUUGGUUUAAUAGAAUCAAAUGAAAGUGUACAUGUACAAGAAGAAAGAACCAUACACCAAGUAAAACGUAAAAAGGAUUAAAUAAAUGACACCAAUCCCCGGCAACGGCGCCAAAAUUUGAUGGUUGUCGAAGCCAACAAAAAUAAAUUCCUACUCUAAAUAAAUUGUGUAUAGUGAUUGAGCAGGGUCGUGUCCACAGAGAUCGGUAAUUAUUUAAAUCCUUUUAAAACGUAAAACAUAAAAUGGGGGUUUUGUUGACAAUAAUAAAAAUCAAAUUAAAAUAACAAGAAUGCAAAUUAAAGUUGUAAUUCAAAUUAGAGAAAGCUCUGGUUGAAGGAAUUAACUCAGCUUGAUUCGACUACUGAUCAUUGAUUCAAAUAUAGAUUAUUAUUACUUAUUAAUAGACCGGUUAUAGCUAUUGAGACCCUCUAAUAGCCAAUUUGUCCUUAACUAGUCGAUAACCAAGGUACGACCGUCAGAUAUUUCCCUAAUCAACAGACAACCCUAGAUACGAUCAUAGGAUUUAAUCAAUUGACAGCCUGAAAAACCAGAGAGACCCAAAUCCUAAUCAACACAUAUGAUGAUUCAUUUAAAUUAGAUUGUUUAUUCUCAUAACACAACUCACUGCUAUGUUAUUUGUCACAAACAUUAAAAUCUUCAUACGAUGAAUCCUUUAAUUGACAAUAGAUUAAGUUGAUAAUUAAAUAGUGGCCAAUUACCUAAUUAACAAACAUAAUCAUGAAACUAAUUCAGAGAAUAAACAAAUACCCAAAAAGUAAUAAAACAAUUAAAGCAUAAGAAAGAUCUCACAGUAGUGAUGAAUCAAAGCUUCAUUAACCUUCAACCAGAAAAAUAAGUUUAGUUCUUCAUAGAGAGAAGAGAAAAAUUAGAUCUAGGGUUUUUUUCUUUUUCUCUCAUCCCCCUUUUUCACUAUAGAUUCCUCCCUUAAAUACUCUCUCUCUCUUCUCUUUUAGAGUUCUAAUUAAAAUAAAAUACUAAUAUCUGAAAUAUUAAAUUCGUAAUUACAAAAAUAACCAAAAAUACAAAACAUGUUAAACUAAAAACUACAGGUCCGCAGUUGACAGCACGCGCCCACGCCUUAUCAAGAAAGUUCUUCUGACUCUCUAAAUUUCUCCAAGAGAACAAUCAUCUUUAAACAUCAUCUUAUAACUCAAUUUUAUCACAAAUCAAUAGAAUUGCACCUACAAAAGUACAACACAAGUAAAUCAUUAUUAUUAAGUGCAAAACAUCGAUAUUAAGGGAAGUAGACAAUGCAAAACUAGUGCAUAAAUUGCACUCUAACAAGUUCACACCACGAGAAAUUAAUGAUAGGCCUAAUUUCGUUGUCAGUUCUUUAUUUGUUUAUUUUAUUGAUUUCAUACAUUAUUGUCUUGUUGGUACUAUUUUGUAAAGAUAUAAAAGUACAAGUAAAAUAUUAGGGGAAGUAAAAUAAAAUAUUGGAGGUGCUGCUAAGUUACAGCUGCUGUAACUUACAGUUCCUUCAAAAAUAAUGUAAAAAAUUUAACAUGUGGUGGGACCCACAUUAUGUUUGAAGAGGCCGUAAGUUAUAGCAGUUGUAAAUUAGUAAAAUCCAAAUAUUAGAUAACAAUACACAUUAACAAUGCAUAUAAUUUGGGUUUGAUUUUUAAAAAAAUUAUGUGAGUAUUACCUAUCCUUAAGAUAUUAAUGAGAAUAUAUUUUAAUAUUAAAUAAUCAAAAUCUGUUUAAUCAUAAUAUGUAAUUCAUACAUUGCAUGUUAGAUUUGUUUGGAUUUUAAGUUGUUGCUAAUAAAUAUUUAUGUUGUGAAAGUCGAAUUCAAUAGCUACAAAAGCAGAGAUAAUGGUAUUUUAUGUAGUUUUUAAGAAUACAAGGAUAAGACCAUAACGCAUGAGAUAAUGGUAUUUUAUAUUAAAAGACCAUAACACAUGUAUUUGAGCCAUUUAUAUUGAGGACACAUAUAGAGCGAAGAGUGCAGAUCCGGCCGUAACUAUUGUGAAGCUUUCCUCAAGUAUUCUCAUGCACGCAGACCUUAGCUGGUCAAGUUUUCUGAUUCAAUAUAAUCAAUUUCCGCGCAGUACUAACGACAGCUUCUUUGUAAAGCUCUUCAACCACAAGCAUUUCUACAAGGCAAAAGACUAGGACGUGUCAGAAUGAAUAUCAAUAAGGGAAUGUCUUAUGAAUUUAGUUUAUAUCCUAAUAUAAGACAAUCAAUAAAUAUUAGAUGCAAUCUAAGGGAAUGUCUUAUGAAUCCUGAUUGAUGGCCUCUCACAGUCAGUUAUAUGACAAAGUAGCCACCACAACAAACUUGAACUUGGCUGGAGGUCUCAUUAGCAGUAUACCUCAGAAAUUAAGACAAAGACUUUAAAAUGCAAACUUAUGGAGCAAUUUAAGCACUGAAACUAAUAACAGUACUGUAUUAGCAAUUGACCUCUGCUUUUUUCUUGGACAAAGGUUCUCAUCACAAGGGACUCAUUAGUUGCCCUUGCCUCAAACGUUUGGAUGCUAAGGGGAAAAAGGAAGUUUGAAUUAGUCAAUCUCAUUUCUAAUGGCAUUCACAGAGAACCUAUAAAACAAAAAAAUUAUAAAAAAAAAAAUCAUCCAUAAUUCGCCAAACCGAAAAGAAAAACAGGGGAAUGAAAAGAGAGCCCACGGGAAUGAAGAGAUCAGCUCUUGUCGCGAAAAUGCAGUCGACUGUAACUAUAUCCGGGUCCCUAGUACUUAGAAGUAAAUGCUCUUGGAAUUUCUAUUAUAGAUUGAUGUUUCCCGUUCAAAUAGCUCUUCCGAUACCAUUAACAUGUUCAUCUCUCUAUAGAUUGAUGUUGACAUAGAUGUUAUUCUACUUUUGCUAGUGGAGUUUUCCUUGUACAGGUAUGUAUGAUUGUUUUUUUUGCACUUCUAAAUGGACACUGUUGAAAAGCUUAAAAUUGAACUGAUAAUUUUGUUUGGAAGCUCAGAAAAUUCAUGAGAAAGUGAAAUAGAAUAUUCUGGAUUUCUUUUCUUUCCAUAAUAUACAAAUGACAAACGUAGCAGUAUUUAUACUCGUUGCUUACAUCAUAAAAACAGAAUUAAAACAAGGUACACAACUAUAACAGAAUCAAAAGCGUGCUUAACUAAUUGGCAGAGCUGGCAUAUACUUCUUUAACUAACAAUGCUGCUGACUGGACUUUAGCUCACACAUGCUUAUCGUGCAGCUACUCUUAGUUCACACGUGCUCAGUCUGCUGUUGGCCCAAAGUUGGAACCAGAGAUAUCAUGACUCUGGUUUCAUUUCACCUCAACUGUGUUUUUUUUUUUAAAUUAAAAAAAUCAUUUGUUUUAGGUAUACAUACAUGUAUUUUGAUUCUAUUUUCAUUGUAAUUUCUCAUUUACUUUGAAUGAAAGUCAUUGGUGUUUUCGAAUGGGAAUUUUGCAUUAAAAAAUGAAGAAUAGUGAUUUUUGGAGUGUAAUUAGUAGUAAAGUUGGUUUUUACUCGCAAACAAGUGAACUGCUCGAUUCCCGAGUGGUAUCAACCAGUUUCCAACUUUUUAAUAUACACUAAUUGUUAUUGUUUAAUAGCUACUACUAUUAAAACUCGACAUCUAACAAAAAUACUUAAAAAAAAUGAUUUUUCUUAUGAUGCUGUAAAAAAAAAUUACGGGUUUACUUCUUUCCAUGAGAUCUAUAACAUGGUCUUGACUUCACGAAAUUCUUUUAAUUUAAAGCUUGCUGGUGUGAGAAGGUCAGUUUGACUGAUUAAUUCUUUUUAACAGUGGUCGAGAUAAUUUUACUAUCUAAUCGAAUGUUAUGCUGUUUUCUUUUUCUAAUCUGGUGUGAGAUAAUUAAUUCUUUUUCACAAAUGCUAUGCUGUUUUCUUAGGCUAAGGAUCUUCUAUCAGGAGAGGUUAGAAAUUCAAUGCUUAAAAGAGAAUAAUACAGAAAUUUAGGCAGAAUCUAAUCGAAUAUUGCAUGAAACAUGAAAAAUCAAUUCAAGUCCUUUCUUUAAACGGAGAAUGCAUCAAACAAAAUCCAAAGUGUCUUGCACGUCUGUAGCAUGAGCAAAAAAUUGUAAAUAUGUAGAACCAAAUUAUUCAAGUACAGAAGAACGAGCAAGCUAAAUCAUGUAUAAGAGAUUGGCCUGGUUCGGGAUAGCUUCUUCACUGUACCUGAAGGAUUGGCUCAAUCUCUUCUUUAGAAUUCUGCAGAUUUUGUAAUUACUCGUGUAAGCAAGCAUACAUUGCCACCAUAAGAAUAAUAAAGCUAGAGUAAUGAUAUGACCACCACCUCUUGUGCACAAACAAUAUUGUAUAAACUAAUGCGACAUAAUAUGAUUGGUUAAACAAAAACAUUACAUGGCCCUCAUAAUUUAUUUAUUUAUUUAUUUAUUUAUUAUUAUAUUUUUUCAGUAAACCAAUCAUAUUAUAUCACAUUAGUUUCUAUAAAAUAAUUUGCUAAAUAGCACCAAAACUUAAUUGAUACUCACCAUUUCAUUGAACAAUUUUUUUAUGGUGUCAUUGAGAUUGCCUUCCCAACAUCCUUCAUCAUCAUCAUCUUCAUCAUCAUCAUCAUCUUCUUCAUCAUCAUCUUCUUCAUCAUCAUCUUUUUCUUCUUCUGUGACGUUCACUUUGUUUAGCAUUGGUGUGUCUAAGACUCCUUGAGAGAAGAUCUUCAUUUUUGGACACUGUCUCACAACUACUGGUUUCAAGGACGGGAAUUCAAGAGCGUAAUUACCCGAACAAAAGCUUGUUAGGCUUGGCAAACAAUCAAGUCCCAAGUACUCCAAUUCCUCGAAGACAACGCAACCUUUCGCUUCUUCUCCAACCUGCAAUUGUAUGAUUUGUUCUAUCAUUUUGCAAUCAGCUAUCUUCAUUCUUUGAAGAGUCACUAGACUUUCAGAUGUUGAGAGCGUCAAUAAAUUUAUCAACCCAUGACACUUCGAUACUUCCAGAGUCGCAAGAUUUUCCAAAUGCCACGAAGCUGGUACUAAUUUCUGCAACUUACUACAUUCAAAUAUUUCUGGACUUUUCAAGUUUGCAAACACUUUGUUGGAUUUGGCAUUUUCCUUCCAGAGAUGCUGCACUUUGUGUAAUCCAGAUAGCUUUAACUUCAUCAAUUGAGGGAAUGCAACCUGAAAAUCAACAAAAUUAAGUUGUAAAUGAAAAUAUGUAUCCAAUCUCUGCAGUCUUCCCCUGCAUAUUUUAUGAACAAGAUUAAUCACGACAUUUUAUAUUUUAUUUCCAAAUUAGUAUGCUUUGCAGUAGGAUCCCAAAUAUAAGUAUCAAAUCGAUUACCCUUUGAAACACAUAAAUGAAAUCUGAUGCUAAAUCCAAUAUGAAUUAGCUAGGAAAACAGAGAUGUAACACGCAUAAUCGAUAUAGUUCAUCGCCUUAUGUCACCAGGCAUCUAAUUAAUUUAAGACAUUUUUAUAAUUCAUACUAUAAAGUUAGUUAAUAACAGAGGUUAUAUUGUUAAAUCAGAUAUAAAUUAAGACGACCUGCAAAAAGAUGAGUCAUUAAGUUUGAUUUGAUUCUAAUGAAAUUACAUCUGUGCGAACGAAAGUGAAGGCAAUAAUAAUAAUAAUAAUAAUAAUCACCUUUUCAUCGAAGAGGGGUUGUACUUGAUGAGCCAGCAAGAAGUUCUCUUCUGAUGUUAAUUUUUGAGGUUUCUUGUUAUCUGUUGUCACGUGCACUAAAGAGUUGGAUAUGAAUGUUUCCAUAUCAGGGCAAUUCUCAAUAGUUAGAUUCUCCAACUCAAGCAUUUCAAUUAUAUUCCCAGUGAAGUUGCAGAAUCUUUUGAGUUUUGGAAGGUCAAUGAGCCUUAGCUCGAAAAGCUUAGGAAACAGGGGACCUAUAUGUUCUUUGUCAGCAUUUAGCACUUCCAAAUGAAGCACCUCUUCCAGUGAAUCACAAUUCCUCACUUCCAACCAUUCCAAAUUGUUCAAGCACCGUAGCAGAUUGGCAGGAAUAGCACUCGACAUAUUCGUGCAGUCAUCCACCACCAGGUGUCUUAAAUUGUUGAAGAAGCUGACAGGCAGUGCUUGGCCAUGCGAUAUUUCUUUCAAACGUGGAAAAUGUGAGAAUUGCAAAAACUCCAUGUCACGAAAUCCAAUCUGCUCAAACCAAAACAAUUGCACUGGAUAUAUACAAUUUUUUUUUUGAAAGGCAUUAGAUAUAUAUAUAUACAUUAAACUUACAUGUUUUGUGUUUUAACUUCUAAAAAUAUAUUUAAAUGUGCAAGUGCAGGGGAGAUGCAUGAACAAUUUGGAUGAAUCGAUUAACACAUACCAUUUCUUCGUAACACUUUUGUAUAGUGGAAUUAAGCUUAUUGCCUUCCCAAUGGUGCAGUUCACCCCCUUCCUUUUCAGUCACUUGCACUUUGCAUGGCUUUGGAAUGGAUAAGAUUCCCUGAGAAAAAGUCUUCAUGUUUGGACAACGUAUCAUAGAAACUCGUUCCAAUGAUGGGAAUUCAAGAGUGUAAUUCUCCAAACAAAAGCUGGUAAGCCUUCGUAAAUCAUCAAGUAUCAAAACUUUUAAUUCGCUGAAAGCAAUACGAUUCUCCUUCGCUUCUUCUCCAACAUGUCCUACGAUUUCUUCUAAUUCUUUGCAAUCCGAUACUUUAAGAUUCACCAGACUACUAGGAAUUCCAACCUGAAAAUAAGCAAAAGUGUGCGCAUGUGUGGUGUAUUAAAAAAGUAUGUUAAUCAUACAAUUAUGCAUUUUAUAAACAUAACAAACCAUGAAAUGUCUACUAGAUAAUUUUUUGUUAAACAAAAACGGAACAAGAUAAAUAAAUAAAUAAAAUCCAGAUAAACAAAGAUAAUAAAAAUACAUUUACACUAUUUAGUAUUAGAAACGUAGAAAUAAUUUAAGGCAAUUUCUAAAUAUUUUAGACUUAUUUUGCAUCUUGAUAUCAGUUUUUAAGCAUAAAUUUGCAAAUUUCAACUAUUCCUUCUUUUUUUUUUAAAAAAAAAGGGACCAUUUUCCUUGGUCCCUUUUUUUUAUGUAUAUUUAAAAAUGGAAAAAAAAAUUUGGAAAAGACUUCCCAAUACUGUCAACGAGGGACUGCUGUAAAGUGGAUCUUUAUUAAGUACUUCCAGACUAGAGGAAAUUUCUUUACAAUCAAGGGUCAGUUGUAAAUAAUCAUGAAUUUGUGGUUAAUUAAUGGCAUAAUCAAUUCGUAACUAAACUAGAGAUAUUAAUUAAAUUUGAAGACUUUUAUUUUCUUUUUUUCUUUUUCCAAUCGAAAUGUGAAGAAUUAAGGAAAAGAGAAAUAUAUAGAUGAAUUCGUGAACCUAUAAGAUGAGUGACGAUCCUUUAAUUUUUGAAAAUCGUACUUAUUAAGAUAUGAGCAAAAACUAUUUAAUUGAAUUAUAUUAUGCUGUUGAAUCGUGUUUAAAAAAUUUAUAUUGUUGAUUCUAAUGCUGACGAACCUAAGAUACUUGAAAUAAAUAAUCAGUUUGCUGGCUGAAUAUCAUUUGUAAACAAAAAAUGGUUAAAAUAUUGUUGGAUGUAAUUUGAAAAAAAAAAGAUUCGAAAUGAAUACAGCAACCUUACCAAUGGAGGAAAAAUAUUCAUUAGGUUAUCACACCCAAUUAUCUCCAAAUUCUUCAAUUUGCUGAAAGACUCCGAAGCAAGCUGGUGGUGCCAUAUUUUUCUCAAAUUAUCCAUCAACCUAAUACGUAAUACCUCCAACCUAGUAAGUCGUACCUGGCAGUUAAAGAUUAAAUAACUAAUUAAUCAAUUAAUGGCAUAAUCAAUUGAUAACUAAAUUAGAGGCGGAUAUUAACUAAAUUUGAAGACUCAAGGAAAAGACAAAUUAAAUAUUGUGACUAAAAUUAAAUUUUUUUAUUAAAAAAAAAACCUUUUUGUCAAAGAGAGGAGGAGGUUGCAUUUCAGAAUGAAUGGUGUCUUCUGGUGAGCUCGUAGAGAUGAAUCUCGACAUACUGUUGCACCAACUAAUCUCGAGGUUUAGCAAAGAAGGGAAUUCAACAACUAAAUCUGAAUGAAUAUGUCCCGUAUUGGCAAAGCUUGUUAGUUCUGGAAGAAAAUGGAGCUUGAGGGAGUGUAGUUUAGGAAAAACCUUUAAUUCAAUCAACUUUCCUUCUUCUCUUUCUGACCACCCCGUGGUGUCGACCACCCCUUCCAUUGACUCACAAGACCGUAUUUCAAGAUGUUGGAGUUGCAAAAGACUAUUAACCAUAGAAUACGAAAACAGAUACUUCAUACGAUGACAACUGCUCACGUACAGCUUUGUUAAAUUUUGACAACAGUACAUUCCUUGAUUAUGAUCGGCCCAUAAUUUUUUCAUGUUUCUUAAGUCCCUGAGAUUCAAUUCCUCUAACCUCGGAAGAAUAACCUGCAAAGAAAACCCGUACAUUUUUGUUCCUUCAAGUACAACCGUCUAGUAUAAUAUUCUUUUGAUGAUCGAAGAUUAAUCGUGAUAAUAAAUUAAUCAAUUAAUUAUUGAACAGAAAAUUAUCACCUUUGGAGCAGUAUCAUCAUCAGCAAUGAUUUCGUUGAAUCCCAAAGAAGUUGUUGGUUUCUCCCUGUCGGGUCCUAUAAACAAACAAAAACAAUAUAUACAUAAUUAAUCUUUGUUGUUUUUUUUUUUCCAAAAUAAUUGAGGAGAAGUCCAUAAUCCCACCAAUACUUAACUUCAACACUCACCAAAAAUCAUUUCCAGAUCACCGCAAAGAGCCACUUCUACCUUUUGAAGCCGCAGUAGGUUUUUGGCCAUGGAGAAUGAGAAAAGAUGCUUCAAUUUGUGACAGGCUUCUACUUCUAUAAUCCUUAAGUUGCUGAAAGAUUGAUCUUCUGUGAGUUGGCUGUCACAUAUUGUCUCCAAAUUGUUCAAAUAGCUAAGAGACAAUGACUCCAGCAAGGGAAAGACUGUACAAUGAACCCGUCCAACUGAACCGACAAUAUGCAAAAUCUCAGAACAACUUUCUACCCAAAGAUGCUUCAAUCGUGGAAAACCUUCCCCAUCAUCUAAUUCAUGAACAACAUUCUGAACACCCUUCAGUUCGUUUAGAUGGAUCUCUUCAGCUUCCUUCAGCAACAUUUUCGUCCCAUAAUUCUCCAAAAGAGUGCUAACAUUUUCUAGCCCAUCGAGCUCCACCAUUCUUGAUGUUUUAGAAUUAACGCCUCACAUGCGCCACGCUUCUCCUAUACAUAUCUUAUAUCUUUGCAAUUCCACAGAGACCAAAUCCUGCGGUAGAAUUUCGGCAUCCCGAACGUGUAUCUCCAAGGUAGUUAGCUUUGACAACCCCUUCAAUUCAGCAAGACUGGCGUUACUUCCUCCUUCAACCUUAUCCCACUGCGAAAAGCUGUCACCCAUAUAUAGUUCUUCCAAUCGUGAAAAUUUUGAUAUGACAUUUGGUGCUAUCACUACAAGGCUCCUACAAUUGCUCAAAUCUAGCAAUUGUAACCGCGUCAAUUGACCGAUUUCAAGUGGUAACUGCUUAAUGUCGGAAUAUCGAAAGCUAAGAAUCUCUAAUUUCUUUAGCUGUCCAAUUGCCGCUACAUCUUCUUGUUGGCACCAGUCUAAACACAAUGUUUGAAGGUUAAUGAGGCGACCUAGUGACGAAAGUAAUGAAGAGAAAUGAAUUCCAGUAAAAUCUAAAACUUUGAGUUCUUCUGUCCCUUCAAAAAAGAGGUCUGAAACUUGCAUAGGGCCAUUACCCUCCGUAUACAACAAAAAUAACUGGAGAUUGGGACAUCCCAACCUUUCGGGAAGCUCUUGAAUAUCUCUAUAAGGUAAAGAAAUAGCAAUUGGACCUUUCUGUAUUGUCUCUUCCAUCUUUUUCUCCACGUCAGCAACAUUUGGAAUAUUAAACAUGCGCUUCUCUGCUGCAAUUGAUACAGCAACAACAUGAAUGACGUCAUGCAUUUUAACUUCAUCUUUGGCAUCACCGUCCAACAAUAAGCAUGAAGAUUUGAGAUUGUCGAUCAACCGAUGCACUCUACUCCUUGCUUCUUCCAAUGUGUAAACAUUUUCAAACAAACCCCAACCCACACCAUGUCUCAAUAAGUCAGAAACGGGUAUGACAUUACCUUCACUGUAUAGACCACAAAGACGGAACAGAGAUUUUGCCUCCUCACUUUCCAAGAAUUCAUAACUCAAUUUUAUGGAGGUGUACACAUUUGCUUGCAUGCCAUGAAUUUCUCUUGCAUCCGAUCUUCUUAGCUGAUUCAAUGCAUCUUGCCAAAAGUAACGCUCCUUAGUUUUCAGAGCAUUUGCAACUGUACUCAGUGCAACAGGCAAACCUCCGCAUCUUUCAACGAUCUCAUUUGCUAUACUUUGAAAAGCAGAUAUUUUAGUUGAAUCACCCACUAUCUUCUCAAAUAACUGCAAUGCUUCUUUUCGUGGCAAAGCAUCGAUCGGGAAAUUUUUCUGAGAAUUCAUAUCAAUGCUCAAUAAAUCUUGCUUUCUAGACGUCAAUAUUAUUGUGCAUCUUCUCUGAUCAUCCUUUCUAUCUUUCUCAGCAACAUCUCCAGAAGGGAUUCCAACCGCAUCCAACUCAAGUCUUGUCCAAAUAUUAUCCAAUAUAAUGAGGACCCGCUUCUCUUUCUUCAAUACUCGACGUAGUCGAUUUGCUCUGUCGAAUAUAUUCUCAUUCAACUCAAACUUUAUGCCUAAAUCUGAAGCGAGUUUGUUUUGAAUUUGCUGAUUAUCUGAUUCAUGUGUUAGCUCAGCCAUAACGACCUUAUCGAACAACUUAUCUUCCAUCACUUGCUUUCUAACUUGCCUGACUAGCGUGGUUUUACCCACGCCGCCCAUGCCGUAGACCCCAAUUAUGUUGAGCUUAUCAUCCUUCAACGCCUCCAUAACAUCCUGUAAUACUUUCUUUCUUGAAUCAAAGGCCUCGUUAUCUUUCCCGCCCCUAGGUGAUUCGCUCUCUGGAGGAGGAUCGUAGGAAACAUCACUCUUCAGUUUGUCGCCUUUUUCCAUGAGAUUAGCAGCAUCUUUUGCGGCCUUUGCUGCUCGUUUACUGAGUUUGUAACGAGACAACAAAUUUGGACACAAUCCUUUGAAGCAGGACUUCUUGGCUCCAUCUUCUUCGUCAAUGAUAGAUUUUGCAACCCCCUCCGUAGAUUCAACCCUACUUCGCCAGUCUUUGACACGCUGAUAAAUCUCUUCCCCUUGUCGGGUAGCAUGAUAAACAUGUUGUUGCACCAUUUCGUUUAUACCUCCCAACUCCUUCACUUGAUCUUUCAGCUCUUCUAUGUAGCUCUGGUACUUGAACACAUAAGAGAUCUGCCGCAUAAUCGGUUCGAACAAUGCCUUUGUGCCUUCUGAUAUAAUGCUUGAAAAAACACCUUGACAGAAUUCUACAGCCAUUGCCUGCUGCUUAACGAUAUAUAUGUAGUUUUUGGCUGUUAAAAAAAAAAAAAUUGGAUUCAAAUAAAUUAAAUGAACUAGAGGGGAAGAAAAAGAAAGAAACGACAACAAACAACUUUUUAGAGAAAGGUUUGACAGGCCUAAAUGGAAAACCAACAACUUUUUGAAGAAAGAAAACUUUGGAAGAUAGAUGCAAAUUAACCGUUGAUAAUAAUACUACAUUAAGAACACAGAAGUUAACAAUAAACAGUAACUUAAAACUCAAGAAAAUUAAAUGACGAGAUUAAGACAAACAAGGGAUAGUUUUUGUUGGACAUUAAGAAACAACUGCUAUCAAGAUCAAGGAUUAGAAAUUAUGCUAUUAAAAGAAGUUAUUAAAGGAUAGUGCUCGUGACUGCAGGAAAAUUUCUAAUGGAAACAACUCAAUUUCAGAAGAAUUUAUCCAAUUGACUCUGUACUUGAACUCGUUGGAUUGGUUGAUUUAUGAUUGACUGAAUUUCAAUUCGGCCCAAAAGAUCUUUAACCAAAGUUUAAUAGCUAUCAUCUACUCCUUAAAAGCAAAUGUGUAUCUUUUUUAGAUUUGACUGAAUUUGAUCUUGUUGGAUUGGUUUUUUUUUAGACAAAGUUGUUUUCCUACUGAUUUUUAUUCUUCAAGUAAACUUAGAUACAAAGUAAAUCUAAAAAAAUGACAAACAAACAAUGAAAUAAACGACAACAAACUGGCAAUUUUGAUACAAAGCCAACAAAUAUUAAAAUUUAGAACAUUUUGUUUUCUUGCUUUCUUUUGUUGGAGGAUUAGAGAUUUUGGUAUUACCCGAAAGGUUUCAAGGGUCUGAGUAGAAACCUAUAAUCUUUUUAAAAACUUUUUUUUAAAAAAUUUUUUUUGGGGAAAAGGAUGCAAAUUAACCAAAGGAAAUAAUAAGAGCACAGGCUUUAUCAAUGAACAAAAACUUAAAACUCAUGCAAAAUAAUUCAAUAUUAAAACAAAUCACUGAGGAAUAUUUAAGAACAACUUGAAAGAGCAAAAAGAUCACUGAGGAAUGUGUGAGAAAAGAGUUGACGAGAGAAAUAACAAUGACUUGCAGAAGAAAAACCAUUAAUAAUUAUGUGCAUUUUUAUUUUAUUUUUAUCCGCAUGCACUUUAAUGAUUAGUGCUCCUUUCAUAAAGCAGCUACCGGAAACACACAAAUAUCAUUUGAGAGAGAAACUAAACAGCAAAUCAUCAAAGUAAGAUCAAUAAUAUAUUAUUUGGUUAAUGCAUAUUCAAGAACAAAAACAAAAAUAAAUAAAUAAAUAAAGAAGGUUUGAUUUUGUAUUGCCAACGCUGCUUUUUUGUUAUUUCAUUUGUUCUUUCCACAAAUGAUGCUUGGUUAUAAUUAAGUUUCACAUGGCCAUUACUUACAAACUGUGUUUGUGUUAACAGAAACAUGAAAUUCACAUCACACAAAAUUGCACUAUCAAUUCUUAAUAGAACAUAAUAAUAAUUACUCAACGCAUAAGGGUAAAUUUAGAAUUACAUUUUCUCAAUGCAGAAGGGUAAAUUUAGAAUUACAUUUUCUGAUUCUUUUUUAUUUAAUAAAACCCCAAUGGAAAAUCAUAAAAAUUUAGAUAUAUAAAUUUUCUCCACCAAACAAGAAAAAAAAAGGGGGAAUGAAAACACAGGAUUUAUUUUACCUCUCUUUCAUCUUAACUCUUUUUCAGGCAAACCAAAACAAAAAAAUUUCAAUAAAGAGCUAGUUGUUGAAAUUGAUUUAUCUUGUUUUUCAGGCUAUCUUGUGACGUGACGAUAGAUAAUGCUCGUGAAUGCUAGAAAAUUUCUAAUGCAAACAACUCAAUUUGGGAUGAUAAGCUUAAUUUUGCAAAUGACGAAUGUAAAUAACUUGUUUUGAUUAAUUGAAUUUGUAAUACUCUUACCCUAUUCUAAAAUUUGGAGGUUGCUUGAGAAAAAAGGGUAUUUCUCACUCAUCUUCAAUCCUCAAGUAAAAUUAGGUAAAAAUCAAAUCUAAAAAAUCACAAACAAAUUAACAAAAAAAAAAAAAAAAACAACAACAUUGAUCUUGAGACAAGUGAUAUUUAAACAGAGAAUUCUUUAUUCUUUUUUACUUCCCCCUCCCCCCCCGGGGGGCUCGAGGAUUAAAGUCUUGCUAUUAACAGAGAGGUUUUAAGAGUCUGGAUAAAACCCGUGCUUUUUUAAAAAACCACUUUUUUUUUUCUUUUCUCUUUUUUUUGGGAAGAUAGAUUCAAAUUAACCAAAGCUAGUAAUAAGAGCACAUACCUUACAAAUGAACAAUAACUUACAACUCAAGCAACAUAAAUGAUAAGAUUAAAACAAACCGGAGAAAUUUUUCUUGGAAAAUAGACGGAAAUUAAAUAAGAACUGCUGUUAAAAGAAAUUAUUAGAGGAUUUAGGAGCAUGUGUACCUCUUUAAUUAUUUGGGAUCAGAGAGUUGAUGAGCUCUCUAUUCGCCUUUAAUAUUGAGUAAGAACUGGUAUUAAAAGAAAUUAUUAAGAACAAUAUUUCAGUGAGCAAAAGAUCACUGUUAACUGCAGAGGAAUUUGCGAGUAAAAAUUAAGCUGAAAAGAGCAGUAACAAUGAAUUGCAAAAGAAGGAGACUUAAUCAAGCACCCCUUUUAUACCCGAUUUUUAAGAUUUAAUUUUGAAGUUCCCAAUCAAGAACAAAGACGAAGCUUUAAUGAAGCAUGCAGUGAGAUACAAGAAAUGGAUCGGGCAAAAUACCUUACGAAGCGUUUCAUAUUUUCUAAUGAAAUAAUUAAGUUGAAGUUUUCGACGAAUAAAUACUUGUUGUGCUUGAAUAAUUUUGGCAUAUACAUUACUUGUAUCCGGCGAAAUUGAAAAGCACAUUCAUUUACAGAGCUUGUUAGUAGGGAAAAGCUUCGUAAGAUGCCUGAUAAAAGAUAAAGCAAAAGCUUGAAUGAAGAAUGACAUUUUAGAAAGAAACUAAAGUGCAAUCAUCAAAGUAGGAUCAAUAGUGACUUGAUCAGUUAUGCUUUUUGUUAUUUCAAUUGUUCUGUCCACAAAUGAUGCUUCGUUAUUACUAAUUCCACAUGGACAUUAUUUAGAAACUGAUCUUAUGUUUAACAGAAAAAUAAAAACUCGUCAUCAUAAGCAUUCUUGGUUGUCCUAAACCAGAAGUAGGUGUUUUGCCUGAAAGUACCACUUUGCUAGCAAAUCUAGUGGGUAUACUGAAUAAAUUUUUACAUUAUUCUAUUUGAUCUCUCUGUCUUUAUCCUAAGCAUUCUUGGUUGGGAUCGCUGCAUUGUCCUGUAAUCUGUGUGACUUAGUGAAAAGAGGAAUGGGUAACUGUGGUUAUGGGUACGUGAGAGGUAACGAUGAGGGUAGAUUGUUAAUUUUGAGGAGCGAUUUGCUUGCAUAAUUCAAUGCAUGGACAGAAAUGUCCCUGACCAAAAAAAGGGACCAUCCAUAUCUGAAUCUGAGCAUCAGAGCUUGACUUAUUUGAUAAAUAGAUAUACUUGAACUGUUUUUGCAUAAUAACUAAAAUAUUUAUUUUUAUAUAUUCGAUAAACGAGCUCACUAUUGAUAGAACUUAUUAGAUACUACAACUCAAAUAACUUCUUGUGCUUGAUUGAGGUUUUUAUAUAUUCGUAUGUUUGAGUUUUUUUUUUUUUUUUACUUUCUAAGAAUUAACUUCUACCUUGAUUCUAAAAAAAAAUAUAUAAUUUUACAAAUAAUUUAGUUCGGCAUUUGGUAAAUGAUAACUAUUUGAGAAUAAGUUUUAAAAUGGUUUACUGUACAAAUCUGGUAAAUGAAAAUUAAAAGUGUAAAAUGUUCACAUAAUGAAAAUUAAAAGUGUAAAAUGUUCACUUGCAAUGACAACAAAUACUUAUUUACUUAUUUGUAAUUUAUUUUGAAUAUUAUUGUUUAAAUCAUUUUUUUUACUUACCAGAUUUUUUAAGAGCAUUCUAUUUUCUUUAUUACAUAGUUAAAUAAUUUUUUAUUAGCUAUUUUAUUUUGCAAUAAAAUUAACUUCAAUAUUUUUUUAACUAAAAAUUUUGUUAUGUAGUUCGUGAUAUAACAAAUACUAACAUAUCAUUAAAUUGAUUAAUAAAUUAAGUGCAAAAAAGAAAAUGCAGAAAUUUAAUCUUUAUAUAAACUUUUAUGUACAUAAAAUCAUUGUAAUCAAACUAGUUCAUAGAAAUAUAAUAUUAUAUACAUGUGUGUAAAAAAAACAUAUGACCAUAAUAUUAUCCACUCAUUAAACUUGCUGCACUAUUAUUUCUCAAUCUCUCCAUCUCUCGACCUUCAAGAACAUUACUACCAUAAUCUUCUUCUUGAAUUCAACCUCCAUUUCCUCAUCAUCAACAAUGCGACCAAUUUGCCUUGAUAGCCUUUCAACUCCUCCCACUUUCCUCCCUUUUUGCAGACACUCUUUUUCUUUUUCUUUUUCUUCUUUAAUAGCUUCAAUGGGAACAACCUCAUCUAACGACAAGUCCAUUCUUCAACUAGAAUAGAGUUGGUAGUAGAUAUUUUAGUACUCUCAAACUAUGCCCAAACAGGGUCACCAAUGAUUGUCGUAUUAAAAGACAUUCUAUUUAAUUUUCCUCUAACUCUGGGUCGAUACCUUUUAUGCAAAAUCUAUUUACUUCAGGAAUUUUCUACACAUGUCGAUAGCAUAUUAAAGUGAAUUCAGAUCCUAUAUUAUUGACAUUAAAAUUUAGCCGAAUAGUAAAAAAUUUCCCUUUUUGUUUGUCACACAGCCAUAUAGUCCCAUUUUUGGUUAUAAGCUCACAAUAUGCAAGGGAAAUGAAGAUCUAUUAAAACUUCCCCAUAAUGUUCAUUUUGUUGCUCGGAGGAAUAUAACUACCUAUUAAUUAAUUAGCAAGAAUUGCGUUGCGAGUCCAUGUUUUUGUCGUUUGGAUGGAGGAUGUGCUAUCUUUUUGUUGUAGAUGCUUUGUAAGGCUUUUGAUUUAAUGAUUUAAUGCAGUCAAUUAACAAAAGCUUACAUAUAGUAUUAUGUAGUUGCUGAGAUGUCUGUUCUUGAUAAAGUCGAUUUAUUUACACCCAAGCCAACGGAAUCAAAGCCUUUUCGUUAAUAAUAUACACGGUAAUUGUUUUUGUUAAAUUGAUUUCUAGCUAACAAGAUCUUUGAAAGCAUUUAGGUAGCGUUUACAUUUUAUGUUGGAGUGAGAAUCAUGAGGAGUGAGAAUCCUGGGAUUAGAAGUGUGGAGUGGGAGUCGAAGUAUGUUGUUUACUUACACUGGAAUGGAAGUAUGGAAUUGAAAUCAGAAUCCAAUUUAUUUGUUUACAUUGUCUUGGAUUGGGAGUAAAUGAUUUUAAAUUACAACUUUACUCUUAAAAAAUUAUAGUUAUUACUUACAAAAUUAAUAAAAAUUAUAUUUAAAAAAUAAAAUAUUUAUUUUAUUAUAUUUUUAAAAUAAUAAUAAUAAUUAAUAUUCUUAACUAUGUAAAUCAAAAUUAUUUUAUUAAUUUAAAUUUAAAUUAUAUAAAUAAAAAAUUAUUAAUAACAACAACACAAAUGAAACAUUAUUAUUGUACAAAAUUGAUUUUUAGAAUAAAAUAUUUAUUAUUAUUAAUCACUAAUAUUAAAUAAAUAUAAUAGUAUUAUUUUUAAAUAAGUAUAAUAAUAUUAUAUUUUCAAAUAAAAAUAGAAUAUAGUAAUAUUAUUAAUUCUUUAUGAAUAUAAUAAUAUAAUUUUUAAGUAAUUUUAAAUUAGAAUCAAUAUAAAUUAUUAUUUUUAACCAAAAAAUUAAUAUUAUUUUCAAUAUGUUUAAUAUUAUUAUUUUUAAUAAAUGUAAUUUAUAAAAUAAUAUAAUAAUUUAAUUUAAAUAAAUAUGAUAUUAUUUAUUUUAUUUUAUUAAAUAUAAAGGUAAAAAAUGAAGAGAGGCGAGUGAAUUCCCACUCCCACCUUGCCCCAUGAGAGUGGGAAUCCCAUUCAGUCACUCCAAAGUUAGGUGGGAUCCACAGAGUGGAAUUCUCACUCUCCCUUUGAAAAUUGUAAGUAAACACUAGAGUAAAAGAAAUCCACACUCCUCACUCUCACUCCAAAAAGUACACACUACAUUGAAGAAGCCAUUGACUCAUAAGAAAGCCAUGAUUAAAUACAAGGCGAAGCAUGUGAGCUCGUUUUUCAAUCUCUUUGAUCACUCAUAAGUUUUUCUAUACCACUCACUAUAUCAUCCUUUUAAGUCAAUUUUGACUGAUCAUCAGAGAUCAUGCACCCCACCUUGAGAUGAUUGAUCACCAAUUUGGCAUUGUAACAUUGAUCACCUCUAAUUGGCCAAGCUAAAAUUGGGACCCCAAAACCAAUUGCUUCUACAGUUGAAUUUUAUCCACAGUGAGAUAAAAAUCCACCUGUUAAUUGAUAACUCAGUAUCAAUAAUUGUGGUGCCAUUCCAUCUAUUAUCAAACCCUUUUUACUGGCUCUACUAUCUAAACCACUACGAAAAUAAGCUGGUUAAAUGACGUAGAGGAUCCAAUCUAUUUACAUAAGUUUGAAUUACCUAAAUAAUCGGUGGAUUUGAUGCUUAUAAAUCAGAGGGAAUUGCAGCAGAUACACCUUCAUACUUUAAAAAUUACCUCAAUACCUUAAAAUUUGAUUUUUCCAAAAUUUUCAUCAAUAUCCUUUAAAAGCUGAUAGGAAAUGACUAAGUUAUCCUCGUUUUAAAACACUUCAACUCAACUGGCAGCACCUCUCCCUCCCUCUACUCAAACAAACAAACACUCAUAUAUGCUACAAUUCCCUCCACUACCUUUACUCAAACAAACAAACAUUCAUUCUCCAUACAUGCUAAAUCGAACUUCAACACGAGCAAAUUGAGCUGAGAAAGGGAAGCUGCUACAACUGAGAAAGAGAAGCCUAGUUCGUCGCUACAUAAUCGCCAGCGAGAGUUGAUCCUUUAUUGCAAAAUGGUCAGAAUGUAACUAGUUGAGGUAAGUAAUUCCCUAUAAUUUGUUUUCUUGUUGAUAUUCAAGGGAAAAAACAAAAAGUUAGGGUUUUAUAUUGAAAAAAUAAUUAAUUAGUUGCGGGUCUCUCAUAACAUGUUCGAAAACACAUUUCUAGUUGUUUUGUUGCAUGCAAAUUGUGAAAAAUUAAUGGAUUGUGCCGAUUAUAAUUUUUUCAUGUAACACACGAUUUGGUCAUGUAAGGUUAUGUAAGAUUCAAGGUUGUGUAUUACACGACCUUCAUGUAUUGCACGAUUACAUGACCUUCAUAUAUUGCACGAUUACACGAGCUUUAUGUAUUACACAAUUACAUGACCUUCAAUUCCAGAUUGAGGAGUAAAAAGUUUAUCAUCUCUCCAGGUGUGUUCUGUAAUUUAAUUUUUUGUUUCUUGUCGAUAGAAUAUACACAUUACAUUUAGUUUAAUUAGGCUCACAAUUGGGGACAAUAAAUUGGAAUGGUACAUAUGCCUUUACCUUGUGGAAUGUCAUUACUUAGAGAGAUCCUUAAUUUGCAAUUAUAAGCCAUGGUAAGUCAUGGUAUGUCUAGUUAUGAGUGGAAACACUUUGAUCAUUGCGAAUGGUGUUCUUAUGUGUAUAACAUUACAUUAAUUUCCUAUAGUUAAUUUUUUUUCCUAAUUGAUUUCAUGGAUUAAUUAUAUGCAGGCAUUCCUCAUGUAUGCAUGUAUGUUUGGGCAGAGGAAGAAAGCACUUUGAAGAUUAAAAAAGCUUUUUAAAUGGUUGUACUAUGUUUAAUAGCGAUGUUCAUUAGUGUAUCAUAUCCAAAUAUUGAAAAAUUUGUACACUGAUAACUUUGUUUAUUUAUACUAAUUAAUCUAAUCAUUUCUCAAACUGUCGGAUGUUCAAAUUUAGUUUUUUUUUUCUGCAAUUUAUGAACACACGAUUUGGUCGUUUAAGGUCAUGUAACAUAGGAUUCAAGGUCGUGUAAUAUACUCAUGUAUACAUGACCCUCAGUCGUCUAUGACAUGACUUUGUAUAUUAUUACGCGAUCUUGAAUCAUGUGUUACGAGUCUUUCAUGACCUUCAGUUAUAUAUUACACGACUUUCAUGUACUACACGACUUUAUGUAUUACAUGACUUUAUAUAUUGCGCGAUUAUACAGCCUCCAUGUAUUACACGACCUUAAAAUUACACGAAAUUUUCCAUUAAUCAUUAGAUUAAUUUAGUUCAUUAAAGACUUAAUUUGUGCUAAGAAUUUAUAUUUGCUGCUAUGCAGAAAAUGUCAACGAAAAUUAUUAAAAAAAAGAAGUGAAAUUAAAUUGGAAUCUAAAAAAAUUCCACAUCAUCAUUGGUUUGAAUUGUAAGUGGUGGCAUAGGAUCAGAUGUCUUAAGCUUGAACUUCAUUGUGAUUUCGAAUUCCGAAGUAUCUAUAUCAAUAAAUUGAGCUAAUCUUCACCAAUCCGGCAUAUGUUGUCGAUCGUGGUAUCAUUAUCCCUUUAGCCUUGGAACCUUUGAACUUAUACUCAUCAUUUUGGUCAAUCCAUUCACCAUUGAAGAGAAUAGGUACACGUACCAAAACCAUAUCUGAUGAUACAAUAAAAACAAUAAUAUCAAAUUUCAUAUACAAGUAACUACACGACCUACAUGACUACAUUACUUACAUGACUUACACGACCUACAUGACUAUAUUACUUACAUGACCCACAUGACUUACACGACUAUAUUACUUACACGACCUACAUGACUAACUACAUGACGUGCACGGUAUCAAAAGGAAUGCACGACGCAAAACAUUUUCACCAUAAAUAAAUUAUAUUGCUGAAAAAAAUAAUUAAACAACCUACAUUGCAUAUAAUUCUACAUAUAAGAAAAAAUGGUGAAAAUACAACAUUAUAGAGUGAGGAAAUUUUCUAAAUUUUCCUAAAAAUUAAAAAAAAAUUAAAACCCAACAACAUUAACAUAUCUUAUUGGGUUGUUUAAUGAGCAAUGCACCUAAUUUCAGUUAAAGAAAGAGUGGGUGUUAAAGAAAUGAAUAUAUAAUUGUAUUUGUGUAAGAAGUUAUGAGAGAUUUUGAGAGAUUCUAGGAGAUUUUGAGAAAAUUUCGGCAGCAAGAAAAGAUUUGGGUGAAAGAAAUAUGAAGACAAUGAAGUUGAGUGAAUUUGAUGCAUUCAUUAAGGACAUUUCAAACUUUACUUACAUUUAUUAGGGUAUCCAUGAAAACAAAAAAGGGAGGGGAUAUUUAAAUAAUUUUGAAACUAUUAAAGGGUAUUUAAUUAAAAAACCCUCUAAAUCAUUGGCUAAUGUUGAAUAAUUAUUUAAGGUAGGACCCAACAUGUAUAACACAGAUCCAUAUGAUUUCAAAUCUAAUCAUUUAAUGAUCUCAUCUUCGGUCAUGUUAGAACUCCGCCGGUUGGUUCUCAUCUCACAAUCACGAAGCACUGAACCGGCCGAUUUGUAAAAUUGUUUAGGUAACAAUGGGCCCACUCCCCACACUGGCAUCAACACCAUCGAUCCCUCCACUUGCUUCAUCCAGUGUGGUUGAUCACUCGGUUCUGAUGGACCUAUUUUCUCUGAACCGGGUGCACCUCACAAAGGUUGUGGACCACCAGGAAGGGACCCGUGAGGCCUGCGUUUAAGAUCCGAUUCGAAUAAAGCAAUAUCCUUGGGUAACCCAAGAAGUAAACGGGCCUCUCCCGGUUUGACAUCCUGGAUGCGAGCCUGCCACAUGGCACACUCUACAGCUGCUGAGCAAGCAUCAGAAGUGAAGAACCCAACAAUGGGAACUUCAAAAUUCUUGAAAACAUCAGCCGUCCAGCCCAUCAUAACGCCGAUGACUACGCAAACAGGUCGGCUUUCGGGUUCCCGGGUUGAAAGGAGGUUUCGAAGGCCUUGAAGCAUAUGGCUGUGCAUGACAACAUGGUGGUGAGAAGGAGGUGAUGGUAGUGGUUGAGAUGGGAGGGUAUUUCGGUAAUUUCACAUAGAGGGUAUUGGUGAAGAGAGGAAGGGGUGAUGCUGGUGGUGGAAACGUGAGAGGGAAUAAUGAGGGUAGAUUUGUAAUUACGAGAAGCAAUUUGCUUGCAUAAUUCAAUGCAUGGAAACAGAUGUCCCUGACCGAAGAACGGGACAAUCCAAAUCUCAGCCUCAGCAGCAUUCGCAACAGAGCUUGACAUCUUUUAUGAAUUAUUUGAGACUUAAUUGUUAUUGACUGCUUUUGCCAUCUUUCAUAAAACAUUCUUUGUUAUAUAUUCAAGUAAAUAAAUUUAUCGUUUAAAAUUAAUUUUUCAUGUGGUAAAAGCAAUACUAAAUAUGGGGUGGAGAGAAUAAUUUGUAGGGCAUACCCCCACCAUUUAUUUAAUUUCAUUAAAAAAGAAAGAAAAGAAAUAAAGGCUUGUUCAACAUUCAAUUAAAAUUAACAAUUCCAUGAUAAAAUUACUUGAGAAUAAAAAUUUUUAAAAAAAAAGUAACUCAAAAACGAGGAAUUUUUGAGUAACUGAAGAACCAUAGAUGUUUUUUGGUCAUGAGCAAUUUUUGAGUUGAGACAGAACUUGUAUAAAAAAAUAGUUUUGAAAACUUCUUUUCUUUUUUCGUAAAUAUAGAUAUAAAAUUUUAAAAUCACCAAACACAAAACCAGGAAAAUGGAAGGAGAGCCCCUGUUUCUCCUCUGUUGCAAGAACAAAUUCGGUUUCUACAGUUGUACCUUCUAAAUGCACCAUUUGUAUUGCUUUGUCUCCACUUGAGCUAACGGAAUUUGAUGAAAACAAAAUAGAUAUGAGUGGUGCUAUUCACAGCCCUCAAUAAUUCUCUCAAAACCCCUUUUCUAAUUAUACCCCGUUGAAUAAGUUCAAGACCAACUUUUCCUCUUAUAACACCACCUUCAAUUCCGUUAAUACCCUUGUUCGCUAUGAAAAUGAGGAAAAUGCCUACAUAAAAAGCUGGCUCUGAUAAUCUACCUGAAUUUACAUUAGAAAAGAGUGGACUUUGAGAAAUAAGAAGACAAUAUAGGGAAUUUUACCAAAAUAAUCCAUUUUUAUAUACAGGGAAUGGUAUUUUCUGAUAUAGGGAGGAGUGGAGAAAUUAAAUUCAGCAAAAUAAAGAACCUCCAUCGAGAAGUAAAAAUGAUGAUAUCUUUGUCGUGAAGAGAUUUCUGCCUCAUACAAAUUUUUUAUUCUAGAAUGCUUGAAACCGAAAAGUUCUGUAGUUGUUUCAAUUCAAUUGCAUACAUUGACGAAACAUUAAAUACGGAAAAAAACAAAAAAGAAAUAAUAGGACAGGGGGAUUUCGAGAAGUUCUAAAGAGAGAAAUCUAUUUAUAAGCAUUGAAAAUUAGCUCAUUAAAUUUGACAGAAUAAUAUACAAUCUCACUGUUGGCCAGAAAAUAAUAGUAAGAACUUGUGAACAUAUAUAAUCAAUUGUUUAUUACUUAAGCUCUUUUUCUUCGUUAUUUUGAAUGGGUGCAAAGAAGAGAAGUUUUGUACCCAAAUUCCAACUCGAAUUGUGUAGGCUGCUUGCAAGAGCUUCAUUAGAUUUUUAUUUGUCUUUUAAUAGUGCUUCUCGACAAAUACAGCUAGCUAUCUGUCCUUUUUGUUACUGGACUAUAGAUCAAUUGACAGUUGAAGUUAUAUUAAUUUGUUGUGCUGGAAUUGAAGCUUGUAUCUUAGCCAUUUGGUGAAGUGUCAAAUAUAUUUUUAAUUUCCUUAAAAUUGUUCAAAAUAUGUUUACACUUUUAAAGUCACUAUUAUACAUGAGUGCCCUAAAAUUGGAGAAGGCGAUUUGCCUGACAUUACCUGUAUUCGCUUGUAUAGAGAGGACGAUUUAGAUAAGUCGGAACGGAACAACCUUCAUCACAUGCUUCCUCACGUGGUUACUUAAACUGAUAUGUAAAACGUGCUCCAUCCAUGUCGUUUCCACUAAAUCGUUUUCUGUUAAGAAUCAGCUGAGCAGCACGUGAGCUAAUGAAGCUUUUACGGCUUCAAAACGCAGCCGUUUCUGGGAACCAAACUUGAUUCAUCACCUCACAACUACAGAUGAAUUAUCGAAGUGGCUGAUUGGUGCUAUACGUGUUUUUCGUAUUGAACUCAACUCUGCUAUUUUCCCAAAAGCUGGAAAACAGAAACAUCAUCCCUGUGGUUUUAUUUCACCUCAACCUUUUUCUGAUCCCAUUUUCAUUGUAAUUUCUCAUUUACUUUGAGUGAAAGUCAUUGUUGCUUUCGAACGAGGUUUUGCAACUAAAAAGGAAAAGGGGGCGGCUAUAAUACAUGCGUGCAUCUGAUACAUGCACAAAAACUGACCAUUGGAUUAAAUGGAGUGGAUCUAAUGGCUGAGAUUUGUUUUAUUAUUAAGCAAUAAAAAAAUUUGAAACAACCAGAAACCUGUAAAACCGGUCAUUUGGUUUAAGUUAAAAAUAUAUAAAUGAAAAUAACAAAAAAACCCACCACUCCCCCGCCUCACACGCGCCUCACCGCUCCCCGCUCCCUCGCCUCACCUCUCUUCUUGUUCCACGGCCAUCAACGGCGGCACGAGUCGGCGACGAUCGACUGCGGCUGUAAAUUGACCACGAUCAUCUCUCUCUCUCGGCUUGCUCAAAUUUGGCCGAUCUGUGCGCUUGCUUAAGCUUGGCCGAUCUAUGCUUGCUCGAUUACUCUUCCUAUCUUCAGUCAGAGUCAACUGUUUGACAAGAGUCGAAGUCCAAGGUUCUUUUUUACAGGAUUUGAGCUAUUCCUUUUAUUCUUCUUGCAUGUUCACUGAUAUGAAGCUUUGAUGUGGUGUUCUGAUAGCGGGUGGAAUUUGAGAUUCUCCUUUCUUCUCUAUAUGAAGGUGCUUGUCAUGUGUCAAGAAAAAUAAAAUUAUUUACCAAAGAUUAUUUUAAGGAGAUUUAUUAUUAUUCGUGGAUCGGGAAGUUUAUUUUGUUUUUUGGUCUCUUAUUUAUUUAUUGUUUUCACGAGGAAAUUGCUGUGCUUUUGGAAAUUAAUAUGCUGUGUUGUCAAUGUUGUGUGAAAUCCUUUUAUUGGUGUCUAUGUAAAGUGUUUCAGAUUUCAGACCUGAGAGUUAAUCUUCGCGUACCAGUUGGCUUUUGGGUUUAGUAUUGCUACUUUUAACAUAAUUGACCUAUGGCCCAAAUCAUUUCUAUAGGGCGAAGCAUAUGAAUGAUACAUAUUAUCUUUUUUUGGCCUUAUGUAUUGUUAUUUGCAGUGUGAUUUGGUCUAGCUUAAGAGCUUAAGCUUGCAGGUUGGAUUUGUCUGACAGGGAACAAUUUAAUUUGCUCAUCGUGAUGUUUAUAUCCAUUUUGUACUACUAUCAAUUUCAAUCAUGCCUAAUUUUUAUAUGUAUUUCUCGUGGACUCUCAGGUUCAGUGCACAAGAGGAUGAAGACGAUGGACACCCAAAUUUGAUGUGGAGAACAACUAUUGCAAAUGGUCCUUGAUUUACUUCUCCAAUUGACUUGAAUUGGUUUGACGCAAUUUAUAGUGUAUUUUUGUCAUCUUUGUACGACUAGCAGGUCGUCCUGAUUUGGUACAUGACUGGACACAGGAAUUGGACUCAUAUUUUUCAAACCAGAAUGCCAACAAUCAAGCAUUUUCUUUUGAAAGCACUGGCGUCUUCUUCAAUGCCAAAAAGGUUAGAGAUUUUCUGUAUCUUGUUUUGUAUUUAAUCAGUUUAGCAUGUGGGUGGCAAUCAAGAAAAGUUAUUAUAACAUUUUUGUGUUCCCGAAAAACUGCUGAUGAUGUGUAGUGCAGGAAAUGAAUUGUUUUUGACUUCUUUUUAUUUGUAUUCUUUCUUUUUUCUUUUCUCCCCAACAGGAUUAUGCAUUUCUGAAGAGCUUCUUGAAGUUGAUUACCAUGUAUGCCACUUUCUUUACUCUAUGCUCAGGAUGUGAUUUUGCCAAGCAUUAAAAUGGUUUAGGUCAGAACCAUCAUCUAAAGUUUACUUAAUGCAGCCGAGAAGCUGUAGUAGAGCAAGGAAGGCUGUUGGUGUUAUGAAGGCCAGCUGUGAAGAAAUAUUUGAACUUGUAAUGAGCAUGGAUGGGACACGAUACGAGUAUGCUUCUUUUCUAUUUUUUAUUUUUAGUUACUUUAACAUAAUCAAGACUAUAUUGGCUGUCUCUGUAAGCUGAGUAUUAUAUUUCCUCUUGCAUGCUGUGAAAUUCACAUUGUCUCCAGUCCCGAUUCUGUAUGUGCCUUUUUGAAUAUAUUUAAUUAAUCUGCAUGGUGCUUUCUAAAGAUUAUUACAAACUUUUGUUGCUUAAGUAUAUGAAGAAUGUAGAAAUGAAAACAGCUUUUGAAGUUUGAUGGAUUGCUUCAUUAAUAAAGAAAGACUAGGACUCAUUUUUAUAACUUUUCUCCACUUAGCUAAUGGUAUUUGAUGAAGACAAAAUAGAUGUAGCUAUCUAUAUUUUUUGUUGCUGAACUAUAGAUCAAUUGACGGUUGAAGUUAGUUAUAUUAAUUUGUUGUACUAGAAUUAAAGCUUGUAUCUUAGCCAUUUCAUGAAGUGUCAAAUACGUUCUUUCCUUUUUUUUUUUUUUUUUCAAAACAUGUUACACUUUUGAAGUCACUAUUACAUAAAAGAGUGUUCUAAAACAGGAGAAGGCGUGCUGCCUGAAAUUACCUGUUUCCUAGCAAAUCUAGCUGGUUUGCGAAUUAGAUUUUAACAAGUCUCUUGGCAAGGUUUGCUAGUAAUGUGUUCAAAUUAUUCUAUUUAAUUUUACUGUCUGUACCCUAAUAAUUCUUGGUUUGCACCAUUGCAUUGUUCCAUAAUCUCUGUGCGUUGGCUUAUAAAGGCCAGCAAGGCUGAUCAUUUGUCGAAUAGUUAUUUCCAUGAAAUUCCUAUCAAUUUGACUCAGUAUUUAGAGGUCUUGAAGAGGGCAGUGUACUAGACAUGGAUUUCUACCUCUUUUGGUUGUACAAUUGUUGUAUUUCUUGGCCAUCAGAUCUUUUUAAUGUACCUUUCUCAAAGUUCAUGCCGCACGUACACCGUUUUUCAUGUUUUGUGCAUGUGGGAUUGUAGUCUUCUGUAUCGCAGCUUAGUUGAAGAGGUAGAUGGUCAUACGGCUAUUCUCUAUCAUAGGCUUCAGCUGGACUGGUUUCCAAUGUAAUAGUCUCUUGAUUCAAUCAUCUCAUUUAUGCUUUGGUCAGAAUAGAACAUUUAUUGUUUCCUUCUUUCCCCUUUCCUCUCUUCUGAUGUAAUAUGUGAGGAAAUUACCUAAAAUUUCUGUAUCCCAAUGUAAUUGUUGGAAUUCAGAAAUAAAAUAAAUACACCGUCUUGUUUUUCCCUCGGUUCAGUCCCAAGUUCUCUUUGGGCCUUCUGCAAGUUUUUAAACAUACUGUGACAGUAAAAAAUCUAGUGAUUGAGAUCAUUUUGAUGAAUUUAAUUUUAAUUCUUAGCUGAUACUUUUUCUGGAAUUUUUUUCUUAUGUUUCCUCAAUAUGACUUAAAUAUAGGGCUUAGUUUGGUUUAGAAGUUCAUCUAAAACCUUCUCCUUGAUUCCAAAAAAAUUCUCUAGAAAGGUCUCAGAUGGAUUUUAGGGGAGUUUUGUGGCAAAUUUGAAAAGUUCAGGGGAAGGGUCUAAUGAAUUUUAAAACCACAUGGGUUAUCUGUUUUAUUCAGAGGAUAGUGGAAUUCCCUGAAAUUUAUCAUUUUUAUUUAAAUAAUCUUCCUACUUUCCUCUGCAGAAUUUAUUUAUAUAUAUGAAUUCAUUUGGUUGCAGGUUUGUUUGGCCCCGCGGCCUUUGUUAAGUGCGUUAUUGGCGUUGAAAUGACGCUGCGAGUUAUGGUAAGGUUCUUGCUUCCCCACUUCUUGAAAUUAAAUCUAUCUUUUCUGGCACUAGAAGUUUCCAUAAGCUGUGUUUUGUUAUCGCGCAGUUGUGUUAUUUCAUUCUAGGGAGCAUAUGAACUGUGGUCCACAACCCGGAUAUGUACGAGCUCACAUGGAGAGUUAGUUUUCUGUCCUUUACUUUGGUUGAUGUAGAGAAUUAACAAGUGACUAAGUCAUGCCAAGUUGCACCACUUGCUUCCUGUAUUCUGAUUUCUCAGGUGGUGGAUUCAACAUUUCCCCACUAAAACCUCAAAAUGGUAGGCCCAGAACACAAGUACAGCAUCUUAUGCAGAUUGAUCUAAAAGGGUGGGGUGUUGGUUAUGUGUCAAUGUUUAGCAACACUGUCUUCUGCAGAUGUUAAAUAGCAUUGCUGGUAAGUUUCUUGCUUUCACAUUUUAUUUUGCGCUGUUAUGGGUUAAUAUGUUUCUGUUGGGUGGCCAUUUUAAGUCAUAUUUUUACGUGUUACUGUAUUUUCUUCAGUCCUUUUAUAGGGAACACACACAUACACGUAUGUAGAGUCACCUUUUAAUGAGGGAUCUACCAUUUUAAUGAAAUGAGGAAUGAGCUAAAAGAUAAAAAAUUCACGAACUCCAAUGCAAUAUGUGUGUGUGCGCGUGUACACCUUUUCUAACUCUUGUUCUUAGUUAGAUAUUUUUUGGGAUUUCAGGCAAAUGAAAAAAGAGAUUAAGAGAAUGAUUUCAAGAGAACAGGUGGAUAAUAACUUAAAUAUUCAUUUUUAUACAUUUUGUUAAUGUCCUCUUUAAUGGAUUUCUAUGGAAUUAACCUUGUAAUUGGUGUAAUUACGGCAUUGGUGGUUGACAUGGCUUUCCUUGUGCAGGUAUGUAUGAUUGUACUGCAAUUUGCAAAUUUGCAUACUUGAAUGUUCUCAGAAUGGUAUAAUGCUUCGUGUAUGCAGGCAAAUACUACAGAUGAAUUACCGGAGCGGCUGAUUGGAGCUGUACGUGUUUCUUAUAUAGAACUCAAGUCUGCUAUUGUUCCAAAGUUGGAACCAGAGACAUCAUGACUCUGGUUUCAUUUCACCUCAACUGUUUUUUUUUUUAAUUGAAAAAAAAAAAUCAUUUGUUUUAGGUAUACAUACAUGUAUUUUGAUCCCGUUUUCAUUGUAAUUUCUCAUUUACUUUGAAAGAAAGUCAUUGGUGUUUUCGAGUGGGAAUUUUGCAUUAAAAAAUAAAGAAUACUUAAUAGGAAAUUUCAUAAUUCUUUAGUUACUAUUUUUGGAAUGUGUGUAAUAGUAUUAAAGUUGGUUUCUACUCGCAAACAAGUGAACUACUCGAUCCCCAACUGCGACCACGCUAGUUGUCAUUUAAAACUCAACAACUAACAAAAAUACUAAUAAAAAAAUGAUUUUCUUAUAUUGCUGUGAAAACAUUUAUGGGUUCAUUUAUUUCCACAAGAUCUAUAAUUUGGUCUUGACUUUACGAAAUUCUUUUAAUUUAAAGGGUUUUGGUCUGAGAAAGUCAGUUUGACGGAUUAAUUCUUUUUAAUAAUGGUCGAGUUAAUUUUACUAUACUCAUAAAACUAUUUUUAUUCUGAUAAUGCCACAAAUGUUAUGAUGUUUUCUUCAGCUAAUGAUCUUCUAUCAGGACUAGUUAGAAAUCAAAUGCUUAAAACACCGAUUGAAUGUAUAAUGCAGAAGUUUAAACAGUACCUAAUUGAAAAUUGCAUGAAACAUGAAACAUCAAUUCAAGUCCUUCCUUAAACAGAGAAUGCAUCAAACAAAUCCAAAGUGUCUUGCAAGUCUGUAGCAUGACAAAAAAGUUGUAAAUGCGUUUGGAACCAAAUUCUUCAAGUACAGGAGAACGAGCAAGUUGAAUUAUGUACAAGAGAUUGGCCUGGUUCGAGAUAGCUUCUUCACUGUACCUGAAGGAUUGGCUCAAUCUUUUCUUUAGAAUUCUGCACAUUUUGUAAUUACUCGUGUAAGCAAGCAUACAUUACAACCAUAAUAAUAAUAAAGCAAGAGUAAUGAUACGACCACCACCUUUUGUACACAAACAAUAUUGUAUAAACUAAUGCGACAUAAUAUGAUUGGUUAAACAAAAACAUUACAUGGCCCUCAUAAUUUAUUUAUUUAUUUAUUUAUUAUUAUUAUUAUUAUUAUUAUUAUAUAUUUUCAGUCAACCAAUCAUAUUAUAUCACAUUAGUUUCUAUAAAAUAAUUUGCUAAAUAGCACCAAAACUUAAUUGAUACUCACCAUUUCAUUGAACAAUUUUUUUAUGGUGUCAUUGAGGUUGCCUUCCCAACAUCCUUCAUCAUCAUCAUCUUCUUCAUCAUCAUCUUUUUCUUCUUCGGUGACGUUCACUUUGUUUAGCAUUGGUGUGUCUAAGACUCCUUGAGAGAAGAUCUUCAUUUUUGGACACAGUCUCACAACUACUUGUUUCAAGGACGGGAAUUCAAGAGCGUAAUUACCUAAACAAAAGCUUGUUAGGCUUGGCAAACAGUCAAGUUCCAAGUACCUCAAUUUCCCAAAAACAAUGCAAUCUUCCGUUUCUUCUCCAACCUGCGACUGUAUAAUUUCUUCCAUCAUUUUGCAAUCAACUAUCUUCAUUCUUCCGAGAUUCACUAGAUUUUUAGAUGCUGAGAGCGUCAACACAUUUAUCAACCCGUGACACUUCGAUACUUGUAGUCCCCACAGAUUUUCCAAAUGCCACGAAGGUGGUACUAAUUUUUGCAACUUACUACAUUCCGAUAUUUCUAGCCUUUCCAAGUUUGCAAACACUUUGUUGGAUUCGUCAUUUUCCUUCCAGAGAUGCUGCACUUUGUGUAAUCCAGACAGUCUUAACUUCCUCAAUUGAGGGAAAGCAACCUGAAAAUCAACAAAGUUAAGUUGUAAAAGAAAAUACGUAUCCAAUCUCUGGAGUCUUCACCUGCAUAUUUUAUGGACAAGAUUAAUCACGGCAUUUUAUAUUUUAUUUCCAAAUUAGUAUGCUUUGCAGUAGGAUCCCAAAUAUAAGUAUCAAAUCGAUUACCCUUUGAAACACAUAAAUGAAAUCUAAUGCUAAAUCCAAUAUGAAUUAGCUAGGAAAACAGAGAUGUUACACACAUAAUUAAUAUAGUUCAUCACCUCGUGUUAUCAGGCAUCCAAUUAAUUUCAGUCAUUUUUAUAAUUCAUACUAUAAAGAUAGUUAAUAACUGAGGUUAUAUUGUUAAAUCAUAUAUAAAUUAAGAUGACAUGCAAAAAGAUGAGUCAUUAAAUUUGACUUGAUUCUAAUGAAAUUACAUCUGUGCGAACAAAAGUGAAGGGAAUAAUAAUAAUAAUAAUAAUAAUAAUUACCUUUUCAUCGAAGAGGGGUUGUACUUGAUGAGCCAGCAAGAAGUACUCUUCUAAUGUUAAUUUUUGAGGUUCCUUGUUAUCAGUUGUCACAUGCACUACAGAGUUGGAUAUAAAUGUUUCCAUAUCAGGGCAAUUCUCAAUAGUCAGACUCCACAACAUAGGCAUUUCAAUUAUAUUCCCAGUGAAGUUGCAGAAUCUUUUGAGUUUUGGAAGAUCAAUGAGCGUUAGGCUAAAAAGCCUAGGAAACAGGGGGCCUAUAUGUUCUUUGUCAGCAUUUAGCUCUUCCAAAUGAAGCAUCUCUUCUAGUGAAUCACAAUUCCUCACUUCCAGCCUUGCCAAAUUGUUCAAGCAUCGUAGCAGAUUGGCAGGAAUAGCACUCGACAUAUUGGUGCAGUAAUCCACCUCCAGCUCUGCUAAAUAGUUGAAGAAGCGGACAGGCAGUGCUUGGCCAUGCCAUAUUUCUUUCAAACGUGGAAAAUGUGAGAGUUGCAAAUACUGUAUGUCACGGAAUCCAAUCUGCACAAACCAAAACAAUUGCACUGGAUAUAUAUAAAUACAUUAAACUUACAUGUUUUGUGUUUUAACUUCUAAAACUAUAUAUACAAGGCAGGUGUAUAUGUUCAAAUGUGCAAGUGCAAGGGAGAUGCAUAAGUAAUUUCAACGAAUCGAUUUAACACAUACCAUUUCUUCGUAACACUUUUGUAUAGUGGAAUUAAGGUUGCCUUCCCAACGGCACAAUUCACCCUCUUCCUGUUAAGAAUAGAAUUAGUUAGUUAAUGAGUAUGCUGACAUGGCAGCUGAGUCAGCUAAAGGUUGUUAUAGAGGUUGUUAGUAGUAAACUGUGCGUGUGUGCAAUGUGUGUAGAAUCUUCUAUGCACAUAUAAAAAGGCUUGCAAUUUCCAGAUUCAUUAGAUCAAUAAUAACAGAAUUCUCAGCUUACAGAAGUUUUCUUUCCUCCUAUUUUCUUAGUAACCAAACAACAUCACAGUUUCAUAUAAAACUUAAUACUUCCUUUUUACUCACCUGCACUUCGUGCAGCUUUGGUGUGGAUACGAUUCCCUGAGAAAAAGUCUUCAUGUUCGGGCAACGUGUCAUAGAAACUCGUUCCAAUGAUGGGAAUUCAAGAGUGUAAUUCUCCAAACAAAAGCUGGUAAGCCUUGGUAAAUAAUCAAGUAUCAAAACUUUUAAAUUGCUGAAAGCAAUACGAUUCUCCUUCACUUCUUCUCCAACAUGUCCUAUGAUUUCUUCUAUUUUUUCACAGUAUGAUACAUUAAGAUUCACUAGACUAUUGGGAAUUCCAACCUGAAAAUAAAGAGUAGCAUUCAACUAAAUUCAAAGUAUGUCAAAAUCAUACAAUUGUUUUAUGAAAAAUAACAAACCAUGUCUACUAGAUAUUUUUUGUUAAAGAAAAAAGGAAAAAAAUUAAAACAAAAAUAAAUAAAUAGAAGUCCAGAAAAACAAAGAUAAUGAAAAUGCAUUUACACUAAAACGCUGUAUUUCCCUUUUUUUUUUCCCGAUAUUCAUGCUUUUAAAAAUGGAAAACAUUUCUGGAAAACACUUCCCAACGCCAUCAACAUGGGACUGUUACAGAGUGAAUAUUUGAGGAAAUUUUUUAAUAAACGGUCGAUUCAAAAUGACCAUCAUGAAUUUGUGCUUAAUCAAUGGCGUAAUCAAUUCAUAACUAAACUAGAGAUAUUAACUACAUUUGAACACUUUUCUUUAUUUUAUUUUUAAAAUCGAAAUCUAAAGACCCAAGGAAAAGAGAAAUAUAUAUGAAUUUGUGAACUUAAAAGCUGAGUAACUAAGUAUCUUUUAAUUUCUGAAAAUCUUAUUCAUUAGGAUUUAAGGAAAAAAAACAAUUAAAUUAAAUUAUAUUAUGCUGUUAAAUCGUGUUUAAAAUAAUUAUAUUGUUGACUUUAAUGCAGGUGAACCUAUAAAUUAGAUUGAAAAUGCAGAGUUCAGAAUGGUGAUUUGAAGUACAAUACUUUUUUUCCCUCUAGAAGUUUGAAGUACAAUACUUGCAAUAAAUAAUUUGUGAAUGAAAAUUAUUUGUAAACAAAAAAAUGAUUAAAAUAAUUGUUGAAUGUUAUUUGAAAUAAAAAUUCAAAAUGAAUAUAGCAAUCUUACCAAUGGAGGAAAAAUAUUCAGUAGAUUAUGACACACAGAUAUCUCUAAUUUUUUCAAUUUGCUAAAAGACUUCGAAGCAAGCUGGUGGUGCCAUAUUUUUCUCAACUUAUCCGCCCCACGAAUAUGUAAUACCUCCAGACUUGGGAGUCGUACCUGAAGUUAAAAAUUCAAUGCAAUUAGAGAUGGAUAUUAAUUAAAUUUGAAGACUCAACGAAAGAAGAAAUUAACUAUUAAGAAUAAAAUUAAUUUAAAAAAAAAACCUUUGCAUCAAAGAGAGGUUGAGGUUGCAUUUCAGAAUUAGCUUCUGGUGAGGCAAAGCUACUUAGUUUUGGAAGACCAUCGAGCUGCAGGAAGUGUAGUUUAGGAAAAACCUUAAAUUCAUCUCUUCCUCCUAACCCCGUGGUGUUGACUAUCCCUUCCAUUGACCAACAAUUAAUAAUCUCAAGAUGUCGGAGCUGCCCAAGACUAUUAGCCAUAGAAUAUGAAAACAUAUACUUCAGAGGACAACACCUUGUCACGGUCACUUUUGUUAAAUUUUGACAACAAUACAUUCCCUGAAAUUGAUCGGGCCAUAAUUUUUUGAUGUUUGUUAAACUGACAAGUUCCAGUUCCUCCAAGCGUGGAAAAGUAACCUGCAAAGAAAAACCAUACAUUUUUUUUCCUUCAACUACAACUUCUAAUAUAAUAUUCUUUCGAUGAUUGAAGAUCAAUCGUGAUAAUAUAUUAAUUAAUUAAUUAUUAAACAGAAAAUUAUCACCUGAUCAUCCUCUGCAUUGAUUUCUGUGAAUCCCUGAGUAGUUGUUGGUUUCUCCAUGUCGGGCCCUAUAAAUGAACAAAAACAAUAUAUGAUUAACCUCUGUUGUCCCCUCCCAAAACAAAAAAAAAAAAAGAAUGAGCCAAUGUCAAUAAUCCUACCAAUAAUUAAUUUAAACACUUACCAAUCAUCAUUUUCAAUUUAUUGCAAUUUACCACUUCUACUUUUUGAAGCCCCAAUAGGUUUUUGGCCAUAGAGAAUGAGAAGAGAUACUUCAAUUUUGGACAGGAAUAUACGUAUAUAAUCCUUAAGUUGCUGAAAGAUUGAUCUUCUCUGAGUUGGCUGUAGCAUAUCGUCUCCAAAUUAGUUAAAUUAAUAAGAUCCAAUGAUUCCAGCAAGGGAAAGACUUCGCAACGAACCCGUCUAACUGAACCGACAAUAUGUAAAAUCUCAGAACAACCUGUUACAUGAAGAUGCUGCAAUCGUGGAAAACCUUCCCCAUCGUCUAAUUCAUGAACAACAUUCUGAACACCCGUCAGUGAGUAUAGACGGAGAUCUUCAGUUCUCUUCAGCAACAUUUUCGUCCCAUCAUUCCCCAAAAGAAGGCUAACUUUUUCUGGCCCCUUGAGCACCAUCAAUGUUGAUGUUUUAGAUUCGACGAGUCGUCGGUUAGACAUUUGUCCUAUAAAUAUCUUAUAUCUUUCCAAUUCCAUAGAGACAAAAUCCGGCGGCAGAAUUUCGGAAUCCGAAACAUCUAUCUCCAAAGUAGUUAGAUUUGACAACCCCUUCAACUCGACAAGACUGGCAUUACUUCCUCCUUCAACCUUAUCCCACUGUGAAAAGCUGUUAUGCAUAAACAGUUCUUCUAAUCCAGAUAAUUUUGAUAUGACAUUUGGUGGUAUCAACUCAAGGCUCCAACAAUUGCUCAAAUCUAGCAACUGUAACCGCGUCAAUCGUCCAAUUUCAAGUGGUAACUGCUUGAUAUCGGAAUCUGCAAGGCUGAGAAUCUCUAAUUUCUUUAGCUGUCCAACUAUUGCUAUAUCUUUUAGUCGGCAAUAGUCUAAACGCAAUGUUUGAAGGUUAAUGAGGCAACCAAGUGAUGAAGGUAAUGAAGAGAAUUGAAUUCGAGUAAAAUUCAAAACUUUGAGUCCUUCCGUCCCUUUAAAAAAGUGGUCUGAAACUUGCAUAGAGCCAUCACCCUCCGCAUGCAAUAGCUCAAGACAGGGACAUUGCAACCUUUCAGGAAGCACUUGAAUACCUCCAUAAGGUAAAGAAAUAGCAAUUGGACCUUCCUGUACUGUAUCUUCCAUCUUUUUCUCCAAGUCGGCAACAUUUGGAAUAUUAAACAUGAGCUCCUCUUCUGCAAUUGAUACAGCAACUACACGAAUGACGUCAUGCAUUUUAACUUCAUCUUCAGCAUCACUGUCCAACAAUAAGCAUGAAGAUUUGAGUUUGUCGAUCAACGUAUGCAAUCUCCUCCUUGCUUCUUCCAGUGAGUAAACCUUUUUAAAAUAGUCCAUACCCAUACCAUAUCUCAAUAAGUCUGGAACAGGUAUAGCAUAACCUUUACUAAGUAGACCACAAAGACGGAACAGAGAUUUUGCCUCCGCACUUUCCAGCAAGUUGUAACUCAAUUUUAUGGAGGUGUACACAUUUCUUUCCAUUCCAUCAAUUUCUCUUGCAUCGGAACUUCUUAGCUGAUUCAAUGCAUCCUUCCAAAUGUCAAGAUCCUUAGUUUUCAGAGCUUUUGCAACUGUACUCAGUGCAACAGGCAAUCCUCCGCAUUUUUCAACGAUCUCAUCUGCAGUGGGUUGAAAAGCAGAUAUUUUAGUUGAAUCACCCACUAUCUUCUCAAAUAACUGCAAGGCUUCUUCUUUUGAUAAAGCAUCGAUCGGGAAAUUUUUCUGAGAAUUCAUAUCAGUGCACAAUAAAUCUCGACUUCUAGACGUCAGUAUUAUUGUGCAUCGUCUCUGAUCAUCCAUUCUUUCGUUCGGAAUCCCAACUUUAUCGAACUCCAGUUCCCCCCAAAUAUUAUCCAAUAUAAUGAGAUGCCGCUCCUUGUUCUUCAAUACUCGACAUAGUCGAUUUGCUCUGUCGAAUAUACUCUCAUUCAACUCAAACUUUAUGCCUAAAUCAGAAGCAAGUUUGUCUUGAAUUUUCUGAUGAUCUGGGUUCUCUGUUACCUCAGCCAUAGCGACCUUAUCGAACAACUUAUUUGUUUCCAUCACUUGCUUUGCAACUUGCUUGACUAGCGUGGUUUUACCCACGCCGCCCAUGCCGUAGACCCCAAUUAUGUUGAGUUUCUCAUCCUUCAACGCCUCCAUAACAUCCAGUAAUACUUUCUUUCUUGAAUCAAAGGCCUCGUUAUCUUUCCCGCCCCUAAGUGCUUCGAUAUCUGCAGAAGGAUCGAAGGCAAUUUCUUCACUCUUCAGUUUGUCGCCUUUUUCCAUGAGAUUAGCAGCAUCUUUUGCGGCCUUUGCUGCUCGUUUACUGAGUUUGUAACGAGACAACAAAUUUGCACACAAUCCUUUGAAGCAGGACUUCUUGGCUCCAUCUUCUUCAUCAAUGAUAGAUUUUGCAACCCCCUCCGUAGAUUCAACCUUACUUCGCCAAUCUUUGACACCCUGAUAAAUCUCUUUGCCUUGUCGAGUAUCAUGCUUAACACGUUGUUGCACCAUUUCGUUUAUACCUUCCAACCCCUUCACUUGAUCUUUUAGCUCAUCUAUGUAGCUCUGGUACUUGAACACAUAAGAUAUUUGCCGUAUAAUCGGUUUGAACAGUGACUUUGCACCUUCUAAUACAGUGCUGGAUAAAGCAGCCAGAGCCACUUCUGCCAUUGUCUGCUACUUAACAAAUCUAAUAAUAUAUCAAAGAAAGGAAUACAAAUAAAUUAAAAGGAACUAAAGGGAAAGACAGAGAAAGAAAAGACGGCAAACAACAUCGCAAUAUUGAUCUUGAACCAACUGAUACCUAAAUAGAGAAUUUCUUUUACUAUCUUAAGGAUCAGAGGUUUCGCUAUUAACCGAAAGGUAUCGCUUCUAUUUUGUCACUUUGAACGAAUAACUUUAUGUUUUUAACGGAUGUUUAAUACAAAUUGCAUACAUUGGGUGUAAAAUUAAAUAAAUUUAAAUAUUUAUAAUAAUUUUAAUAAUUGAAUAAAACUUUGAGUAAAUGACUGAUAAUUUCUCUAAGAUGAUUUAUUGUUUGGGGUCUAAGAUUUUAAAUAUUCAACUUAAAAGAUUAAUAUCUUAUAAAUUGAUUAAUUAAUUAAUCAUUAAGCAACUAAAUUGGUCCCUGGAUGUCAAUUUAUUUAAUAUUGACGCACCUAUUUUUUUUUUCUGGCAAAUAAUUAUUAAUGCACUUAGGNNNNNNNNNNNNNNNNNNNNNNNNNNNNNNNNNNNNNNNNNNNNNNNNNNNNNNNNNNNNNNNNNNNNNNNNNNNNNNNNNNNNNNNNNNNNNNNNNNNNNNNNNNNNNNNNNNNNNNNNNNNNNNNNNNNNNNNNNNNNNNNNNNNNNNNNNNNNNNNNNNNNNNNNNNNNNNNNNNNNNNNNNNNNNNNNNNNNNNNNNNNNNNNNNNNNNNNNNNNNNNNNNNNNNNNNNNNNNNNNNNNNNNNNNNNNNNNNNNNNNNNNNNNNNNNNNNNNNNNNNNNNNNNNNNNNNNNNNNNNNNNNNNNNNNNNNNNNNNNNNNNNNNNNNNNNNNNNNNNNNNNNNNNNNNNNNNNNNNNNNNNNNNNNNNNNNNNNNNNNNNNNNNNNNNNNNNNNNNNNNNNNNNNNNNNNNNNNNNNNNNNNNNNNNNNNNNNNNNNNNNNNNNNNNNNNNNNNNNNNNNNNNNNNNNNNNNNNNNNNNNNNNNNNNNNNNNNNNNNNNNNNNNNNNNNNNNNNNNNNNNNNNNNNNNNNNNNNNNNNNNNNNNNNNNNNNNNNNNNNNNNNNNNNNNNNNNNNNNNNNNNNNNNNNNNNNNNNNNNNNNNNNNNNNNNNNNNNNNNNNNNNNNNNNNNNNNNNNNNNNNNNNNNNNNNNNNNNNNNNNNNNNNNNNNNNNNNNNNNNNNNNNNNNNNNNNNNNNNNNNNNNNNNNNNNNNNNNNNNNNNNNNNNNNNNNNNNNNNNNNNNNNNNNNNNNNNNNNNNNNNNNNNNNNNNNNNNNNNNNNNNNNNNNNNNNNNNNNNNNNNNNNNNNNNNNNNNNNNNNNNNNNNNNNNNNNNNNNNNNNNNNNNNNNNNNNNNNNNNNNNNNNNNNNNNNNNNNNNNNNNNNNNNNNNNNNNNNNNNNNNNNNNNNNNNNNNNNNNNNNNNNNNNNNNNNNNNNNNNNNNNNNNNNNNNNNNNNNNNNNNNNNNNNNNNNNNNNNNNNNNNNNNNNNNNNNNNNNNNNNNNNNNNNNNNNNNNNNNNNNNNNNNNNNNNNNNNNNNNNNNNNNNNNNNNNNNNNNNNNNNNNNNNNNNNNNNNNNNNNNNNNNNNNNNNNNNNNNNNNNNNNNNNNNNNNNNNNNNNNNNNNNNNNNNNNNNNNNNNNNNNNNNNNNNNNNNNNNNNNNNNNNNNNNNNNNNNNNNNNNNNNNNNNNNNNNNNNNNNNNNNNNNNNNNNNNNNNNNNNNNNNNNNNNNNNNNNNNNNNNNNNNNNNNNNNNNNNNNNNNNNNNNNNNNNNNNNNNNNNNNNNNNNNNNNNNNGGGAUUAUGGGGGUAUGCUAAUGCGGCAACCUGACUGUGAGUCGGGAAAAGCUAAUGAGGCAACUUUGCUUGUGCUGCUUCUUUUUUUUUUUUCUUUUGCUUUCUUUUUUGCUUUUUUUUAAUAAUAUUAAAUAAUAUAAAUUUUAAUUUAAUUUAAUAGAAUAUUAUAUAAUAUUAAUUUUUAUUUUCUCUUAUUUUGACAUCAUAAUUAUUAAUAUAAAUUAAUUAUUUUUAUUCAUAUUUUAAUUUUUAUUACUAAAUAAUAAUUAUAUAAUAAUUAAUAUAUAAAAUUGAUUAAUAAAUACUUAAAUAAUAUAAAAAUAAGAAUAUAACUUGAUAUUACAUUAUUUAAUUAUAUUAUAGUAAUUAAUAUAUAUGAAAAUUUAAUAUAACUAAUAAAAAUAUUUAUAUAUGAAUAAAUUUAAAUAAUAUUAAUUUAAAAUUAAUAUUAAUAAAAAUAAUAAUAUAAAAUAUCAUUAUGUUAUGAUAUUAUUUAGGUAUUAAUAAAUAUUAUUUUCUAAAUAUAUAAUUUAAGUUAAUCACAAAAAAUUAAUACAGUACAGUGUAGCACCAAACAUUGUAUUAUGCUGUAUGCCUGUAUUGUAUUAGCACUGAUUGGGUGUAAAGCGUUUGUAAGUGGCUUUUUAAGUCUGCCGUCAAAUCCCCUGCAAAAGCUUUUUUCUUAAUAUCACGCGUGUUGGUACUACAUAAAACCGUAAACUCUAACAAUUUCUUUGUUCUUUCUUAAUAUCACGCGUGUUGGUACUACAUAAAACCGUAAACUCCAACAAUUUCUUAGUUCUCAACACCCCUUAAUUUACAAGAAUUAAUCACUUCAAGGGUGGAUUAGGUAUAUCUUUAGUUCAUAUAUAACUAGCAAUAUCUAAUAUCCCAUAUACAUGUUUUUCUCCCAGAAUGUAAACCAACUAUUCAUAUCUUAGACUCCAAGUAUUCGUAUCUUAAAGUCAAUCGAUAAUAUUAAUUUAAAUUUAAUAAUAAUAUAAAAUAUUAAUAUAAUAUAAUAUUUAAUUUAAAUUAAUUACAAACAAAUAAUAUAGUACAAUGUAGCACCAAACAUUGUAUAGCAUUAUUAUAAUACAAUGCUAAUGCAAUACAAUAUAAUAUAAUCCACCAACAUUAAAAUAAUAUAAUAUAGCAUAAUACAAUACAGUGUGUCAAAUGCACCCUUAGGGUGUGUUUGGUAUGUGGUAUUGCAUAGCAUUAAAUGUGGGCCCAACAUUAAUUUAAACCAAUAACAUGUUUGGGAGCAAUUGAGGCUUAUUGGGAUUGGGUAUUGAGGGGUGCGCUAAUGCGGGAACCACCGCAUUAGCUUGUCUUUUUUUUUUUACUUUUACUUAAUAAUAAUAUAAAUGAAUAAAUAUAUAAUUUUUAAUUUUUAAUAUAAUAUUAUUUUUAUUUUUAUAUCAUAAUUUAUUAAUAAAUUUAUAAUUUAAUAUGAUUAAUAAUAAAUAUUUAAAUAGUAUAUAAAAUAUAAUAUAAUAUUACACUGUGUAAUUAUUGUAAUAUAAUUAAUAUAUAUAAAUUAUUUAUUUUUAAAUAAUUUAAUAUAAAAAAUAAAAAAAUAUUUAAAUACAAAUGAAUUUCAAUAAUAUUGAUAUACGAUUAAUAAUAACAUAAAUAAUAAUAUAAAAUAUUAGCACAAUUCAUUUUGCUAUUAAAUAUGUUAUAACAAUUUUGUCAUUUUAUAAUUUUGUGGUGUAUAUGAACAUAUGUCUUAAGAUUAUUUUUGAACAAAUCUUGUAGGUUUUAACUAUUUAUUUUUCUUGUUAUAUUAUUUCAAGAUUAUUUGAUUAAAUUAUUUGCUUCGAUAUUUAACAAGUUAUAUAUUUAGAAAAUAUAGAAAAUAAAUGUUAUGCUUCCAAAAAUUAAAGGAUAUAACGUUCGAUCUUUAUGAAGAAUUAUGAUAUUUUUGAACAUUUAUACUAAAAAAUUAUUAAAUUUUUAGAAAAUUAAAAGAUAUAACAUUCGAUCUUUAUGAAGAAUUAUGAUAUUUUUUAACAUUUAUACUAAAAAAAUAAUUAAAUUUCUAAAAUUUAAGACCUCUAUAUUUAGUUUUUUUUAAGUACUAUUAAUAUUAUUUUAUAAAUAUAUAAUAUAAAUUAAUUACAAAAAAUUAAUACAGUACAGUAUAACACCAAACAUAAUAUAAUUAAAAAUUAAUACAGUACAGUGUAAUACCAAAUAUUGUACAAUAUUAUUAUAAUACAGUACUAAUGUAAUACAACAUAAUACAAUACACUGCAUAAAAAUAAUGUAAUUUAGUGUACCAAACACACCCUUACAGAACUUUUGCAUAUCUACACAGCGAUUUUAAAUAUUACUGAUAACUCCUGAGAAAUGUGUGAGAAAGGAGUUGAUAAGAGUAAUAACAGCGACUUGCAAAAGGAAAAGACAGAAUCAUUCACCCCUUUUUAUAUCAUGUAUUUGGUUACUGUUGCCCUGUUGACGCAUGUAUAAAAUAACCGUAUGUAUUUUUUUUGGCUGUUGCUUAACAAAAUGUGUGUUUGUGUGUGUAUAUAUAUAUAUUUGCUGUUUGAAAAAAUUGGAUUCAAAUAAAUUAAAAUGAACUAGAGAGGAAGAGAAAGAAUGAAAAGACAACAAACAAUUGAUAUUGAUCUCGAACCAACUUCUUUCUUUCUUUCUUUCUUUUUUGUGUUUUUUUUUUCGCCCGUACCCCCUCUCAGAUUAGAGUAUUGGCUAUUAAAUGAAAGGUUUUAAGGGUAUGAGUGAAAAACAACAUUCUUUUUUAGAAACUAUUUUAGAGGAGGGAUGCAAAUUAAAUGACAAGAUUAAGACAAACAGGAGAUAUUUUUUCGUGGGCAUUAAGAAAUAACUGCUGUCAAGAUCAAGGAGAUUAUGCUAUUAAUAGAAAUUAUCAAAGGAUUUAGAACAAGUUCACCUCUUUAAUUAUCCGGGAUCAGAUAGUUGAUGAGCUUCUCUUCUUGGCGUUGAAUAUUUAAGAAUAAUUUUAAUGAGCAAAAAGAUCACUGGUAACUGCUGAAAAAUAAGUGAGAAAAGAGUUGAUGAGAAUAAUAACAAUGAAUUGAAUAAAAAAAGGACUUAAUCAUGCACCCCCUUUGCAUAUCAUGUAUUUGGUUACUGUUGCCUUGUUGACGCAUGUAUAGAAUAAUUAGUGACUUCUUUCAUGAAGAAUUAAACUUGGAAUGACCAAAAGACGAAGCUGCGGUGUAUUGUUGGACCAAAUUAAGUUGAAGAAAGCACUAGUUCACAACCUUACGUUUGGAUAUAUUCUAAAGAAAUAAUUAAACAGCAAAUCAUCACAUGCACUUUAAUGAUUUGAUCUAUUGUUUUCAAAAGAAAUUGCAAUUAACAGUUUUUGUCAAAAGUUCGCACUGCGUGAAACUAGUGCUAAUAUAAUUUAAAAAAUUAAUUUCAGUAUUAGUUUUUAAAAUGUUAAUUAUUAUAUUUAUUUUAAUAAUAUAUUUAUAUUUAUUAUAAAAAAUUCUGUUAAACAUUUGUGUUAAAUAGAAUUUAUAAUUAAUAUAAUAUAUCUUAGGUAUUAAUAAUAUUAUAAUUAUUCUAUAUGCUAUUGAAAAUAAUUUAAAUUUUUAGACGUUUAUUUUCACAUUAAGUUUCUAUUUAUUAUAAAAUUUAGUUUAAUAUAGUAUAAGCUUGUAAAGUAUUAAAAUAUUUUUUCAUAUUUUUUGAACAUAUUAAAAUUAUUUUAAAAUAUAUUUAUAUAUUAACAUUGAAGUCAAUUUUUUAAGUUAAUAGAACCAGUAGGUGUUAUAGUAAAAAAGCGUUUCUUAGCAUCACUUAUUGAAAAUAUAAAGAUCUAUAUAAUCAUUUUUUCAAAUAUUGAGAUGUAGUUAUAAAAGAAAAAAUAAAUUAAAAAAUUUUAAAUUUUAAUAUGGCCAUCGUAGAGUUAGAAUCCCCGCUCCAACCCGAUUUGGAGAUGAGCUUGGUCUAUUUAUGUUUUGGAAAAAGAAAAACCAAAGGAAAAAAAAGGCACCCGACCAAAUCAAGUAACUCAUCAAAUAAAAAAUAAAAAAAGGAAAGAAAUUUAAUGACUUGCAUGCAAUUUUGGAUCUGAAAUUAAAAUUACAUAAAAAUUAAGGAUUACGUACCUUAAUAUUUACAGCUUAUUUGAUGGACUCAACAGGUUUAAGCAACAUCAAAAUGUUUGUGGCUCCUUAAAUGAGCCCCCGACAUGGUGCAAAUGACAACAUCGACUUGUUUGACAGCUCCAACAAGGCUACGAUGAUCAGAAGAUGAGCCCUCAAUCAACAAGCUAAGAUUGGCUUCUCUAUCCUCUUCGCCCCACAACCAGCGCCUUGCUCUUUGUCAUUUUUCCUCUUGUUAGUUUUCUUCUACAUAUAAUUAUUACACUGGGAAGUAUACACACACCUCUUUUCUUUUUAUAGUACCUUACUAUUAUAUCUUUACAAAACAAUAUCACCCUAAGACAGCUAUGUAUGAAAUAAAUGAAAUAAAUAUAUAAGGAACUGACGAAAUAAAAUUAGAUCUAACUCUAAUUUCACGUUGCGUGAAUUUUUGACAAUUCACCCGUAUCCCAACAAAAGCUUUGUCAUAUUGCGAAAAUACCUUUUCAAUGUUUCAAUUGCAAUGUCAUUGCCAUUAUUCAUAGUGGCAGACAAUGGACGUCACGGGACGGUAGAAGUCUAUGUUACGGCUUGUGCAAGUAACAGCAGCCAAUGGGGAACUUCCACGGGUGCUAGAGGAGAGAGAAAGAGGUCCCAAUGCAAGGUGAUGGAAAUGGGAAAGUUCGAAGCUGUUACUUUCAGCUUCUGCACCUUAGCCAUGUCCCACGGGACAAGGCUAGAAGUUAUCAUGACCAUAAACUUUUCUAAUUUAUUUUUUCCUUUCAAAAAGGGACAAGGAUACGUUUCGGAGAAUGAUUAUAUUUUUAAUAAAAGAAUUCUUUUUUAUUAUAAUACUUUUUUCUUUAUUAAUUUAAAAAUAUUGACUCUUAUAUUUUAAUAAAUAUAAAUAUAAUAUUAUAAUAAAAUAUAACAAUAUAUACAAAUAUUUAAAAAAAUUUAAGAUUUUAUUAAAAGAAAUUUUAUAAUAAAUACAAAUAUAUUAUUAAUAUAAUUAUAAUAAUUUGCAUUUUAAAAAGUAAUACUGAUAUUAAUUUUUUAAAUUAUAUUACUCUACCAAAAAAAUUAAACUAUUAAAUUAUAUUGAUAUUUAUUAAAAAAAUUGAAGUUAAUUCUUAUUAUAUUUUUAAUUGGAAUUUUUUCAUGUGACAUAAUUACAAUUGCUACAUUUUUUUCCCUAAAUAAAGAUGGGAGUUAUAAAUUAUUUGUAUAAGUGUCUGUGUGUAAACUAAUGUGACAUGAAAGUAAUAGCUGAAUAACAAUAAUGGAGCUUUAGGUAAUUUUUUAUGAGGUCUUCUUGCAAUUUCAACACUUAAACAGACUUGUCCUUGAUCCCAAUUUAUUUACCCCAUUUGGGCCCCUUAUGACAAACAUAUUCUUGUGGAAUGAAAAACAUCAGGAGAAGAAAAUGUUUUAUUAUAAUAGAAAAAGUUGUCCAUAAGUCUAUUCAUUUUUUUUUUAUUCAAUACAAAUGCGGGCCGCGUUCUGUGGGUCUNNNNNNNNNNNNNNNNNNNNNNNNNNNNNNNNNNNNNNNNNNNNNNNNNNNNNNNNNNNNNNNNNNNNNNNNNNNNNNNNNNNNNNNNNNNNNNNNNNNNNNNNNNNNNNNNNNNNNNNNNNNNNNNNNNNNNNNNNNNNNNNNNNNNNNNNNNNNNNNNNNNNNNNNNNNNNNNNNNNNNNNNNNNNNNNNNNNNNNNNNNNNNNNNNNNNNNNNNNNNNNNNNNNNUAAGUAGAGUGAGACUCUGGCAUCCUCUAAAUAUCUCUCAACACUCUUUCUUAUUAACCCCAUUAAAAUAUUUAAAAAUAUUAUAAAAUUCUUUUAACACCUUUUUUAUGGCAAAAAUACCCUUAGUUUAAAUUUAUUAAUAUAAACCCCAUUUUAAUUUUUGACCCCUGAUUGUGAUUUUUUUUUAAAGCACCUGAAUUUUGAAACAAUUAAUUAUCUAUUGAAAAAGAAAGAAAGAAAAGGAAAACAAAAGGAAAAGGGCACUUGCUCCAAGAAAGUUCUACUUUAAUGUGGCAAAUCAUUGAAACACCACAUGGCCAAAACUUUACUCUAUGCAUGACAACUCAUUGUAAUUGAUAAUGACCCUCGCAAACACUUGGCUACCAUGCGUGUAAUUCUAAGGCCAAGUGCUAAUUUGGUUUACUGAUGAAGAUGCUGAGCACAAGCUUCUGAAAAUGCAGAAUUACGAAUUUUUCGAAAGACUGCGAACCUUUAUGGAGAAAGACAACUAGGCCACUGGAAAACAUGUCGGUGGGAAAAUAAUUCUGAUGAUCGUUCAGCUCGUCCUUUGCUUCAUAAUUACUUUCUUCUUUCUUAAUUUCUCUCAUGGGUCUCGGUUUCUUCCUGAAGCUUGUUGAUGAUGAGUUGCAUAUGCCGAUAAUUCCUCACCAGAAAAUAAGAUGAAAAGGUAACUUUCUUAAUUUUUAAAAUGCUGAAUUUCAAUUUAAGGUACUAUUCAUUUUGUCUCUUUCAAGUUAUUUUUCAUUUUUCUGCUGAUAUUUUAAUAUUUACAGUCAAUUGUAGCAUUACUUAAAUUUAUAGUAUGUAGAUCAUAAUUCAUAAAUUAGUUUGCAGUUGGAGUAAACUCGAAAAUGUUAAAAAAAUAAUAAUAACAACAAAAAGAGUAGAGACAAGUUGUCAUCUUGAGUAACAAUAAAAUAAAGAAUUGCAGCUUUUACAAAGUCUUUCUUUAAAAAUAUGAAAUGAAUAAAAUGACUAUUAAAAUGGUUCAAAAUUUUCUGAUAGUGUCAUUGACUAGCUAGAUCAAUUGUUUCUUGUGUGGUAACUUCAAACACCAAAUCCUUGAAAGCAAGUAUAUUAGUUUUGUAUGGUGUUGCCCAGCCUUCUGCACAUGGUUCAUGAUAUUUGAUCCAACUAUUCGCAAUAGGAGGAAUAGGUGAAGCUGGAAGCAUGAACACCUGUAAAAAAAAAAAAAAAGCCAUAGAAAAAUUAGUCCAAUAAUUAAGAUAUUGCAGCAUAAUUUGAAUUUCUAAACUUUUACAUACCUCUAUGAAAUGAUUUCUAUUAACAAAUCCAAUAGCAAUGAUUUUAUGCGAGGAGCGUGAUAAUGGAAUAGAUCUAAGUGGAAGGAAUGUGACAAUCAGCACAUCUGAUAUAUGUAGUAAUACCACAUUAUAUUUAGAAGCAAUAAUAUGACCAAUUUCAGGCAUGGUCAUCCAAUACUCUCUUCCUGGGUUAUUCUCAAAGUAUAAAAGUGAAUGAAGCACCUCCUCUGCUCUACCAGCAUAUUCAAAGACUCUUUUAUAAUCAUUAAAGUGACUUUGCAACUCAACAACUAAGACUUUCCUGACUUGUGCCCAGUUAUCUUCACCAAUACCUAUUAGGUCAGCCACUGCCUGAAAACCACAAUUACCAUCUGCAACAACAUCUCUAACACCACAAAUAUAAGGCCUCAAACCAAAUGGAAAUGAAUCAAUAUAAGAAGCAUGCUUUGGUGCUUUUGUUUGAGAAACACUCAUUUUUCGUUGCCCUUUUGGUUUUUUUGUAGUUGUACUUGAAGACAUAAUGUCUGGAGAAUGAUUAUCCUGUGCGGAUACUACAUACUCAAAUCUUGAUGGAUCUCGGCGGGUAGAUUUAUCAAGCUUUUGGGAGGGUCGUCCUCGAGUCUUAGCUUUAACAGGUAGCUCAAUUAAAAAAGUUAAGAAUGGAUCAGCUAAUUCUUUCAGUUUUCUUUUUAUUUGCAUUUUUCCGAAACCAUCUGAAUCUUCAAAACGCUUGAUAAUCAUUUCCAUUUCAGGGGUACAACUCAACUCUGCUGAUUUUUCAUAGCUGGUGCAGACAAGGUCUAAUUUCCUCCAAUGCAAAUGUACAGAAUCUAAAGGUAUCGGUCGACCUUCACGCUUAUACUCUGCAAUUUCAUGUGCACACGGUAGCCCAUAAGUGUGUCGAACUACACAACCACAUGCUGAAAUAUCUAUACCAAUUAAAUCAGCUCUUUUUGACUCACUUAGUAUCAUAUCUAAUGCAUUUCUAGCAACUAACCCCCUUAAUUCUUUAAAAACUGAAGGUGUGAAACUAUGUUGCACAGUAGUCAAACUCUUCUCAAAUGAUGCCUUAAUUUUUGUAUGUUGCAACUCUACCAAAGAAUGAAGUUUUGUCCAUAAUGUUACAAAGUUUCCUUGGGAUGAACAUAGUUGCCUUUUUAAUUUUGAAUGUGCAGUCUCAGCCCUAAAAAUAAACCAACAAAAAAAUAAUAAAAAGAUAUAUAAAAAAAUGGUGUUGAGUUUAUUUAUAAAAUCAUUGAAAACUAAAUAUUGGUUACCUGUUGGUUGUCAUAUUUCCGAAAUGCAUAAUAAAGUCUGUCCAUGCUGCAAUAAAUUUUUCUUUAUACUUAUCAAGCCAUGUCUACUUCACAUAGACAAGUGCUUUCGGAUAUCUAGCAUAAUCACUCUAAAAAAUACUCAAGUGUUGUAUGUACUCUUGUUCAGUGGCUGAGAACACCAGUACAUUCCAGUUGCUGUUAAAGGCUUCCCAUCUUUCAUUAGUAUGAAAUAGCCUCUUAUAAUUAGCUAACACAUUUUUUGAAAUAUGCCAUCUACAAAGUAAAUUAGUUGCACUUGGAAAUAUCUUUUCAAUGGCAUUCAUCAGAGCUAAUUCCCUGUCUGUCACAAUCACAGCUGGUAACAUAUCAUCUUGCAUAAUGGUUUUCAAUCUUUCUAAUGCCCAAAUAUAGUUAUCUUCUCGUUCGGACUCAAGAUAUGCAAAACCAACAUUAAAUGUCUUUGCAGUCGAUGUGUCACCAACUAUUUCUAACAACGGAAACUUAUACUUAUUGACUUUAUAAGUGCAGUCCAUUAUCAGAACACUUGGAAAAGCUUUUAACAAAUCAAAAGUAAGAGGAUGUGCCUAAAAUAUGUCUUUCACACAAUUUGUAUCAUCAUCACUCCGAUGCCACUCAAUGUAAUUAUGAUCAUGCAAUUUACUCAUAAGCUGUUGCAUUUGUGACCGUCCGCCCAAUUCGCGAACCUUAUAUUUAUACCGAGCAUUAUAAACCGUCUUCAUUGUUGUAACAUUAAAUGUAUCCCUAGUCUUUAAAGUAUGUAAUAUCUCUUUUGGCCGAACAUUAUUUUUAGACAAAUCAACCAAUAUACUAACAUCUUCAUUAGUAAGUCUACCUGCAAAUGAGUGGCCCUCAAGAUAUUGUGCAAAAUGAUGGUUAUGCAAUCCACAGAUUACUUUUAACACCCAAUCUUGAUUAUUCACCAACAUUUGACCCUUUAAUAAAAAUGGACAGCCACACUUUUUUGUUCCAAUUGCAUUCGGUCUUUUCUUCUUUUCCAAGUCGCUAUUCUGCUUAGACAUGUUGGUACUUCUUUUCGGAUAUGCACCACUUCUUUCACAAGCAAAAAUUAUCCUUGGUCUCCUUCCAAUCACAUUCACGUCAGAUCUUUUAAUAAUAAUCACAAGUCCAUUUUUUUCCCAACAUCAUGCAUCCAUCGAAUCAACUUGUCUCUACUGGUGAAAACCUAUGAGAAAGACAAUAAUAUAUUAGUUAAUGAUACAAAGAAAAGAGAAUAUAUGUAUGAAAAUUUAUUUAGCAUUUUACCUCUUCAGUAGUGAAUGCAGCAGUGUAAUCCAUAACAUCUACUUUAUUAUCAAGAAUGACAACUAUGGUAGAACUUUCCUCCUUUACAAUCAUUGUAAGAUAUUACAUAAGUUAAUACAAGACACAAAACUAGAAUAAUAGCAAUUUAUUCAGCAAUAAUCAACCAAACAAUUGACAUUUGUUAAGGGAUAUUUGUUGAACAUUGUUCAACGCUCUCCCAGUCAUUAUAAUUCUAAAACAAUAAAUUAAUAGCAAACUUACUUUUUUAUUAUCAUCCCCAUCUAUUUGCAUGAUUAUUUUGCCCUAAAUUUGAAACUCUUAGAUUAGGGUUUAAGAAAGAAAAGAGAGUUUAUAUCGUAUGCCACACAAAGAAUUUAAAACUCUUAAACAAAAAUAUGCCAUAUAAGAAAUUUUUAAGGGGAAAAAAAUAUUUGAUUUUGAGUGGGGGUUUAAUUAGAAAUUGUCUUAUUAUGUAAUUUUAAUAAAGGUUAAAAUUGUAAAAUAACUAAAGGGGUGUUAAGAGGUAUUUAGAGGGGUGCCAAUAGUCCCACUCAAAUAAGUAAUGGUAACAAAAGACUAAUUUGUAAUAUUGAAGUGUACGGGCUUAACUAAAUCCAAAAAUUAGUAAGUUAGCUCAAGAGUUGAGAGUUGUCCAAAUCUUAAAUGUUGAACCCAAGUUCAAUACUCAAUUGAUGCGGGAUGUUAUUCCUAACACCUCCCGUCAUGUGUAGGAUUGGUAAAAAAACUCGGGUCAGUCCCGCCUAGACCUACGGGCUUUAUGCAUGGCCCGCAUGAUGAAGUUACGAAAUUAACCUAAAAAUUUGAAACUUACGAUGAAUGGCCUUGCUUAAAGAUUUUUGCAACUUUAAUUUAUAACGAGUAUGUAUAUAUACACACACAAAAGUUUAGAUUGCAUUUGGAUGACUUUUUUAAUCAAUUCAAACAAUCUGAAAUUUAUCAGAUUAAUCCGAAUUUGAUCUGUAUCUGAUUUUGCCCGCCCCUACUAUUUAUAAGCCCAAGUGACUCUCUUUUACUAAUUAAUAAGGGAAUUUUUUACCUUAUAUCCUUGCUGUGGCGUUAGACUACUGGUCAUUUUGAUUGUUUCCUACCUUCCAUUUACGCCAGUUGUAACAUUGUAUUAUUCACCACUUUAGCCAUUUAAAUGAAAUUUUAUUUUCAUAAAAAAUAAAAUGACACCCUUAAAAUUUAAAAAAUAGAUAUGUAGAUCUCAAAUUUUUAAUAAAGAAUGUCAAUACCCCUUUUAACUACAAGAUUCUUAGUAGAUGAUAACCAAAAACAUUAACUUCAAAUUUUUCACUAAAUGUAAAUCUGAUUGAAAUAGUUUAAUUUUUUUCUAGUAGACUAAUAUGUAUAACUUAUAUAAUUAAUUUCAUUAUUAAUUUUUAAAAUGUUAAUUAAUAUAUUUUUAAUUAUUAUAAAAAUUUUAAAUAAAUCUUGGAUUAGAUAGAUUUUACACUUAAUGUAAUACUUCUGAUUUAUUAAUAAUAUUAAAAUUAUUUUAUAUGAUAUUCAAAAUAAUUUAAACUUUUAUAUAUUUAUUUUAAUAUUAUGUCUAUUUAUUAUAGUUUGGUUUAAUAUAAUACGGGAUUGUAAAAUAUUAAAAUAUUUUUCAAUAUCAAAUUAUUUUAAUAUGUAUAUAUUAUUACAUUUAUUUUAAUAUCACAUUUAUAUUUAUUAUAAAAUAUAAAAUUAAUAAAAUUAAAGAGUAUUGCAGUAAAGUAAAAAAAAAAGUCUUAUUAUCCCAUAUUCACGGUAUGAGUUUCUACAAAAUUAUUUCCUCAAAUGGGUGACCUUUCCUCAUUUUCAAAAGAAAAAAUAAAGUAAGAAUAAGUCCAGGGUUUCAAAAACUUCUAGUCUUAUCCCAAGACCUCCAUUGUCUACCACUAUGACUAAUGGAAAUGACAUUGCAAUUGACAUUGCUUUUCGCAACAUGACAAAUUUUUGGUGGGAUAUGAGAGAAUUGUCAAAAGUUCAUGCCGCGUGAGAGUUUUUGGUGGGAUGUGGGAGAAUUGUCAAAAGAUCACACCACGUGAUAUAACCAUAAUUGCUACAAUUUUUUUUAAUAAUGAUGGGAGUUAUAAAUUAUUUAUAUAAAUUUGUGUAGAAACUAAUGUAACAUAAAAGAAGUAGCUGAAUAACAAUAUUUGGUGCUUUAGGUAAUUUUUAUAUGAGCCUUUCUUUUAUUUAGCGACUUUAGUGCUUAAACAAAUUUGUCCUCGAUCUUAAUUUACUUACCCCAUUUAAGCCUAUGAUGACAUAAACAUAUUCUUUUGUGACGAAAACAUCAAGAGAAGACAUCUCAUGUUUUAUUAUAACACAAAAGAAGUGGUCCAAACGUCUAUUCAUUCUUUUAUUUACUCAAUAUGAAUGGCCAACUUUAAAAAAUGAUAAAAAUCACACCACGCUCAACUGAAAAUUUAUAAUUACAUUUUUUAAUACUCUCUAUACUCUCUAGCCUCUCUCUCCUGCCCCCUUUUUUUUUUAAAAAAUAAACCUUAGUGUAAAAUUAGAAGAAUUUUAGAUAUAACAUUUGACAAUCGCUAAAUAGAAAAGUAGGGGAUUGAAAAUAGAGGAGCUCUGUUAUCAUUGGAAUAUUGAUUAUAGAUCAUAUAAUAACUUGUUGUGGUUCAUUGUAGCACUCUGAGUCAUAUUCUAAAAUUUAUAGGUUUCUUAAGGUUUUUAUUAUUGACAUUAUUGUGUCAAUACUAUUAUAAUUUAUUCAUUUUAUUGUAAUGAUAAUUUGUCUAGUCUUAGGUACUUAUUAUAUUAAAUUAUGUAAAUUAAUUGAGAAUACAUUUAGAGACAAAAGAAACACGUGUAUGUAGGAUUAAUAAUCGCAGAGUUGUAAAUGAAGGUGAUUGCUUCAUUGAGAGGCAUAUUAAAUAAUUAUGGAGAGUUGCACUAUUUCGGAAGCAUAUAUUUAUACUUCCCUAUCAGGAUUUGGGGUAAGCGAAGUGCUUUAUGUGUUGUAGUAAGCAAUGUGGGCAAUAUCGGAGGCGAAAUAUUAAAAGAUCAUAACGCAUAUAUUUGAGCCAUUUAUAUUGAAGACACGUAUUGAAGACACGUAUAGAGGAAAGAGUGCAUAUCCGGCGGUAACUAUUAUCAGGCUUUCCUAAAAUAUUCUCAUGCUUCCUCAACUGUUCUGAACUAUUCUUCAUAGUGGGCAGAUUUACUUAAAUACCCUUCUACCUAACAAAACUUGGUACUUCUAAUUGCACUCGCAGAGAAUCUAUAAAAUUAAAAAAAAAUUCAUCCAUGAAAAGCCUCGUAACAGAAAAACCAUCUUUCAAAAAAUAAUAAUAAAAUAAAAACAGAAAAACCGACUCAUUUAUCUGCCAAUGAACCAAUCGGGACUCAUUUAAAAAAGAUUACAAAGCAAAAGUAAAUGACACAAAUUGCAUAGAUAUCUAGGAGCCGCAUCAAAGGGCAAUGGUGUUAAUUUGUCCGAGUAAUAAUUAAUUUCAAUAUUAAUUUUUAAAAUGGAAAUUAAUUUAUUUAUAUUUAUAAAAUAUUUGUAAUUAUUUUAAAAUUUUAACUAAAUCCUUAGGUUAAAUAGAUUUUACAAUUAAUAUAAUAUUUCUCAUGUAUUAAUAAUAUUAAAAUUAUUUUAUAUGAUAUUGAAAAUAACCUAAAUUUUUAUAUAUUUAUUUGAAUAUUAUGUCUCUAUUUAUUAUAAUUGGGUUUAAUAGAAUACGAGAUUGUAAAAUAUUAAAAUUUUUAGAUAUUGAAAUUAUUUUAAUAUGUAUAUAUUAUUAUAUUUAUUUUAAUAUCCUAUUUAUAUUUAUCAUAAAUUAUUAGAGUUAAUUUUUUUAGUUAAUAAAUUUAAAAACUAUUCUAAUUUUAAAAAAAAGUCUUAUUGUCUAUUAUUCAUGAUAUGAGGUUCUACAAAAUUAUUUCUCCAGACGGAUGUCCUUUUCUUAUUUUCAAAAGGAAAAACAAGUUCAGGGUCUCAGGGGUUUCAAAAAUUCUGGUCCUAUCUACCACUAUGACUAAUGGGAAACAACAUUGUAAUUGACAUUGCUUUUCACAAUAUGACAAAUUAUUGGAGGGAUAUGGGAGAAUUGUCAAACAUUCACACCACGCGAGAGCUUUAGUGUGGGAUAGGGGAGGAUUGUCAAGAGUUCACACCACGAGAAACUAAUGAUAGGCCCAAUUUCAUUGUCAAUUCUUUAUUUAUUUCAUGCAUUAUUGUUUUUCUAAAGGUAUAAAAGCAAAGUAAAAUACUAGGGGCGCUUUUAAGUUACAAUUGAUGUAACUUACAAUUUUUUCAAAAAUAAUGUAAAAAAAUUAAUAGGUGGUGGGACCCACAUAUUUUUUAAGAGACUUAAGUUACGGCAGUUGUAACUUAACAAAAUUUAAAUAUUAGAUAAUAAUACAUAUUAAUAAUAUAUAAUUUGGGUUUGAUUUUUAAAAGAUUAUUUGAGUACCACCUAUCCUUAUGAUAUUAAUGUGACUAUAUCUUAAUAUUAAAUAAUCAAAAUUUGUUUAAUUGUUAUUUGUAUUUCAUACAUUACAUAUUAGAUUUGUUUGAAUUUUAAGUUGUUGCUAAUAAAUAUUUAUGUUGUCAAAGUCAAAUUCAAUAGCUACAAAAGCAGAGAUAAUGGUAUUGUAUAUAGUUUUUAAGAAUGCAAGGAUAAGCUGGAUAAUUGACAUAAAUUCUAAUGAUUAAAACAGCAACUAUCCCUUAAGUUAUAAUGUCAAUUUCUUUAAUUAGAUUUUUUUUUUUAUGUGAUAUAACCACAAUUGCUACAAAUUUUUUUUUUUAUAAUAAUAAUGGGAGUUAUAAAUUAUUUAUAUAAAAUUUGGGUUGAAACUAAUGUAACCUAAAAGUGGUUGCUGAAUAACAAUAUUUGAAACUUUAGGUAAUUUUCAUGAGUCCUUUUUAUAUUCAGCAACUUGAAUUGGGGGAAAUCCGACUUGAAUUGGCGGUUGAUUUUCGUGAUGUGGCUUUUGGUUUAUGGCGACCUUACAGUGGCAGAAGACUGGAUUUACGGUUGCCGACUGCUAGGGAUUAUGGUGGGGGUGUAAAUUGACGGAAAAAGAAGGUGUUUUGGUGGCGGCGCGUGUAGGAAGCACUCGUGGGUUGUCGUUUCGUGUGGUGGCGGGCGGCGAUCAAGGGCUGAAGUUGGUCGGUUUUUGGUCAACGGAGGCCGGCGAGUUUGUUGGUGGAGGUGGCUGGUGGAGAAAGUGACUGAAUGGUGGUGGGUUGCUUGGUGGAGCCGCGGGUUUGGGUUGGUGAUUUGUGGCUGUUCAAGCGGCGGUUGAGGCAGCGAUGACUGAGGCUUGGUCGACGGUGGCUAGUGAGGUUUGUGGUGGUGUUGGCUGACUGAUCGGCGGUGGUGGGCGGCCGUGGAGGUUGAUGUGACGGGUAGGGUUUUCAAAUUUGUAAAUUUUUUUUUUUGAUGGAUUUGGUUUGGAUGGGUAUCGUGUAUCUAGGAAAGAUGUGCGAUUCGCACAGAAUCCCUUUGACACCAAUUGAUGGAGCGAGGCGUAGCGGAAGCGGAAUUGAUAGGGUAAGAAACAUUAGAUAUUGUUCUAGUACUAGACCAAGCCAACGCAAUUAGCUUACGCUCUAAUCGAAGCGUGAUUAGAUAUCGUUCUAAUCCAAAUAACUCAAUACGAUUUUUAAUAAUGCGUAAUACGAGAUUAAAUGACACUCUAAUCCAAACGACUCUACAAGAGAGAUUUUGAUAAAUAAUCAUAGAGGGGUUUUAUUUAAUAAUUGAACCUGAAGUUAAUGAAAAUAAUGACAAGACAUCUUUAUUUUUUUUUAUUACAGACAUCUUUAUUUAUAAUAAAAGAAACCCGCUUUCCUAAGUUAACCUAAAAAGAAAAUUUAAAUCAUAAUUAUAAUGGAAAUAAAAGAUUAAGAUACAUAUCAUAAUUGACUCAAACUAAAAUAGAAAAUCAUAAAAUAAUAAAUAUUCUAAAAUUAUAAAUUAUCUAAAAUAACGUUAAUUAACUUCCUAAAUCACUUCUUUGGUGUAAACCAUUUUGCAUCCAAACUCGCUUUAAAGGUUUGAACUAACGUUACCAACAACAAUGUAUCAAAUUCCAAUCUAACUUAAGAUCUUGAUGCAUCUAUCGAUGUCCUUGUUUGAUUAGACAAUAAUGAGUCUAUCUCAUCACUUGUUACCUCUUUCUUGAAAGCUACAUCUGUUGAAGUGAUAGCCUCACUUAGAGUUUAAAGAUCUUCUUCCCUGUUAAAUAAAAUGGGCAUUUGAGUAAAAAGCUUUAUCUCUAUCUCCUUCUAUCAAAUAACGACAACUAUCCAAAGGGAAAAAAAAAAUUAGAAAAGUCCAUGGGUCACAAUAAUUUAUGGUCUGUCUCCGGACCCCAUUAUCUGCCACUAUCAAUGAUGAAAAUGAAAAUAAAUGGCAUCUUCCCUAAAUGGCAAAAGAUUUUUGGGGGAUAUAGGGGAAUUGUCAAAAGUUCAUACAACGCGAAAUAAGUGUUACAUCCAAUUUUAUUUCGUCAUAUAAUGAUAAUAUUAAAUAAUGACAACCAUCCAAAAGUAUGAUGGGUCUUCCAAAAUUUUGAAAAUGUCGUCAACAUUUAAUCUUCAAUGCUAAAGAAGAUGAAACGCCCAAAAAUGACACGCAGGACUCACUCAAAAACUAAAUGGCCCUCACCACAUGUAACAAACUUUGACCUUAUGUCCCUGCUGAGGCGUUAGACUGUUGGUCAUUUUGAUUGCUUUUUACCAUCCAUUUACGCCAUUGUAGAAUUGAACUAUUCACCAGUCUAGCUGUUUAAAUGAAAUUGUUAUUUUUUUUCCAAAAAUAAAAUGACACCCUUAAAAUUUUAGAAAAUAGUCAUGUAGACCCCAAAAUUUUAUUAAAGAACACUAAUAUCCUUUUUUACUAUAGUACUCUUAGUAGAUGGUAACAAAAAAAAAAUGAUUGCAAAAUAUUUUAGUAAAUGAAAAUAUGAUUUAAAUAGUUUAAAUUUUCUAGUAGACUAGUAUGUAUAAUUUAAAUAAUUAAUUUUUAAAAUGUAAUUUAAUAUAUUUAUUAUAAAAUUUUUAAACAAAUCCUUGGGUUAAAUAGAUUUUAUAAUUUAUAUAAUAUUUCUCAUGUUUUUAUGUUAUAGAAAUAUUAAAAUUAUUUGAUAUGAUAUUGAAAAUAAUUAAACAUUUUAUAUAUUUAUUUGAAUAUUAUGUCUCUAUUUAUUAUAAUUUGGUUUAAUAGAAUACGAGAUUGUAAAAUAUUAAAAUAUUUUUAGGUAUUGAAAUUAUUUUAAUAUAUAUAUACAUAUUAUUAUAUUUAUUUUAAUAUCCUACUUAUAUUUAUUAUAAAAUAUUAAAAUUAAUUUUUUUAGUUAAUAAAUUUAAAAAAUAUUAUAAUUAUAAAAAGAGUCUUAUUGUCUGCUAUUCACGAUAUGAGAUUCUACAAAAUUAUUUUGAAAAUGAAAAAUAAGUCCAGGGGUUUCAACAAAUUCUAGUCCUAUCUGCCACUAUGACUAAUGGAAACGACAUUGCAAUUGACAUUGGUUUUCAUAAUAUGACAAAUUUUUGGAGGGAUAUGGGAGAAUCGUCAAAUGUUCACACUACGCGGGAUUUUUGGAUGGGAUCAGGGAGGAUUGUCAACAGUUCACACCACGAGAAACCAAUGAUAGCCCUAAUUUCGCUGUUAGUUCUUUGUUUAUUUAUUUUAUUUAUUUCAUACAUUGUUGUCUUGUUGGCAUUGUUUUGUAAAGAUAUAAAAGUAAAGUAAACUAUUAGGGUGCUGCUAAGUUAAGCUGUUGUAACUUGCAGUCCCUUAAAAAAUAAUGUAAAAAAUCCACAUUUGUUUGAAGAGGCUGUAAGUUAUAGUAGUUGUGACUUAGCAAAAUCCAAAUAUUAGACAAUAACGCACAUUAACAAUGCAUAUAAUUUGGGUUUGAUUUUUAAAAAAAUUAUUUGAGUAUUAGCUAUCCUUAAGAUAUUAAUGUGAAUAUAAUUUAAUAUUUAAUAAUCAAAAUCUGUUUAAUCAUAAUAUAUAUUUCAUACAUUGCAUGUUUAAUCAAAAUCUGAUUGCUUUUUACCUUCCAUUUACGCCCACUGUAGCAUUGUACUAUUCACCAUUUUAGAUGUUUAAAUGAAAUUUUUAUUUUUUUUCCAAAAAUAAAAUGACACCCUUAAAAUUUUAGAAAAUAGCCAUGUAGACCCCAAAAUUUUAAUAAAGAACACUAAUAUCCUUUUUAACUACAGCACUCUUAGUAGAUGGUAACCAAAAAAAAAAAAUUGAUUGCAAAAUUUUUUAGUAAAUGUAAAUAUGAUUUAAAUAGUUUAAAUUUUCUAGUAGACUAGUAUGUAUAAUUUAAAUAAUUAAUUUUUAAAAUGUAAUUUAAUAUAUUUAUUUUAAUAUUAUAUUUAUUAUAAAAUUUUUAAACAAAUCAUUGGGUUAAAUAGAUUUUAUAAUUUAUAUAAUAUUUCUCAUGUUUUAAUAAUAUUAAAAUUAUUUUAUAUGAUAUUAAAAAUAAUUAAAAAUUUUAUAUAUUUAUUUGAAUAUUAUGUCUCUUUUUAUUAUAAUUUGGUUUAAUAGAAUACGAGAUUGUAAAAUAUUAAAAUAUUUUUAGGUAUUGAAAUUAUUUUAAUAUAUAUAUAUAUAUAUAUAUAUAUAUUAUAUUUAUUUUUAUAUCCUACUUAUAUUUAUUAUAAAAUAUUAAAAUUAAUUUUUUUAGUUAAUAAAUUUAAAAAUAUUAUAAUUAAAAAAAGAGUCUGAUUGUCUGUUAUUCACGAUAUGAGGUUCUACAAAAUUAUUUUGAAAAGGAAAAAUAAGUCCAGGGGUUUCAACAAAUUCUAGUGCUAUCUGCCACUAUGACUAAUAGAAACGACAUUGCAAUUGACAUUGCUUUUCUUAAUAUGACAAAUUUUUUUAGGGAUAUGGGAGAAUCGACAAAUGUUCACACUACGCGGGAGUUUUAGAUGGGAUCAGGGAGGAUUGUCAACAGUUCACACCACGAGAAACCAAUGAUAGCCCUAAUUUCGCUGUCAGUUCUUUGUUUAUUUAUUUUCAUUAUUUCAUACAUUGUUGUCUUGUUGGCAUUGUUUUGUAAAGAUAUAAAAGUAAAGUAAACUAUUAGGGUGCUGCUAAGUUAAGUUGUUGUAACUUACAAUCCCUUAAAAAAUAAUGUAAAAAAUCCACAUUUGUUUGAAGUGGCUGUAAGUUAUAGUAGUUGUGACUUAACAAAAUCCAAAUAUUAGACAAUAACGCACAUUAACAAUGCAUAUAAUUUGGGUUUGAUUUAAAAAAAAAAAAUUUUGAGUAUUACCUAUCCUUAAGAUAUUAAUGUAAAUAUAAUUUAAUAUUAAAUAAUCAAAAUCUGUUUAAUCAUAAUAUAUAUUUCAUACAUUGCAUGUUUCAUCAAAAUUUGAUUGCUUUUUACCUUCUAUUUACGCCCACUGUAGCAUUGUACUAUUCACCAUUUUAGAUGUUUAAAUGAAAUUUUUAUUUUUUUCCAAAAAUAAAAUGACACCCUUACAAUUUUAGAAAAUAGUCAUGUAGACCCCAAAAUUUUAAUAAAGAACACCAAUACCCUUUUUGACUAUAGUACUCUUAUGGUAGCCACAAAAAAAAAUUGACUUCAAAAUUUUUUAGUAAAUGUAAAUACGAUUUAAAUAGUUUAAAUUUUCUAGUAGACUCGUAUGUAUAAUUUAAAUAAUUAAUUUUUAAAAUGUAACUUAAUAUAUUUAUUUUAAUAAUAUAUUUAUUAUAAAAAUUUUAAACAAAUCCUUGGGUUAAAUAUUUUUAUAAUUAAUAUAAUAUUUCUCAUGUUUUAAUAAUAUUAAAGUUAUUUUAUAUGAUAUUGAAAAUAAUUUAAAGCUUUAUAUAUUUAUUUGAAUAUUAUGUCUCUAUUUAUUAUAAUUUGGUUUAAUAUAAUACGAGAUUGUAAAAUAUUAAAAUAUUUUUUGGUAUUGAAAUUAUUUUAAUAUAUAUAUAUAUAUUAUAUUUAUUUUAAUAUCCUACUUAUAUUAUUAUAAAAUAUUAAAAUUAAUUUUUUUAGUUAAAAAUUUAAAAAAAUAUUACAGUUAAAAAAAAAGAGUCUCAUUGUCCGUUAUUCACGAUAUGAGAUUCUAUAAAAUUAUUUUCAAAAGGAAAAAUAUGUCCAGGAGUUUCAACAAAUUCUAGUCCUAUCUGCCACUAUGACUAAUGGAGACGACAUUGAAUUGACAUUGCUUUUCGCAAUAUGACAAAUUUUUGGAGGGAUAUGGGAGAAUCAUCAAGCGUUCACACCACGCGAGAGCUUUAGGUGUGAUAUGGGAGAAUUGUUAAGAGUUCACACCACGAGAAAUUAAUGAUAGGCCUAAUUUCGUUGUCAGAUCUUUAUUUAUUUUUUAUUUAUUUCAUACACUAUUGUCUUGUUGGUAUUGUUUUGUAAAGAUAUAAAAGUACAAGUAAAAUAUUAGGGGAAGUAAAGUAAAAUAUUGGAGGUGCUACUAAGUUACAGCUGCUGUAACUUACAGUUCCUUAAAAAAUAAUGUAAAAAAUUUAACACGUGGUGGGACCCACAUUAUGUUUGAAGAGGUCGUAAGUUAUAGCAGUUGUAAAUUAGUAAAAUCCAAAUAUUAGACAAUAAUACAUAAUAACAAUGCAUAUAAUUUGAGUUUGAUUUUUAAAAAAAUUAUAUGAGUAUUACCUAUCCUUAAGAUAUUAAUGAGAAUAUAUUUUAAUAUUAAAUAAUCAAAAUCUGUUUAAUCAUAAUAUGUAAUUCAUACAUUGCAUGUUAGAUUUGUUUGGAUUUUAAGUUGUUGCUAAUAAAUAUUUAUGUUGUGAAAGUCGAAUUCAAUAGCUACAAAAGCAGAGAUAAUGGUAUUUUAUGUAGUUUUUAAGAAUACAAGGAUAAGUAGGGGUGGGCAAAUCGGGUUUCGAUUCGGGUUGUUCGGGUUUCGGAUUGGGUUUCAACCCGUUCGGGUUGGAGAAUUGAACCCAAUCGGGUUGAAAGCACCAACCCGAACCAAACCGAACCGAAUUUAAUUCGGUUCGGUUCGGUUUGGGUUGGCAAUUCGGAUCGGAUUGGGUUGAUAAUUCGGGUUAAAAUUUCGGUUCGGGUUAAUUCGGGUUAGAAUGGGUUGGAACAAUUUAAUCUAAAAAUUCUAACAACAACCACUUAAAAUCUAAAAAUUUAAAUUUCAAACAUUCUUAACAACAAAUAUCAAUUACAAAUCAUCCUUAAUAACAUUUCAACAAUUUAAAAAUCUCAAUUCCAAACAUUCCAAACAUCCUUAAGGAACGAUUUAAUCUAAAAAUUAUAACAACCUCUUAAAAUCCAAAAAUCUUAAUUCCAAAUAUCCUUAAUAACAAAUAUCAUCUACAAAUCAUCUUUAAUAACAUUUCAAUAAUUUAAAACUCUCAAUUCCAAACAUCCUUAAUAACAAAUAUCAACUACAAAUCAUCUUUAAUAACAUUUCAAUAAUUUAAAACUCUCAAUUCCAAAUAUUCCAAACAUCCUUAAGGAACAAUUUAAUUCAAAAAUUAUAACAACCACUUAAAAUCUAAAAAUCUCAAUUCCAAACAUCCUUAAUAUAUAUAUAUAUAUAUUUUUUUUUUUAAUUUAAAAGCUGAAUCUUAAAAAAAAAAAAAAGCUUCAACCCGAACGGGUUGAAACUUUGAAUCCGUUCGGGUUUCACCGGUUAACCCAAACCGAACCGAACGCCCACCCUAAGGAUAAGACCAUAACGCAUGAGAUAAUGGUAUUUUAUAUUAAAAGACCAUAACACAUGUAUUUGAGCCAUUUAUAUUGAGGACACAUAUAGAGCGAAGAGUGCAGAUCCGGCCGUAACUAUUGUGAAGCUUCCCUCAAGUAUUCCCAUGCACACAACCCUUAUCUGUUCAAGUUUUCUGAUUCAAUAUAAUCAAUUUCCGAGCAGUACUGACGACAGCUUCUCUGUAAAGCUCUUCAACCACAAGCAUUUCUACAAGGCAAAAGACUAGGACGUGUCGGAAUGAAUAUCAAUAAGGGAAUGUCUUAUGAAUUCAGUUUAUAUCCUAAUAUAAGACAAUCAGUAAAUAUUGGAUGCAAUCUUAGGCUAACAUUUGGUUGAUCAUUAUACAAAAAAAAAGGUACAAAAAUACAAAACAGAGCUGAUUGAUGGCCUCUCACAGUCAGUUAUAUGACAAAGUAGCCAUCACUACUUGAACUUGGCUGGAGGUCUCAUUAGCAGUAUACCUCAGAAAUUAAUACAGAGACUUUAAAAUGCAAACUUAUGGAGCAAUUUAAGCACUGAAACUAAUAACAGUACGGUAUUAGCAAUUGACCUCUGCUUUUUGCUUGGACAAAGGUUCUCAUCACAAGGGACUCAUUAGUUGCCCUUGCCUCACACUUUUGGAUGCUAAGGGGAAAAAGGAAGCUUGAAUUAGUCAAUCUCAUGUCUAAUGGCAUUCACAGAGAACCUAUAAAACCAAAUAAAUAAAUAAAGUUUUCAUCCAUGAAAAGCUUAGUAAUGGAAAAACCGACUCUUUUAUCUGCCACUGACGAAAAAAAAACUGAAGUAUUAAAUAGAUAAUGAAUUUAAUUUUUUUCUUGGAAAAACUAAUAAUAAAUUAACAAUUAGAUAGUACUAUUAAUUAGAGAUCUUUAAUAUUAAGGUUAUCAAAUAUAGAAUGUGUAUAAAAAUUCUUAAUUAUAAGAUAAUUACUAACUAAAAAGAGGCCUAAAAAAGAAGAUUUGCUAUUAUAAGUAAUACCAAAAAUAAAAAGGGAGACUUCCUAAUUGUUUAAUUGUUAAAAAAGAGGAUUUGUUAUUAUAGGCCUAAUUUGCCUAUGCUUAAAACCGUUCCCGGAUGUAAAAAAAUAAAAAUUAUUGUUAAAUUCCUGACUAAUAAGGUCAUUGAAAGUAUUCAAAGGACCUGAACUAUACCACGUUGCAAGUGAGCUCGUAUUUUUAUCCCUUGAUCUGCCAUCGGUAUUUCUCUUCCACUCACUAUACCAUCCUUUUCAAUCGAUUUUUAUUGAUCAUAAGAGACCAUGUGGCCCACCUUUUUUUUAUUUUGGAUCCAUAACCCAAUGCUGGCCCAAGUUAAACAGCAAAUCAUCAAACGCACUUCAAUGACUUUGAUUUUGAUUUUUUUUUUCAAAAGAAGUAAAAAAAUCCAUGGGUCGCAAUAACUGCUGGGAAAUUUAUAAAAAUAGUCAUAAAAUAUUUGUAUUUUUUAACUUUAAUCCCUUAAAGUUUUUUCUAUCAUAACUAGCCAAAUACCCUACUUUUGGACUAGAUUACCCUCAUCACUUUUAUCAAAUUUAUAAAGACAUGCCACUUUUUCAAUUCCAGCACAACUAAAUACGGUUCUUCUUCAAUAACUUAACAAACAUUUAUCACUCUCAACAAACUUCAUCACUCUCUAUAAAUCAAUUACAUAAUUGAAUAUAAUCAUCAAUGGGAGAGCUUCUUAAAAUUAGUUUAUGCUUUUACACAAUGUAAAUCUUUAAUCUAUUGAUUUUAUCAACUAAAUUUGAAAUUAAAGUGGGUUUUGUUACAAAUAUUGUUAUUUUUCAUUCAUAAAACAAUGUGAUUUGUUAAAGUACUUAGUUUGAGUUGAGAAAUGAAGAAAAAUCAUUGAAAAUAUAGAAAAAUCGGGCAAAAAACGAAGUUCAGAACAAGUGAGAUAGGCAAGUGGGACAGGUGCAUGUCUCACAUAAACGCACUGCAUUUAUGUGCGACAGGCACCUGUCCCACUGCUUGUCGCACAUAAACCCAUAAAUUUUAUAGAGUACAUGAUUUUGGAUUUGAUUUGUCUCGUCAUAAGCUUCGAAACAGUAUAUUAUACGCCUAAAACGAACAUAUGUAGCUCAAGUUAUAGCUUUUGCAAUAUAUAUGAAAUUUAGUGAGACAGGCACCUGUCCCACUUGCCUGUCUCACUAAAUUUCAUAUAUGUUUCAAAAAUCAUAACUUGAGCUAUAUAUGUCCGUUUUAGACGUAUAAUAUAUCAUUUCAAAGUUUAUGAUGAGACAAAUCAAAUUCAAAAUUAUGUACUCUAUAAAAUUUGUGGGUUUACGUGCGAUAGGCAAUGGGACAGGUAAAAUGAAUAAACUCUGAGCCUCUCUCUAUAACACUAUAUAGAACCCUAAGCCUAAGUCUCACAUUCGCAACCGCCCCACAUAUCAGAACCACAGCGAACUGCCUCCGACCCUACGGACCCAAAAAAAUUAUUGUAUUCCUGCUCUUUCACUUCAAUAAUUUUUUGUAUUAUUCCAUAUCUUUCACUUUAAUAACCCAAAAGCUUUCCUCUGUUUCAACCCAAAAGCUCAAAUUCCUUUUUUCAAUCGAAAUAAAACGUAGCCACAAAACCCUAAUUCACCACACCAAUUUAUCUCUGCCCGGUAUUCAUUUAAACCCUACCUCGCGGUUCAAUGUCAUUCAAUACGAUUGCAGAUGCCGUUUCAACUUGACAUUUAGUUAGCGCCAUCCCGUUCUCUAUGGUAAGCCUUAACCCUAACAACUAAUCGACUGUGGUAGCACGUUGCUUGUUAGGAGUGGGGAUACAUUAUUUGAAUAUAUGAAUUGGGUGAUGUUAGUGAUUCAUUCCCCUAUUUUUCGUGAAUUGAGAUUUGUGUAUAAUGCUAGUAAGAUUGCUAAAAAUUUCAUAUUUUGUAUUGUUCCAGUUGAAUUUCUUGCUUGUGGAAGAUAAAACAAAAGUUCAAUUUCAUGUUGAUUUAAUUCUUCUUUUUUUUUUCUUCUUUAUAGUCACGCUCUGGCUUUGGUGCUAUGCUUAGUGCAGUUUAUGGUUUCAAGAUUAAGUCACGUUUAUUUGAUGGCAUCGAUUCCAUCAUUAAGAAGCUCUUCUUAUUUUAUCUCAGUUUCAAUUUUCUUUUAUUAUCUGCCUCUACCUGAAAAUGGACGUGUUUUACUAGUAAGCAUAGACUUUGUUUAUUUAAUUGAUAUUAUAAUUUUAUGUAUAAGAAUGGAGGUUUAUUUUGAAAAAAAAAAAGAAAUAAAAAAAUAGACUCUGUUGAAGCUAAUUAGUACUGAAUUUUUUUUGGUGGUGCGACCAGAGGUGGAAACAGGGUAUGAAAAUGUGUUACUGGUGAGGUUGCUGCUUAAGAUGAGAAUGGCUAAAAAUCUGUCAUACGUUCAAAUUUUGUUUGUGUUUGGAAGAAUGGUGUUGACUGUAUAUUCGUUUGGAAGAAUGGUGUUGAUUGUAUAUUCAUUUGCUUAGCCUUUUGACAGAUGGAUUUGAAACUGACGACAAAUGUGAUUCAAUUUACAAGGUUUUCGAGGGGCUCACAGUGGAAGGGAUAUUGAAGAACUGGUCUAAGAUAAAGCCUAUGAUUGUGAAAGAUUGGAGUGAGAAUAUAGAUGCUCGUUUAAAUCUUUUUGGCAAGGUCAGAGAUGAAUGGAUAGAUAAGGAUUUAUUUGACUACUUCGUCUGGUGCUAAUAGGUAUUUUAGGCAAGCUUUUUGAGAUAACACUGAGCAAGUUAUACUACUAGUUUGCACAUGAUGAUCAAAACUCUCGAAAAGUAAAAUAAAAUAAAUUAUUAACUUUUACUUUCAUCUUUUGCAUAGCAAUCAAUGUGGUGCUUGUUCUGUGACAACUUUGAUAGUCUACUUAAUUAUUGGUUAGCAUUUGGACCAAAAAAGUUCUUAUGAUUUACAUGUUUUGUAGAAAUGCAUGAACCUUAAAUGUGCUGAUCAGGGAGUUUAAUUAUUGCACCUUGAAAUUCAUUUAUUGUUAACUAAUUGGCUUUCCUUUGCAUAAAGACGCUUAUAAGGCUUGAGUGGACGUCUUUAUGGGCAUAUUAUUUGUAUUUCUAUAUGCAUGCCUUUAUCAUUAAUUUAUGUGCUGCUUGUAUUUCUUUAUGCAUGCCUUUAUCAUUUAAUGGCCAGCUCCCUCUCCUCUUUUGUAAUUUGAAUGGUAGUAUGGGCCUCCAUUUUACAAAUCUUUAACAUUUUUUGCUGUAAAUUAAUUUUUCUUUCAAAUAUUUUGGAGGUCAUUGGAAUUCCUGUAGGUCUAUUUACCAGAUUUUAGUACGUUUAAGGUUUUAAUUUUGCUUAGACUUUAAUUUCUCUGAAAGAUUGUAGUAUUGAUCCUCAAAGAAAGAUCAUGCUACUUCAAAUUAUUUUGAAGUGUUGCUAGUUAUAGCCUUACAUAUCAAAUUCCAUUUGUCUGGAAAUUUAUUGAUAGUUGUUACAGCAGCAUAUUUUAUGACUCUACUUCUUAGUUAUGUAAGUUCAUUAUGUUUAGGUCAGAGGCAGUCAGCUGUGGGGAAUCGAUAUAUACACAGAUGACUUUGAUCUUGUUGCUGGUACGUGGUUCUAUGAAUAAUUGUUCACAAUAAUUGUGUUUGCCUCACUGUUUUUGUUUUAUGAGGUCUAUAAUUGAUCUUGAGAUAUUACUUUCUAGUUCUCAUGCAAGCAAGUUACUACCUUCCCACUGCAUCUCCUCCUUUAUCUGCUAUUCAAGAGUUGCGUGCCAUAAUCUGGUGUUACCUCUGCAAGAUUGUGAAUGAAUAUGAUGCCUCUAAAUUUAUUUUAUACAUAAUGCUGAUGCUGAAUAAUAUAUUGUAGCUCCUGUCAUAUUCUACUUUGACUUUUUAUAUUCUGUUUCAUAUAAAAAUCUUAUUCAACUUUAGUUGUUCAUGAGCAAAUGUCACAUGUAUAAGCCCAAAUGAUGCUUAAAGGUAGCGCGGCUACCUUUAGUUUGAGCCUACAAUGGAUGAAAAAGAAAUUGAAACUGAUAUUUUGCUGUUUUUCUGAUUUUUCAAAGUAUUUUAGAUCCUGACUUUUGUUUGGACUUGAUGGUUAUAGAUUGUGUCUAGAUUUGUUAAGUUGUUUCCAACACCUCGUGCCAAAUGAAAGCACAAUCUUUCUGAUUCAGAUGUCUUGUUAAUUAUGCUUCAUUUUUUUCGUUAAAGAAUGGAUGGUUGCAUGGAUUGAUGGAGUUGGAGUUCAACCAAUAAUUCUAAUUUUUUGGACUUAAAAUGCCUUUUUCUUCUGUAUAAAAACUUUAGUAAGUGCUAUUGAGUUGACAGAAGUUGAAUACUUACAGGUUGUUUCACACAUUUUAAUCGUUUUACAUAUAUGAAUUUCUGUUUUUUGAAUUGCAGAAAGGAGGUGGAACUAUUGAUUUGGAGCCUUAUCUUACUCAAUCAUCGACAGCGGAGCCUACCCUCGCUCCCAUGGCAGUGGAACGGACAACGACUACUAGGGCUGCAACAUCAGUUGGUUUGGGUCUGUUUUGAGUUUAUUGUCAUUUAUUUGGCAAUGUUUUGAUAGCGAAUUUUGAUAUGUCAAUAUAAUGUGUAAUUGUUUUGGGUUGAGCUGGUAAUUAUGCUGGAUUAGAUUGGUUUGGUUUUGGUGCUUCUCUGACGGAACACUGCUUUUUUUAGAAAUUUUGAAUGUAAUAUGAGACUACAUUUAGUUUAAUUGAACACUGCAUCUAGUCUAAUUACUAGACGUGUGGCAUUUGGUUUGGUUUAUCCGAUAUUCUCCAGAAUUUCACUUGCAUCUGGUUUUGUUGCAUAUGUUUGCUUGCAUUUGAUGGCAGUAGCAGACUGUUUGGUUUUGUGAGAUUUGAUGGCAGUUUGGUCUGUUCUUGGUGUUGAUUUAAGAUUGUUCCUGUUGUGCUGAUGUUAAUUGCAGGUGCUUGAAUCAGCUAGGGUUGCUGGUUUAUUCAGAUGGUUGACUCAGGCGUUGUUACUGGUUAAUUCAGGUGGCUGACUCAAGUUGUUCAUUUAAUGUUAGGAAGCAAAUUAAGAAUUAAUGAAGUAUUCAUUUAACUAUAAUUUUUGUAGUUAUAUUAUUUCAUAACUGAAUUAUAAUCUAUGAUACUUUUGAACAAAUUAGAGAAUUUUUAAAUAUGAAUUAAAUAUGUGUGUGUAUGUACAUUUUGCUAUUUAUAUAAUAAUUUAAAGAAUAUAUUUCAAUUCCCACAAAAAUAAUGGCUCCAAUUUCAAUAAUUCCCGCCAAAUAAUUAAAUUUUUUUAAUUUACCACCAAAGUAUAUCUUAAAGAAAUUUUAGUUAUUCUUGCUAGAUUUAACAAAAAUAAUUUGUAGGAUUAAAUUUAAUUAAAAUAAUUAAAUAAUUUUAUUAUUCCAAUUAAAAAUGUCAUGUUUAUACGACAGACAAUAGUCAUGAAUGGGAAGUAUUCGUUACAUGUUUUUCCUUGGGAUUUCAGGCAAAUGAAAAAAAGAUUGAGAAUGAUUUCAAGAGGACAGGUGGAUGAUAAGUAUUCAUUUUUGUAUAUUUGGCUAAUGUCCUCAUUAGUGGAUUUUUAUGGUAUUGAUCUUUUUUUUUUUUUAAUUUUCAAUUAGUUGCAGCCCUAGAGGAAGAGCAGGCUGAUCAAAUUGAUUUGUCUUGUUUUUGGGGCAAUCUACGACACGAUGACCGUGAUAAUGCUCGUGACUGCUGGAAACUUUCUGAUGUAAAUAACUUUAGAGUUCGUAGCAAGCAUUUUUGUUAUGACAAAACAAAGGUUCCCCCAUAUUUUGUUUAUUUGUUAUUUAUGGUACUUAUUUAUGGUAUUUAUAUAUCCUGCAUAGGCUAGGUAGACAGGUUAUGAUGUAGUUUGGUUGGCUCUUCUUGUGCUUUGUGCAAUUUGUAACUGCAGAUACCUGCGGGAAAACAUUUAAUGGAUCUUGUUGCUGUUGAUUGGUUCAAAGACACAAAGAGAAUGGACCAUGUAACUAGGCAUCAAAGCUGUGCUGCACAAGUAACUAUUCUUCUCUUUUUUAUUUUUCCUUUUCCAUUGACGGAUUAGAAGAAAAUACUGCCUGUGAGAUACUGUAAUGUAAAUAACUUCUCAUGGUUCAUUGAAUCUAUAACACACUGACCCUCUUCUAAAAAAUGUAGGUUGCUUCUGAAAAAGGGCUUUUCUCACUGAUCUUUAAUCUUCAAGUAAGUUUGUUUCAUUUCAGAAGGUAUUAAGUUUCAAACUUAUUGUAUUGGGAGGUUGUAUAGUUGUAACCUAAGCAUCUGCAGGUUCCUGGUUCAACACAUUAUAGUAUGGUAUUUUAUUUUGUCACAAGGCAAUUGGCUAUGGGAUCACUUUUGCAACGGUUUGUUGAUGGCGAUGAUGAGUUUCGCAAUAGUAGGUUGAAACUUAUUCCAUCUGUUCCUAAGGUAUCCAUCUUGGCCUUCAUGUAUUAGGACUAUAUUAAUGUAUACUUACCCUUUACUGCAUGGUACACUUCAAUUUGUCCAAAGAAGGCAUGCAUUUAGGUGAAAAUGUAUUGAUGGGUUGUACCUUCAAACUUCAUGUCCUUUUUACCCUCUUGAAUUUGUUUUGCACUUGUUCUUGAUUUUAAGCACUGAAUCAUGCAGGGGUCAUGGAUCGUGCGUCAGAGUGUUGGAAGCACCCCUUGUUCGUUAGGGAAAGCGGUUGAUUGUAACUAUAUUCGCAGUCCCAAGUACUUAGAAGUAAAUGCUCUUGGAAUUUCUAUAGUACAUGAGAUGUUCAUCUUUCAAAUAGCAUCCGAUACCAUUAACAUGGUUUAACAUUGUUCAUCUUUCUGUAGAUUGAUGUUGACAUUGGUUCUUCUACCGUUGCUAAUGGAGUUUUGGGCCUUGUAAUUGCUGUAAUUACGACAUUGGUGGUUGACAUGGCUUUCCUUGUACAGGUAUGUAUGAUUGUUUUUUUCCCCCACUUCUAAAUGGACACAAGGGAAAAGACAUGAUUUUGAGAUAUUGCACUGCAAUUUGCAUUUUUGCAUACUUGAAUGUUCUCAGAAUGGUAUAAUGCUUCGUGUGUGUCUUCUUUAUCUUGCUCUUCUGUAUGCAGGCAAAUACUGCAGAUGAAUUACCGGAGCGGCUGAUUGGUGCUGUAGGUGUUUCUCAUAUAGAACUCAAGUCUGCUGUUGUCCCAAAGUUGGAACCAGAGAUAUCAUGACUGUGGUUUCAUUUCACCUCAACUGUGUUUUUUUUUUAAUUAAAAAAAAUCAUUUGUUUUAGGUAUAUACAUACAUGUAUUUUGAUUCGAUUUUCAUUGUAAUUUCUCAUUUACUUCGAAUGAAAGUCAUUGGUGUUUUCGAAUGGGGAUUUUGCAUUAAAAAAUGAACAAUAGUGAAUAGGAAAUUUCCUGAUUCUUUAGUUACUAUUUUUGGUACGAGUGUAAUUAGUAGUAAAGUUGGUUUCUACUCGCAAACAAGUAAACUGCUCGAUUCCCGAGUGGUAUCAACCAGUUUCCAACUUUUUAAUAUACACUAAUUGUUCUUGUUUAAGAGAUACUACUAUUAAAACUCAACAGCUAACAAAAUUACUCAAAAAAGAUGAUUUUUCUUAUGAUGCUGUGAAGAAAAUUACGGGUUUACUUCUCUCCACGAGAUCUAUAACAUGGUUUUGACUUCACGAAAUUCUUUUAAUUUAAAGCAUGCUGGUGUGAGAAGGUCAGUUUGACUGAUUGAUUCUUCAAAAAUAUUCUUAUUCUGAUAUUGUCACAAAUGUUAUGCUGUUUCGGCUAAUGAUCUCCUAUUAGGAGAGGUUAGAAAUCAAAUGCUUAAAAGACCGAUUGAACGAAUAAUACAGAAAAUUUAAGCAGAAUCUAAUCGAAUAUUGCAUGAAACAUGAAACAUCAAUUCAAGUCCUUUCUUAAACGGAGAAUGCAUCAAACAAAAUCUAAAGUGUCUUGCACGUCUGUAGCAUGAGCAAAAAAUUGUAAAUAUGUAGAACCAAAUUAUUCAAGUACAGAAGAACGAGCAAGCUGAAUCAUGUAUUAGAGAUUGGCCUGGUUCGGGAUAGCUUCUUCACUAUACCUGAAUAAUUUGCUAAAUAGCACCAAAACUUAAUUGAUACUUACCAUUUCAUUGAACAAUUUUUUUAUGGUGUCAUUGAGGUUGCCUUCCCAACAUCCUUCAUCAUCAUCAUCUUUUUCUUCUUCGGUGACGUUCACUUUGUUUAGCAUUGGUGUGUCUAAGACUCCUUGAGAGAAGAUCUUCAUUUUUGGACACUGUCUCACAACUACUUGUUUCAAGGACGGGAAUUCAAGAGCGUAAUUACCCAAACAAAAGCUUGUUAGGCUUGGCAAACAAUCAAGUCCUAAGUACUCCAAUUCCUCGAAACCAUUGCAAUCUUUCGCUUCUUCUCCAACCUGCGAUUGUAUGAUUUCUUCUAUCAUUUUGCAAUCAGCUAUCUUCAUUCUUCCGAGAUUAACCAGAUUUUUAGAUGCUGAGAGCGUCAACACAUUUAUCAACCCGUGACACUUCGAUACUUCCAGUCCCCACAUAUUUUCCAAAUGCCACGAAGGUGGUACUAAUUUUUGCAACUUACUACAUUCCGAUAUUUCUAGACUUCCCAAGUUUGCAAACGCUUUGUUGGAUUCGUCAUUUUCCUUCCAGAUAUGCUGCACUUUGUGUAAUCCAGAUAGUGUUAACCAACUCAAUUUAGGGAAUGCAACCUGAAAAUCAACAAAAUUAAUUAAGUUGUAAAUGAAAAUAUGUAUCCAAUCUCUGGAGUCUUCCCCUGCAUAUUUUAUGGACAAGAUUAAUCACGGCAUUUUAUAUUUUUUUUCCAAAUUAGUAUGCUUUGCAGUAGGAUCCCAAAUAUAAGUAUCAAAUCGAUUACCCUUUGAAACACAUAAAUGAAAUCUGAUCCUAAAUCCAAUAUGAAUUAACACGCAUAAUUAAUAUAGUUCAUCACCUCAUGUCACUAGGCAUCUAAUUAAUUUGAGACAUUUUAAUAAUUUAUACUAUAAAGUUAGUUAAUAACUGCGGUUAUAUUGUUAAAUCAUAUAUAAAUUAAGACGACAUGCAAAAAGAUGAGUCAUUAAAUUUGAUUUGAUUCUAAUGAAAUUACAUCUAUGCGAACGAAAGUGAUGGGAAUAAUCAUCAUCAUCAUAAUAAUAAUAAUAAUAAUAAUAAUAAUAAUCACCUUUUCAUCGAAGAGAGGUUGUAGUUGAUGAGCCAGCAAGAAGUUCUCUUCUGAUGUUAAUUUCUGAGGUUCCUUGUUAUCUGUUGUCACGUGCACUACAGAUGUAGAAUUGGAUAUGAAUGUUUCCUUAUCAGGGCAAUUCUCAAUAGUUAGAUAGUCCAACUCAGGCAGUUCAAUUAUAUUCCCAGUGAAGUUGCAGAAUCUUUUGAGUUUUGGAAGAUCAAUGAGCCUUAGAUUGGAAAGCUUAGGAAACAUGGGGCCUAUAUGUUCUUCCUUGGCAUUUAGCUCUUCCAAAUGAAGCACCUCUUCUAGUGAAUCACAAUUCGUCACUGUCAGGUAUUGCAAAUUGUUCAAGCACCGUAGCAGAUUGGCAGGAAUAGCACUCGACAUAUUCGUGCAGUCAUCCACCACCAGGUCACUUAAAUUGUUGAAGAAGCUGACAGGCAGUGCUUGGCCAUGCCAUAUUUCUUGCAAACGUGGAAAAUGCGAGAGUUGCAAAUACUCUAUAUCACGGAAUCCAAUCUGCACAAACCAAAACUAUUGCACUGGAUAUAUACAAUUUUUUUUAAAGGCAUUAGAUAUAUAUAUAUAUACACACACACACACAUUAAACUUACAUGUUUUGUGUUUUAACUUCUAAAACUACAUAUACAAGGUAGGUGUAUAUGUUUAAAUGUGCAAGCGUAGGGGAGAUGCAUGAACAAUUUGGGUGAAUCGAUUAACACAGACCAUCUUUUUGUAACAUAUUUUUAAAUGUGCAAGUGCAAGGGAGAUGCAUAAGCAAUUUGGACGAAUCGAUUAACACAUACCAUUUCUUCGUAGCCCUUUUGUAUAAAGGAAUUAAGGUUAUCGCCUUCCCGAUGGUACAAUUCACCCUCUUCCUUUUUACUAACUUGCACUUUGCAUGGCUUUGGAAUGGAUAAGAUUCCGUGAGAAAAAGUCUUCAUGUUCGGACAAUGUGUCACAGAAACUCGUUCCAGUGAUGGGAAUUCAAGAGUAUAAUUCUCCAAACAAAAGCUGGUAAGCCUUGGUAAAUCAUCAAGUAUCAAAACUUUUAAUUUACUGAAAGCAAUAUGAUUCUCCUUCGCUUCUUCUCCAACAUGUCUUAUGAUUUCUUCUAAUUUUGUGCACUUCGAUACAUUAAGAUUCACCAGACUACUAGGAAUUCCAACCUGAAAAUAAGCAAAAGUGUGUGUAUAUUAAAAAAGUAAAAAUGUAAGAAUAUCAUUCAACUAGGUUCAAAGUAUGUUUAAUCAUACAAUUAUACGUUUUAUAAACAUAACAAACCAUGAAAUGUCUACUAGAUAAUUUUUUAUUAAACAAAAAAAGCAACAAGAUAAAUAAAUAAAUAAAAGCCAGAUAAACAAAGAUAAUAAAAAUGCAUUUACACUAUUUACUAUUGGGAACGUAGAAAGAAUUUAAGGCAAUUUCUAAAUAUUUUAGACUUAUUUUGCAUCUUGAUAUCAGUUUUUAAGCAUAAAUUUACAAAUUUCAACUAUUCCUUUUAGGGAAAAAAAAUUCAACCAAAAUGCCGCUUUUUCCCUUUUCCUUGGUCCCUUUUUUUAUGUACAUUUAAAAAUGGAAAAAAAAAAUUGGAAAAGACUUCCCAAUAUUGUCAAUAAGGGACUGCUGCUGUAAAGUGGAUCUUUAUUAAGUACUUCCAGACUCAAGGAAAUUUCUUUACAAUCACGGGUCAGUUGUAAAUAAUCAUGAAUUUGUGGUUAAUUAAUGGCAUAAUCAAUUCGUAACUAAACAAGAGAUAUUAAUUAAAUUUGAAGACUUUUAUUUUCUUUUUUUCUUUUUCCAAUCGAAAUGUGAAGAAUUAAGGAAAAGAGAAAUAUAUAGAUGAAUUUGUGAACCUAUAAGAUGAGUGACGAUCCUUUAAUUUUUGAAAAUCGUACUUAUUAAGAUAUGAGCAAAAACUAUUUAAUUGAAUUAUAUUAUGCUGUUGAAUCGUGUUUAAAAAAUUUAUAUUGUUGAUUCUAAUGCUGACGAACCUAAAAACUGGACCUAAAACGUAGAUUUCAGAGUGGUGGUUCGAAGUACGAUACUUGAAAUAAAUAAUCAGUGGCUGAAUAUCAUUUGUAAACAAAAAAUGGUUAAAAUAUUGUUGGAUGUAAUUUGAAAAAAAAAAAAAAAGAUUCGAAAUGAAUACACUCAAAUAUCUCCAAAUUCUUCAAUUUGCUGAAAGACUCCAAAGCAAGCUGGUGGUGCCAUAUUCUUCUCAAAUUAUCCAUCGACCUAAUACGUAAUACCUCCAAACUAGGAAGUCGUACCUGGCAGUUAAAGAUUAAAUAACUAAUUAAUCAAUUAAUGGCAUAAUCAAUUGAUAACUAAAUUAGAGGCGGAUAUUAACUAAAUUUGAAGAAGACUCACGGAAAAGACAAAUUAAAUAUUAUGACUAAAAUUAAUUUUUUUUAUUAAAAAAAAAACCUUUUCGUCAAAGAGAGGAGGAGGUUGCAUUUCAGAAUGAAUGGUGUCUUCUGGUGAGCUCGUAGAGAUGAAUCUUAACAUAUUACUGCAACUCUGAAUCUCGAGCUUUAGCAAAGAAGGGAAUUCAACGACUAAAUCUGAAUGAAUAUGUCCCGUAUUGGCAAAGCUUGUUAGUUCAUAAAGCGCUUCUAGCUGCAGGGAGUGUAGCUUAGGAAAAACCUUUAAUUCAAUCAACUUUCCUUCAUCUCUUUCUGACCACCCCGUGGUGUCGACUACCCCUUCCAUUGAAUCACAAAGCCUUAUCUCAAGAUGUUGGAGUUGCAUCAGACGAUUACAAUUCCCCACGUACAGCUUUGUUAAAUUUUGACAACAGUACAUUCCUUGAUUAUGAUCGGCCCAUAAUUUUUUCAUGUUUCUUAAGUCCCAGAGAUUCAAUUCCUCUAAGCUCGGAAGAAUAACCUGCAAAGAAAACCCGUACAUUUUUGUUCCUUCAAGUACAACCGUCUAGUAUAAUAUUCUUUUGAUGAUCGAAGAUUAAUCGUGAUAAUAAAUUAAUCAAUUAAUUAUUGAACAGAAAAUUAUCACCUUUGGAGCAGUAUCAUCAUCAGCAAUGAUUUCGUUGAAUCCCAAAGAAGUUGUUGGUUUCUCCCUGUCGGGUCCUAUAAACAAACAAAAACAAUAUACAUAAUUAAUCUUUGUCGUUGUCUUUUUUUUUUCAAAAUAAUUGAGGCGAAGUCCAUAAAUCCACCAACACUUAACUUCAACACUUACCAACCAUCAUUUCCAGAUCAUGGCAAAAAGCCACUUUGACCUUUUGAAGCCGCAGUAGGUUUUUGGCUAUGGAGAAUGAGAAAAGAUGCUUUAAUUUGUGACAGGAUUGUACUCCUAUAAUCCUUAAGUUGCUGAAAGAUUGAUCUUCUGUGAGUUGGCUGUCACAUAUUGUCUCCAAAUUGUUCAAAUUGCGAAGAGACAAUGACACCAGCAAGGGGAAGACUUUGCGACGAACCCGUCCAACUGAACCGACAAUAUGCAAAAUCUCAGAACAACUUUCUACAGAAAGAUGCUUCAAUCGUGGAAAACCUUCCCCAUCAUCUAAUUCAUGAACAACAUUCUGAACACCCUUCAGUUCGUUUAGAUGGAUCUCUUCGGCUUCCUUCAGCAACAUUUUCGUCCCAUAAUUCUCCAAAAGAGUGCUAACAUUUUCUAGCCCAUGGAGCCCCACCAAUCUUGAUGUUUCAGAAUUAACGGGCCAAAUGCGCCACCACGCUUCUCCUAUACAUAUCUUAUAGCUUUGCAAUUCCACAGAGACCCAAUCCUGCGGCAGAAUUUGGGCAUCCGGAACUUGUAUAUUCAAAGUAGUUAGCUUUGACAGCCCCUUCAAUUCAGCAAGACUGGCGUUACUUCCUCCUUCAACCUUAUCCCACUGCGAAAAGCUGUCACCCAUAUAUAGUUCUUCCAAUCGAGAAAAUUUUGAUAUGACAUUUGGUGCUAUCACUACAAGGCUCCUACAAUUGCUCAAAUCUAGCAAUUGUAACCGCGUCAAUUGUCCAAUUUCAAGCGGUAACUGCUUAAUGUCGGAACCUCGAAAGCUAAGAAUCUCUAAUUUCUUUAGCUGUCCAAUUGCCGCUAUAUCUUCUAGUUGGCACCAGUCUAAACACAAUGUUUGAAGGUUAAUGAGGCGACCAAGUGAUGAAGGUAAUGAAGAGAAAGGAAUUCUAGUAAGAGUUAAAACUUUGAGUUCUUCUGUCCCUUCAAAAAAGAGGUCUGAAAUUUGCAUUGAGCUAUAACGCUUUGAAAACAACAAAAGUAACUGGAGACGGGGACAUCCCAACCUUUCGGGAAGCUCUUGAAUAUCUCUCUGGGGUAAUGAAAUGGCAAUUGGAUCUUUCCGUAUUGUCUCUUCCAUCUUUUUCUCCACGUCAUCAACAUUUGGAAUAUUAAACAUGCGCUCCCCUGCAGCAAUUGAUACAGCAACAACAUGAAUGACGUCAUGCAUUUUAACUUCAUCUUCAGCAUCACCGUCCAACAAUAAGCAUGAAGAUUUGAGAUUGUCGAUCAACCGAUGCACUCUACUCCUUGCUUCUUCCAAUGUGUAAACAUUUUCAAACAAACCCCAACCCACGCCAUAUCUCAAUAAGCCAGAAACUUGUAUCGCAUGACCUUCACUGUACAGACCACAAAGACGGAACAGAGGUUUUGCCUCCGCACUUUCCAAAAAGUCGUAACUCAAUUUUAUGGAGGUGUACACAUUUGCUUUCAUGCCAUGAAUUUCUCUUGCAUGCGAUCUUCUUAGCUGAUUCAAUGCAUCUUGCCAAAAGUAACGCUCCUUAUUUUUCAGAGCAUUUGCAACUGUACUCAGUGCAACAGGCAAACCUCCGCAUUUUUCAACGAUCUCAUUUGCUGUACUUUGAAAAUCAGAUAUUUUAGUUGAAUCACCCACUAUCUUCUCAAAUAACUGCAAUGCUUCUUCUUUCGAUAAAGCAUCGAUCCAGAAAAUUUUCUGACAAUUCAUAUCAUUGCACAAUAAAUCUCCACUUCUAGACGUCAAUAUUAUUGUGCAUCUUCUCUGAUCAUCCUCUCUAUCUUUCUCAUCAACAUCCCCAGAAGGAAUUCCAACUUCAUCGAACUUCAGUUCUCUCCAAAUGUUAUCCAAUAUAAUCAGGACCCGCUUCUCUUUCUUCAAUACUCGACGUAGUCGAUUUGCUCUGUCGAAUAUAUUCUCAUUCAACUCAAACUUUAUGCCUAAAUCAGAAGCAAGUUUGUCUUGAAUUUUCUGAUGAUCUGGGUUCUCUGUUAUCUCAGCCAUAGCGACCUUAUCGAACCACUUAUCUUCCAUCACUUGCUUUGCAACUUGCUUUACGAGCGUGGUUUUACCCACGCCGCCCAUCCCGUAGACCCCAAUUAUGUUGAGCUUAUCAUCCCUCAACGCCUCCAUAACAUCUUGAAAUACUUUCAUUCUUGAGUCAAAGGCCUCGAAAUCUUUCACUUGCAUGUGUUCUACCAGCUUUGGAGUAGGACGGUGGGAAACAUUGGAGAAGUUGCCUUUUCCCAUGAGACUAGCUGCAGCUUCUGCGGCCUUUGCUGCUUGUCUACUGAGCUUGUAACGAGAGAUCAAGUUUGGGCACAAUCCUUUGAAACAGAACUUCUUAGCUCUAUCUUCAUCAUCUGUGAUGGAUUUUGCAGCGCCCUGAGUGAAUUCCUUGACGCUAUUAAGCCAGUCUGCAACAUCCUCAUAAAUCUCAUCUCCUUGUUGAGUAGCCUGAUGAACGGGUAUUUCCACCCUUUCUCUUUGAUGUCCCAGCUGCUUCACUUGAACUUUUAGGCCAUCUAUGUAGCUCUGGUACUUGAACACAUAAGAUAUCUGCCGUUUAAGCGGUUUGUACAGUGACUUUGCACCUUCUGAUACAACGCCGGUUAAAAAAGCCAGACACGCUUCUACAGCCAUUGCCUGUUGCUUAACGAUAUAUAUGUAGUUUUUGGCUGUUUAAAAAAAAAAAAUGGAUUCAAAUAAAUUAAAUGAACUAGAGGGGAAGAAAAAGAAAGAAACGACAACAAACAACCUUUUAGAGAAAGGUUUGACGGGCCUGAAUGGAAAACCAACAACUUUUUGAAGAAAGAAAGCUUUGGAAGAUAGAUGCAAAUUAACCGUUGAUAAUACUACAUAAGAACACAGAAGUUAACAAUAAACAGUAACUUAAAACUCAAGAAAAUUAAAUGACGAGAUUAAGACAAACAAGGGAUAGUUUUUGUUGGACAUUAAGAAACAACUGCUAUCAAGAUCAAGGAUUAGAAAUUAUGCUAUUAAAAGAAGUUAUUAAAGGAUUUAGAACAAGUUUACCUCUUUAAUUAUCUAGGAUCAGAGUUUAUGAGCUUCACUAUUGGCCUUGGAUGUAUAAGAAAAACUUUAAUGAGCAAAAGAUCACUCUUAACUGCGGAGGAAUGUGAGUAAAGAGUUUAUGGGAGUAAAGCAAUACAAUUGAAUUGUAAAAGAACCAAGACUUAAGCGUGCGUCCCGUGUUUUGUUUUAUUAUAUAAACAGAACAUAUGUUCAUUUUUAACAAAUUGAUCAAUAACUCUAUUCGCUAUUUAAUUAAUAAUGUAAUCAAUUUUAAGAGAAUAUAAUAAUAAUCCUUCAAUGCAUAAAUUUAGAAUUAGAUUUUUUUUUACUUUUUAUUUAAAUGUAAAUCUCAGUGGAAAAUUAUAAAAAUUUAGAGAUAAAAUUUUUCAAUCACCAAACGGAAAAACAGGGGAAUGAAAACAGAGGAAUCUUGUUUUACUUUUUUUUUCUUUUUAAACCUUAACUCUUGUUCUUAUAUAAAUAAUCUUGUUCUGAUGAUAGUGCUCUUGACUGCAGGAAAAUUUCUAAUGGAAACAACUCAAUUUCGGAAGAUUAGCUCAGUUUUGCAAGCGAUGAAUUUAUUCAAUUGACUCUGUACUUGAACUCGUUGGAUUGGUUGAUUUAUGAUUGACUGAAUUUCAAUUCGGCCUAAAAGAUCUUUAACCAAAGUUUAAUAGCUAUCAUCUACUCCUUAAAAACAAAUAUGUAUCUUUUUUAGAUUUGACUGAAUUUGAACUUGCUGGAUUGGUUUUUUUUUAGAUUAUUAAAAUUUGGAAUAUUUUUUUUUCCUUGCUUUCUUUUGUUGGAGGAUUAGAGAUUUUGGUAUUACCAGAAAGGUUUCAAGGGUCUGAGUAGAAACCUAUAAUCUUUUGAAAAACUUUGUUUUUUUUUUUUUUUAAUUUUUUGGGGAAAAGGAUGCAAAUUAACCAAAUGGAAAUAAUAAGAGCACAGGCUUUAACAAUGAACAAUAACUUAAAACUCAUGCAAAAUAAAUUCAAUAUUAAAACAAACCAGAGAAAUUUUUUUCUUGAAAAGUAGAUGGAAAUUAUGAAAGAACAGAUGUCAAGAUCAAGGAUCAGGGAUUCUACUACCCAAAAAAAAUAAAAAAUAAAAUUAAAGGAUUUAGAAAAUGUGCACCUAGAGUUGGUGAGCUUCUCUCUCUAUUCACUUGAAUAUUUAAGAACAACUUGAAAGAGGAAAAAGAUCACUGGUAACUGCUGAGGAAUGUGUGAGAAAAGAGUUGACGAGAGAAAUAACAAUGACUUGCAGAAGAAAAACCAUUAAUCAAGCACACCUUUUUAUAUCCUGUAUUUGGUUAUUGUUGCCCUCUUGACGCAUGUAUAGAAUAAUUACGUGCAUUUUUUUUAAUCCGCAUGCACUUUAAUGAUUAGUGCUCCUUUCAUAAAGCAGAUACCGGAAACACACAAAUAUCAUUUGAGAGAGAAACUAAACAGCAAAUCAUCAAAGUAAGAUCAAUAAUAUAUGACUUGGUUAAUGCAUAUUCAAGAACAAAAACAAAAACAAAUAAAUAAAUAAAUGGAGAAGGUUUGAUUUUGUACUGCCAACGCUGCUUUUUUGUUAUUUCAUUUGUUCUUUCCACAAAUGAUGCUUGGUUAUAAUUAAGUUCCACAUGGCCGUUACUUACAAACUGUGUUUGUGUUAACAGAAACGUGAAAUUCACAUCACACAAAAUUACACUAUCAAUUCUUAAGAGAACAUAAUAAUAAUCACUCAACGCAUAAGGGUAAAUUUAGAAUUACAUUUUGAAAUUGAUAAAAUGUUUUUUAUGGGAUUUCAGGCAAACCAAAACAAAAAAAAUUUCAAUAAAGAGCUAGUUGUUGAAAUUGAUUUAUCUUGUCUUUCAGGCUAUCUUGUGACGUGACGAUAUAUAAUGUUCGUGAAUGCUAGAAAAUUUCUAAUGCAAACAACUCAAUUUGGGAUGAUAAGCUUAAUUUUGCAAAUGACGAAUGUAAAUAACUUGUUUUGAUUAAUUGAAUUUGUAAUACUCUUACCCUAUUCUAAAAUUUGGAGGUUGCUUGAGAAAAAAAGGGUAUUUCUCACUCAUCUUCAAUCCUCAAGUAAAAUUAGGUAAAAAGCAAAUCUAAAAAAUCACAAACGAAUUAACAAAAAAAGAAAAAAAAAAACAACAUUGAUCUUGAGACAAGUGAUAUUUAAACAGAGAAUUCUUUAUUCUUUUUUACUUGCCCCCCCCCCCCCGGGGCUCGAGGAUUAAAGUCUUUGCUAUUAACAGAGAGGCUUUAAGAGUCUGAAUAAAAACCCGUGCUUUUUUUAAAAAACCACUUUUUUUUUCUUUUUUCUUUUUUUUUGGGAAGAUAUAUUCAAAUUAACCAAAGCUAGUAAUAAGAGCACAGACCUUACAAAUGAACAAUAACUUACAACUCAAGCAACAUAAAUGAUAAGAUUAAAACAAACCGGAGAUAUUUUUCUUGGAAAAUAGACGGAAAUUAAAUAAGAACUGCUGUUAAAAGAAGUUAUUAGAGGAUUUAGGAGCAUGUGUACCUCUUUAAUUAUUUGGGAUCAGAGAGUUGAUGAGCUCUCUAUUCGCCUUGAAUAUUGAGUAAGAACUGGUAUUAAAAGAAAUUAUUAAGAACAAUAUUUUAGUGAGCAAAAGAUCACUGUUAACUGCAGAGGAGUAAAAUGCUGAAAAGAGCAGUAACAAUGAAUUGCAAAAGAAGAAGACUUAACCAAGCACCCCUUUUAUACCCGAUUUUUAAGAUUUAAUUUUGAAGUUCCCAAUCAAGAACAAAGACGAAGCUUUAAUAAAGCAUGCAGUGAGAUACAAGAAAUGGAUCGGGCAAAAUACCUUACGAAGCGUUUCAUAUUUUCUAAUGAAAUAAUUUAGUUGAAUUCUUCGACGAAUAGAUACCUGUUGUGCUAGAAUAAUUUUGGCACACACAUUACUUGUGCCCUGUGAAAUUGAAAAGCACACUCAUUUACAGAGCUUGUUAGUGGGGAAAAGCUUCGUAAGAUGCCUGAUAAAAGAUAAAGCAAAAGCUUGAAUGAAGAAUGGCAUUUUAGAAAGAAACUAAAGUGCAAUCAUCAAAGUAGGAUCAAUAGUGAGUUGAUCAGUUAUGCUUUUUGUUAUUUCAAUUGUUCUCUCUUUUUUCAAUCUCUCUUUAUGUUAUAAUUGAAUAAUUGUAUAGAAAGUGUGACGGUUGCUGCAGCAUUAUGAAGUCAAAAUUGAGAACGACAUUAAAUAAUCAAUCUCUUUAUGUAUUUACUCGAAUGUCUGAUAGUGUUCAGACUUGGAUUUUCAAUAAACACAGAUUCGAAAUCCAAAUAAUUGAAUAAUUGUGUACGUUCAAAUUCAGCAUUUAAUUACUAUAUAAUUAGACAUAAAUGUGUAUAUAAUUUUACUUUCUAAGAAUUAACUUCUACCUUGAUUCUAAAAAAAUAUAUAUAUAUAAUUUUACAAAUAAUUUAGUACGGCGUUUGGUAAAUGAUAACUAUUUGAGAAUAAGUUUUAAAAUGGUUUACUAUACAAAUCUGGAAAAUGAAAAUUAAAAGUGUAAAAUGUUCACAUAAUGAAAAUUAAAAGUGUAACAUGUUCACAUACAAUGACAAAAAUAUAUUUAUUUACUUAUUUGUAAUUUAUUUUGAAUAUUAUUGUUUAAAUCAUUUUUUUACUUACUAGAUUUUUUAAGAGCAUUCUAUUUUCUUUAUUACAUAUUUAAAUAAUUUUUUAUUAACUAUUUUAAUUUGCAAUAAAAUUAACUUCAAUAUUUUUUUAACUGAAAAUUUUGUUAUGUAGUUCGUGAUAUAACAAAUACUAACAUAUUAUUAAAUUGAUUAAUAAAUUACGUGCAAAAAAGAAAAUGCAAAAAUUUAAUCUUUAUAUAAACUUUUAUGUACAAAAACCGUUGUAAUCAAACUAGUUCAUAGAAAUAUAAUAUUUUAUACAUGUGUUUAAGAAAAACAUAUAACUAUAAUAUUAUCCACUCAUUAAACUUGCAGCACUAUUAUUUCUAAUUCUCUCCAUCACUCGACCUACAGGAACAUUACUACCAUAAUUUUCUUCUUGAAUUCAACCUCCAUUUCCACAUCAUCAACAAAGCGAUCAAUUUGCCUUGAUAGCCUUUCAACUCCUCCCACUUUCCUCCCUUUUGCAGACACUCUUUUUCUUUUUCUUUCUUUAAUAGCUUCAAUGGGAACAACCUCAUCUAUCGACAAGUCCAUUCUUCAACUAGAAUAGAGUUGGUAGUAGAUAUUUUAGUACUCUCAAACGAUGCCCAAACCGUGUCACCAGUGAUUGUUGUAUUAAAAAACAUUCCAUGUAAUUUUUCCUCUGACUCUGGGUCGAUACCUUUUAUGCAAAAUCUAUUUACUUCAGGAAUUUUAUACAUAUGUCGAUAUCAUAUUAAAGUGAAUUCAGAUCCUAUAUUAUUGACAUUUAGCCAAAGGUAAAAAAUUUUCCUUUUUGUUUGUCCCCCAACUAUAUAGUCCCAUUUUUGGUUAUAAGCUCGCAAUAUGCAAGGGAAAUGAAGAUCUACUAAAAACUUCCCCAUAAUAUUAAACAUUAAACAAUAUCAACAUUUUGUGCAUAUGGUGCCUCUCCAACAACUUGAUGUACAUUAUGUUGCUCGGUGGAAUAUGACUACUUAUUAAUUAAUUAGCAAGACUUGCGUUGCGAGUCCAUGCUUUUGUUGUUUGGAUGGAGGAUCUGCCAUCCUUAUUGUGAAAUAUGAACUAAAUAUACACUCACGACAUGUCAUAUGUUGAGUCUGUAGUAGCACGACAUGUCAUCUGAUAAGCAUUUGGAACAAAACCGACAUGAGCCAAAAUGUCGUUCUUUGUUUAAGUAGCUCACGUGUUUGGCAUGUGAGCUGAACAAGACUCUUACUCUCAGAAACGACUGAACCAGAAGCCGUUUUGAGCAUGCUUAUUCAAGACACGUUGCAAGCACGUGGCUGAGGCUGAAUCUGUUAUGUUAGCGGGAAAAGCCGCUGAGGAAGGCAUCCAGAAUCAGUUAAUAAAGAACUGGAGUUCUGGGUUUUUCACAACAGGGCCAGAAAACAGAGAGAGAGCAGAGAAAGAGGGAAUGCGAGAGAGAGAGAGUUCUGAAUAGGCUUGUAAUCUCCAUUUGUGUUUGCUCUCUGUAAACUCUUGAACAAGCAAUAAAGUGAAAUCACAGAGUUUGUUUCCAGUGGAUGUAGGCAUCAUUCAUUUGGUGCUGAACCACUUUAAUUCGUGUGUGUUUUGUUCUUGAUCUAUUUGUUAUUCUUGAUUCUUAGUAGGUUGACUUCUUCUUGGUUGAAUCUUGAGUAUAAACCAGUGAGUGAAGUGUUCUUGGGGUGGGUUUAGUCUUGAUAGUUAGGGCUUAAACCAAAACACUUUUAUUUUAGAUGCUUUGUAAGACUUCUGAUUUAAUGAUUGAAUGCAGCCAAUUAACGAAAGCUUACAUAUAGUAUUAUGUAGGUGCUGAGAUGUCUGUUCUUGAUAAAGUAGAUAUAUUUACACCCAAGCCAACGGAAUCAAAGCCUUUUCGUUAAUAAUAUACACGGUAAUUGUUUUUGUUAAAUUGAUUUCUGGCUAACAAGAUCUUUUUUUUUUUUUGAAAGGGCUAAAAAGAUCUUUGAAAGCAUUCAAAGAAGCCGCCGAACUCAUAGGAAAGCCAUGAUUAAAUAUACGGUGAAGCAAGCGAGCUCGUUUGUUAAUCUCUUGAUCACUCAUAAGCUUUUCUAUACGGCUCACGAUAUCAUCCUUUUGAAUCGAUUUUGAUUGAUCAUCGGAUAUCAUGUCCCCACCUUGAGAUGAUUGAUCACCAAUUUGGCAUUGUAAUGUUGAUCACCUCUAAUUGGCCAUGCUAAAAUUGGGAGCCCACAACUAAUUGCUUCCAUAGUUGAAUUCCAUCUACAAUCAAAUAAAAAUCCACCCAUUGAUUGAUGACUUAGUAUCAAUAAUUGUGGCGCCCACCCAUCUAUUAUCAAUCCCCUUUUAACCAAUAAAGUGUUGGCUCCACUGGCAAUGGAGUCCCCUUAAGUGGUUUGACUGGGUUUGCUCCCCAGUUCGAGUCGCAGGGAAGUCGCCUUUGUUGGGAGAACCUGUGCCUCUCGGUUCGAGCGGGGACUUCUAGUCUGGGUUGUGGUACGGGCUUAAAGGUGCCUCCCACAGUUGGGGCCCUCCCCAGGAUACCUCGUGGUCAAAACCAAAAAAAAAAUCAAUCCCCUUUUACCGACUUUACUCUCCAAACCACUGGAAAAAUAACUGCCUUCUACUGGUCUGUCUAAACCGGUUAAAUGACGCGGAGGAUCCAAUCUACCUGCACUAGUUUGAAUUACCCAAAUAAACUGUUGAUUUGAUGCUUCUAAACAUUGGCAAGGCUGAAUACUCCUCUAAGGUGGGACGCACUUUGGUACCAAAUUAUAUGUAUAGCACAGAUCUACGUGAUUUCAAAUCCAACCAUUAAGCGAUCUCAUCUUCAGUCAUGUUAGAACUCUGCUGGUUGGUCUCGUCUCACGAUCAUGAAACGCUGAACCGACCAAUUUGUAAAAUUGUUUAGGUAACAAUGAGCCCACUCCCCACACCGGCUUUCCCAUUUGAUUGGCUAAAUAAUUAAUAAAUGGUCCCUCAAGAUCAUUACAUGUGUUAGAACAUCAACGCCAUCGAUCCCUUCACUUCCUUCAUGCAGUGUGGUUGAUCAUCGGGUUCUAGUGGACCUAUUUUCCCUGAACCGGGUGCACUCUGCAGAAGUGGUGGACCACUAGGAGGGGGCCCACAAGGCCUACGUCUAAGAUUCGAUUCAAAUAAAGCCGUAUCCUCAGGUACCCCAGGAAGUAAAUAGGCCUCCCCUGAUUUGACAUCUUUGAUGCGAGCCUACCACAUGGCACACUCUACAAUUGUUCAACUAAAAUUAAUAAUAUUGUUCUAAUUAAUUACUCGAUAAGCAAAUAGUCAUAGACAAAUCUAUCCCUAAUCCCACAUUUACAAAAUAAAGAAUUGAAAUGAGUUUAUGUGGCUUUGAACCCAAGCCCUCAAGCCUAGUGGCUGGAUCUUGACCACUUUGACAUAAUUAUUAUAACAAUUUUUUUUUUCAUAUUUCACUAAGCAUCUUUUGUUAUAUAAUGAGGAAGAUAAGUUGACGGAGAAGGGUUCUACUUUUACUAGUAGAUGAGAUUUAAAUUAAGAAGGUUAGUUUUAGAUUGUUAAAUUUCCUUAGACGAUUAUUCAUGUGAGAUGUUUAACAUAUACUUGAGUUAGUCGGUGCCUAACAAUUCUUGUGAUACAUGAAACCAACCAAUAUGAAAACCAUAUGAAGUUGGUAGGAUUAGAUUAAUUUAAAUGAAAAUAAAAAUUAGUUUAUGCUAUUUAUUAAUCUUAUACUGUUGAAAAUUGAAAGUUAAUUCUUUAGCCUGUCAAUUGGUUCAUGACAUAAUUAAAAUAUUCAAGUAAAUACAUUUAUCGUUUAACAUUAAUUUUUCAUGCGGUAAAACCAAUACUAAUUAUAGAGUGGAGAGAAUAAUCUGUAGGGUAUACCCCCACCUUUUAUUUCAUUUCAUUUAAAAAAAAAAGAGAGAGAGAGAAAAGUAAAGGCUUGUUCAACAUUCAAGUAAAAUUAACAAAUCUAUGAUAAAAUUACUUCAGAAUAAAAAUUAAAAUGUUUAAAAAAAAAACGGCAACUCGAAAACGACAUACAAAUACCGCAUAGAAGGUUUUCGUCACGAGAUAUUUUUGGGCUGAGACAACACUUGUAUAACUUAGCAUAUAGCUUGGAUGACGGUGAGAAUAAGAAGGAAAACGGCACCGCAGACCGAAAUGCCAGCCCAUGGAGUAUUGAAGUAAUUUUUUUUCACAAUUCAAAGGAGGUUUUGGAACUUACCACAAGGCUGAGUAUUUCAACAGUUAUGGAUGACAUAAUCCAGCUAAGCAGAAGCUGAUCUUGGCGUUUCCACACAGCAUAUUCUGGAUUUUCAUGACCUUCAGAGAUUGACGAAGUGCCUUCAAAUCCAGGUGAAAGAAAUUGAUCAGGACAUAGCUUUGAUCCAUCGAUAUAAGACUCAAGUCCAUUGCCUCGAACUGAAGAGAGCACCUGAUGUUUCCAGAUCGUGUAAUUUGUACGAUCUAAUUUGACUGGUGUAGUGAAGGUGAAAGAAGCUAUGGCACUGGUAUUAGAUUGUGAAUUUGAGUUCGUUAGAGCCAUUGGAUCUAGCUCUGAUACCAAGUUAAAGAAGCUUUUCCUGUUUGUUUACUCAGAAAGUGAAGGAAAAAUACAGAGAAAAUUAUGUAGCUAGAAUGAAUCUAAAACCAUCUUAUUAAUCUAUAUUUGGUUCAAUAUACAACAAUAUUUAUGCUACUCACUGGAACCUUCUAUAUGAAACAAACACGUGAACUCAAUACAAUUCAGCUUAACAAACUUUUAACGGGAAAUAACUAAACAGAGCAACGGCUUGCCAGCGUGGCUGCUGACUCAGCAGCCGACUAAUCAUACUCUGAAAAAAAAUCACCAAACAGAAAAACAGGGGAAUGAAAAGAUAGCCUCCGUUUAUCCUCUGUUCUGUUUUCAUUGUUAUUAAACAAGGGAAUGAGAAAAGAGAGCCCCUGUUUCUUCUCUUUUUUGAUUUUUUUAAUUACUAAACUGGGGAACGCACGGAUCACCUCUUGUUGCAAGCGCAAAUUCUUGUUUCUACUUUAGUACCUUCUAAAUGCUGCAUGCAUUAAAAUUAUUCUUACAUAUGCUAACAUAAUAGCUACUGUACAUGUAAGUUCUUGAUAAAUCCAAAUAACAUAAUAAUUUUAAGAGUUCAAAUUUAGAAUUUAAUUAUAUAUAUUUAUAUAAAUCCAAUGUGCAUAUCGGAUAUUGCAUGCUGCAAUGAUCUCAUAUGUUUCCUCAAUAUGACUUAAAUAUAUAGGCCACAACUUGGUUUUGAAGUUAGUCUAAAGCCUUCCCCUUGAUUCUAACAAAUUCACUAGGGAAGGUUCAUAUGGAUUUUGGGGGAGCUCUAUGGCCAAUUUUAAAAGUUCAGGGGGGAUCAAAUGAAUUUCAAAACUGCAUGGGUUAUCUAUUUCAGUCAGAGGAUAGUGGAAUUCCCUGAAAUUUAUCCUUUUUAUUAAAUUAAUCUUCCUCCUUUCCUCUGUGGACCUUUGCUAUGUGUGUUAUUGGCGUCCAAAUGACGAUGGGAAUUAUGGUAAGGUUCUUGCUUCCCCACUUCUUGAAAUUAAAUAUAUCUUUUCUGGCACUAGAAAUUUCCACAUGCUGUGUUUUGUUAUUGUUUGGGAGAAAUACGUCAACGAGACCAGGCGUGGUGAGCAGAUAUCUGAUAGCAGAGUUCCGCGAACCGGUGUGUUCCGUAAAAGCCUGGUGCGCGGAGGAACAGGAGCAGAAGUAUCCCGCUCGUCCACGAACACGUCAUCCGCGAGGCCAAUUUCCCGUAAGAGGCAUAAGGUCAUUCCGGCUAGAGGUCGAGAGGCGAGGAGACCCGGUCGACGGCAGUUGGCAAGACAUGCUCCCCAGCCCGAGAAUCUAGGCACGACAGCCACGCUUUCCCCAGAACUGUGGCGUAACACGCAAAAUCUCACGGAACCACGACAACCACGCUUUCCCCAGAACCGUGGCGUAACACGCAAGAUCUCACAGAACCACGACAGCCACGCUUUCCCCAGAACCGUGGCGUAACACGCGAGAUCCCACGUUUGCCCAUAACGCAGCAGUCAGAGUCCCAUACCGUCUCGAAAAAAGCGGAAAACUGGGAUUCAGGGGAGGCCUAUAAAAAGGUAGCCAACGAAGGUAAAAGGGUUAGCAUUUUUAAGAUUAGAAAAGAAAUAAAAAAAGCCAUAAGACCUGUGGCAAGCGUUCCCCGAACCUUGAUAUCUGAAUUGAGCGUCGGAGGGUUUGCGCCGGGAAAACAACCGGCGUACUCUGACUUGUCUGUGUGCGCAGGAACCUCUGGAGAAGAAGCCUCACGAGGAGACCUCCUGGUCGUGAAGAAGUUGAUCGGGCAGAGAUCCUGGUCGUAGAACGAGGAGACCCGGAAUCCCGCAUCAACAUUUUGGCGCCGUCUGUGGGGAACAGAGCAAAAAGCUUCUGUUGAUAGCAAGAGGAGGGGCGAAGCAAGUGAAAAGCAAUGGAGACAUGAGGAAGUAGUGGACAAGGGGGUGAUAGGAGGCCUAACGAUUCCGUGACGCUGAGGGAGAUAGUCAGUGAAGCACGGGAAAAAGUCAUGUUCGACCGGAUGGAACGGGUGGAAAAGCAGAUGGAGACCUUGACAACCAUCCUAGAUGAGCUGCGGAGCGAGCGAAGUAUAAUCCAAGAGGGAAGGGGGAGAGGCGGUGGAGUGGCACCAGGUCCCGAUAGUGCGGGGAGAAGUCAAACCACCGGGAGAUUUGGUGGUGAGAGAGGUAACGUACCUCUGCGGGGAGAAUUUCAUAGAGAAAGAGAGCGGUCCCCGGCAAGGCAGACUGGCGACGAGGACGAUGGAGUGGUGAAUGCAGAGGAAACGAAGUUGAGACAACACUUGCAUGAUGUAGAGCAAGAGCGGGAUCAAGUUGCAGCACGUGACCCUGGUCGUGCAGUGCAGCUGGAGGAGGAAGUGCGCAGACUAGCGCAGAUAAUCGACGACAUGCAAGGAAGGAACAGAGCCCCUGGUUGGAGGAUAAUGCUAGACGGAGAAUCACCGCUCGCAGCAGAGAUCAUGAGGGCAGUUAUUCCGAGAGAUUUCCGCCUCCCAGACCUCAGAUACUCGGGAAGAACUGAUCCGUUGGUGCACAUAGAGCGCUUCAACGACAUAACUGGGGUACAAGGAUUAUCUCAAUCCCAAAGGUGCAGAGUGUUCCCACUAUCCCUUGAGGGACGUGCACGAGAAUGGUACAGGAAACUUCCUCGGGGCAACAUUAAAACCUUCGAGCAGAUGUGCCAGGAAUUCGCGGAGCAGUUCAGUGGGGCAAUGGCGCCGGAAGAUGACAUGAUGGAGCUGAAAAGCAUGAAACAGGGGGAGCAAGAAACCCUUCGGGAAUUCAUCAAGAGGUUUCAUCGGGCUGUCCUCGACUUGGGAGCCUUCAACCACCCUCAGGCGUUAAGGGGAUUGAAAGAAGGGGUGAAGAUAGGAAGGCUGUGGUACAAUUUGAGAAGCCCAGCUAUUCAAACGUAUGCAGCCGCAUACGAACAGGCUAAGAGAGACAUCGAGAUUGAAGAGGAGAAGGCUGCACGGAUUAAGACAGACCAGUUACAAGGGUUGGGGAGGAAAGAGAAGAAAGCAUUACCGGGGAAUGGGCCGAUCAGGAGGAGGGACCACCAGGCCUCCGGUAGCGGAGCAGGAGGUCGGGUAGCCGCUUACCAUUCUCAUCAAAGGCCACCACAGUAUCAGCGCAGCAGGGCGCAACCUCCUCGUUCCCCAGUUAGGGAGCCUUGGAGAAGACAUGAGUCGGCAUCUGGUGGUCUCCAUCAACACCCCCACGGUAGCAGAGCGAGCAGACCAGAAGUACUUCCACCGCCCCCAACUCAGAGCGGGGCAAACGGAGAAAGAGUAGUGCACCUGAUCGACCAGAACCCGGACUAUGGGCGGUACACUUCCUUGAAGAUGUCCCUGGAUGAGGUGUACGAGGCCAUAAAGGAUCGAGGGCUGUUGCACCUCCCUACACCAAUAACAAAGCUACCCAACAGGAGGGAUAGAGGGCGUUAUUGUAAGUUCCAUGGCACCCAUGGCCAUACCACAGCAGAGUGUAGAGAUCUCAAGACCCAGGUCGAAGAUUUGGUGAGAAAUCGGUACCUGGACGAGUUUAUGGAUGGGACUUUCCCGAUGGGGGCCGCAACAGGUGAAGGGGAGCAGAGUGGCGGAAACGUGAGGCACGAGCAGCCUGCAGUAAGGGUGAUCGCCGGGGGCCCGACAUUGGCCGGAGAUUCCAACAGAUCGAGAAAAAAUUAUGCUAGGUACGCCAUGACCAGUAAAGAGGUACUCCUCAACACCCCAGCAGCCAAACGAGCAAGGGUCAGGCAAGUGCCAAUCAUGUGGACGGAUGAGGAUGAGGAAGGGAUUCUAUACCCCCACGAGGACGCUUUAGUCAUCAAGGCUACUAUCGCUAGCAAGAAGUUUGACCGGAUACUGAUUGAUACAGGGAGCUCAGUUGAUGUGUUAUUUAAGUCAACCCUGGAAGAGAUGGGAAUAGCCGACCGGAAGUUGGAAUACACCAAUACCUCCUUGAAGGGGUUCGGAGGAGGGAAGCUGGUCCCUCUGGGCGUGGUCGAGCUGCCUAUCACAAUUGGGAGCUCCCCGACAGAAAGAACAAUGAUACUGGACUUUGUCGUAGUGGAUGAGGAAGGUCCUUACCAGAUGAUCUUAGGUCGGCCAUUUUUAAGGAUGAGCAAAGCGGUGUUGUCCAACCAUUAUCUGGCCCUGAAGUACCGGGUGAAUGGGGUAGUAGGAGUGGUACGAGGAGACCAGAGGAUCGCAAGAAGCUGCUACUCCUCGGCAGCAAGGGAAGCAAUGCAGAUAACAUCCCUCGAUACCCGAGUGGAAAGCAGGAAGGGCAGACAAGAACCUGUAGAGGAUCUGGAAACAGUAAGCCUGGGACCAAAGAACCCGGAAAAGACGAUCAGAAUCGGGUCGAGACUUAGGGGAGGGCAAAAGCAGGAGUUGGUGAAAUGCUUACAGGCUCAUGCUGAUGUGUUUGCUUGGACACAUGAAGACAUGCCAGGGAUUGACCCUGAGGUAGCAUGUCAUAAGCUGGCAAUAAAGAAAGGUGCUCGGGCAGUAAGGCAGAAGAGGAGGUGCUUCAACCAGGAGAGGUAUGAGGCUAUAAAUGGCGAGGUGGAGAAGCUCCUGAGAGCAGGGUUCAUUCGGGAAGUCAGUUACCCUGAGUGAAUAUCGAAUGUGGUGUUGGUAAAGAAGGCAAACGGCGAGUGGAGGAUGUGUGUGGAUUUCACAGACCUCAAUAAGGCGUGCCCAAAAGACAGCUUCCCUUUACCAAAGAUCGAUCAGCUGGUAGAUUCAACGGCUGGACAUGAUCUGCUCAGCUUCAUGGACGCGUUCUCGGGAUACAACCAGAUCCCCAUGUACGGGCAGGAUGAGGAGAGCACGGCUUUCAUCACUAACCAAGGUUUGUUCUGUUACAGGGUAAUGCCAUUCGGUCUCAAAAAUGCGGGGGCCACCUAUCAAAGGCUGGUGAACAAAGUCUUUAAGCCGUUGAUUGGGAAAACCAUGGAGGUGUACGUGGAUGACAUGAUCACCAAGUCCAAAAUCCCGGAGGAACAUGUCAGACACCUCGAGGAGACAUUCGAGCUUUUGAGGAAGUAUAAGAUGAAGCUCAACCCGGAGAAGUGUGCUUUUGGGGUCGAGUCAGGGAAAUUCCUUGGAUUCAUGGUGAGCCAUAGGGGGAUUGAAGCAAAUCCCGAGAAAAUCCAGGCGAUUGUGCAAAUGACGUCUCCUCAUAACCUGAAGGAGAUGCAGAGCCUCACGGGGAGGUUGGCGGCGUUGAGCAGAUUCAUAUCCAAGGCUACAGAUAAGUGUCAGCCAUUCUUUCAAGUAAUAAGGAGGGGAAAGAAAACAGAAUGGACCCCAGAAUGCGAGGAAGCCUUGCGGAACUUGAAGCAAUACUUGCAGCAAGCUCCGCUGCUGUCCACACCGAGGGAUGGGGACAUGUUGUAUCUGUAUUUGGCGGUAUCGGAUCGGGCCGUCAGUUCUAUUCUGGUGAGAGAGGAAGAAGGAGUUCAGUAUCCGAUAUACUACACCAGCAAAGCCCUGCUCGACGCUGAGACCAGAUACCCACCGUUGGAAAAAUGGGCACUUGCCCUUGUGGUUGCUGCUCGGAAGUUGAGGCCAUAUUUUCAAGCAUUCCCGGUUUCGGUAGUAACAAACCAGCCAUUGCGUCAAACUCUGCACAAGCCAGAUGCCUCUGGUCGGCUCGUCAAGUGGGCUGUAGAGCUGAGCGAGUUCGACAUAGACUAUAAACCCCGCGCAGCGAUAAAAGCCCAGGCAAUGGCUGAUUUCGUAGCCGAAUUCACAGAGCCCGAAGUAUGCUUAGAUCAACAAGAUGCAGAUAUAGGCAAUGACGAAACUCAAGUAUGGCAGAUGUCUGUGGAUAGGUCAUCAGGGGAGCGGGGUUCAGGAGCAGGGAUUGUCUUGGAAGGCCCAGAGGGGGAGGAGAUCUCUUAUGCUGUAAAGUUGGAGUUUGCAGCCACGAAUAACCAGGCAGAGUAUGAAGCCUUGAUAGCAGGUCUGGAAUUAGCUAAGGCCGUGAAAGCAAACAGAGUUAAGAUCAGAACUGAUUCCUAGCUGGUUGCAAAUCAUGUCAGUGAAAGAUUCCAACCAAGAGAGGAGAAGAUGGAGCAGUACCUGAAGAUAGUCAGGCAGAUGAUGGGGAAGUUUGAAGCAGUGGAGGUAAUACAAAUCCCCAGGGAGCAGAAUAGUCGAGCAGACAUUUUGGCUAGGAUGGCAGCAGUAGCCGACCCAAAAAUGCCAAAGUCGGUUCCUCUGGAGGUGAAGUCCAGCCCAAGUAUUGGUCAGAAUUUGGGGGUGUUGCGGAUAGAACAAAAAUGCUCGUGGAGGGAUCCGAUAGUUUCAUACCUUAGGGACGGGGUAUUACCACCAGAUAAGGUGCGAGCUCGCAAGCUUAGAGCCCAGGCCUCGAGAUACACGAUGAUUGAUGGGGUACUGUAUCGGCGAGGAUAUACACUAUCGAUUACUUCACGAAGUGGAUAGAGGUAGAAGCCCUUAGCAGGAUCACAGAGUCGAGCAGACAUUUUGGCUAGGAUGGCAGCAGUAGCCGACCCAAAAAUGCCAAAGUCGGUUCCUCUGGAGGUGAAGUCCAGCCCAAGUAUUGGUCAGAAUUUGGGGGUGUUGCGGAUAGAACAAAAAUGCUCGUGGAGGGAUCCGAUAGUUUCAUACCUUAGGGACGGGGUAUUACCACCAGAUAAGGUGCGAGCUCGCAAGCUUAGAGCCCAGGCCUCGAGAUACACGAUGAUUGAUGGGGUACUGUAUCGGCGAGGAUAUACACUAUCGAUUACUUCACGAAGUGGAUAGAGGUAGAAGCCCUUAGCAGGAUCACAGAGAAGAAAACAACGGACUUCGUGUGGAGAAACCUGGUCUGUCGAUACGGGAUCCCUUAUGCCUUGGUAACGGAUAAUGGCAGGCAGUUCGAUAAUCACAGCUUCAGGGAUUUCUGCCAGAACCUCGGGAUAGAGCUGAAGUAUUGCUCGCCUGCUCACCCUCAAUCGAACGGACAAGUAGAAGCAGCCAACAAGACCAUCAAGAGGCUUUUGAAAACCAGGCUUGGAGCAAAAAAGGGUGCGUGGGUUGACGAGCUGUCAGGUGUGCUAUGGGCAUACAGAACAACCCACAAAACAGCAACUGGGGAGACACCGUUCGCUUUGGCUUUCGGACAUGAAGCGGUCGUGCCGGCCGAGAUAGGAACGACCACACACCGGACAAAUCAUUUCAAUGAGCAGGAGAACGACGAGCAGAUAUGUUUGAAUCUUGAUCUGCUAACGGAAAGGAGGGAGCAAGCAGCCGAGCGAUCGGUCAUUUACCAACAGAGGGUUGCUCGGUAUUAUAACCAGAAGGUGAACAUACGGCAAUUCAGGGUCGGAGACUGGGUACUGAGAAGAGUGAAUCAGAGCACCAAAGACUCGACUCAAGGAGUGCUGGGACCGAAUUGGGAAGGGCCAUAUAGAGUCAAGCAGAUAGCGGGACCUGGAGCUUACAAGCUGGUACGCACGGACGGCCACGAGGUGAAACGCCCAUGGAACGCAGCACACCUCCGAAAAUACUUCCAGUAAGACUUGUUCACAUGUGAAAACUAUUUUUGCUCAUGUUCAUUACCGUUUAUCUUUCACACUUAUUGUCCAAACAAUCUCAUGUAAGUCGAAUCUUGCCAUUAAUGGAACGUCGAAGAAUUUCUUUCGCUUGAAACCGAGAAAGUUGCCUAAGGCAUGCAAAGGCUCGACAAAGUCUCAAAGCCUGUCUUAUGGCGAGACAGAAGCCAAGCAUGCCAGGAUCUGCUCGGCCACGAGAAGGCGAACAGAAUCCCAAUCCUUGAAGAAAUGCCUAAGGCAUGCAAAGGCUCGACAAAGUCUCAAAGCCUGUCUUAUGGCGAGACAGAAGCCAAGCAUGCCAGGAUCUGCUCGGCCACGAGAAGGCGAGCAGAAUCCCAAUCCUUGAAGAAAUGCCUAAGGCAUGCAAAGGCUCGACAAAGUCUCAAAGCCUGUCUUAUGGCGAGACAGAAGCCAAGCAUGCCAGGAUCUGCUCGGCCACGAGAAGGCGAGCAGAAUCCCAAUCCUUGAAGAAUCCAAGGCAUGCAAAGGCUCGACAAAGUCUCAAAGCCUGUCUUAUGGCGAGACAGAAGCCGAGCGUGCCAGGAUCUGCUCGACCGUGCGAAGGCGAGCCGAAUCCCAGGCAUUGAAGAAUCUCCAAAGGCAUGUGGCGAAACCAUGAGCCAAGCCGGAACCUGCUCGUCUAGACAGACACAAGCAGAUUCUCAACCGAAAAUUAAUUCAUAAUUACAACACAAGAAAGUAAUCAAAAACCAUUUUUAUUAAUUUGUUAAUAAUUAACAGAGGGGACAAUCUCAAUGAACAUUGUUCAUUACAAUACAAGAAAUAUAUCAAGAAGAUGAUGGACCAGUAAGCCCGGCAGCAUCGGUUGGCUGGACCUCCUCAGGUGCUGGAGGGGUAUCACCAGUUGCGUCCGGGGGGGUACUUGCCUCGCCGACAUCAGCAGGGACUGCAUGAGCAGGAGAGUCUUCCUCCUCAAUCACGAUCGGCUCUACCCCAUCAGUAUCUUCCUUAGCCGCCUCCUCGUCCAUGUGUUGAGCAACACCAGCUGCAAGGUCAUCCAUCUUCAGAUCAGGGUGUUGCUUCCCGAGGACGGCCAUGAUGCAACGAUAGGAAUGCCGAAGGCCCUGGUCGUACUGGUUGUCAGCCUCCCUCUCCAAGUUCUCGACCUGAGCUCGGUGGGAGUCGCGGAGAGAUUCGAGCUGAGCCUCAUACGUAGCCUUCUGCCUUUGCAGAUCCUCCUUGACCUUGGUAAGCUCCUCCUCGAGGGAAAUGGCUUUUGCUUGAGCAAGUGAUUCUUGCUCUAUCAGCUUCAGAUUCUCGAGAUUCAGCUCCCCUGCUUUCUUCUCGGCAACGUCAGCCCUGGUCGUCGCCAAUUGAAUAUCCUCCUUCAUCUUCCGGUCGUAGCGGCCAACCUUAGCCUUGUAAUAGGUGGUCAGGCAGCUGAGGUGGAAAGCGUUAUGCUGCAUGGCCCCCACCAGCUCACCCAAGGUGCGGCCGUCAAAGUCCUCCAGGUCCUUCUUGCUCACGAGUUUAGUUAACUCAUUGAGGUAAGGGACCAGAUGUUCUGCUCGGCUGUCAGGUAAGCGAGACCAAGGCCCGACAGGAGGAGAAGAAGAAGCAGGAUCUGUGGCUGCUCCACUAGCUUCCCCGACUUUCACAGAAGCAGGAGGUAAAGUCUUCAAGGGUGGGACCUGCUGCACGAUGUUGGCCCGCUUUGCAGCAGGGGCAUCCUUACUCUGGUCCCUCUUCGUGGUUGGAGGUCGGGAACGUUUUCGGGUCAAAGCCCCAAUCACAGCGUCCUCCAUCCUAUAGCCAGGAAGUAUCAAGCGAGACUCGAGCAAGUUGUAUGUAGUUAACAGUUCUCGGCUCGAGCAGGAAUUGGCUGGUCAGGUUCAAGCGGGAAGUGGACACCCCAAGAAACUACAACACAAACAGACACUUGGUUAGAGACAAGCCAAUAAAGCAAGAACAAUUAUGAACGCAAGACAUCUAGAGCGAGCAGGCAACCUGGGACCGUGAAACGGGGUGGGACGCGACAAUCCUUCCCGUCUAUUUGUGCAAUUUGACCCCAAGGACCCCCAGCAAAAAAGAAUUUCCUCUUCCAAGCCCCACCACCACCGGUUGGAAGAUCGGUUAUGGGUUUCCGGCUCUUGGUGCUAGAUUGGAAGUAGUACCAGCCGGCAUCUUUGGGGCUGCUCUUUAGCUGGUACAAGUGCUUCACCUCAUCAACCGUGGACUCGCUUCCGAAAAAGGACUUUUCUCAUUAAUUUUUGAUCUUCAAGUUAAGUUUGUUUCAUUUCAAAAGGUAUUAAGUUUCAAACUUGUCGUGUUGGGAGGUUGGAUAGUUGUAACGUAAGACAUCUGCAGGCUUCCGGUUCAAAACAUUACAGUAUGGCAUUUUAUUUUGUCACAAGGGAAUUAGUUAUGGGAUCCCUUCUGCAACGAUUUGUUGAUGGCGAUGAUGAACUCCGCAAUAGUAGGCUGAAGCUUAUUCCAUCCGUUCCUAAGAUAUCCAUCUUGGUCUGCAUCUAUUAGGACUUUGUUAACAUGUCGUAACCUUCACUGCAUGGUACACUUCAAUUUGUUCAAAGAAGGCAUACAUUUAGGUAUAAAUGUAUUGAUGGGUUGUACCUUCUAACUUAAUGACCUUUUUUCACUCUGUUGAAUUUGUUUUGCACCUGCUCUUGAUUUUAAGCGCUAAAUCAUGCAGGGGUCAUGGAUCGUGCACCAGAGUGUUGGAAGCACCCCUUGUUUAUUAGGAAAAGCAGUUGAUCGUAAUUUUAUCCGCGGUCCCAAGUUCGUAGAAGUAAACGCUCUUGGAAUUUCUAUAAUACAUGAGAUGUUCCCCUUUCAAAUAGCUCGUCCGAUACCAUUAACAUGGUUUAACAUUGUUCCUCUGUCUUUAGAUUGAUGUUGACAUCGGUUCUUCUAAUAUUGCUCUUCUUUAUCUUACACGUGUCUCUUCUUUAUCUUACUCUUUAGUAUGCAGUCAAACACUACAGAUGAAUUACCAGAACGGCUGAUUGGAACCAGAAACAUCAUGACUGUGGUUUCAUUGCACCUCAACUUUUUUUAAUACCCGAAAAAAAAAAAUCAUUUGUUUUAGGUAUACGCACAUGUAUUUUGAUCCCAUUUUCAUUGUUUUCUUUGGAUGAAAGUCAUUGAUGUUUCCAAAUGAGACUUUUGCAUAAGUAUAGCUAGUAGGAAAUUUUCUGAUUCUUUAUUUACUAUUUUUGGAAUCUGAGUGUAAUAGUUUUAAAAUUGUUUAAUCGGUCUCUAAAUGUCGUACUCACAAGCAAACAAGUGAACUGAUUGAUUCCCAACCGUCACUCAACCGGUUUCCAACUUUUUAAUAUACACAAUAACUGUGUUUGUUGAAUAGCUAAUACUAUUAAAGCUCAACAUUAACAUAGAUACUAAUGGAAAAAUUGAUUUUCCUAUGAUGCUGUGUAAAGAAUAUGGGUUUACCUACUUCCAUAAGAUCGAAAACAUGAUCUUGACUUCACGUGAUUCUUUUAAUUUAGAGAGUGCUGGUUUGAGAAGGUCAGCUUGACGGAUUACUUCCUUUUAAUAAAUGUCAAUACACUAUAUUUGAUAAUACUAUAAAAAUGUAAUAAACAUUGUCUUGUGCUGUUUUCUUCAACUACAGAUCCUCAAUUGAAUCAGUCAAUCAGGUUAGAAAUCAAAUGCUUAAAAUACCAAUUGGAGAAACAAUAUAGAAGUUGAAUAUUGCAUGCAUAUGAAACAUCAAUUCAAGCCCUCACUUAACCAGUGUGCACCAAGCAAAUCCAAAGUGUCUUGCAAUUAUGUAGCAUGACCAAAAUGCUAUAAAUGCAUCUGGGAACAAAUUUUUGAAGUAGAGGAAAACGUGCAAGUUGAAUCAUGUAUAAGAGAUCGGCUUGGGUCGAGAUAGCUUCUUCUUUAUACUUGAAGGGUGGGCUCAAUCUUGUCUUUAGAAUUCUGCAUGUUUGUAAUUAUACAUGUGUAAGCAAGCAUACAUUACCAUAAUAAUAACAAUAAGAAAAAAGAAGCAAAUGUUAUGAUACGACUAUAAACUCCAUCAGACAAACAAUAAUGUAUAAAUUAAUGUGACAUAAUAUGAUUGAUUAAACAAAAACAUCACAUGGACCACUUGAUUUAUUUUUUAUUAUUAUAUAUUUUCAGUCGACCAAUCAUAUUAUACCAUAUCAAUUUCUACAAAAUAAUUUGGUAGUUAGCGCCAAUACUUAGUUAAUUAAUACUGACCAUUUCAUUGAACAAUUUAUGUAUGGUGUCAUUGAGGUUGCCUUCCCAGCAUCCUUCUUAUUUUUCGGUGAGUUUCACUUUAUUUAGCGUUGGCGUGCCUAUGAUUCCUUGAGAGAAAAUCUUCAUCUUUGGGCACUGUCUCACAAGUACUUGUUUCAAGGACGGGAACUCAAGAGUGUAAUUACCUGAAUAAAAGCUUGUUAGGCUUGGCAAACAGUCAAGUCCCAAGUACUCCAAUUUCCCGAAAACAAUGCAAUCUUUCGCUUCUUCAUUUAAUAAUUAUAGAAGAAUAUUGGCUUAUAGAGCAUUUUAGUAGGGAUAAGAUUUGUGGACAGAAUAAAUGAAAUAAUAAAAAGCAUAGCUGAUCAAGUCAUUAUUGAUCUUAUUUUGAUUAUUACAUUGCACAUUAGUUUCUUUUUAAAAAUGCUAUUCUUCAUUCAAGCUUUCGCUUUAUCUUUUAUCAGGCAUCCUACAAAUCUUAUCCCUACUAAUAUGCUCUAUAAGCCAAUAUUCUUCUAAAAUUAUUAAAUUCCAUUCUUCAUUCAAGCCUUCAUGGACACUAUUUACAAAUUGUUCUUGUAUUUGACAGAAAAAUGAAAACUCCUCAUCAUACAAAACUGCAUGAACAAAUCUUCAAUUUAAUUAUGAUAAAAUAAUAAAUUCCAUUAAUAGAUUAUGUUGUAUUUUUUUUUUUUUUGACCACGAGAUAUCCUGAGGAGGGCCCCAAUUGUGGGAGGCACCUUUAAGCUCGUACCACAACCCAUACUAGAAGUCCCCACGGGAACCGGGAGGCACAAUUUCUCCCAACAAAGACGAUUUUCCUGCGACUCGAACUGGGGAGCAAACCCAGUCAAGCCACUUAGAGCCAACACUUUGUUGGUUAUGUUGUAUGUUAAUGUGAGGGAUUUGAUCAGGUGAUCAUAUAAUUUAGUAAACGCUUUAAGAAGAACAAGAAUUAAUAAGUUAAAAAUUAAAAAAAUAAAUAAAUAAAGAGUAGAUGGAAAGAAUGUUAUUUGCAAUCACUAAACCAAAGAACAGGGGAAUGAUAAGAGAGGACGGUUACUGCAACAAUAUGAAGUCAACAAUAUAAAGUGUUUACCAACUUAAAACCAGGGCUAUAAAGUGUUUGAUGAAUUAUUUUUUAAUUAAAAAAAAAAAACUGAUUUAGCGGGAUAAAACAAUGCUCCAUUCCGUUUAGUAUGUGAAGUCCAGAGUAUUACCUACUACUAACUAAAUCCGCUUGAUUCACAAGACUACCAAGAGAUAACUGAAUCAUUAUUUAAUUUUACUAUUAGGAAACCUACUUAUAUAAGGCGCAAACCACAAAUUCUAAAUUAAAUACCUAACCAUAAAUUAAGAUCAACCCUAACAGUCAUCCACCAGGUGCCGUGUAGGCUGCAUCAUAAAUUCUGAUUUAAAUAUUUGCAAUCACCGAACAGAAAAACAGGGGAACGAAAACAGAGGAGCCCUAUUUUUCCAUUUUUUUAACCCUUAACUCUUGCUCUUCUAAUUAUAUUUUUCCUUGGAAUUUCAAGUAUGAGAUGAAUUUGGAGAAAGUAAAUAAAUUUGAAUUACGUGAAAAAUUCUAAUUUUUUUAACCCUUAACAGUUGGUAUAUUUUUUUUAGGUCAUAGAUUAAUAAAUUUCUUUUAAAAAAAUUUAUAAUAUCAAUUAAUAUUAUAACCUAUAGAUUAAUACAGAUAAAAAUAUGAUUGAUUUAUCUCCACCACCUAAGUCUUAGCCAAAUUUAAUUAAAGAUUAAUUUAAUAAAUUACCGAAAAUAAUAAAGUAAACGAAAAAUAAAGCACGCAAUUAAGUAAUCAUGCUUCUAAAGGGCUAAUUAACCAUAAUAGGCAUAGGUAUUAAUUUGACUUCUAUGAAAGUCCCUUCUAGUUUCUCAAAAUUCAAAAAUUACAAUAAAAAGCCAAAGAAAAAGUCAAUGCUUCUAAAGUAGAAAAGUUUGAGUACUAGAUAGGCUGCCCAAAAUACAUUUUCAUUACUCACAUAUCUCUAUAGAAAGUAAUUUUUUUAAUAAAAACAACCUAUUUGGCUAAUAUUCAGUAGUCUUUUUUGUUGAUGGAAUUAUCCUCUUAACAAUAUUUUAAAAAGUUUACAUGAAUAUUCCUUUUUUAAAAAAAAAAAGAAUAAUAACGUGUAUUGUUAGGAUAAAAAUGAUCAUCAAUACGUAUGUAUAUAGGCACAAAUAUAUGAAAAAAAAUCAAGUUUAAGUACAAUGUAUAGGUCAAUGCCUAAGAGUCAAGCCUAAAUUAGGGGUAUAAAAAACUACAAAAUACAAUUUCGUACACUACAAAAUUUUGAUAUCAGCAGUAGGGGUAUAAAAAAAUCAUUGUUGCCAAAAAUCCAAAAGCUAACUAGAGGUUUGGUUUUGUUUCAAAAAUUAAAAAAACAAGUCAAUUCGUAAAAUCAAAAACAGAAAAAGAAAAACAAAAUAUAGAGGAAUUUACAGUUUAAAAAGAAAAACCAAGCCAAAACGAAAUUGAAUCGAAAGUCGAACCAACUCAGUUCAGUUUGAUUUGAAUUUUAUUUUAUAAAAAAAAAUGAUCGGAACCAACUAAACUGUAUUAUGUUAUAAAUUAUUAUAUAACAUAAAUUUUUGAAUACCUUUGUGACGAGCACAAUUUAAAAUUUUAUGAUUUUAAAUUUUAACAUUAAUGGAGAGUUAAUACUCCACCAUUUUCCAAUUUUUACAAUACAUAUUACCAGUUUAGAUAUGCUGUAUAUUAUUGUUAUAAUUUUUCGAGCAAGAUAAUAUUUGUCAAUUGGUGUUAUGACAUCAAAAUACUUGGUAUUAGUUAGUGCUAAGUGCUUCUUUUUCUUAAAAAAAGCGGUUCCUUAGUUUUAAAACAAAAAUCAUUAUCCUGAAAUUCUCCAUUUGCUUUGUUAACAGAUAUAACAAAAUAAAGUGAUAAAAGUUUAAUUUAUAAAACUUCGGCAUUUAUAUCUAUCAGAUUCAACACUUUAGUGUCAUAGAUUUAUUUCGGUGGAGCACGAUGUGGGUUGGGCCAGGCUUAGAAUUUUAAGCACGAGAGCCUUAAAAAUAUGAUAUGAUUAGAGAUGGACUGAGCACAGCACGAUGAAAAUGCCCACAAUAAGCACAUUAUAUUUUUUUAUUGAAAAUAAACUUAAAAUUUUAUGUUUUAUAAAUAACUUGAAGUUGAAUUUUUUAAAUUCAUUUAAUUCUUAGUUUAAAAAAAUAUUAUAAUUAAUUUAUAUUUAUAAUUUAUUAAAUAAAUAAUUGAUAUCAUGAUUUUAAUGAAUAAAAUUAUAAAUAUAAUGAUUUUAUAAAUAUGCAUUAAUAUUAUUGUGAACUAUGAUCUAUGACUCUAUGUAACUCUAAGUUAACAAUUAAGUUAACCCUUAAGAAAAUAUUAUUAUUAUUAUUAUUAUUGUUGUUGUUGUUGAGUAUUAAAAAAAUUAUAAUACUAAGAGGUCAAACUUAGAUCUAUUAAAUAUUACAUUUUCUUACUAUUAUUAGUUUAUUAUUAUUGAAUAUAAACUUGAGUUUUGAUUUUUUGAUUCUAUUAAAUUUGAAUAAAAGUAUAGACCUAAGAAAAAUAUAUAGACUUGAAAAAAAUACGCCAACAGUUUAGUAUGCCCUUUAAAAAUUAAAAAAAAAAAAAAACUUAGUGAGCUUUUUUUCUUAGGCAUAGCACGGCAUGUAUCGGCAUGUGUGUUAGGCCGGACCUAAACAAAAAAAAUAAAAUAAAUCUCGACACGACACAACACAAGCAUAAGCACGCAUGGGCCUUACUUACUGGCCCGACCCAUUGAGCAUCUCUAACUGUAUCUAUCUCCGCCAUAAUAAAUUAAACAUCGGGUAACUACUAGACUAGGCAUUAGCAUAUAAACUAACUAACUAUAGUACCAAAAAGAAUGAUGCGACAUUGUAAAAGAGAUGGGGCAAAGGGCAGAAUGGGAAACGAAUGAACCAAAUAAUAGUAUAUAAUAAUAUGGAUUUGGUAAAAAUAAAAAAUAAAUAAAAUAAAGUGGUGACACGUACCUCCUUUUAUUUCUCGAUCGAGUAGUGCAGAAAGUGGAGUGUGUGUGUGUGUGUUAAUUGUGAAAUGUCAGCCAAUUUUUUCUCUCUCAUUCUGAAACAGCUCAGCAGGAAUAGUGUACACUAGAGACGUCUGUCUGUCAGUCAGAACUGCCAAAAGAGCAAAACGGGUGCACGUACAAAUUAAAUCAGCCAAUCAGCGAUAUAUUUCAGUUACUAAAAGCUAGCACAGAGGGAACAAGCAAUAUGCAGGGCCAAAAGAGAUGAGACCCCUGAACCCGAACCCUCCUGAAUGAUCUGAUCACAUCUGAUUCGAUGUCUCGAGUCAUUAGAUUUAACAUAUUUUAACAAUAUUUCUCAGUUAAUAUGUGAUUUAAUUAAAGGUCAAGUUUACAUCUGAAAAUGAACUUAUUAAAAAUUAAUUUGAAAUAACAUCUAAGAUAUCUAUUUGUUUAUAAUAAAAUUUAAUUGUCAUAUCAGAAUUAUUUUCCGUUAGACUUUACAAUAAGUUAAUCCCAAAUAAAUUGACAAUUUCAAUUUUAAAGUUAGUUUGUAACUUUAAAAUAAUUUUCUAAUAAAAAUUUAAUCUGAAACAUUUGCAAUAAUAUCAAGUAUUUUGAUGUAAUAACACCAAUGUUUCACAUGCACACACAAGUCAUAUAUAAGUUAACAAAAACAUCAUUUGUUAUUAACAAAAUCAUGUUAAUUUUUAAUUCUUAAAUUAACUCCCUAUUAAAUUUUGGCUAAAUGUUAGAGUGCAAUUUAUGCACUAGUUUUGCAUUGUUUACUUCCCUUAAUAUCGAUGUUUUGCACUUAAUAAUAAUGUUUUACUUGUGUUUUACUUUUGUAGGUGCAAUUCUAUUGAUUGAUGAUAAAAUUGAGCUAAAAGAUGAUGUUUAAGGAGGAUUGUUCUCUUGGAGAAAUUAUGAGCGUCAGAAGAACUUUGUUGAUAAGGCGUGGGCGCGUGCUGUCAACUGCGGACCUGCAGUUUUUAGUUUAACGUGUUUUGUAUUUUUGGUUAUUUUUGUAAUUACGAAUUUAAUAUUUCAGAUAUUAGUAUUUUAUUUUAAAUAGAAUUCUAAAAGAGAAGAGAGAGAGAGUAUUUAAGGGAGGAAUCUAUUGUGAAAAAGAGGAUUUGGAUUGGAGAAAAAGAAAGAAACCCUAGAUCUAAUUUUUCUCUUCUCUCUAUGAAGAACUAAACCUAUUUUUCUGGUUGAAGGAUAAUGAAGCUUUGAUUCAUCACUACUGUGAGAUCUUUCUUAUGCUUUAAUUGUUUUAUUACUUUUUGGGUAUUUGUUUAUUCUCUGAAUUAGUUUCAUGAUUAUGUUUGUUAAUUAGGUAAUUGGCCACUAUUUAAUUAUUAACUUAAUCUAUUGUUAAUUAAAGGAUUCAUCGUAUGAAGAAUUUAAUGUUUGUGACAAAUAACAUAGCAGAGAGUUGUGUUGUGAGAAUAAACAAUCUAAUUUAAAUGAAUCAUCAUAUGUGUUGAUUAGGAUUUGGGUCUCUCUAGUUUUUCAGGCUGUCAAUUGAUUAAAUCCUAUGAUCGUAUCUAGGGUUGUCUAUUGAUUAGGGAAAUAUCCAACGGUCGUACCUUGGUUAUCGACUAGUUAAGGAGAGAUUGGCUAUUAGAGGGUCUCAAUAGCUAUAACCGGUCUAUUCAUAAGUAAUGAUAAUCUAUAUUUGAAUCAAUGAUCAGUAGUCGAAUCAAGCUGAGUUAAUUCCUUCAAUCAGAGCUUUCUCCAAUUUGAAUUACAACUUUAAUUUGCAUUCUUGUUACUUUAAUUUGAUUUUUAUUAUUGUCAACAAUUCCCCCAUUUUACGUUUUACGUUUCAAAAUGAUUUAAAUAAUUACCGAUCUCUGUGGACACGACCCUGCUCAAUCACUAUACACAAUUUAUUUAGAGUAGGAAUUUAUUUUUGUUGGCUUCGACACCCAUCACUAAAUCAUUAUUGCAAUUUAUAAAUUAAUAUUUAUAAAAAAUUAUGAAUCAUCCAAAAAGCUGCUUGAUAUAGAUUAAUUUCAUGGUCAUCAAUUUUUUUUUAUUUAUAUACCUUUAAAUUAUCACUUGUAUCAUAUGAAAAGACCAUAUUACCCCUCUAACGUCAUCAUAUUUAAACGGCAACUAAGCUAUGGUGAACGACAUUAUAUUUUGUCAACUUAAGAUGAAUGACUGAUAUACCCUAAAAGUAUUGUAGUAAAUUUGAUAAUAAAGUAUACAAUUGAUAAUUUUCCUAUUUAUAAUUUAUCCCCUUAAUUAUGAGUAAUUUUGUUUUUGUCUUCAUUUGUCCCUUUCCUACAAAACCGUACAAGUUACAUAUAUAAAACAUUCUUCUUUAAUCAAGUUUGGAAUAUUUUCAUCCUUAUGUAAAAUUAUGCAUAUAUCUUUUGAGUUUCUCAAUUGUACUUGAAAAAAAAAAUUACAUUUAAUCACGGUUGGUUAUCCAUAAAAAAUUUUAGGUGGAAAGUUCACGCGUUUUAAAAUUUAAUUGUGGAAUUAUAUUACAUUUAUUAUUUAGUUUCAAUUUAAUCAUGUAUCAAAUUCAUAUUUUAAAACAUGUGGAAAUUUAUAAUAUAUAAUGAUUCUAUGUAAAUAUAUUAUCUCAUUUCUUCAUUCUUUUGUUAUUAGUUCUCCUCCACCACAUUAGAUAUAUUUUGAAGUUUUCUAAUGUAAAUGUUACUAACAAAUACGCAUUGAAUAAUUAUCGGGUAGUUUAUAUUAUAAUUUAAUAAUAGCCACAACAUAAAUGUACAAUUUGGUGAUAGUAAAUGCCAUUACAUGAAAAUGAAAUCAUCAUGUUGCAAACAAGAUGCAACCAAGGGAUUGCAAACAAUGUUAAGUUACUAUUGGGUCACUUGAACUCCUGGGCUCUCUCCUGUGUAAUUUAUAUUAGACUGUCGCGUACAAAACGCAGACAUAUAUAUACAUACAAGUAGUGCUUUGGCAACAGACACAAUAGCCAAGAAGCAGCCCUUGUUUUCAAAUUCAUUCAAAUGCCAGCCUGCAGUUUUGAAUCCUUCAAAUUGUGCUCCACCUUUUGAGGGGACGAUGAAGAGUGAAAGAAGAGACAAAUGGCAGAAAUAUCAUCCAUUGCAAUGCCUCGUUUCUUAUAUUUCCAUGCCCGAACAGCACAUUCCACCAAUCUUUUUGCUGCCUUUUCCCUAUCCACUACUGAAGAAACAAUCUCCACCGCCUCUUGGUUCGAAAUCACAUCCCAAACCUGAAGAACAAUCCAUAAUUGAUCUUUCAAACAUUGACGUUAGUUCAGAUCAAAAGAUAAUUCCAAUAUGUGGAUACGUAUCCCGUCUGAUGCCAGAAUGAUAAAUUGGUCUCGUGUUGUUAUGUUUCUUUGCGUUACAUGGGGCACGGAGAUUAGGCCAUAGUCCUUGACACAGUAAUCACCCAAGGCUCUUGAUAUGGCUAGUCCCGGAGUCUCACCAUUCGGCAUCCAGACUCUGUAUACGCCUGGCUCAUCAUUUAAGCAAAACACAAGCCCUUUGGACUGCGUUAUUCGCUCCGCUUCCUCUGUAUAGGCCAGUGAAGACAAGAACCCGUACGCAGACCUUAAAACACACCCAUAUAUACACCUACACGAGGCAGAAAUAUUUAAGAGACAAUGAGAUAAUUGAGAUCUGAUUGGUAAAAUAUUGUUAAUUAAUAAAAAAUAAUUAAUAUACUUGCUAUUUAAGUAUUUUACUAAUACUUUAAACAUCAGUAUUCAAUGAUGUUAAUAUGUGAUUUUAAUAUUAAAUUUAUGUUCUCAUUUAUAACAGUAUGGUCAUCAGUAUUCACAACACAUCAUAUAUUAAUGUAUGGGUUUAUUAAUAUUAACAAACAUUUAUUUCCAAAUAAAUAUGGUAGCCUUAGUAUUUAAGAAUAUUCUUUAUUGUCUAGUCGUCUGUCCAAGGAAGAACGGGCCAUCAUCAAAUUUAUCAACGGCCUUCUCUAAGUAAUCAAAAGCAGGACCUGUGACAAAUUAAAACUUUUUCCGUGAGUUCAGCACAUAUAUAUACAUAUUCAAAAUGCAUUCCAUUAUAAACAAGUAAGCAAGUUUCAAAUCCUACCAGCUUGUUUUGCUGGGUCUCCUUUGAAUGAAGUAUACACAUCGUUGGUGAAGGUAUCGAUGUGGGAAAACAGUUCAUCAGCAAACUUUCGUUUCUCAGGAUCCUACAAUAUUUUCACAACAUUACUUUACUCAAAGUUGAGAGAGAGAGAGAGAGAGAGAGAGAGAGAGAGAGAAGCUUUUAUUAAAAGCAACAAUGUAAUCAGCAAAAUCUUACAUCAGGUAAAAGUGAAGGCCCUUCAAAAUUGCUGUCAACAUAUUUAAUCAAAUCAAGAGAUUCUCCAAUAACUUUGCCAUUGUGCUCCAGUGCUGGAACCUGUAAAGAACUCUAAUAGGUAAAUAUACUUCAUAACUCCAGCAAUGAUCUCUAAUCUUGCACGAAAGUGUAACAAUCAGUUUAACUCUUUCGUUGUGUUUUCUUGCAAGCAAGCAACUUGCUCAAAUCAGAAUAUGUUAAGAUUUUACUAGGCACACAAAGCACAAAGACACCAUUCCAAUUUUAUUCAGGAACUCCUCCGCACAGAUUACAAGCAUUUCAAUUUCAAAGAUGGGGCAUAAGGACACAGAGUCACAUAAUUAGGCUAUUUGGUAUUGAGGUGCUGUGGUUUUUUUAGCUACAGCUGCCACACGUACCCAAAAAAAAAAAAAAAACUGUAACUAUAAAAUAAAAAUUAAAAAUGCGUAAUAAAUAUGAAUUUUAAAUUAAGAUUUUGACAAAAAUAGUAGAAAUAUUAUAAUUUUACAAAACACUUUAACUCUGUACCUUUUAAUCCAUAGCCGCCCUACCUCAAUACCAAACACAACUAAUCUCUUCCUUUUCUAUAUCUGAAUUGGUCUAUCAACACCUUGAUUAGAAAAAUUCCUAAUUAUUAUUCAGAAACUUUCUAAUACUAUUCAAAAUCUUCCCAGCAGAUUCUAAGCUCCAUGUUAACCAAAAGAAUGCACAUAUUGUUGAUCUAUCAAAUUACUUAAAUGAUCAAUCAAAUAAAAUCAAAUAUUAUUAUUGAUCACACAUCAGCAUCAGCAUCAGCAUCACCUUGUUAACAGGAUAAACCUUCUCCUUGUACCAAGCGGGCCUAUCUUGGAGGUUCAGUGGAACUAACUUAAUCUUGUCUUGUAAUCCCUGCAGCAGCACACCAAAAGUUGUCAAAUUCAAAGAGAGUAUUACGACAAAGGCGAAACGAAUAAACCAUAAAUUACUGUUAUUGUUAUUAUUAUUAUUUUAAUUAAACCUAGAAAGCAGAGACGGGUCAACAGUGAUAAAAAAAAUAUAAUAAAAAUAGUAAAUAAAAAUAAAACCUUGUAGUUCCUGGUGAUCCACACACGCUGAGCAAAUGGGCACGAGUAAGAAAUGUACAACCUGGGAGUUCCAUCGAACAGAGGUGGUAGCUCGGCCUUCGAAUCCAACGGUGGAGGAAGAUUCUCUUGCGCUCUAUCAAAGAUGACACAUGAUCGUUAAAAUAAUGAUCAUAAUUAAUUAUGAAAUUCCAAAAAAAAAAAAAAACCAAAUUCUUGUUGUGGCCAUCGAGGAAGGUAAGACUCUAGAGGUUUCCUGAAUGCUUUUCUUUUGCUUUGAAGAAGAAAGUCAUAUGAUACCGAAAUGUGUCUCUACGCAGAAUGAGUGCGCUUAUAUAUAGAAGCUUUAAAGUAACCUUCUGAAGCCAGCAGUGACGCAAUGCGCACGUGUUAGGGUGUCAUGAUAAUAAUGCAUGUUGCCAAAAAAAAGGGCAAAAUUCUUAUCAGUUUUAGGCAAUUGCCAUGCAUAUUAGUUGGAUUCAAUGGCUGCAAGGGAGAAGCAGUGAGAAUAUCGCUGAUUAAUUAAAUUUGUAUAAUAGAAAAAAUUUGGUAUAUUUUUUUAUGACAUAUUGCUAAAAAUGUGGAGGCUUUGAUAUUAAAAAAGAGUUAUUUAUAAAUAAUGUUAUUAUGUUAUUGUUGAUUAUUAACAAUAAAUUUUUAGGAGAUAUCAUUUGGUUUACAAGUAGUUCAUCAACCGUGUUUAUUAAAAUGUUACAAACAGGAUUACAAAAUAUUAAAUUAUCCUAAACCCAAUUAAUAUCUGCAGGGAUCAGACGACUGUUAGAACAUAUGUUCUAUAAUUUUUCUCUGGAAAAAUAUUAUUUCUUGUACAAACAUAAUAAAUAGCUAUUUAUAACUUAAUAAUUCAAAAAUAGUUAAUUUAUAAAAAGACUAUUCUUGGUGUUAACUAAUGCAGUGGAACUGAUAUAAAUUAACUUAUUGUAAAGAAUUCACUGUAAAGAUAUCAUUUGUUAAUUGUUAAUUAUAAAUAUCCAAUAUUAAAAUUAAUUUCUGAUUUAAUCCAUGAUUGUCAAGCUAUUGUUUUCAUGGUUUACAAUUUUUUAAAAUAGAAGAGGUAAAACAUUAAGUAAAAAGUUUUCAAUCUCGUAUAAAACAAUGUAGAAUGUUUUAACCAAUUCAAAAUUUUUUAUAAUAAAGCAGUUAUUUUCAAAAUUCACAUUAUGUUUCUAUUACUCAUAAAAAAAAAUCCCUUCAAUGAAUGCAGACAUCCUUGAAAGAAACUUCACUACUCUAACAAAAAGGCCAAAAUUUUAGAAAAUGACAGGAAAAGAGAACACCAAUUGUCAACUAGAGUACCCUUUGUGAAAAACACAAUAAUAAAUAGCUGAUAUAUGAUUAGGUUAAUUAAUUGAUUGGAUUGGAAUCAACUUCGGACUGUUUUGCCCUUCCCUGCAGUGCAGCGUAUUAGGUGGCGAAUGAAGUAACUGGCCUCACUAAUUUUAAGUAAAAAGAUUGUUAAUAUUUAACCGCGUCUUAUCAACAUUCUUUGUUUUGAUUAAAAUAUACGACAUCGUUUGCAGAAGAGGCAGCAAGGGCAACAACGUGCCAAGUAUAAUAGACAAAUUUUUUAUCAUAUUAAUUGAGAAGGCUUGAGUUCUGGCCGAUGUUAAUAAAAUUUAAAACACAAAAAAACUGAUAAUGUCACGGCUGGUGAGAUGAUAUAUAAAUAUUAAAAAGAAAAAAAAGAAUUAUCAAUAUUUAAUUUUUGAAGAUUAAACUCAUUAAUUAAAGUGAAUCGUGCAUGCUUUGCUAGCUGAUAUCGCGCGCGCGUGUGUAUGUAUAAAUAUGUUAGAUCAAAUCCAAAGCUAAUUCCAAGUAUUAUAUUAUAUAUAUGUUACUAUUAUUAAUUAGAAUUCCCAAGCUCAAGCUAAUUAAUUGAUGGUAAUCUUUUGGAUGCACUUAAUUGUAAUUAACCGGAUCAAAUUUUGAAACCAAAAUAAUUCACGGGGCAUUCUAGCUUCUAGCUAAUUCAUCCAAAAAAAUAUAAAAUUAUAUAAAAAUAAUAAAAAUACGUGUGAUGUCAGCUUGAUGCGUACAUUCAAAGUUCCAAUUGAAAACAAAUAGAUAUUCAUUUUUCUUGUCAAAUUAUUGAAAGAGACAUCUCUUAAUUUCUUCCAUCACCAGCAACGGUUGAGUGACCUUGUCUUACAUUGUGCAGCAGCCUCCUCGAAGUAAAAAAAAAAAAAAAAUAUAGCCCAUUAUCUUGGCUUUUGGCUGGAUCCAAAUUUUUGUUAAAUACAAAUAAAUAUAAUAUCAAAUUAAAUAUUCCAAUAAACCUUCUAAUAUCUUCUUUGAACAGUUUUAUUUUUAUUUUAUGAGGGAAGAGUAAACCAUUAAAACUAUAAUUCAUCAUAAAUUUAUUGUGCCAAUUUUUUUUUAAAUCCAUAAUUUUGUGAAAUAUAAAUUUUAAGAAUUGAAAAAUAUCAUUAUAGCUUUCAUAUCCAAAGUUAAUUUUGAUAUUUUUGUACAAAUACAUAAUCUUCAAAUGUGGAUAAUGUAAAAGAUGAAAAUUGUCAAAUUAUUAGAUAAUUGUUUUUACAAAAUUUUAACGAUCAGAAAAAUCUUAAUUUAUAUGUCUUAGUUUAAAGAAUUGGUAUUAUCAAAUGUUACUUAAAUGUAAAUAUAAUAUAAAUAUUUUAUGUAUUUAUAUGUUACGUUUAUGAUUUGGUCACUGUUUAUCUAAAUUUUAAUAAAAUCAGACAUAUUUAUGUAAUUUACUCAUUAAAAAAAAAAUCCAUGAUUUAAUUUGCAAUGAUCAAAUUGUUGUAUUUUGUCAUAUCAAAAUACAUAUUUUUGUACAAUUACCCAUUAAGUUUAUGCUACAAUCAAGCUAUUUAUAAUAUAAGUGUGAUUUUUGAAUUUAAUAUUGAUAUUAGUAUUAAAUAUGAUAAUAAAAAAAUAUUUUAUUAGAUAUUAAUUGGGUCAUUUGUGUUAUUGUUUUUAAAAAUUAAUGACCUGCAACAUUAAUUGUCAAUAAUGGGUUUUUUUAAAACAUGCUGGUGCCCGGAUGUAAAUGCCGGUACCUCCCAAGUCAGUAGCCUUAUUAUAAUCCCGUCAGCAUAUUGGCCUGCCCCUGUACCAUUACUCCAAUUGAUGCUGAAAAUAUAACAACAUCAGUGACCGCGUUGUCGUUUCCCGUGAUGUUUAUUCCGAUGCCGGAGAAAUCCUUUUCGCGAUCAUCCCCGCCGAUGUUGAUGUGUUGGCCGAUGAAGGAAUUUCUUAUAUACGUUUCGUGGCCAUCUUGGAUGGAAAUGCCAGCGGUAGUGAAAUGCGAAACGUAACAAUUGUCCACUGUGGUUCUUAUUGAAUUUAUAAUGGCAAUGCCGCCACCCCUAAAAUUGGAGUCCAACAUAAGCUCCUUCAAAGUAAUGUAUUCGUAUAAUGACGAUGAUGAUGACGAUCUUAACUCUAUGAGAUGUCCGUUGCCCGAAAAAUCAUCCGAUGCUCGGAGGGACCCACCGUGUAUCUAUGUAUACAUAUAUAGAUGUUAAAAGUAAGAAUUAAAAGUAAGAAUUAAAUUUUAAAUUAAUAUGUGAUUUGGUAUGAUUCCUGGCAUUUUGUAUUCGGUUUUGUAGUCCUUCAUAAGACUGGCAAAAAUCAUUAUCAAUUAAACAUUAUGUUGUUAUAUUUUUUUAUUAUAUUUUUUUAAUGAUCUUUAUUUUAUUUGCUUUAAACAAUAUCUAUUUUUCAAAAACAAUACUUUUGACAAACAAACCCUAAAGUGAUGAAAGAGAAAGCAUGCAUUUUGCACAUGUUUAUAAAAACAAGAGAGUAUAUUUAAUCUCAAUCUGUAAUUCUGUAUAAUGUAUUAUUCUUAAGUUUGAAUCAAAUUAUUCUUGAUUCCAUCCGCCAAUCCAUCUCGGGCCAUUGAAUUAUGCAUAGCUAUUAUGGUAAUGGUCUCUUUAUUCUCCUCACAAUCAAUUAAUUGUGAUGACCAUACUGUUCUCACGAUUCUCAACCGCAAAAAAUUUAAAUAUUGUAUUGUACAUUUUUAUAAACAAAUUUUAUGUCAUCUCCAUUAUUGUGGAAUUUUAAUAUCCUAAUACAAUAUUAUGAUAGUAAUUGGGUCAAUAUGGGUAUUGGAUCAUAUUAUCGUUAUAAAUAUUAAUUUAUUAUAACUGAGUGUGUAAAGUAUCUUUUUUUAUUGUUGUACCAUAUUUAACUUUUGGCUGCAAAUAUAUAUAUAUUUAGCAUUAUUUAUAUCAAUAAGUUAAUAUAUAUAUCCUUUUCUUUAACAUCAAAUUUAAGUUUUUAAAAAGUUAUGAUAAUUCACUAAUUUGGUAUUUAGGAAAUUAAAUCCAUAUCAAUUUAUUAGAUAUCUUAAACCGUAUGUAAAAAUAGAAUAUUGACCAUUAUUCUAUUAGUAAUAUAUCCAUUAAAGAUUUUGACGUGCUAUGGUCUAAAAAAAUUAACUUGGCGGGAUGUUAUGAUUAUAUUCAAGGUGAUAGGGAAGAAAGUUAUGAGGAGACCCCAUUGAAGCCUAUAUAUUAUAGUAUGCAUAAAGACUCAAAAUGUGCACUUGAAAUAACAGUUGUCACUGACAGGUUAAGAUAAACUACCAAAUUGGCACUUAAAGGAAGAAAUUCUAGUAUUAGUGUCAUAUUUUAUGCCAUAUUAUGUAAUGCAUAUUAGUAAUGAUUUCUUCAUAAUAUCGCAGAUAUAUAAAAGUUCAUCUAGCUAGAUGCAUUGUAGAUUUUGUGAGAAUUAUUUUAUUCCGUCCAAAUGAGUUCACAUUAUUAUCCAAUUUUCCUUUUUUUAAGUUGAUUUAUGAAAGAAAAAAAAAAUGACACCAAUGUUUUCCACGUCGCCGCAAGUCUCAUCGAUAAAAGUCCAUCUACAAAUUAGUUCAUAAUUCUUUUUGUAACUUCGCUAAAAGCUAGUCAAGUCAUUGCUAGCAAGCCUCAAAAGCACGAAGUACGCGAAUCACGGCGAUAACUGAUAAUAACUUGGUUGUCCGGUUUCGCAUACUAAUUAGCUUGAUUGAAAAUCGUGAAGUAUGGGGCACGACUAACGCAACGCAUACGUCUCAUGCAUUAGGCAAAUAUUGUACGCGACCCAUGUUGAGAGCACAAAUCCACUAUCUACAAGUACUAUAUAUAGAGCUGCAAUGCGUGCUUCAAGUAUUCACAACUUACCCCCAGCUGGCUAGCCAGCCUCUAUAAUUUGAAGGGAAAAAAAAAAAAAAAACAACAACCUUGUUCAACUUGCAAAUACCUACCAAUUAUUAUGGAGAAAAGCUUUGAUAUCAUUGCCCUGUCUAUGAUCAUUCUGGUGACUUAUUCAUCUAAAAUGGUGUCGGUCGCCGGCCGGUCGCUGCAUGAACCAUCCAUUGUUGAGAAGCAUGAAAAAUGGAUGGCUGAGCAUGGGCGCACUUACAAGGACGACCUGGAGAAGGAAAAGCGGUUUAAGAUAUUCAAAGAAAACCUUGAAUACAUUGAGAAAGCCAAUGAGGAGGCGAAUCGGACGUACAAGUUAGGCACCAAUGAAUUUUCAGACUUAACUAAUGAGGAGUUUCGUGCUUCAUAUACAGGAUACAGGGUGCCAAGCCAGUCAUCUUCAUCACGGCAAUCCACAACAGCAUCCUUCAAGUAUCAAAACCUGACUGACGUUCCAACUAGCAUGGACUGGAGAGAGAAAGGAGCUGUCACUCCUAUUAAGAACCAAGGUCAAUGUGGUAAGUAAAUCGUAUACUAAAUAUUUAUGAAGUAACUAUAAUAGAUUAUUUAGCCUCCAACCUCUUUCAGAACUCAAACUCAGUUGACCAUCAGCUAAUUAAUAAAAACAGCUUGACAACCGUCUGCCAAACCCCUGCUGGGGCAUGUUUCAUGUAACUUAAUCAAGCCUUUUUUUUUUUUUUCCUUAAUAUGUACGAUGCAGGAGACUGUUGGGCAUUUUCAACUGUGGCGGCGGUGGAAGGGGUGACUGAGAUUAGUAGUGGUAAUCUUAUUCCACUUUCGGAGCAGCAAAUACUAGACUGCUCAAUAGAUGGUAACCGUGGAUGCGGUGGCGGUUGGAUGGACAAUGCCUUUAAAUAUAUUAUAAAAAACCAGGGUAUUGCCUCAGAAGCGGAUUAUCCAUACAAGGAAGUCCAAGGGACUUGUGAAGACGCACAGGUCAAGGCAGCUGCUAAAAUUAGUAACUUUGAAGAUGUAAAACCCAAUGAUGAGCAGGCUUUACUCCAAGCUGUAGCCAUGCAGCCAGUAUCAAUUUGCAUUGAAGGAAGUGGACCAGACUUCCAGAGUUACAAAGGCGGUAUUUUUAACGGAGGAUGUGGAACUCAGUGUUCUCAUGCUGUUGCUAUCGUUGGAUUUGGGGCAACUGAAGAUGGAAUGAAGUAUUGGUUAAUUAAGAAUUCAUGGGGGGAGAGCUGGGGUGAGGCCGGCUACAUGAGGAUUCUCAGAGAUGUUGAAGCACCUGAAGGUCUCUGUGGCAUUGCCACUAAACCUUCCUACCCAGUUGCAUGAGUAGCAGUAUUUUAUAUUAUAAAUAGCCGCCUCUUAAUAAUGAUGUCUUCAAGCCUACACAUGCAUUAGCCUCGAAAGGCUUAUACGAACCGUAUGAAUCGUAUGAUUCUGUGGUUUUACCUAUGUUGAGUAUUUCAUAAGUUGUAAUUGAACGCCAAUAUUUGGUAUUAGUUAAUGUUAAAUCUCUCGUUUAAAUAUAAGUUUGAUCUUUGCAGUAAUUAGUCAUUUACAUUUAAUGCCACGGAUACUCAAUUCGACCAAGAAAUACAUAGUUUAUAUCUUAGUUACUCUGAUAUUUUAUGUGGCAUGUUAUAUGUCGUUCAUUGAUUAAGUUGUAAGAAUAGUAUGUAAAUAAUUAAUAAUAAAUUUAUUUAUUAUCAUUUAUGAGACAAUAAAUGAUUAGUGGAACAUUAAUUAAAAUACAAACUAUUAUUAUUUAUUUAAGAAAUAUAUAUUGGUCAAUGAAAUUAAUGCAAGACAAAAAGUAACUGAAUUUUGAUUACACGCUUGAUGUCUGGAAGUACAAUGAUUAUGAAUUUGUGUUAAAUUAGGUCAAAGUUUUAAGUUAAAAUAAUCAAACCUAUAUACUCACACUAACUUUUAAAGUUUGAGUGGAAUUUGCCCGCUUUAAUUGGGGUCUCAUACAGCAAAAAAAUUUUGGCCAUCUUGAAUUUCUUUUUCUAAUUACUUAUAAAAAUUUAAAGGCUUGGUAAUUUCCCUCCCCCAAAUUCUGUCUUUAUUCCUAAGUAAAUUAGUUAGUCAUUAUUUCAAUAAUUAAAAUUAUUCUAAGUUCUAAAUUUUGGGCGUGGAGGGAAAGUUAAGCGCAAGUAGCCGUGACUGAUUAAUAUUAAACAAUAUAAUUUAAUGCAUUUUUAUUCUUCAUCUAUUUUUUUAAUAUUAGUUUUUGAACAAAAUAGUAGAACGAUAGUUAUAAUUUAUUAAUCAAAUUUUUUUACUUUCAUAUCCAUAUUAUAUUGUCAGUAAUAGUGUCAUGUAAUGAUAAUUAAAAGUAUUAGGAGAUACUUUUAAAAGUCGACCGCCUCAUCAAAAAAUCAGGAUGGCCAAGUGGUCUAAGGCGCCAGACUCAAGUUCUGGUCUUCGAAAGAGGGCGUGGGUUCAAAUCCCACUUCUAAGUAAUUUUUUAUUUUUUAUUCAUUUUUUUACAACGUUACGACUAAACGACGUCAUUUUCAUUAAACGGCAAGUCGUUUCAGUCGUCUUCUUUAACGGAAUAAAAAAUAUCUAAACCGAAGACCAAUGUUUCCAAACCCGCUGUAAACCCUACAGAUAACCCUCAUUGCCACUCGCAUCACUGAGUUCUUAACCUGAGUUAAAAUGGCCGAGUCCGCAUCCGAACUCAGUGAGUUCCGGAUUUUUCCGGCGGACUCACCGCCACCACAACCGAAUUCAACCGGAGUUCCGGUUCAUAAUCUAACACCAGAGGAGCUCGUGGCCAAAGCCAUAGCUCCAGUUAAGAAACAGUUUCUUCGUCAUUAAAUUCCAAAAUAAAUUUUAACAUAAUAAUUAAUUCUUUUAAUAGAUAAAAUUGUCUAUAUGCACGAUUGAAUUCAGCCCCAAAAUGUUAAUUAAAAAACAAUUAUCCAAUAUUCAAGAUAGUUUGAAUCGUCAUUCUCAUAUCGUUAUAAUGUCAUGAAAUAAUUGUACAAAAACAAAUGACCAAUAAAUUCACAAACGUAUAAUAUUGCCUAAUGUAAAUAACUUAUUAAUUAAUAUUGAUAUAUUAUUAAUUACUUAAUGUUUUACCUUUUUAUAAAACAUAAAAUUAUGUUUACUUCCAUUCAAGAUAUCCCAAAAAAAUUAAUCUUUUUGGAUGAUUCAUAAUUUUCAAGAGGAUGUUUUUACACCAUACCAUCGUCAAAUUGAUAAGGGCCAUGUUAUUUUUUAUUUAAUUAAUUUAAAUUUCAACUAGAGAGCUAUUGGAAUCGAUCACUGUAAAAGUUAAGUUGUGAUGUAAUCACACAAUCUUGAGAUCUGCUAUUAGAAAAAUAAUUGAAGAACCAAAUCCCAAUGAAAAUACAUCCAAAAUGAUGUCGUUUUGAAUUUGUUCCAAAAAAAUAAAAUAAAAUCAAACUCACUAAAAAACAACAUGUGUGUUUUUGUUAACCUUUUAUCGAGUUUUAAUUUAAAUAUUUAUCAUGUACUUUUAUAUUCUAUUCAGGACCGGCUCAACCAUAUUUGAGGCCUUAGGCAAAUGGUUUUAAUUAGUUUUUCUUAAAAUUUAAGACAAAAAAUAUGUAUAUUAGUUAUGAGUGAUGAUACAGCCACAAACUCUUGUACAAAUUGACGUGGUAUUAAUUUAUUGGUUGAAUAAAAAUAUAAAAUAAUAAAAACAAAAUCACGUGAGCCAAGUGAUAUUUAAUUCAACCAAUCUUAUCAUGCCACAUCAGUUUAUACAAGAGUUUGUGGUUAUAUCAUUACUCAUAAGUUAUAUAAUAUUUAUUGAAAAUCAAUUCUUCAAACACUCUCUAAAAUGUAAAAUUAUUAAAUAAAAUUAUAUUACACUAUUGUCAAUCCUUGAAAUUUUAAUUCAAUUAUAAUAUUUUUACUUUUUUUUAACUCAAAUUACAUCUUUUAUACUACUUCUUUUCUACAUUAAAUUAAUUUUUUUAUUCUUCUAUUUUCUAAAGUUUUUUUAUAUAGUUAUUUAUUUCACAAUAGAAAAAAAAGCACACAAAAAUAGUAGAUGAAUAAAAGAAUGUAUUAAAAAGAAAUAAGAACACAUAAAUAAUACAAUUAAUUAAGAGAAUAAUAAAAAAUAAAAUCUGAAAUUUGAAAUUUGAGAUGAAAUCAUAAAUUAACUUUAUCUUUAUAUUAAUUAUUUGAAGAUUUGAGUAAUGACUAAUAGCCAUAGAGAAUAGAAAAAAACUAUUAGAUUUUUUCUUUUUUUUCUUGAGUGGAAAGUAGAGGAAGCAAGAUUUUUUUUCCCCUCUCUCUCUUUCUUUCUCUCAAAAACGAAGAACAUAUGGUGUCUUCAUUGUUAGAAGAAAAAUUUAAUGGAUAAGUAAUAAAAUGUGGGGCUUUUAUAGAGGUUUAAAAUGAAUAUAAAACUUUUUAAUUAUAAGUUGUUAAUUCUAACAAUGAAAUAUCAAAUUUAUAGGAUUGAAACUAUUAAUUUAUCGGUUUUGUAGGAAUUAAAACUACUAAGUACUACAUUAAAUAAACUUUAUAGGAACUCGGUAGUUUAUUUGAGAAAAGAUAAUUACAAAAUAAUAAUAAAUUAGAUGCAUAAUAAUGAUUUUUAAAUUCACUUUCCUCUUUUAUAUACAAAAUAAUCAUCUUAUAGGAUCUUCAUGUAAAGUAGGGCCCUAAGCAACCGCCUAAGUUGUCUAGAGAUCGAACCGCUACUGAUUCUAUUACUAAUUUUGAAAUUUUCAGACAUAUUUAAGCUCCACUAUUUUAUUUUUUUAAUCAAAAUAGUAUGUUUAUUAAUAAUGAUUAUAAAAAAAAGAUAAUGAUUCAAUAAUGUUGUUUAUAUAUAUUGAAUCAACUUUAAAAGUCAACAUUUACUUUACACACUCAUAUAAAUGCUAAAAUAACCCUUUAUUUAUUUAUUUUUUUAAGGCUGUAGAAUGUAUUCAUUACAAAGAUAGAGUAAAUUUAAUUUGUGGUAUUCAAAAUUUGAUGAUUACAAUUUUUGAGUUGAUGGUCUUAUGCUUCAUAUUUGCAUUAAUUUUAUGUUUAAUGGUAGAAUUAUCAAGCUCAAUGACAGUGAUUUCAUGUAAAGCUUUAUUUCCUAAUUACAAUUUUAAGUUAAUGGUCCUAGAUUUCAUAUUAACAUUAGUUUCAUAUAUCUUUUAGGUUCAAUAUUAAUGAUUUCAUGUAAUACUCAAUGAUUUCUAGUUUAAUGAUUACAAUUGUAAGUUGAUGGUCAUAUAUUUCAUGCUUAAUAGUAGAAUUAUAUUAAUGGAUGAAGCUGUUGCUAUCAUUUACAUUAAUAUUUAUUUCCUGGAACUCAUUUAUAGCACAUCUCAAUGUCAUUAUUUAAAAAUUUAAAUUGAUGGUUGGUUUUGUAUUCAUUACAUCGGAUGAUUUAUAUUUAAAUAAAUUAUUUCAAUCUCAUAUCGUUUUAUUAUGGGUGAUUUUAUAUCCACAUUAAAAUUUUUAAAGUUGUUAUCAUAACUUUUUAAAAUCAGAGUUGUGUUUAUUUAUCAAUUUAAAACGUCAAUAAUCUACUAUUGGCUUAACAAUUGAUAUUCUCAUUUGGGAAUCAUCAAGAUUUUAAAAUUUUUCAAAGCCCCCAUGCUCAAUUUAUACGCAAAAAAGAGGGGGGGGGGGGUGGGUGGUAAGAUGCAUGAUCAGAAAUGAAUUUGGCAAGUAUUUGAUUGAGUUGAGAGGUCACUAAUCUCACUUAAUUUGCGAAUCACAAUAUGAUUGUUUUCAAUCGGCACCAAAACGAAGGGCUGGUUUUGGUUAUUAUAGUGCCUUGUUCUAUGAAGGAUUUUGGUUACCCACAUAUGGGAUUGAUCUUUGCUUCUACUCAGUAUAAAUUCUUGAAUUAUACUAUAUAUGGGAUUGAGACUUUCGUUAAAUUUUAAUUUAUAAUAUUUUUCCGGAGAAAAGUAAUUAGCAUGAAACACAACAGCGGUGAAUCAUCUCAUUUUUCAAGAAAUAAUAUUUGUCAGAGCUUUUUUUUUAUAUUAGUUUAUAAUUAACUUUUUUUUUUAUAUUAAUCACGAGGUAUCCUGGGGAGGGCCCCAACUGUGGGAGGCACCUUUAAGCCCGUACCACAACCCAGACUAGAAGUCCCCGCUCGAACCGGGAGGCACAGGUUCUCCCAACAAAGGCGACUUCCCUGCGACUCGAACUGGGGAGCAAACCCAGUCAAGCCACUUAAGGGGACUCCAUUGCCAGUGGAGCCAACACUUUGUUGGUUGUUUAUAAUUAACUUUAAUAUGUAAUAAUAUAGCAUAUUCUGGGAAACCUGUUGGGAUAAUUGUUUUUAAUAUUAUUAUGAUAUUACGCAUGAUUGGCAGUCGCAACUCAUCAUCAUCAUCAUCUGAAACCAUAUUAACAAACAUUUAUUUAACAAUAUUCUUUAUGUAAACAGGAUUACCCUAAACCCAAUUAAUAUCUGCAGGGAUCAGAUGACUGUUAGAACAUAUGUUAAAUUUGUAUAAUAUAUGAUUUAAAAAUUUAAAAAAUAAAUUUUUCUUUUUUGGAGAUAACAGUUGGUAUAUUUAUGAUUAGUAAAACUAAAAGUUUUAUUUUUAUUCUAUGUGCUCCAUCAUGGCAGUAGUUAUUUUUUUUGCGAUUAAACAUACUAUUUUGAUUUAAAUGGAUUACAAAAUGGCACAUUUUUUUAACCCUUAACAGUUGGUAUUUUUUUUUAAUAAGAUUAUUAAUGCAUCAAGUAAUCUUGUUUUGAUGAUUGUAACUCGUGACUGCGGGACAAUUUCUAAUGGAAACAACUCAAUUUCGGAAGAAAACUUAAUUUUGCAAGUGAUGAAUUUGAACUCGUUGGAUUGGUUGAUUUAUGAUCGACUGAAUUUCACUUUUCCUCAUAAGAUCUUUAACCAAAGUUUAAUAGCUAUCAUGUACUCCUUAAAAGCAAUUUUUUUUUAGAUUUGACUGAAUUUGAACUUGUUGGAUUGGUUGCUUUUAGAUUAUUAAUAUGAGAUAUUACAACGUAAAUAUUUUCAUGUGGUUGAGCCCUAUUCUAAAAUCUGUAUAGUUAGCUUUAGAAAGAGGGCUUUUCCUGCUGAUCUGUAAUCUUGAAAUAAACUUAGAUAUAAAUAAUGAAAUAAAAGACAACAAACAAGCAAUACUGAUACAAAGCCAACAGAUCAGAGUUUUUGGUACAAAUCCAAUAAAAGACAAUAAACUUAGGACCUUUUUUUCUUGCUUUCUUUUGUUGAAGGAUUAGAGUUUUUGGUAUUAUCAGUAAAGGUUUCAAGGAGUAAAGCCUAUAAACUUUUUUUUUGGGGGGGGCGCCGCCGCGGGGAUUUUACACCAUACCAUCGUCAAAUUGAUAAGGGCCAUGUUAUUUUUUAUUUAAUUAAUUUAAAUUUCAACUAGAGAGCUAUUGGAAUCGAUCACUGUAAAAGUUAAGUUGUGAGGUAAUCACACAAUCUUGAGAUNNNNNNNNNNNNNNNNNNNNNNNNNNNNNNNNNNNNNNNNNNNNNNNNNNNNNNNNNNNNNNNNNNNNNNNNNNNNNNNNNNNNNNNNNNNNNNNNNNNNGAAAAAUUAAGUUUUCAUAGAAUAAAAUGGUACGAUUUUUAAUUGAACAAUUGAGUGCAAUCAGUAACAAAGGCUUUACAUAUGCAAGUAAAAUUUGUAGGUUGCUUCAGAAAAAAAGGGCAUUUCUCACUCAUCUUUAAUCUGCAAGUAAAAUUAGCUACAAAGCAAAUCUAAUAAAAUGACAAACAAAAGAACAAAACAAAGAAAAGACAGGAGGCAAACAACAUUGAUCUUAAGCCAACUGAUAAUUAAACAGAGAAUUCUUUUUUUUUUUUUUUUUAACCUGUUGCUCAAGGAUUAGAGUUUUUAUAUUAACAGAAAGGUUUAAGGGGUCUGAAUAAAAGCCCACAAUUUCUCUAUUUUAUUUUUAUUUUUAUUUUUUGAAAGGAGCUUCACUAUUGGCCUUGAAUAUAAAAGAAUGAGCAAAAGAUCAAUGUCAACUGCCGAGGAAUGUGAGUAAAGAUUUCAUCAGAGUAAGUAAUACAAAUGAAUUGUAAAAGAACAAGACUUAAGCGUGCACCCCGUGUUUUGUUUUAUUGUACGUAUAAACAUAACAUGUUCAUUUUUAACAAAGUGGUCAAUAACUCUUUUUUUUUGGUACAAAGACGUGCCUAGCAUAGACUAGGGCAAAACAAAACGGGGGUGUGAAACCCCAAUACAAUCAUGACGAAUCCAAAACCCAGCCCCUAAAGGAAGAGAAUUGAAAAGGUGCAAUUCAACAGGUAGUGAAAGAGCAGAGUUUGCAGGAAAGUCAGCUGCAAAAUUUGAUUCUCUGUAAACAUGCUUGACCUGCACUUGCCAGGUUCUGUUAAGCAAUUCCUUAAUACCCCUGACAAGAGAAGCAUGUGCAUUUGGCCUAAUCUCGUCAUCCGCCACCAAACGAGUAACACAAAGGCUGUCAACCUCCACCUGAAGCUGCCGAAUUCCAUUAUCCCAAGCCAUACAUAACCCUUGAUAAAGGCCCCAUAACUCAGCACCAAUGAUGGUAACCACACCAACAUUCAUUCCAAAACCAAUUAUCCACUCUCCAUAACAGUUUCUAAUCAAGCCACCCGUACUAGACAGACCAGAACUUUUACGAGCUCCAUCUGUGUUGAGUUUAAAACAAGGCCAAGUAGGUGCCACCCAUCCAAAAUAUUUCUAAAUCUUCAUGGCAGCAGGAACCAAACAACUCUGAUUAACCUUUUGAAUUUCUUCUGUACGGAUCUUAAUAUCCAUUACAACAGUACUCUUGCUGGUAAAAACACCAUUAUGCAGAUUUUGGUAACGCCAAAACCAAAGCCUCCAAACUGUGACCCCAAAAAGACACGGCCAGUCAAACAUACCAUCAUACUUCCACAAGUUCCUCAAAUUAUAUAACGCCCAAUCUCGGAGAUUCAAACUAAAAAAUUGAUGACUAAUCCCAUGGGGUAUCAAUGACGACCAUACAUGCUUAGCACUGGGGCAAUCCCGCAGCACAUUAAGAGUAUUUUCAACAACACAGCCACACCUUGCACAACUCAUAUCAUCAACAAUAUGUCUCCGGAAAAGUUCUGCUUUAGUUUUAAGUCUAUUUUGACCCACCACCCACAGAAAGGUUUUGAUAUGUUGGGGACCUCUCCACUGCCAAAGAAUGCGCCAAAAGGAUUCUUCAUUGUGAACCUCCAUUUUUGACAAAGCCCUAUAUGCUGAAUUAGUAGUGAAAUCUUCUGACUUAGAAUAUGCCCAGUACAUGUAAUCAUCCUCAUCAUUUACACUGGGAGGCUUGGUGGCUGCAAUUUUGAGAAGUAAAUGAUGGGGAAAUAAAUUCUCAAAAAGCCGCCAAUUCCAAGUACCCUCAACAGUGAUAAACCUCGCCACACACUCCUCAAGCUGCUGUAAACGUAUCGGCUGCAAAGCGAAAGUAUACAAAGGGUAUUCCUCUGUUACCCAAUUAUCCCACCAAAAUCUAACUCGGUUGCCAUUUCCAAUGUCCCAUUUGAUCCCUUUUAAAACCUCAUGCCAAAUGCCUCCCACAGCCUUCCACAUGUAAGAGCCAUAUUUCGUAGGUAAUGUGCCGGGGAGGGCUUUAGGAGCCAGCCCAUACUUAGACAAGAGAACCUUCACCCAUAAACUAUUUGGAGAAGCAAUUAAAACCCACCCAAUCUUCAUGAGCAGAGCAUCAUUCAUUAAAUUAAGCUGCUUAAGACCAAGGCCUCCGCUAGGUUUCAGUUGACAUAUUGUAUCCCAUUUCACCAAACUGAUUUUCUUCUUGUCUGCUGCCCCGCUCCAAAUAAACCUCCUACAAGCCUGAUCAAUUUUCUCCCGAAUACCAAACGGAAUCUUCGUGGUCUGCAUUGCAUAAAUAGGAAUUGCCUGGAUUACCGAUUGAGUGAGAGUGAUCCUACCCGCCAAGGACAAAUGUAUCGCAUUCCACCCCGACAAACGUUGGUUCACUUUGUCCAAAAUUCCCUGAUAAGUCAGCUUAUUAACCCGUGAAUGAAUAAUUGGCAUUCCUCAAUAUUUCCCUAGGUUUUUUGUGACAGAAAAACCCAAGGAAUCACCAAUUUCCUUAGCCUCAGCAGACUUUAUGUUGUGGGAGAAAAAAACUUGUGUCUUUGUUUUACUAACUUUCUCUCUAGAGCUCAUACAACAAACAUUCAACACUUCAUUAUAACCAUUGCUUGCCUACAGGAAGCCUCUGCAAGCAAGAUAAGAUCGUCAGCAAAAAAUAAGUGAGAUAAAGAGGUACCUCCACGAGACAGUUUAAUAGGUUUCCAGUGCCCUCUCUUCACAGCGUCAUUUAUUCCAUGGCUUAACCUUUCUAUACAUAACACAAAGAUAUAUGGGGAAAUGGGGUCUCCCUGUCUAAUACCCCUAGAAGGGGUAAAAAUCUCUGUAAUUUCUCCAUUCCAUAGAAGUUGCAUAGUCGCCGUUGUAAUACAUUCCAUAAUAAGCCGAACCAAAAUAGUAGGCAAUCCAAACUCCCUCAAGGUUUCAUAAAUAAAAUCCCAGCUUAAACGAUCAUACGCCUUUUCCAAAUCCACCUUAAUGGCCAUCUGCCCAAUCCUCCCUUUCUUACGUCUCAUCAAAUGAAUAACUUCCUGAGCAACCACUAUGUUUUCCGUUAUGUGUCUCCCCCGGAUAAAACUAGUCUGGGUAGGUCCAAUGAGGUCAGGCAAGAUAGAUUUCAGCCGGUUAGCUAAUAACUUAGUGAUAGUUUUAUAGAUAACCGGGCAAAGACUAAUCGGACGAAAAAGCUUAAGGCUAAUAGGAUUAUCCGACUUAGGAACCAACACAAUCAGAGUUUUGUUCAACUCCUUAGGGAUCUCGUUGCCAUUAAAAAUACCUUUUAUAAGACUACAGACAGAUUUUCCCACUACAUGCCACUGGGUCUGGUAAAAGAGAGCAUGCAACCCGCCUAUUCCAGGGGCUUUCAAAGCCUUCAUGCCGAAGAUCACAUUCUUAAUUUCCUCAUCCUCCACUGCUUGUCCCAAAGCUUGCAUUCGACUUUCCUCAAGGACUGGGAAGGCGUUAACAACAUGGUAUGGAUGAUAGAUUGCAUCCUCUUUGGAAUAGAGCUUUGAAAAGAAGGACACAGCAUAAUCUCUAAUCUCAUCAUUAUUCAACAACCAAUAACUCUAUUCGUUAUGAAAUUGAUAUUGUACCCAAUUUUAAGAGAGCAUAAUAAUAACCAUUCAAUGCAUAAAUUUAGAAUUAGGAUUUUUUUGUAAUUCUUUAUUUAAAUAUAAGCUUCAAUGGAAAAUUAUAAAAAUUUAGAUAUAAAAUUUUAAAUCACCAGACCAAAAAAAAAAAAAAAAAAAAAUAGGGGAACGGAAAUAGAGGAAUCUUGCUUUACCUUUUUUCCCUUUAACUCUUGUUCUUAUAUAAAUAAUUUUGUUUUGAUGAUUGUAACUCGUGACUGCGGGAAAAUUUCUAAUGGAAACAACUCAAAUUCGGAAGAUAAGCUUAAUUAUGCAAGUGAUGAAUUUGUUCAAUUGACUCUGUACUUGAACUAGUUGGAUUGAUUGAUUGAUGAUUGACUAAAUUUGAAUUAAGUUUAAUUGCUUAGCUAUCAUUUACUCCUUAAACGCAAACGUAAAUAUUUUCUUGUGGUUGAGCCCUAUUCUCAAAUCAGUAGGUUGCCUUUGAAAAAGGGCUUUUCUCACUGAUCUUUUUUUUUUUUCUUUAAUUCACACGCACUUGAUUAUUGAAUUCUUUCAUGAAGAAAUAAACUUGUAAUGACUUAAAGAUUUAAUUUCAAGUUAGAAUCAAUACCAAAAGACGGAGGUUUAACAAAGCCGUUUAGUGUGAUAAAAGUACUUUAAAAAAUGUUGUUCGACCCAAUUAAGUUGAAGAAAUAAUAAAGUUUUCAUGGAAUAAAUACCGGUUGUGCCUUAAUGAUUUUGGCAUAGACGUUGCUUGUGUACUGUGAAAUUGAAAUGAAUAUUAAGUGACUGCGCGAUGUAUAUGCCUAAUAAAAGAUCAGCAAAAGCUUGGAUGAAUGUUUGAGGACCAAAACUUUUAUAAAAGCAUUUUUGAGAGAAACUAAACACCAAAUUAUCAAAGUAAGAUCAACAGUAUAUGAUUUGAUUUAUACAUAUUCAAAAACAAAAUAAUGAUUAAUAAUAAAGUUUGAUUUUGUAUUGCCAACGAUGCUUUUUUGUUGUUUCAUUUGUUCGACGUGGCCUUAUUUACAAAUUGGUUUAUGUUAACAGAAACAUGAAAUUCACAUUACACAAAAUUGCAAGAACAAAUAUUAAGAGAACGUAAUAAUAAUUACUCAAUGCGUAAGGAUAAAUUUAGAAUUACAUAUUCUUUUUUAUUUAAUAAAGUCCCAACGGGAAAUCAUAAAAAUUUAUAUAUAAAAGCUUUCAACCACCAAACAAAAAACAGGGGGAAUGAAAACACAGGAACUUGUUUUAACUUUUUUUCAUCUAACUCUUGUUCUUAUAUAAUAUUUUCCCUAGUAUUUCAGGCAAAAAAAAAAAAAAAAAAAUCAAUAAAGAGCAAGUUGCUCAAAUUGAUUUAUCUUGUUUUUCAGGCAAUCUUGUGAUAUGAUGAUAAAGCUCAUGAAUGCUAGAAAACUUCUAAUGCAAACAACUCUAUUUGGGAUGAUAAGCUUAAUUUUACAAGCGAUAAAUAUAAAUAACUUUUUGUGGUUAAUUGAAUUUGUAAUUACUCUUAGCCCUAUUCUAAAAUUUGUAGGCUGCCUCAAAAAAGAAUAAAAAAAAAUUUCUUACUCAUCUUUAAUCUUCAAGUAAAAAAAAAAUCUAAUAAAAUGAAAAACAAACAAACAAGUAAAAGACAGCAAACAAACAACAUUUAACCAACUGAUAUUUAAACAGGGAAUUCUUUCUUCUUCUUCCCCCCCCCCCCCCCCCCCCCCGGGCUCAUGGAUUAGAGUUUUUGCUAUUAACUGAAAGGUUUCAAGGGUCUGAAUAAAAUCCCAGACUUUUUUUUUUUAAUUAACCAAAGCCAUAUAAUAAGAUCACAGACUUUUAACAAUGAACAAUAAUUUGAAACUCAAGCAAAACCAAUGACAAGAUUAAAACAAACCAGAGAAAUUUUUUCUUGGAAAGUAGAUGAAAACUAAGUAAGAACUGCUAUUAAAGGAUAUUAUUAAAGGAUUUAGAACAUGUAUACCUCUUUAUUUAUAUGGGAUCAGAGAGUCGAUGACCUCCUCUAUUCGCUUCGGAUAUUAAGUAAGAAUUGCUAUCAAAAGAAUGAAUUGAUGAGAGUAAUAACAAUGAAUUGCAAAAGAGGAAGACUUAAUCACGUACCCCUAUUAUACCCGAUUUUUAAGAUUUAAUUUUGAAGUCCAGAAUCAAGACAAAAGACGAAGCCUUAACAAAUAUGCAGUGAGAAUAAUUAAGUUGAAGAAAGCACUAGUUUAUGGCUCAGUGUUAAGUUGAAGUUUAUGAAAUAAUUAACUAGUUUAUUAUGCUCAAGUCAGUUUUUGGGCCUUUGCCAAAAAACUUGUGCCACCACUCAUAUGGCUUAAUAAACAUUGUCUUAAAAACCAAAAGCUUUUUGAGUAAUUUGCAGAAAAAUGAAAUAGAGUGUAAAAGAAAGGAUUUUCCAUGAGAAGAAGAGAGAAAAAGAUGCCUUGCAGACCCCGAAAAAAUAAAUAAAUCCUCCUUUUAAGGUCACGCCCCACUCUCCUCUUUUCCCCUUUGUUCUCCUCCACUUACGGGAGUUAAGGAUGAGAUAAAAGUAAUGCCUCCACUCUCCAUUUUUUUCUCCUUUUUCCGUUACCAAACAUCAGUCCCCCAGUUUCUAGUGUUGAGAGUUUUAACGAAUCAAGACUGGAAACUAUAUGAAUUUUAAAGUGACAUCGAUGUGGUUGGCAUAAAUCGGCUCGGGAUUGCUAAAAUUAACCUUACUAUUAGCAAAAAAUUUCAAGUUUUAAACUUUUACUUGCCUUUAAAUAUACCAUUUUCCUACUCGCAUAAUCAUGUAAAGCAGGUUUCAUAAGUUCACGUAUUUAUCUCACCUGAAGUAAGUUUUGAGACUUAGUCAUUUAUCUGCUUUAGAAUAUUUUUCACUCAUAUAACUCUUGCUCGCCUAAUCUUGGUCGGGCAAGAGCAGGCAAACUUUGACUUCGUCUCACUACGAGGAGGUUUAGAGACUGUAAGCCUUUCACUUGAAGUACCCUUUUUUUUUUUUUUUUACUUUCUGCUUGCCUUCACAUGGUUGAGCAGAUUCUGGCAAGCUUGACUUCUUGUCUCGCCAUCGAGCAAACUUUGAGACUUUGAAGUCUUUUAUGUGCCUUAGAAACUUUCUUGGGAUUUUUGUUCUCUGCUCGCCUUUACAUGGUCGAGUAGAUUCUGGCGAGCUUGGCUUCCUAUCUCGCCAUCAAGGAGGCUUUGAGACUUUGGAGCCUUUGCUUGCCUUAGAAACUUUUUUGGAACUUUUGUGGUUUGCUCGCCUUCGCUUGGUCCAGCAGAUCCUGGCAUACUUGGCUUUCUGUCUCGCCAUAAAUAGGCUUUGAGACUUUGGAGCCUUUGCUUGCCUUAGAAACUUUUUUGGAAUUCUCAUUGUUUGUUCGCCUUCACAUGGUCGAGCAGCUUCUAGAGAGCUUGGCUUCCUGUCUCGCCAUCGAGGAGGCUUUGAGACUUUGGAGCCUUUGCUUGCCUUAGAAACUUUUUUGGAACUUUUGUGGUCUGCUCGCCUUCGCUUGAUCCAGCAGAUCCUGGCAUGCUUGGCUUCCUGUCUUGCUAUAAAAUAAGCUUUGAGACUUUGGAGCCUUUGCUUGCCUUAGAAGCUUUUUUGGAACUUUUGUGGUCUGCUCGCCUUCGCUUGGUCGAGCAGAUCCUGGCUCCUGUCUCACCAUAAAAUAGGCUUUGAGACUUUGGAGCCUUUGCGUGCCUUAGAAGAUUUUUGAAACUUUUUUGGUCUGCUCGCCUUCGCUUGGUCGAGCAGAUCCUGGCAUGCUUGGCUUCCUGUCUCACCAUAAAACAGGCUUGGAGACUUUGGAGCCUUUGCGUGCCUUAGAAGAUUUUUGAAACUUUUUUUGUCUGCUUGCCUUCGCUUGGUCGAGCAGAUCCUGGCAUGUUUGGCUUCUUGUCUCGCCAUAAAACAGGCUUUGAGACUUUAGAGCCUUUGCGUGCCUUCAAUGUGCUCUUAUUUGAGGUUUUUGCUUUAAAUCCUAAAAUAUGGACAACCAUCAAAAAUUUAAUUUCGGACUUGUAACUUAUAACUUGUCCAGAAAAUAGCUCACAUUUACAACUUGCGCUUUAGCUAUUUAUAUAUGUUUGGGCCUUUGAUGGAUAAACAUCCUUGGUGUUUUUAUUACCAUCUAUAAUAUUUGGUUAGCAAUAUUAUUAAAGACCUUUGCUAAAGGUGCGGAGCACCAUUUCCCAACACUAAAGAUAUUAAAAUUUAUAUAUAAAAUAAAUCAUAUUAUAUAAAAUAUGUAAUCAACAAAUAAAUGGUACCAUAAAAGUUUAAGCAAAGUCAUAUCACUGUAUCAAGGAAAUACGAUCUCAUGCUAACCCAAGUUCCAUCAAUCCUUCGGUCAAGCAUGUUGUGUGCUAAUAUAUGACUAUGCUAUAUAUUCUAUAAUAUGUAAUCCUUCGGUCAAGCAUGUUGUGUGCUAAUAUAUGACUAUGCUAUAUAUUCUAUAAUAUGUAAUCUUAACUAUUUUCUAUUAACGACUUAAUAAGUCAAAACCUCAUCCAUCAGAUUUUUGAAGUCAGGUAGUGGAUUUAAAGGAUAAAUAUAAAACUGGGGUUUUAGAACAAGUGCACCUGAGAUUGUGCUCUGCAUUAUUUCAUUAGUACUUCAUCAAACAAAUCCCGAGCUUGACUCUGCUUUGCUCCCUUCUUAGAAUUAUUCUUGCAAUAUUUUAACACGGGCACAAAAUGAAUAAAAUAUGAAGGAAACAAAAAUCCAACUUCAUCAAUUCUUUGAAGCUUGAAGACAUGCCUAUCAAUUCUCAUCAUCAAUAAAAAUUUGUUUUGUUUUAAAACCAUUAUUAAGGUUAGCCAAAAUACCAAUACUCGGCCUCAUCCAGAUUAUGCUAAUUAUACUUCUUCCAACACUCAUUAACGAUUAUGAGAAUUUGUGCAAUGUGGAUGACAGGUACUAUCAAAAGACAGCGAAUAUAUGCAUAAUUUCUAAUGUUCUCUUUGCGAAAAUAUAAUAAAGCUAUGGUUAAGAAUAACUCAUGCUCUCAAUCAGUUUGAUACUUAUAUUAAAUAAACUGAAACAGAACCUGGGUUUAGAUCUUGGCUCCUGGGCAACAUUCUCUCAAGCAUAUAUGUAGUGUAUGUAGUGUAAUCAGCAACAAACUCACUUUUGAACUUUCAUAUCCCUUGAGGCGAUUUAACGAACAGCUCCUGAUUUGAAUUUUAACAAUUCUGCCUCAACUUGUAAUGAACCGAGUUUUAUACCAGAAUUGUCUAUAUACUUUCCCUGCAUAGUCUUCACAUGAAAACUAGCUGCAUGAUUGAUUGAUGGGGUGUAAAACCAGUAGGAAAUAUCUUGAAGAAACCAAAGAUCCGUGGAUUUUUAUGCUUACCACCAAAUGAAUUUAACAAUUUGUGUAAUCUUUAUUUUAAGAAAUUGAACAUUGAUAAUACCGCAAAUCGAUUGCUCUUUUGAACAGACUUUAUAUCUUGAGUUCGAUGAAAAGAGAACAAUCAAUCAAGAAAUAUAAAUACAUCAGCAAAAUAAUGAUGGUAGUAGCAUUACACAUCUAAUUAGCCAUAACGAAGCCGAAUAAUUAGCCAUAAUAAAUCUGAACUGUUAACAUUAUGUCAAGCAUGUUGUUGGAAAAUAUUAAAUUAAUUCAUUUGCAAGUAUAAUAGCAUGUAAUCUUGAAUUAUGAAUGAAGCCCAUUCUAACAAGCUAAUUUUGUAAAGGAACAUUAUCAACGAAUUCCAAGGGAUAAUAUUCAAUUUCAGCAAAUAUAUCAUGCACGGUAUUGAAACAUGCAUGUUAUUAAAGAAUUUCCAAGCAUCUCUCAUUUGAUAAAUCAAUAAUCAUAGCAAUUGGAAAUUGAAUUUUAAUGACAAUAUACUUAAAGCAAUAAAUAAGCCAAAACCUUUACAGGUAAGCAUUCCAUCCAGCCUUGAUUGGCUUCCGUGUUUGAGCCAGCUUAUCAAUUUGUGCAUGAUAAUAUUCUGCCUUUGGCUUGGCCGGAUGAAAAAUUGGUAGAGACAAGAAGUUGGCUUUUUGUACCGAUUCCCCACAGACAGUGCCAAAUGUUGAUGCCCAAAUCUGAUCUAGUCUAUUAGCGACUUAAUAUCAAACUUCUACACCAGCAUUAGAUUUAUUUGGUAGAGAAUCGAUUGGUCAAUCGUCAAGAUGUCCUGCAACCACUAGCGAUUAACUUGCGAAUACUUAAAAUCAUAGAAGACGGUCAGAGGCGCUGAAAGUUUUUCCGACGUGAACCCUCCGACACUCAAGUCAGUUUCUGGGCCUUUGCCAAAAAACUUGUGCCACCACUCAUAUGGCUUAAUAAACAUUGCCUUAAAAACCAAAAGCUUUUUGAGUAAUUUGCAGAAAACUGAAAGAGUAUAAAAGAAAGGAUUUUCCAUGAGUGGAAGAGAGAAAAAGAUGCCCUGCAGACCCCGAAAACAUAAAUAAAUCCUCCUUUUAAGGUCAUGCCCCACUCCCCUCUUUUCCCCUUUGUUCUCCUCCACUUACGGAAGUUAAGGAUGAGAUAAAAGUAAUGCCUCCACUCUCCAUUUUUUUUUCUCCUUUUUCCGUUACCAAACACCUACAAAUCUUAUCCCUACUAAUAUGCUCUAUAAGCCAUUAUUCUUCUAAAAUUAUUAAAUGCCAUUCUUCAUUCAAGCUUUCAUGGACAUUAUUUACAAAUUGUUCUUGUAUUUGACAGAAAAAUGAAAACUCCUCGUCAUACAAAACUGCAUGAACAAAUCUUCUGUUUAAUUAUGAUAAAAUAAUAAAUUCCAUUAACAGAUUCUGCUGUAUGUUAAUGUGAGGGAUUUGAUCAGAUGAUCAUAUAAUUUACUACACGCUUUAAGAAGAACAAAAAUUGAUGACUUAAAAAUUAAAAAAUAAACAUAUAAAGAGUAGAUACAAAGAAUGUUAUUUGCAAUCAACAAACUGAAGAACAGGGGAAUGAUAACAGAGGACGGUUGCUGCAACAUUAUGAAGUCAAAAUUAAGAAAGGCAUUUUUUUCUUUUUUUUUUACAUUAUUCUAUUUAAUCUUAAAUUUUUACAAUCACCAAAUGGAAAAACAGGGGACUGAAAACAAAGAAGCCCUGUUUGCAGAAACAGGGGAGUUUCCGGGUUUCUGGAAACAAACUCAGAAACGAAUGAACUGGCUGCCGGCGGUACUUUCUAGAUAAAUCUCUUGGUGUAUAUAAGCUUUCAUGAUCUGGUUUUAGUCUGGUUAGGUUCAGCCACUGUGACUGUUAGGGAUUCUCGUAAACUGAAUUUAAAGUUGCGGCUUAAAGUGUUUACCAACUUAAAACCAGAGCUAUAAAGUGUUUGAUGAAUUAUUUUUUAAUUUAAAAAAAUAAAAAACUGAUUUAGCGGGAUAAAAUAAUGCUCCAUUCUGUUUAGUAUGUGAAGUCCAGAGUAUUACAAAGAGAUAACUGAAUCUUCAAUGUAAUAAAAUAAUGAUCAGCCUCAGAGGAUACAUAAAAAGCUCAUUUAUCACAACCAUAUCCUAGUGCAUCAUAAACUUGAUUAUUUAAUUUUACUAUUAGGAAACCUACUUAUAUAAGGCGCACACCACAAAUUCUAAAUUAAAUUUCUAACUAAGAAUAAAAGGUAAAGCCUAGCAAUUUUCCACCAGGUGCCGUGUAGCCUGCAUCAUAAAUUUUGAUUUAAAUCUUUGUAAUCACCGAACAGAAAAACCGGGGAAUGAAAACAGAGGAGCCCUAUUUUUCCAUUUUUUUAACCCUUAACUCUUGUUCUUCUAAUUAUAUUUUUGCUUGGAAUUUCAAGCAAACGAAAAAAAAAAAAGUGACAACUAUUUAGAGAGAGCAGGUGGAUGAUAGCAAAAAUAUUUUUAAUUAAUAUGCAUGAUUAACUCUUGUUCUUCUAAUGUAGUGGCUUGAUUAAUAUUUUUAAUCAAGCCACUACAUUAUUGGUAGUCUCUGUGGGCUCAUUUCGUCUCCAGACCUGAUAUUGUAUAUCUCUUUUUGAAUAUGUUUAAUUAAUAUGCAUGCUGCUGAAUAAAGACGAUGAUUUCCAAAUUUUUGUUGCUUUUUUUUUUUCUUUUUCUGCUUUGGUACAUGAAGAAUGUGGAAAUAGAAAUAGCUUUCGAAGUUUAAUGGCUUGCUUCAUUAGUAAAGAAAGACUAGGAUAUCUGUCCCUUUUUGUUACUGAAUUAUUGAUCAAUUGACGGUUGAAGUGUCAAAUGUGUUCUUUCCUUACAAUUGUAUAUGCUAUUAUUAAUAGAAAUUAUUAAAGGAUUUAGAACAAGUUCGCCUUUUUAAUUAUCUGGGAUGAUGAGUUUCUUUAUUCACCUUGAAUAUGUAAUAACAAUUUUAGUGAGCAAAAGAUCACUGGUAACUGCAGAGGAAUGUGUGAGUUAAGAGCUUAUUAGAGUAAGCAAUACAAAUGAAUUUUCAAAUUAUGUACUUGGUCACUGUUGUCCUACUGUCGCACGUAUUUUUUCAUGAAUAAUUGCCAGAUCAGAAAAGAAUAAAUUCGGUUGGCUGAAGUAAGUAAAACAAUCUUCAUAUCGAACAUGAUUCCAAUUAAAUUAAGCUUUUUGUAAGAUGACUAAUAAAAGAUAAAAGUAGAAGCUUUGAUGAAUGAACGAGGACCAAAACUUUUGUAAAAGCGGAUGCCGAUAAAAUAAACAAAAGGCACUUUAAAAAGAAACUAAAGUGCGAUCAUCAAAGUAAGAUCACUAAUGAUGCUUCGCUAUUACAAGGUCCGCAUGGACAUUAUUGAGUUCUGCUAUUUGAACUACGCGAAGACAAAACAAAGACAGAAAAAUUGACACUGUUACUUCAACGGCUGUUUAUUACUUUUUGAAUUUAAAAAAUAAAAUAAUCAAAAGAAAAAGGAAAAGGAAAAGUAACGAAAAAAAAGAAAUAAAAUAAUCAAAAGAAAAAAAAAAGAUUACUUUUUGAGUUAAUCUUUCUCCAUCUCUCAUCUCUGCUAUCUGCGUUCACGCACAAAGAAAAAACUCUUCAUCUCACCAUUUUCAUCUCUUUGCAUCUCACCAGUUCCGCAUCUCAGUUACCAUAAGGAAGAAGUUAGAUCUAGAUCUAUAAACAGAGAUUUUGAUAAAAUUAGUACUGAUUAAUUAGUAAGUUAGUGACUCUCACUAUAUUCAAAUAAAAUUUUUAUUGUGUUCUAUAUAUUUAAAUGAUUAGAAUAUUUAAUUUAAAUUGUAAAAAUUCGUAAAUUUUUAUUUUUUAUAUAUUUAAAUUGUUAUGAAUUGUUAUGAUUUUUUUAAUUUAAAUGGUUGUUAAAUAAUGGAAUAGAUUAUAACAAUUUCUGAAUGUGUUUUAUGAACUUUAAAUUUUUAAAAUUAUGUUAGAUUUGACUUUAAAUCUUUGAAAUUGUAGUGAUGGAAUAAUAUUUUGUGUUAAAUUAAAUUUUUAAUUUUUGAAAUUAUGUUAGAUUUGUUUAAUUUUGUCCGCUUGCAAUUUAUUUGUUCACGCUAUCAUGAAGUGAUAUUAUAUAGGCAUCGAUGGUUUUUUAAUUAUUACAAAAUAUUAUUUUUUAAUUAUUUAACAAAAAUUGAUACAAAAUAUUAAUUUUGUAUGACUGAGAGAUACAUAGGGUUAAACAGGACGAGUAGAGAAAGGAACGAAUGAAAAAUAAGUGGAAUGAACAAAGUAAUUAACGAGAAUGAAUAGAGGGGACAAAGUGGAGAACGAGUAGUUGAGGAUGAGAAUAAGUGGAUCAGAUUUUAAAUAAUAAAGAUAUUUAAAAAAUUUUCAUUUUUUAUUAUAAUAUUUGUUGUUGGUCCCACCAAAAAAUUGGAUGAGAGCAGGCGUGAAAGAGCAUUUUUUUUCAUUUUUAUUCUUUAUUUUAAUAAUUGUUAUCGGUCCCACAAAAAAAGAAAAUUGAAUGAGGAAAGGCGUGAAACGGCAGCCAAUUUCUGUCGUCCCAUCGUCGUGCUUUCGUCUAUUUACCAUUUCUCGACAUUAUUUACAAAUUGUUCUUAUGUUUCACAGAAAAAUGAAACACUGUUCAUCAUACAAAAUUGCAUGACCGAAUCUUCAAUUUUUAUAAUUAUAAAAUAAUGGAUUAUGUGUAUGUUAAUGUUACGGAUAUGAUCAGAUCAUCAUAUAAGUUACUAGACGCAUUAACAAGAACAAGAUCUAAUGAGCUAAAAGUUUUUUUUUUAAAUUAAAUAAAUAAAGAGUAAAAGUAAAAAAAAAUGUUAUUUGCAAUCACUAAAAUGAAAACAGAGGAGCCCUGUUUUUCCUCUCGUUUCUCUUUCUCUCUUUUUCAAGUAGUAGAAAAUGAUAACAGAGUUUGAGAGCUCACUGCUUUCAUUAGUUGGAAAGUGUCGCCUAAAACACUUCCUCUGCUAGGUGGAAUUGUUGGCUUGAAGAGAAGAGUUCUUGUUACAAGCACAAAUUUUAGCUGUACAUUAUUUCCUUUUAAAUGCACCAUUGUUGCACAGAUUUGAACCCUAUGAUCAUUAGUUUUUUGUUUUGAUUUGGUUAGUUCGUGAUGACAAAUAAAUUAUUUUCAUCACAUUAUGGUAAAAAGUUGCCCUCUUUGUUACUUCCACAGCUAUUUAGUUUAAUAUUUUGUAAUAAGAUCACAAAGUGCAUGGGACCUAUUGUUCGGGUACUUAGCCUAAAAUGAAGAUCUAUUAAAAAUUUCCCUGAUGUCAUGAUAUAAAACAAUAAAAGGUACCAACUUCAGCUUAAAUUCAUAUAAAAUUAAACCUUACCACAUACUGUAUUGAAACAAAUUACUCAUCUUUAUUGGUAACAUCAUCACCUUCAUAAAAUAUAUGGUAUCGUACAAAGUUCUUGCGCUGGGUUCGGGCAUCUAACAACGAGGACACAGCAACCUAUUCGCUAGGUUAGAGACCAAAGAGCCAACAGCAAAUGUGCACGACGCAUGUCACUAUCAUGAAAACAACAUUCUUUUUCUUUUUUUUUUCUCCUCAAUAAUUUCAGAUAUAAUAUUUUAACUAAGUUUGUAACACUGUUGAUUGAAAUUAUCAAGUACGAAUGUGUGUAGAUUUUAACAUGUGCACUCAUAAUUAUUAUUGUGCAGUUUUAGACUUAGUUGGGUAUUGAGGUGCUAAAACUUUUGCCGUAAGAAAAAAAAGUUUUAAGUAUAAAAUAAAAUUUAAUAGUAUCUAAUAAAUUUAGUUUUUUAAUAAUAUGUUGAGUACAUAAAAGCCCCAGGUCGGCCAUGCUACUAUUUUCACCCCGGCAUGGAUCACCUUAGCCAAAUGGUAUGAGCAGAACGCAGGAUAAACACGAGCCAACCAGAGACGAGUACCGGCCAGGGUAAUGUACCGACCAGAAUCAUAUACCGAGCCGACACCAAUUCCCCAAAAAAGCGGGAACACGAUCCCACAGAAUCACGGUAGUUGCGCUUUUCCCAGAACCGUUGUGGGAGAUGCGAGAUCCCACGUUUGCCCACAAUGUAGCAGUUAAAAUCCCAUGAGAGGCUACCACUACCCGAGAAAGGGGGGGAUGAAGGGUGAGUGAAAACGUGGGACAGCGGCUAUAAAAGAAGAAGAAACCGAUUAAGAAGGGGAGAGAAAAAUUGAGAGAGGGAAAACGCUGCCAAAUUGCAAUCAUGCCAUUUUCUGACAAGACUCCGAAUAAUUUAGAAACCAUUUUUAGAUCUAAAUUGCACUGUUUUCCCGUAAACACCUUGAGCUAACUUAGGCAUUGGAGGGUUUUCGCCGGCAAAACCACCGGCGACUCUGAUCCGUUUUUGGUGAACGCAGGUCUAGUAAGAGAAAGGAGGGUGAUUCCAACCUCAGAGGUUCGAGCAACAGUCGAUAACGUAAACGUUGGUGAAAGAAUCUGGUCGGUCAAAAGGCGAGCAGAUUUAAGCAUCAACAUUUUGGCGCCGUCUGUGGGGAGCUGGAUAAAAAGCUACCACCGAAUUAGUAGUUACCGGAGAAACAACGAACGAUUAGACAUGGAUUUGCCAAGGAAGGACGCUUUGAGGGAGGAUAACGAAUCGGGGGAGACAAGCACCCUUCGGGAAAUUGCAAAUGAAGCCCGAGAGAGGGUGAUGCAAGAUCGAUUGGAAUAGAUGGAGAAGCAAAUGGAGACUCUCGCUACCAUACUGAAUGAGCUGAGAGAUGAGCGGAGAAGGGAUUGCGAAAUCCCCGUGGGGAGAGAUGAUGUGGGAGCAGAACCCAACCUCCGGAGGCGUAGAGUCGAGGAGAUCCCUCCGCCGGUGGACCAACCUUAUGGGGUGCAUCCCCACAGAAGCACUGGUUGAGUUCCUGGAGAACAAAUAGAUGAAGGGAGGAACUAACCUCGCCCCAGGCGAGCACUGGAAGCUGAUGGCCGAGGAGCCAGUGCUGAUGAAGGAGAGUUAAGACAGCGGUUGCAGAAUGUCGAGCAGGAGCGAGAUCAGAUAGCUGCACGUGAUCCUGACCGUGAUGUAGAAUUGGAGGGAGAGGUGCGCAGAUUAGCGCAAGUGAUAAAGGAGAUACAGGGUAAGAGGAAGCCCCCGAGCUGGAGGAUAAUGCUAGAUGAAGAAUCUCCACUAUCAACUGAGAUCGUGGGUACCAUAAUCCCAAGAGAUUUCCGCUUCCCCGACCUCAAAUACUCCGAGCGAAGUGACCCGCUGGUGCACAUUGAGCGUUUCAACGACAUGAUAGGUGUGCAGGGGCUGACACCAGCUCAGAGGUGCAGGGUGUUCCCGUUGACAUUAGAGGGACGAGCCCGAGAAUGGUACCGCAAGCUGCCCCGAGGAAGUAUAAAGGGGUAUGAGCAGAUGUGCCAGGAGUUGGCCGAGUAGUUCCGAGGGGCAGUGGCCCCAGAGGACGACAUGAUGGAACUGAUGAGGAUGAAACAGGAGGAGCAUGAAUCCCUUCGAGAUUUUGUAAAACGAUAUCACCGAGCCGUGCUAGAUCUGGGGGCUUUUAAUCACCCGCAGGCGUUGAGGGGAUUAAAAGAAGGUGUAAGAAUCGGCCGACUGUGGUAUAACUUAAGAAGCCCCCUUGUACAGAAUUACUCGUCGGGGUAUGAGCAGGCGAGGCGAGAUAUAGAAAUCGAAGAGGAGAAAUCAGCAAGAAUAAAAAGUGAACAGCUGGACGAGCUGAGGCGAAAGGAACGGAGAGCCCCAACAGGGAGCGGGUCGGGAAAACGAGCUGGAGAAUCUUCAGUGAUGGGCGGAAUAUCGGCUCGGUCCCGCCCUUACCCCAUAGCUCCGAGAUCGCAGCAGUUCCAGCACAACCGGGCUCAACCUCCGCGUCCCCCAUUUCCGGAUCGGCAACGAGAAUUCCGGCAGAUGGCUGCCCACCCCUAUCACAACACUCCCAGAGCAUUACAUGCAACCAAUUCCAGGGCUAGUCGACCAGAUCAGUUAGCAACUGGGCCAGCCUGAGGUGACAUUCAUGAUAGCCGAGCAGUUCAGCUGGUAGACCAGAGCUUGGCGUAUAGACAGUACACUCCAUUAAAGAUCUCCAUGGAGGAAUUGUAUGAGAGGAUCGAGGGACGAGGCUUGUUAUACCCUCCAGCCCCUAUAACAAAACCGGCUCACCGACGGGAUAAGAGCAAAUUCUGCAAAUUCCACGACACUCAUGGUCACACUAUCAGCCAAUGUCGUGACCUGAAAAUUCAGGUGGAAGAUUUGGUGAGAAACCGUUAUUUGGACGAAUAUGUAGAUGGAAUGUCCCCCGUCACUGAAUCACAGUACACGCGGGAUGAAGGAGCUGAGAUGGGCCUGGAACGUGAACAGCCGACUAUCCGUAUAAUAGCAGGGGGGCCAACAUUGGCUGGGGAUUCGAACAGGGCACGGGAGAACUAUGGGAGAUAUGCCCUGACUAGCAAAGAAGUGCUUUUCAAUUUUCCGGCAACCAAGAAGGCAAAAGUGCGGCAAGUUCCCAUUAUGUGGACAGAUGACGAUGAAGAGGGUAUCUUAUAUCCGCAUGAGGAUGCAUUGGUGAUCAAGGCAAUGGUGGCUGGUACAGAAUUGCGACGAAUACUAAUAGACACAGGCAGCUCGGUUGACAUCCUGUUUAAGUCGGCUCUAGAUGAUAUGGGGAUUGCAGACUUGAAAUUGGAGCGGACAAAUACAUCCUUAAAGGGAUUUGGAGGGGGAUGGUUAACUCCCAUGGGGAUCACCGAACUCCCAAUUACUAUGGGGACAAAGCCAUUUGAAAGAACAAUGAUGCUGGAUUUUGUCGUGGUAGAGAAAAGAAGCCCUUACCAGAUGAUACUGGAGAGACCGUUCAUGAGGAUAAGCCAAUGUGUUGUAUCCACGCAUUACUUGGCACUGAAAUACAGAGUAAAUGGGGUGGUUGGCGUAGUAAAAAGCGACCAGAGGAUGGCAAGGAGUUGUUAUGCUACAGCAGCCAAGGAGACACUGCAGGUUACUUCUCUAGAUAAUCGAGGAAAGUCUAAAAAGGGCCGCCAAGAGCCUGUUGAGAAGCUGGAGGAAGUUGCGGUAAGCAAAAGCAACCCGAGCAGAGUAGUGAAGAUCGGGUCAGGAUUGGUUGGGGCAGUAAAAGGCGAGCUGAUAAAUUACCUACAGUCUCAUGCGGAUAUAUUCGCCUGGUCUCAUGAAGAUAUGCCCGGAAUUGAUCGCGGGGUAGCUUGCCACAAGUUGGCAAUCAAGAAGGGGGUAAGGCCGGUGAGACAGAAGAGGAGAUGCUUCAACCAGGAAAGGUACGAGGCCAUAAACGCCGAGGUGGAGAAGCUGUUGAAAGCAGGAUUUAUAAGGGAAGCCAAGUACCCAGAAUGGAUUUCAAAUGUCGUCCUGGUAAAAAAGGCCAACGGGAAGUGGAGAAUGUGUGUGGACUUCACGGACCUCAAUAAGGCAUGCCCAAAGGACAACUUUCCCCUACCCAAAAUAGAUCAGCUGGUGGACUCAACAGCAGGUCACAGUCUGCUCAGUUUCAUUGAUGCCUUUUUCUGGAUACAACCAGAUACCCAUGGACGAGCAGGAUGAGGAGAGCACUGCCUUUAUAACUAACAUGGGUUUGUUUUGCUACAGGGUAAUGCCUUUCGGCCUAAAAAAUGCAGGAGCCACCUAUCAAAGGUUGGUAAACAAGAUCUUCAAACCGUUGAUUGGACACACUAUGGAGGUAUAUGUGGAUGAUAUGAUUACGAAGUCCAAAGAGCCGAGGGAUCAUGUGAAGCAUCUAGAAGAGACCUUUGAAUUGCUGAGGAAGUAUGAGAUGAAACUAAACCCGGAGAAAUGCGCAUUUGGGGUAAGCUCGGGCAAAUUUCUGGGAUUCCUGGUAAGCCACCAAGGGAUUAAGGCCAACCCCGAAAAAAUACGAGCGGUUACAGAUAUGAGAUCUCCGCGGACAGUUAAAGAGGUGCAGAGCCUUACAGAGAAGUUGGCAGCAUUGAACCGAUUCAUCUCGCGGGCCACAGAUAAAUGCCACCCUUUCUUCCAAAUCAUAAAGAAAGGGAGAAAGAUGGAAUGGACAUUAGAGUGCGAGGAAGCAUUUGGGCAACUGAAGGAAUAUCUGGCCCGUGCACCGUUACUGUCAACUCCGAGAGAGGGUGACCAGCUGUUUUUGUACUUGGCAAUCUCCAAGCAAGCUACCAGCUCAGUCUUAGUCAGGGAAGAAGAAGGGAAGCAACACCCGGUAUACUACACGAGCAAGGCCCUGGUGGACGCAGAAACCAGAUAUCCACUAAUGGAGAAGUGGGCGCUGGCUCUGAUAACGGCAGCACGCAAACUCCGACCAUAUUUCCAAGCCCACCAGAUCGUUGUGAUGACUGACCAGCCCCUUCGGCAAGUGCUUCAAAAACCAGAUGCGUCUGGUCGGUUAGUAAAAUGGUCAGUGGAGCUGAGCGAAUUUGACCUGACCUACAGGCCCCGAGGAGCAAUCAAGGCCCAAGCCCUGGUAGAAUUUAUGGUAGACCGAGCUGAGCCAGGGGAAGGAGAUCGGGAGUAGCAACCGUUAGAGCAGGAGAAAACAGAGGGGAUGUGGUUGGUAAUGGUUGACGGAUCAUGUAGUGAGCAAGGAUCCGGAGCAGGAGUUGUAAUACGGAGCCUAGAAGGAUCCGAAAUAACGUAUGCAGUAAAGUUUGAAUUUCAGCUCGCAAACAACCAAGCUGAAUAUGAAGCCUUUAUCACCGGGCUCGGACUCGCACAUGCCUUAAAAGCAAAAAGGGUAAAAAUUCGAGCAGAUUCCCAAUUGGUAUGUAAUCAGCUCAAUGAUCAGUUCCAAGCAAGGGGAGAGAAGAUGGGCCUUUAUUUGAAGAAGGCGAAGUAGAUGGUCGGGCUUUUCCAAGAGGUGGAGGUGAAGCAGAUAUCUCGGAAUGAGAAUUACCGAGCAGAUAUUUUGGCUAGGAUGGCUGCAGUUGCAGAUCCGAAAUUACCUAAGUCGGUUCCACUAGAGGUAAGGACCUCGCCAAGUAUAGGAGAGGAGGUAGAGGUGAUGAGAGUAUGCAUUGGAGAAUCAUGGAUGGACCCGAUUCGCGCAUAUAUCCGGGAUGGAAUCUUACCAGAGGACAAACAGCAAGCCAGGAGAUUAAAAUGCCGAGCAGCGAGGUACACUCUACUAGAUGGAGUGCUGUAUCGCCGAGGGUUCACCUUACCCCUUUUGAGAUGUGUGGAUGAUGAGGAGGCAGAUUAUGUACUGAGGGAGAUUCAUGAAGGAAUAUACGGCAAUCACUCGGGAGCAAGAACUUUAGCCUUCAAGGCACUCCGGCAAGGAUACUUUUGGCCAACUAUGCACCAGGAUGCGAAAAGGAUGGCAAAGAACUGUAAAACCUGCCAAAGCUUCUCUAAGGUUCCUGCACAACCCCCAGAGAAGCUGACCACUAUGACAUCCCCGUGGCCUUUCGCUCAAUGGGGAAUCGACUUGAUUGGUCCGUUACCUAAGGGCCGAGGAGCGGCGACACAUGCAAUUGUGGCAAUAGACUACUUCACCAAGUGGGUAGAAGCGGGAGUCCUCAGCCAAAUCACCGAGAGGAAGACAACAGAUUUUAUUUGGAGAAAUAUCAUUUGCAGAUACGGGAUCCCCUAUGCCAUCAUUACAGAUAAUGGGAGACAAUUUGACAACAGCAACUUCAGGGAAUUUUGCCGAAAUUUGGGGGUGGACCUGAAGUUCUGCACCCUCGCACACCCCCAGGCAAACGGACAAGUGGAAGCAGCCAACAAAGUAAUAAAAAAGCUUUUGAAAACUAGAUUGGGAGAGAAGAAGGGAGCCUGGGUUGACGAACUACCAGGAGUAUUAUGGGCCUACCGGACAACUCACAAAACCGCCACAGGGGAAACCCCGUUCGCUUUAGCCUUUGGUCAUGAGGCGGUAAUCCCAGCAGAAAUCGGAGUAGGAACACAUCGAACAGAAUAUUUCGCUGAGGAGAAAAACGACGAGCAGAUCUGCUUAAACCUGGACCUGCUGGAGGAGAAAAGGGAAGGGGCCUCGCAGAGAGUGGCCCAGUGUCAGCAACGGGUCAUGCGCUAUUACAACAAGAACGUACGCGUGAGGCAGUUCCGAGCAGGAGAUUGGGUACUUAGGAAGGUGAACCAAAACACCAGGAAUCCUAACCAUGGCGCUCUUGGCCCAAAGUGGGAAGGCCCGUAUAGGGUGGUACGAGCCACUGGACCAGGAGCUUAUAAGUUAGCGUACCUAGAUGGACGAGACGUGAGGAGGUCAUGGAACGCCGAGCACUUGAAGAAGUAUUUCCAGUAAGCAAAGUGCUCUACCAAAUCUUCAUUUUGACAAAUUGUUUGUGUUAACUGCAUGAUGGCUUGAUGCAUAUGUAUGUAUUCAGUAUUUUUGUAACACAUUCAUGUUUCAAAUAAAGAUGAAUUCAGCAUGAAAUCCCCCUACUAGCAAAGCCAAAUAAAAAUUCUACGAAGGCAAGCAAAUGCCUACUUCUGCUUGGUCAACGAAAGACCAGCAGCUAAUUUUACGAGAAAUUCACUAAGGAAAGUGAGUGCCUGUUUCUGCUCGGUCAACGAAAGACCAGCAGCUAAUUCCGCAAAAAUUCUAUUAAGGCAAAUAAGUGCCUAUUUCUGCUCGGACAACGAUAGACCAGCAGCUAAUCUACGAAAAUUCUACUAAGGCAAGUAAAUGUCUGAUUCUGCUCGAUCAAUGAAAGACCAGCAGCUAAUCUACGAAAAUUCUACUAAGGCAAGUAAAUGCCUGAUUCUGCUCGGUCAAUGAAAGACCAGCGGCUAAUCUACGAAAAUUCUACUAAGGCAAGAAAAUGCCUGCCUCUGCUCGGUCAACGAAAGACCAGCAGCUAAUCUACUAAGGCAAGUAAAUGCCUGCCUCUGCUCGGUCAAACGAAAGACCAGCAGCUAAUCUACUAAGGCAAGAAAGUGCCUGCCUCUGCUCGGUCAGCGAAAGACCAGCAGCUAAUCUACGAAGGCAAGUGAGUGCCUGCUUCUGCUCGGUCAACAAAAGACCAGCAACUAAUCCUACGAAAAUCCUACUAAGGCAUGAAAGUGUCUACUUCUGCUCGGUCAACGAAGGACCAGCAGCUAAAUUUAUGAGACUUUUACUAAGGCAAAUAUGUGUCUGCUCCUGCUCAGUCACCGAAGACCAGCAGGCGAUUUUGCGAAAAUUUUUACCAAGGCAAACGGAUGCCUAUUCCUGUUCGAUGCACUAAAGAACCAACAGGCGAAACCAGACAAAAAAGCCAAUAGAGAGCAUUUAAAAAAUUUUAUAAACGUUCAAAUGUUUACAAAGCAAAUGAAAAACUAGAGUCUUUACAAAAAUAGACCUAAGGAUUAGGAGGAUCAACGGCCUCAGCAGGUGAAGGGUCAGCUAUCUCGGGAGGUGGAAGGUCAGCAAUAUCGGGAGGAGGAGGCACGGACCCCUGCCCCACUUCAAAAACACGCUGCCCAGCUUCUCCCUCCUGCACCCCAUUCAAAGGAACCUCCACCUGCUCCUGCUCAUCCUGCUCCUUAUCUCCUUGGCCGGCCCCAGCCAUAUACCUCUCCACCCCAGAUUCCAGCUUGCUCAUGUCGAGCUCGGGGUAUUCUUCCUUGAGUACAGACAUGAUGCACUUAUAGCUGAAAGCAACCCCGGAGUUAUACUCAGCAUCCAACCGAUCAUCCACAUCAGCGGAUUUGCCUUUCUCUUCAGCCAGCUGGUCACUCAGGGAUUUGAUCUCUCCCUCAAGGGCGGUCCUCAGAGUAUCUCUUUCACUUUGAGUAGCCUGAAGAUCGGACUUCAGAUCACCCAGCUCACCCUCAAGCUUGGAGGAAGUAGACUCAGCAACCGCAACUUUCUCCUCAAGCUCCGUAAGCUGCUUGUUCAGCUCGGCCAGCUUCUCUUUGGACCGAUCAGCAGAUUCGGCUUUCUUUUUCAACUCCUGGUUAUCAGCUUGAAGCUUCCUCUCAUGACGCGCGGACCCGGUCUUGUAGCACGAGACCAUUGUGGCCAGCCUGAAAGAGACUCUUUGAACAGAAGCAGCUAACUCGGAGAGGUCCAUGCUCUCGAUGUCCUUCACCAUCUUGGGCCCAACCGAUUUUUUGUAAUCUUUCUGGUAUAGGCUCAGGUAGUCACCUUGAUCCCGAGAUGGAAGAGGAGCAGAUCGGUCCCCAGACUGCAAGCUGACCUCAGGACUCUUGUCGGAGGUUUUCUCCCCACCACUCUUACAGGGUGGGGGAGGGGGCAGAGCAGGGACAGGAGCCUUGGAGGGGCCGACACUAUUCUUCUUUGGAGGAGGAGGAAGGUUGCUGGAGCUGCUUGGAGCCCGACCACGCUUCCUGCUCAUUGCGCUGAGGAUCUUGUUAUCCAUUCCAGCGGCUAUGUCCACUAGGCCCGAACCGACCAGGUUUGUUGGUGACAGGAGGUCUUGGCAGGUAGACGCGUUCACCAGAGCAGUUUCCACCUGAAGCAAAGGCCGAUCUUCAAGCCCCUUUAUCAAACCCCACGACUCUGAAAGAACAAACAAGGUUAAAGAACCCAAUAAGUAACAAGUCGAGAAAGAGUAUAGGCAAAAAAUAAACGACCUGGGGUGACAAAAUGUGUUGGAAGGUAAAUAUCACCACCCAACGAAUGAGCUGCUGGACACUAAGCUCCUCCAGCAAAGAAGAAUUUGUUCUUCCAAUUUUUGCACGAGGAGGGGAAGCCGGUGAUUGGUUUCCUCUUCGCAGAGCUUGACAUGAAGUAAUACCAGCUUGCUUCCUUCGGGCUACUCCUCAGCUGGUAUAGAUGCUUCACUUCAACGAGGGAGGGCUCCUCUGAUCCACACCUCUUCCACAACACAUAUAUAGCCGAGAGAACCCUCCACCCAUUGGGAUAUAGCUGACCUAGGGCCAGAUGCAUACCACCCAAUAUCUUAGCGAAAUAACGUUAAAGGGGCAGCCGAGCUCCUAAUUUGAAGCUCUCCAGGUGCAUCGUCACAUACCCCCGCGGAGGCCGACUAGGGACGUCACCUUUUCCUGGAACUACCAGGAGAAUCUCCGCAGGAAUGUCGUAAAGGUUCCUCAGCUUGAACAGAUCAGUUUGGGUGGUGACACAAGCUGUGUAGUCAAUAGGGUAAAAAUCCGCCUCUACCCUAUGACCAAGGUGCCUUCUCUGAGGAGGUCCGCUCGGUCCAGAGCUGCUCCCCUCACCAUCACCAACUCCUUCAAGGAUCCCAACCCCAUCAAAGCUGUGCUUCUCACCAGAGCCCGACGCAGGUCCACCUCUAUUCCCUACAAGCUCUAGUUCGGGGGAGGGAGAGACAACCAAAGGGCGUGGGUACUCAAGGGUAUCCCUGCCAUGGGAAGGACCUACACUACUGGAGGGACCUAAGAAAUCGGUGGGUAUUGGCACGUUGAGGCCCGAAUCCCCUGAUUCUUCCUCGCCCUCAUCAACAAUUAACUUUCUUUUCCGGUUUGACAUAUCGGAAUCCCAAAAGAAAGCAAAGAAAACUCGAAUGUACGGAUACAAAAGGGGGCAACACGGAACCCAAUCAACAACAACAAGAGAAGAGAUUAAAAGCAGUACCUGAGAUUAACUGGCCCUGAUAGCGCUGCCGUGACAGAGAAAAAACCAGCAAGUAGAAACUCCGGACGCAGGAAGUGUGAGUAAAGUUCAGAGAGGGGGCUGGUUAACGGUGGAGAAACGGAUAAACAAAGCAAUGAGGAUUUCAACCUAGGGAUUUGAAGUGAAAAGGGGAAAGAUAGAAGCAUUUAAGUGAUGAGGAUGCCAGCUCACUCACCACAUAUCGAGGGUGGAUAGCCCGUCGUUUCAAAUUUCAAAUACGAAGAGUCUGGUGAUGCCACGUCACUAACCGUUACAAGAGGCCAGGAUAGAUGUAAGCCCAGAUAUGCAAUGGACAUGUUCACUUAGGCCCAUGCUCAGGUCGGAGUCUCCCCAGAAGAAAAAUGGUACAUCAGGUCAGGCCCAUCCCAAUAAACAGAGGACCAGAUGAGAAGCUCCCCGGGUUGGUGAGAUUUGACCAUCAGUUUCUACUCUUAACUCAUUUCACUCGCCAGACCAGAAACUGGGGGACUGGUGUUGAGUACAUAAAAGCCCCAGGUCGGCCAUGCUACUAUUUCCACCCCGGCAUGGAUCACCUCAGCCAAAUGGUAUAAGCAGAACGCGGGAUAAACACGAGCCAACCAGAGACGAGUACCGGCCAGGGUAAUGUACCGACCAGAAUCAUAUACCGAGCCGACACCAAUUCCCCAAAAAAGCGGGAACAUGAUCCCACAGAAUCACUGUAGUUGCGCUUUUCCCAGAACCGUUGUGGGAGAUGCGAGAUCCCACGUUUGCCCACAAUGUAGCAGUUAAAAUCCCAUGAGAGGCUACCACUACCCGAGAAAGGGGGGGAUGAAGGGUGAGUGAAAACGUGGGACAGCGGCUAUAAAAGAAGAAGAAACCGAUUAAGAAGGGGAGAGAAAAAUUGAGAGAGGGAAAACGCUGCCAAAUUGCAAUCAGGCCAUUUUCUGACAAGACUCCGAAUAAUUUAGAAACCAUUUUUAGAUCUAAAUUGCACUGUUUUCCCGUAAACACCUUGAGCUAACUUAGGCAUCGGAGGGUUUUCGCCGGAAAAACCACCGUCGACUCUGAUCCGUUUUUGGUGAACGCAGGUUUAGUAAGAGAAAGGAGGGUGAUUCCAACCUCAGAGGUUCGAGCAACAGUCGAUAACGUAAACGUUGGUGAAAGAAUCUGGUCGGUCAAAAGGCGAGCAGAUUUAAGCAUCAACAUAAUAAUUUUGAUAAAAUUAGAAAAGAUAUAAUAAUUUUUUUAUUAUAUAAGUGUAAAAUCAAAUCAUCUUAACUUCUAAACUACAACAACUAUAACAUUUGAACUAUUCAAUCUCAAUUCCUAAUAGACUCUUAAUUUAUAAUUAGAUUGUCACUAAAAGAUUUUAAGUAUGUAUUUUAGAAUUUAACGAAUACACUUUUAAACUACCUUUGCCGGAUGAAAUGUUGGGAAAUUUUUAUUAAGAUCCAAAAGUAUUUGAAAUAAAUUUAUGUUUUUAUGAUGCCAAAAAAAAUAAAAAAUUAUGAACAUUUUUGUGAAGCUUAGGCGAAAAUUUUUGUUAGGCUCUAUUGGGCUAGAUGAGCAGCUCGGGCAGUUAAUUGUCGCCCAAGAAGCCCAACCCAGAUUACAACAAGCUGGGAUUUAGUUAGCUCGUUGACGGCCAUUUGGGUAUGCAUGAAUUGGGUGGAUGAUUAAUAAAUACGUUUUAUUAAUUAUUUCGCCGAUUGGGAUAUUCUCCUAAUUUAAUCUUUUCUAAUAUUAUAAUAAAGAGAUUUUGACAUGUGUAAUACAUGUGUUAUUUUAAUAAUCCAAUAGAUAAUAUCUACUUUAUUUUUAUCUUUCGUUAUUAAAUACAAAAACACUAAUAAAAAAAAAAUGACUUAACUCUUUUUAUAUUUUUAAUUUUUAUUUAUUUCCUUUUAUUGCUUUCCUAGCAAUGUUCAUCUUUUUACUAUACAACAUCCAUAACCUUAACUUUGGAAAUAAAAGAGAAUAUGUGAAAGUAUAAGUAGGAGAAAGACUUCAUUGAAAUCAAACAAAUUGGGCAACGUUAGAUUUUUCUUUAAAAUUCUCAUGAGAUAUUAAUUAGUAGUAUUAUCACUGCUGCCUGCCUAUUUCUAACCUCAACCAAUAUAUGAUCAAUGCUUGAUUUGGUCAAUCUAAAUAAUUAUGAUCGAUGAUUGGAUAUUGUUGAAGGGCGGCCCUAAGGAUGAGAGAGGGGAAUGCGUGUGCAAGCCACAUGUGUGAAGAAAAAGAAAAAGGCAAGAGUGAAGAUGACGACGAUUAAAAUCUUGUUUGAUUUCUUUUUCUGAUAAUUUUGUUAAUCUGCUGUUGUUAGUUCCAAAAUUUUAGUUAGCAACAAAAUGACAUGUUUUUGUGUUUAAUAAGGAAAAAGUAAAUAAUAUAUUUUCUAUAGGAUUCUUAGAAUGGAUUAGAUUAGACUACGGAGAGAAAUAUAUUUGAGAAUAUUAGUGUUGAGUUAUUCUAAUGUCUUUAAUAGUAAAUUCAAUUAAGACUAUUUUAGUAAUAUAUUUUUUUUAUUGAAAUUAGAGUGUUCAAAGUUAUAAAUAAAAAAUUCAAUAAUUUUUUAUUGAAUUUAUAUAACUCUGGAUUCUUUUUUUUUUUUUCCAACACUGAUAUGGUUCUGUUCUGUGUAUUUAUAUACAAUUUAAUGUUUACAUACAAAUUAAAUAAGAUCAAUUUAAUGUUUAUAUACAAUCCUUCAAGUCGUAACUCAAUUUUAUGGAGGUUUAUACAUCUGCACGCAUUCCUUGAAUUUCUCCUAGAUUGGAACUUCUUAAUUGAUCCAAUGCAUUUUUCCAACAGUCAAGAUCCUUAGUUGUCAGAGCAUUUGCAAUCGUACUCAGUGCACCAGGCAAACCUCCGCAUCUUUCAACGAUCGAGGAGUAUUUUUGUUGAAUCACCGACUAUAUUCUCAAAUAACUGCAAUGCUUCUUUUUUUGAUAACGCAUCGAUCGAGGAAUUUUUCUGAGAUUUCAUAUCAUUGCACAAUAAUAAAUCUCGACUUCUAGACGUCAAUAUUAUUUUGCAUUGUCUCUGAUCGUCAACAUCCCCGGAAGUUAAUGAACGGAAUUCUUUUAUCCUUUCUAUCUUUCUCAUCAACAUCCCCGGAAGUAACCACAUCGAACAACUUAUCUUCCCUCACUUGCUUUGCAACAUCUUGGAAUACUUUCAUUCUGGAAUCAAAGGCUACGUAAUCUUUCACUUGCACGUACUCUGUACUCUCUGGAGCAGGACGGUAGGAAACAUGAUUACAGAUGUUAAAUUCGCCUUUUUUCACAAGUUUAUCAGCUUCGUUUGCGGCCUCUGCUGCUUGUUUACCAAGCUUGUAACGAGAAAUCAAAUUUGGGCACAACCCUUUGAAGCAGAACAUCUUAGCUCUAUCUUUAUCAUCAAUCAUGGAUUUUGCAACCCCUUCACUGAAUUCAGCAACUCUAUUUAGCCAGUCUCAGACACCCUUAUAAAUCUCAUCUCCUUGUAGAGUAGCCUCUCUAACCAGCGUUUUCACCCUUUCUCUUAUAUAUUCCAGCUCCUUCACUCAAUCUUUUAGCCCAUCUAUGUAGCUUUGGUAUUCGAACACAUAAGAUAUGUGCCGCAUAAUCGGUUCGAAUAAUGCUUUUGAACCUUGUGAUACAAUGCUGGAAAAAGCAGGGAGACACCCUUCAACAGCCAUUGCCUGUUGCUUAACAAUAUAUAUAUAUAAAUACAAGUGUCAAAGAAAGGAAUGCAAAUAAAUUAAAAUGAACUAGAGGGAAAGAUAGAGAAUGAAAAGAUCACAAACAAUAUGGCUAUAUUGAUCUUGAACCAACUAAUAACUAAAUAGAGAAUUUCUUUUUCUUUCUUAAGGAUAAGAGGUUUUACUAUUAACAAAAAGUUAUUUUGAGGGUCUGAAUAAAAAACCAACCAUAAAUUAUCAAAAGCUAGUAAAAACACAGACAUAAAUAAUGAACAAUUACUUAAGCAAAACAAACUAUGAAACAAAGAAAAUCUAAUAAAAUGACAAAGAAAGAAAGAAAGAAAAUACAACAAAAAGUAUUGAAGUAUUGAUCAUGAGCCAACUGAUAUUUAAACAGAUUUUUUUUUUAAUUUUUAGUCUUUUGCUAAAGGAUUAGAGUUUUUGCUAUUAACAGAAAUGUUUCAAAAAUCUAACACUACUAGAAAAGUAUUAAAUAAUGACAGAAAUUUGAUGACAUAUAUCGUUGUGUCACGAAUGUGUCAUAAAAAUAUGAUAGAUUCAUAAUAUAUAUUCAUAUGUCCAGAAUAUAUGACAUAUUCAUGACUUAUAAUUUAACCGUCCUAGAUAAAUGAUACAUAUAAGUCAUGCUUAGGUUUUGUGAACUUAUAAGAUUGUAAAACAGUGUUGUUUAAAUUAACGACACCGUUCUGUAUAACUUAAAACACAUCAACACUUACAGCCAAAUUUUGGCUAAGCGUUGAAUGAAUCCCUCUCUCUCCACUGGCCACUGCAACCUAAAAUGAAUGUUUAAAUUAACGACACCGUUGAAUUAAAGCCUAGCUCAAAUUCCUUUUUUCAAUCGAAAUAAAACGUAGCCACAAAACCCUAAUUCACCACACCAAAUUAUCUCUGCUCGGUAUUCAUUUAAACCCUACCUCGCGGUUCAAUGUCAUUCAAUACGAUUGCAGAUGCCGUUUCAACUUGUCAUUUAGUUAGCGCCAUCCAGUUCCCUAUGGUAAGCCUUAACCCUAACGCUAGUAAGAUUUGCUAAAAAUUUCAUAUUUUGUAUUGUUC
Molecule: long non-coding RNA, 192461 nt
Filed under: Citrus x clementina
Lineage: Eukaryota; Viridiplantae; Streptophyta; Magnoliopsida; Sapindales; Rutaceae
Description: Citrus clementina (C. clementina) long non-coding RNA (CCLE_LNC002797)
Rfam family: tRNA (bases 158077-158160)
Source: RNAcentral